RNAcentral lists this long non-coding RNA (244616 nucleotides) under Oryza sativa (Asian cultivated rice). RNAcentral's name for it is "long non-coding RNA (OSAT_LNC001297)". The stretch from base 198776 to 198965 matches the Rfam family "MIR812 microRNA precursor family". The record is from RNAcentral. Lineage: Eukaryota; Viridiplantae; Streptophyta; Magnoliopsida; Poales; Poaceae.
UUAUUAUUGGUUGCCCUGAAGUUGAGGUGGAUUGCGUGCUUGAAUUGAUCUUCGGAGGGUGAUGUCAAGAUAAAUCCUGCCCCCGCUCCUUGGCUGUUGAGUGCGCCAUCGAACGCCAUUAUCCAUGUCUCAUUGUCGCCUUGGUUGUCUGACUUGUUAUCUGGCAUGGUCCAAUCGGCCAUGAAGUCGGUGAGUACAUGAGAUUUGAUGGCUGUUCGCGGCACAAAGUGGAUAUCAAAUUGGCUUAGCUCGACUACCCAUUUCGCGAUGCGGCCGACAACGUCUUUGUUUCUCACAACUUCGCCAAGGGGGAAGGAGGGGACAACUGUGACUCUGUGGGCUUGAAAGUAGUGGCGUAGCUUCCUUGAUGUCAUGAUGACUGCGUAGAGCAGUUUUUGAAUCUGUGGGUAUCUUGUCUUUGCAUCAUGGAGAGCUUCGCUGACGUAAUAAACUGGUCGCUGUACUUUCUCUCUCUCGACUACAAUGACAGUGCUAACGGAAUAUGGCGUGGCGGCAAUAUAAAGGAAUAAUUCUUCAUUAGGUUGGGGAGCAACGAGUACAGGUGGGUUUGAUAGGUAGCGCUUGAGUGCAAUAAAUUCCUCUUCGGCUUCCUGUGUCCAUACAAAUUUGUCUUGUUUCUUCAACAAAGAGAAGAAAGGCUGUCCUCGUUCUCCGAUCCUAGCGACGAAUCUGCUUAAUGCUGCCAUGCAUCCGGUUAGCUUUUGUACCUCCUUAAGUCUUGUGGGCGACUUCAUGUUCUCGAUUGCUUUGAUCUUCUCGGGAUUUGCCUCUAUUCCUCUGCCAGAAACAAGGAAUCCGAGUAGCUUGCCCGACGGUACUCCGAAUGUGCACUUCUCUGGAUUGAGCAUGAGGCGAUAUCGUCGGAGGUUGUCAAACGUUUCCCGCAGGUCGUCAAUUAAUGAGUCGCUUGUCUUGGUCUUGACAAUGAUGUCGUCAACGUAAGCCUCGACAUUGUUGCCAAGCUGGUUGCUAAGUGCGCCCUGGACCGUGCGCUGGAAAGUAUUCCCGGCGGUUAUCAGUCCGAAAGGCAUCUUAACGUAGCAAAAUACCCCGAACGGUGUGAUGAACGCUGUCUUCUCCUCGUCCUUUUUUGCCAUGCUGAUUUGGUGGUAGCCAAAGUAAGCAUUGAGGAAGCUUAAUAGCUCGCAACCGGCUGUUGAAUCCACCAACUGAUCAAUUCGAGGGAGAGGAAAGUGAUCCUUGGGGCACGCCUUGUUGAGGUCUGUGAAGUCGACACACAUUCUCCAUUUUCCGUUGGCCUUCCGCACCAUGAUUGGGUUGGCUAGCCACUCUGGAUGAAGUACUUCUCUGAUGAAGCCAGCUUUGAGAAGUUUGUCGAGUUCUUCUCGUAUGGCUUAUUUUCAGUCUGGUGCAAAUCUCCGCAGUCUUUACUUUACUGGCUUGGCAUCGUGUCGCACCAUGAGUUUGUGCUCAAUCACCUCCCUGGGGACCCCCGGCAUGUCGGACGGGCGCCAAGCAAACACGUCGACAUUAUCGCGGAGGAAGGUGAUGAGCGCGAGUUCCUAUUUCUCAUCUAGUGUAGCCCCGAUUUUGAUAGUCUUGUCGGGGUUAGCCUGUUGAGCGGAAUGAUCUUGAUGGCGCCGUCCGGCUUCGGCGUCUUGUUUGGCUUGCUCACUUUCUUGGGUGGCUCAGACGUGGCGGGUGGGGUGGGCGUUUGCUCGACCAUGUCGAGGCUCCGCCUGUCGCACUGCACCGCCAGCUUUGCAUUCCCCUGAAUAGUGAUUGUUCCCUUCGGUCCCGGCAUCUUGAGCACUUGAUAUGCAUAGUGGGAUGCGGCCAUGAACUUCGCAAGUGCAGUUCUCCCGAUGAUGGCGUUGUAAGCUGUAUCGAAUUCAGCGACAUCGAAAGUGAUCUGCUCUGUUCGGAAGUUGUUGGCUUGGUCGAAAGUCACGGGCAACGUAAUCUUGCCCAGAGGUCUGGACGAUGAUUGGGGAGUAAUUCCAUGGAAGGGUUGAUCGGUUGGUGUCAACUCACUUUGUGGAAUUCCCAUUGCAUCCAGAGUGCUGGCGAAGAGGAGAUUGAUCGAGCUGCCACCGUCGAUGAGAACUCGCGCUACCUUGACGUUCCGAAUAGUGGGUUCGACCACAAUCGGAUAUCGUCCUGGGAUAACAGAUGUCUUGGGGUGGUCUUCUUCCGAGAACUCUAUUCUCUGCUCAGACCACUUCAUCUUGGGUGCAGCCUCCUACCACGUCGAACAGACUUCACGUUCCACUUUCUUGUAUUCCCGCUUGGAGGAGUAUGUUGUGGAGCCGCUGAAGAUGUGUGAGACGUGGAGGUCGGAGCCUGGGUACGCAGGAUCCGAUUCGUGAGGAGGUGUCUCCUCGUUCUUCUCGACAACGCGUACUCGCUUGCUUUUUUGAAACGCCAUGUGCUUCUCGAGCGACUUUUUGAAAACAAGGCAAUCCUCCAGAGAAUGUCUGUCCGUUUUGUGUAUGGGGCACCAUGAUUUCUUUGUAUCGCUGCCUUGUGGGUCUGGGCGCUUGGGAGGGUUCGCGUAUUCUGCUGCGAGGACUUCCGCUUAAGCUUUCCUUUUCCCGUUUUUGCGAUUUUUCUUCUUAUUCGACUCAGAUGCGUCUGCGGCUGGUUUCUUCUCUCCCCCAGUCUUCGGCUUGUCGUUCUUGCGUCUUAGCGCGUCAUCCACAUGGGCGCACCGCUCAACGAUCUCGAAUAAUCUUCGGGUAGUUGUGAUGCGUCUUGUCACCAACUCCUGGGUAGUGUAGCGAUCUCUGACACCGGACUUGACUUGAAGGCGCGAGUUACAGAAGCGUCGGUAAUUUCGGGAAUUGUGUUUCUGCACUCGUUGAAGCGCCGAACGUAUUCCCUCAAUGAUUCCCCCGAGUUCUGUGUUAACGCGUGUAAGUCGUCUUCGAUCGCGUGGCGCUUGUAUGUUCCUUGGAAAUUGGCGACGAACUGUUGCCACAGGUCUGCCCACGAAGAGAUUGAGUAGGGGGGAAGAUGCAUCAGCCAUGUACGUACAGAACCCUUCAACGCAGUUGGUAAAUAGUUCGCCAACGCGUUGUCAUCUGCUCUGGCAGCAUAAAACACUAUCGAGUAGACUUGAAGGAAUUCUUCUGGGUCGGUGCUCCCAUCAUACUUUUCAAUGGCCCCGGGUCGGAAUCUCUCAGGCCAUCGGACAUCACGUUGGGAACGACCGAAAGCCCUACACCCAGCACUAGGGGCGGUGGGUUGUCGGCGGUCGCAUGACCUUCGUGGAUGUCUGUCUGACGAUGAAGAGGACGCGGAUGAUGACGAUGACGAUGGGUCGCUUGGCUCCGGCGUACGAUUACGAGGAUGACGACCUGGAUCCCGGGAAUCUUGUCGUUGUCUCUCGCUAUUAUCUCGGCGCCGAUCUCCUUCGUCGUCGUCGUUGCGACGACGGCCAUGACCAGUAUUGUUUGGCCCCCGCCGUUCGCGAUCGUUGCAUUCUGGGUCCUCGUUUGGGCGGUUUCCUCGAUCAUGGCGCCGUGAAGAAACAUGACGCCGAGAGCGAUUUGCGUCGUCCCGUGUGCGCCGUGCUUCUCGGCGGUUGUUAAUUUGAUCUCGAAGAUCGCUAGUGCCACGAGGUGGAGGGGUAGCCUGUCGAGGCAAUUCCCUCCGCUCCGGAUCUUCACCAUUGGCGUCGCCGGUUGGUGGCUGAUCUUGGUGUGCUGCGGUAGCGGCCUCUUCGAACGCAUUGCUGAGGUUGGUCACCGACUCCCGUAAUCGUUCUGUCCAACGCUCGAGGUCGUCGUUCAGAACAGGAUCGUAAGGAGUUUCCCUCAGUAUAGCUUGAAUAGCCCUGAUGUGCUGGGCCGGAGUAGUCGAUUGAUUCGCCGCUUCUGCGUUGGCUUGUGCUGAUGUGCCAACGUCAUCGAUAACUAAUACUUCCCAUGGCGCACUUGUUGUUGAUGACCCGUAGUCUUCGAGGAGAUGUAAGACCGAUGGUUCGUGAGGAUCGAGAUCGAUUACCCCAACGAAUCGAUCUGAGGCUGGAGUCGCUCCCUGUUCCUUGCCGUUAUCCCUAGCGGGGACGUAUGACUUAGGAGACAGGGUUUUCAUGGCGCCGAGGAGGACUUUGCAGCUCGAGAGAUCGUGAUUCUUUGUCUUGUGGAUAGGACAAUAGACAUCCCGAGUUGGAGAAAUACACUGAAUUCCACGUUCCUUGUAGGCGCGAAUUUCAGCACGGACGUUGAUGAAUACCCAGCAAUCUUGAAGGGUAUGUUUCUUGGUUUUGUGGAUAGGACACCAGAAGUCAUCUUUGUCGGCCCGUGAUUUAUGUCGGAGGGACAAGAUUUGGCCGCAUCAGAAUCCGUCUCGAGUUUGGAUGUAGUCGGUAAUCCGUUCUCCGUUUCAACGGGUGGAUUUUUCGACAUGGAGCCGUCUUGGUUCGUAGCCACUACGUUCUCGUUUUCAGUCAUUGGAGGACCGGUUGAGAUCGGCGUCAUGGUGUAAACCGGGAAGACGAUUUCGCCGACAUGAGUCCAUACCAGCAUUGUUGAAGUUGAGAGUGCUUGGCUGGAGCUGGUGUUGAUGUUGUUGUCGACGAAGCUUGAUGGCAUAGUAGUAGAACCUUGAGUACCAAGUCCCCCUACCUGGCGCGCCACUGUCGACGGGUGAUACCCGUAGACCGGAUAUAGAGGGUAUUGGGGUACGCUGGUACAAGGAUCUACGUAAUACGACAUCGAGCAAUCAAAAGACAAGAAUUAUACUGGUUUAGGCCCCUUGACAGGUAAUAGCCCUAAUCCAAUUGAUGUGGGAUUAUACGGUGGAAAACAUAGGUUACAAAGGAAAGGAUGGAACUUGUCAGAUCCGGCGAGAUUGUAGUCGAGCUCAUUCGACUAGCUCUUGACGACUUGGCUCCUCGCAGGCUCUGACUUCGUAGGCUGUGUGGGUUAUGUUGGCACUGAGAUUCGAUGAUCUAUGCCCUCCCUGGGGGGUCCCUUUUAUAUCGCAGGUCUGGUGCUCUCCGAGUGGGACUCGAACAUACCAGACCUAGCACGAUACGUAGGUGACCCAGUUCUUGUCCGAGAAGGACUUUUCCCAUCUAUUGAUCUCGUGAAAGGUUUCCUUAGAUCAUAAAGGAAAUAUCCGCGUGCGCGUGGGUAUGCCAUGUCGAUACGUAACGUAUAUCGAAGGGUAGGGGGUAUGCCUAACCCGUAACCCUGACACUCCUUAAAGAGGAUGUGCCCAAUCACGUUCUCAACAUAAUCAAUCAGACAAAGACAAUGAUCGCCGCAUCAGUUCCAGUCAACCUGGAAAGCAUUCGGGUGCCAACUGGCAGUCGGGUUCCAUCCCUCCAAUCUGAAGAUUACCAUCAACCAAGUCUCAGCAUCGCGGGGUCAAGAUCCAAUCACGGGGGGUCAUGGUCUGCUCACGGGGGCAGGGAUCAUCAUGAACAUUUAGUUCAUUCGCCAGCCGAUAGGCACAGAGAGUGACGCGCUGAGCAGCCUCACUUGCCAUGUCGCUGGCAACCCAUUGACCUACGUGACACACUUAACCGCUGCUGUGCAGAAAGAGGUGAUCGGCGGCAUCGAACCCUGGACUGCUACGAAUAUGAUGAAGAUGGAGUCGCAGCUUUCACAAGCGACCUGCGUCGAGUGGAUUGGCCGGCUGGUUUUAAGCCGACUGGCAUCGAGAAGUAUGACGAAAAAAUAGAUCCUGAACCAUGGCUCACUGUCUACGGUCUCACAAUCCGCGCAGUAGGAGAAGAUAGCAAGGCAAUGCCAAAUUAUUUACCAGUGGCCCUAGCUGACUCUGCUCGAUCCUGGCUUCAUGGGUUACCACGAGGCACCAUAGGAUCUUGGGCGGAGCUCCGAGAUCACUUCAUCGCCAACUUUCAAGGCACCUUCGAGCGUCCCGGCACAUGUUUUGAACUCUAUAACGUGGUCCAGAAGCCCGGUGAAACCCUUCGGGAAUAUAUUCGAUGCUUUUCUGAACAACGCAACAAGAUCUCUGAUAUCACAGAUGAUGCCAUCAUAGCCGCAUUCACAAAAGGAGUUCGUAAUGACCUUCUAGUCGGCAAGUUUGGAUGCAAGCCUCCCAGGAUAGUCAAGCAAAUGUUUGAGAAGGCCAAUGAGUAUGCAAAGGCUGACGAAGCCGUUCUUGCUUCCAACCAGUCGGGCAGCCACUAGAAAUCCAAGAAAGAUGGACCAACCGUAGGGGCGAGUGGAAGCGGCACUCAUAACAAAGAUCACAAGCGGAAGCCCGAGGAUCUGGUGGCGACUACAACACAUUCUUCCCGUCAACAAUCGCGAGUCAACACCUUCGACAAAAUUAUGAAUGCUCAAUGUUCGCAUCACCCAAAUUCCAACCAUGCUGCCAAAGAUUGUUUCAUCUAUAAUCAGUUUGCCGAACAAUAUGCCAAACAAGCGAAGAAGCUGACUGAUGGAGAGCAAAGCACCUCGAAGAAAAAGGACGACGAUGACGAUGGCCCACCUGGUUUUCAAGAUUCUCGUAAGGAGCUCAAUCACAUCUUGGUUGGGCCGCAAGCCUAUGAGUCCAAACGGAAGCAGAAGCUAACUGAUAAGGAGAUCAAUACCGUUCAGUCGGACACACCUCAAUACCUUCGGGUGGUCGGAGAUAGCAAUUAAGUUUGACUACUCGAAUCACCCUGACUGUCACACCCUAAAAAUCCCAAAUGUAUAAAUUGUUGUUUAAUUGGAAUUAUUAGAAAUAAUUUUAAAAGCCUAGAAGAGAAGAUCUAAUUUUAAAUAAUAAAUUCCAAUAUAAAAGUGGGCCAGAUAAAAUUUUAUUAAAUACUUCACUUGAUUCUAUAGUUCCUAGAUUUUUCUGGGAUUUAUUUGAGCCAAGGAAGCAUUUUUAAUAAAUGGAAUUGCAUUUCAUGAAUAAUUUAAAUUGAAAAAGGUUUUAAAAGUCUCCUUUUGGCUUUGGGCCGAAAGUCGGCCCAAAAGCUCUCUCUCUCUCUCUCUCUCUCUCUUUCCCCAGCCCAGUCAGCCCACGCGCGUGCGCCCUCGCCCGCUGUAAGGUGGGGCCGACUUGUCGGACUCGUCUUCCUCCUCGCGCCGCCGUGCCCUAGCCACGCCGCGCGUAGCCGCCGCCGCCCUUCCAAUUCGAUCGCGUCUUUCCUUCUCCGGUGAAAUCAAUAGAGGGGAAAUGAUCGCCUUGAUCUCCUCUAUCUUUUCUCUUUUGGAAUCAUCGGCUAAUUUCUUUUGGAAAUUGGUGGAUUCGAGUUCGAUUCGGAUCAAUCUCUCUCUCCCGAACCCUAACUUUCCAUCGCCGUCGCCCGUUGCCGUGGUCCUUCGUCGCCGCCCUUUAGCCGCUAUAAAAGGACCGCCGAGCCCUCCGCUACCCACCGCUACCUUCGCCUUCGUCUCUCGUCGCUGGUAGAGCCCUAGCGCCGUGUAGCUUAGCGCCGCCGUCGCCGCCGUUCGUACAGCCGUGCGUCGCCGCCGCUCCGGUCGUCGUCGUCGCUCGGGAAGGCCGCCGUCGUGAUCGCCAAGCCGUCGCCUACCUCGUCCACCCCUCCGUCAUCGCCGUAGGUCACCGGAGCACCGCCGUCGUCGUCAAGCCGAAGGUCGCCGCCACUUCUUCCUCGCCGCCGUCGCCGUCUGUUGAUCUUCCGUCGCUGCUUUGGUCCCUGGUGAGUUCGCCGUGUCGUCCGCAACCCGUAGGUGCCGUCCGUUCGCGCCGCCGCGCCGUCGUUCACCGGCGAGCAUGCGUCGUCCGAGCCGUCGCCGGUGAUGACGUCACCGCUGACGUCAUUGUCGCCGUGUCUCGUGAACCGCCGUAGACUAGAUCGAUCUCGACCGUCCGAUUUGGUUAGAGUGAUCUCGGCCGUUCGUUUCCGUAGACCGCCGCCGUGCACCCGGUCCACCGUGAACCCUAGCCGCUGACGCAAUAAUCCCCUUUUUCUUUUCAAAAAUAAUUCAUUAUUGCGUCAUAAUUCAAUUGAUAUCUAUAUAAAUGGUUUAAUCUGAUUUAAUCUUUAAAAAUUCAUAACUAAUUCAUCUUAGCUCGGAUUUAGUUGGUUCAAGUCUCUAAAUUUUUCUAAAAUUGAGAUCUACAUGUUAAAAAUAUCCACAUGUACUGUUCAUGCUUGUUUAUGUGCUGUUUUGGUGAUUUUGCUCUUUUCUCUUUAGAUUCCGACGUUCCCGGAGAGUCCGAUUUUGCAGGAGAAGACUUUGAAGAGUUCCAAGGCCAGCAAGGCAAGUCACACAGAUCCCAAACAACCCUUUGAGCAUGUUGAUCCCGUUUAAAGCUAUUGUUUCUAUUCAACUAUUGCAUUUAUUUUCGAAUGUCAUUGGGUGGAUAUAACCUAUUGCCUUUGUUAUAGCCUUUUUAUGUUGAUUACCUAUUCUUUGUCACCUAGUUAAUAAUUGGAUUAGCUAGAACAUUAUAUGGUUUUAGCUAAAGUGAUUAGGAUGCUUAGCCAUGCUUAGAGACACUAGCUCAUAUAAAUGGGAUAACUUAUGAUUCACUAUUAUUUAAUGAUGGCUUAAUGAUAGCUCACGAUGGUUGAUCGUGAUUGGUUAAUUAAUUAAUUUGCCAACUAAAACUUGAUAAUGGUGGGUUGUGAGCACAUGGUUUUGAUGGUCGUGCUCAUGACAAUUAAGGACCGGUUCACGAUUUUCGGUUGUGAAACAUUAAUCGUGCGAACCACAAGCCAGCGUGGGCAACGGCUUUACUUUCUGUAUAGUGUGGUUCAUUGUAGAGCACCAGACUGUGAAGUGGCGGAGAUAAGCCCACGGGGGUCGCUGGGGAGUCCAUGCCUUGUUUAUAAGGGGGUGAUUAUGAUCCAGGAACGGUGCACUGCUUUGAAUUGUGUUAUGCAGGAGGUAUUGUCACAAUCUCUAUUCGGGUACUUGUCAAGUAUCGCGACGCAUGGUUGACAUGAUGUUGAGGUUGUGUCUUGUGGGUACAGUGGUACACCUCUGAUCAGAGUUUAAACUAUUCGAAUAGCCGUGCCCGCGGUUAUGGGCGGGUCUAACAAUGUCUUUCGUGAUUAGUCUCACACUUCUCACUAUAUUAAAUGAUGAUGUUAAUAACUUGUUUAGCUCCUGGUUUGGAAUGGUAUAUUCCUGGUUUGGAGAUAGAACUGUGCAGCCGGGAUUGGUUGUUCAGAAUGGUUGGGCCUAUGCAACACGGGUGUAUUGUAUAGUGUUGAUUUAAUAUUGUUUAAUUACUCAACUGUUUUACUAUUCUCUCAAUUGCUUAUUAAAUGCUGUUUAUGCAAAUGAGCCCAUAUUAUGCCAUCCUUCGUUAUCCAUUGCACUUGCAUAUUUGUUGCGUGGCUUGCUGAGUAUGUCAUAUACUCACCUUGCAGUCAUUCAUCAGAGGAGGAGUUCUACAGUGAUGCUGAUGGUGUGGAUGAUUAGGCGUAGCCCUGGUCAAGCUGCCUGUGGAGAGGAGUCGCCUGUGCUGUUUCUUUUAUUUUCCGCUGCUUAGAACUUUGUUGUUUGAGAGGAACUAUCUACCUCUGUAAUGACUUUAUAUUCGCUUAUUAAUUAGAGUAAUAAUUGUACUCUAUUAUCAAUUUGUUAUUGUGUGCCUCGGCUGAUUUCUGGACGAGGGUUUACACACAUGUAAGCGUUUGGAAUUUUGGAUAGAAAUUCCGGGCGUGACACUGACCGAGUGGUCCACCCAGGGUGGUACCCCCUGGUACUAGACCUAGUGGUUCGCAACAUCAAACUUCGGUUAUCCCUCAUCGAUGGUGGCAGUGCACUCAAUAUUCUUUUUGCCAAGACUCUGGACGAGAUGCAAAUCCCACGAACCGAGUUGAAACCGAGUGGUGCGCCCUUCCAUGGAGUCAUCCCGGGGUUGUCUUCAACCCCACUCGGCCAGAUCACCUUGCCAGUUACUUUUGGCACUCGGGAGAACUUCCGUACAGAGAACGUUUGUUUCGAAGUUGCUGACUUUGAGACAGCGUACCAUGCUAUACUUGGACGCCCGGCGUUAGCCAAAUUUAUGGUUGUCCCACACUACACCUACUUGAUGAUGAAUAUGCCAGGGCCUCGUGGAGUCAUAUCUUUGCGAAGCGACAUCAAGAAAGCUGUCACCUACGACAAGGAAAGCUGCGAGAUGGCCCAGACUCAUGAGAUUACACUUGCCCAUGAAUCAAUCCGACUGGCUGCAUCAACUACGACCGAAGGAGUAGUGCCUGCAACUAACAUGCCAAAGACCGAAGAAGGCGAUGUCAAAACUAAGAAGAUUCCUCUUGAUCCAUCCGAUCUCUCCAAAACUACUGUAAUAGACGCAGAGUUAGAUUGUAAAUAGGAAAGCACGCUCAUCACCUUUCUUCAAGCUAAUAAAGAUAUUUUUGCAUGGAAACCAUCUGAUAUGCCUGGUAUCGCUAGAGAGGUGAUUGAGCACUCCUUAAAUGUUAAAGAUGACACUAUGCCUAUCAAGCAACGACUCUGCUGAUUUUCUUAGGACAGGAAGGAUGCAAUCAACGAAGAACUGACCAAGCUUUUAGCAGCAUGCUUCAUCAAAGAAGUCUUACAUCCCAACUGGCUAGCAAACCCAGUCUUAGUUCGGAAGAAAACAGGACAAUGACGCAUGUGUGUUGACUACACGGAUCUCAACAAAUCAUUUCCUAAAGAUCCUUUUGGGUCAGCUUUUUGGAUUGCUACUCGGGAUAUCACCAUAUCAACCUAAAGGAAUCCGACUGCUUGAAGGCCUCAUUUAUUACACCGUUUGGAGCUUACUGCUAUAUUACUAUGCCCUUCGGGUUGAAGAAUGCUGGAGCAACUUAUCAGCGUAUGAUCCAGAGAUGCUUUUCAACAUAGAUCGGUCGCAAUGUAGAAGCCUAUGUUGAUGAUGUUGUAGUUAAGACUAAGCAGAAGGCUGAUUUGAUUGCUGAUUUGGAGGAAACCUUUUGCUAGCAUUAGUGCUUUUAGGAUGAAAUUGAACCCUGAAAAGUGCACCUUCGGAGUACUGUCAGGGAAGCUACUUGGCUUUAUGGUGUCUCAUAGGGGCAUACAAGCCAACCCGGAGAAGAUCAAUGCCAUCCUCAACAUGAAACCGCCUAGCUCCCAGAAAGAUAUUCAGAAACUGACUGGGUGCAUGGCGGCGCUUAGCCGGUUUAUUUCAAGAUGUGGCGAGCGGGGGAUGCCUAUUUUCAAGCUACUCAAGAAGACUGAUAAUUUCUAGUGGGGUCCCGAAACCCAGCAAGCCCUUGAUGAUUUCAAGAGACUCCUCACGACUCCACCAGUCCUAGCUUCAUCACAUCCGCAAGAACCAUUGCUAUUAUAUGUGUCAGCAACAUCGCAGGUGGUAAGCAUGGUUUUGGUUGUCGAGCGAGAAUAGGAGGGCCAUGUUCAAAAAGUUCAACGACCAAUUUACUUCGUUAGCAAGGUCUUGGCCGACUCCAAAACAAGAUAUCCCUAGGUAGAAAAGUUAUUAUAUGGUGUUUUAAUUACCGUCAGGAAAUUGUCCUAUUAUUUUCAAAGUCACUCGGUCACAGUAGUCACAUCUUUUCCACUCGGCGACAUACUCCAUAAUCGAGAGGCAACUGGACGUAUUGCGAAGUGGGCUUUGGAGUUGAUGUCUUUGGAUCUAUCCUUCAAGCCACGAACGUCAAUCAAGUAUCAAGCCCUGGCAGAUUUUGUUGCCGAGUGGACCGAGUGUCAGGAAGAUACACUUGGGGAGAAAUUGGAGUAUUGGACUAUGCAUUUUGACGGGUCAAAAAGACUCUCGGGCACUGGAGCAAGGGUUGUUAUGUUUUCCCCGACUAGAGAGAGGUUAAGCUACGUGCUAUGGAUACACUUUCAAGCAUCUCACAAUGUGGCAGAAUAUGAAGCGCUACUCCAUGGGCUGAAGAUUGUUGUAUCUCUAGGGAUUCAGCGUCUGGUGGUCCGUGGUGAUUCUCAGUUGGUUAUCAAUCAAGUCAUGAAGGAUUGGUCCUGUCUUGAUGACAAUAUGGCUGCAUAUCGACAAGAAGUUCGUAAAUUGUAAGACAAGUUUGAUGGUCUGGAGUUAACUCACGUGCUUAGGCACCACAAUGAAGCAGCCGACAGGCUAGCUAAUUUCGGAUCUAAACGGGAAGCAUCUCCUUCUAAUGUCUUUGUUGAACAUCUCUAUGAGCCGACAUUAUCAAAGAAGGAUAAAACUGAAGAUGAAGAGACCAAUGAAGUAGGGAUGAUUGAUGUCGAGUGGAGAGAGCCAAUCAUCAAAUUUUUAACUCAGCAAGAGUUACCUCAAGACAAGAAUGAAGCGGAAUGGAUUUCUUGAUGUAGUAAGCUUUAUGUCAUGGUUGAAGCUGAGUUAUACAAAAAGAGCCCAUCUGGAAUUCUACAGUGAUGUGUUUCUCUUGAGGAAGGCAGGCAAUUGUUGCAUGAUAUCCAUUAUGGAAUUUGUGGGAGUCACGCGGCAGCACAAACCAUAGUUGGCAAAGCAUAUCGGCAGGGUUUUUUCUGGCCCACAACGGUGUCUGAUGCUGAGAAGGUUGUGUGAACGUGUGAAGGUUGUCAAUUUUUUACCAGGCUAGUUCAUCUGCCAGCUCAAGAGUUGCAAACCAUCCCUCUUUCCUGGCCUUUUGCUAUUUGGGGGCUCGAUAUGGUUGGUCCUUUCAAGAGGGCUACCGGAGGAUUUACUCACCUUUUUGUGGUUGUUGAUAAGUUCCCCAAGUGGAUUGAAGCGAAACCAGUCGUUACUAUUACAGCUGACGAAGCUCACGAUUUCUUUAUCAACAUUGUGCAUCGGUUUGGAGUACCUAAUCGAAUCAUUACAGAUAAUAGUACCCAAUUCACUGGUGGGGUUUUUAAAGAUUUCUGUGAAGACUUUGGUAUUCAGAUUUAUUAUGCUUCCAUAGCGCAUCCUAUGAGCAAUGGUCAAGUUGAUUGCGCCAAUGGUAUGGUACUUCAAGGAAUUAAGACACUGGUUUUUGACCGACUUCGUCCCUAUGCUGGCAAAUGGGUUGAACAAUUGUCGUCGGUGCUUUGGUCUCUGCGCACUACGCCUAGUCGGGCUACGGGCCAGUCGCCGUUUUUCUUGGUUUAUGGUGCUGAAGCAAUGUUGCCGAGUGAAGUGGAGUUUGAAUCCAUGAGAUUUCACAAUUUUAAAGAGGAGCGCUAUGAGAAAGACCGAGUGGAUGAUCUCAACCAACUAGAAGAAGCUAGCGAGGCAGCAUUAAUCCAGUCGGCCUGUUAUUUACAAGGACUUCGGCGUUACCAUAAUCGCAAUGUCAGAUCACACGCAUUUUUAGUCAGGGAUAUGGUGUUGAGGAAGAUUCAAACUAUACGGGAUCGGCAUAAGUUAUCUCCUUUAUGGGAAGGGCCUUUUAUCAUCUCUGAAGUUACUCGGCCGGGUUCUUAUCGACUCAAGCGUGAAGAUGGUUCGGUCGUCGAUAAUUCUUGGAAUAUUGAGCAUCUUUGUCGUUUUUAUGCUUAGGCAUUAUUUUUGUACAUUAUGUUUCUCUUGACUGCCAACAUCAAGUAUUUCUUGAGUUACCAGUCGGGGGCUAUAAUAAUAAUAAUGGAGUGUGAUUUUUAUCAAUUCAAUUUGCCUACUUGAUUUAUCAUUGCCCUGUUUGAUUUUUAGCUUAGUCAAUAAGGACUGAAAGUUUUUUGACGACUUUUGCGGGUUCUAGGCUCAGUAAAGUUUGACAAACACUUUUAAGAAAUCAGAAACUAAGUUUAAAUUUUCAAGCACAACAUAAAUAUAUCAGUACUACACAAUUGAACCUCCAUUGUCAGUAUUACAUGAUCACUCGUCAGAGUCAUCUUCUCCAUCAUCAGAGUUAGCAGGACUAAGGCUAGUGUUCUGAAACCUAUCUAGUACAUCAACAGCAAUUCUUUCAGCAGUUUUUUGGGCAUCAUUAAUCAGAUCAUGUGCGUCUUCUUCACUUGUGCCAGCUGCAAAGCCAUCAAUAGCAUCGACAUUGAUUUUGGGGUACAGAGACUUGGUCAUUGCCAAUGCCAUGCUUGCUCCCAUAUUUCCAGCCUCCUUGAUAUUUUUGAAGUACACAUCUAGAGCAGUCCUUAACUUAUCAAAAAUUUCUACUGUGUCCAAGGAGCUCGUACCACUAUUGCUCAAAUACAUGGCCUAGAUAAUUGGGGUAGCAGUGUUGGCAACUUCGCCUCUAGCUUUUUUAGCAACUUCGACUUUGUUGAUCAAGAAGUCGAAUUGUGCCUUUGUCUUCCCCUUAUGAUCUGCAUACAACACCAAUCAAGGAAUUUAGAUGCAACAGUAUUGGCUAAAUUUCAUUUAUAGUUAGUCAGAAGAGUUACCUUCAAAUUCUUUGACCGCCAAAUCUUUCUCCUUGGGUAGAGCAGCUUCGUCUUCUAAGGCUUUGAUUCGCUUUUCCAGUUCGGAGAUUUUGGCUGCUUGAACUGUAGUGCACACAAAACUUAUACAGUUGCUAAGAUUAAGUUUGAACAGUUGAGCAGGAAUAAUAUUUACCUUUCGAGGAACCACUCAAUUCAAAGUUGGCAUCCUGGAGCUCGGCAAUCCUAUCCCUAAGUUCAUGUUCUGUAUUCCUGGCCUCCUCCUUGGUUUCAUGCAGUUUGGCUCUGGUUUCUUCCAGAGUACCAAGAUGAGGGACCAGCUUUUCAAGGGUAUCGGUUUUUGCCUCGUUCCGAAGAUGGAUUCUCUGCGCAAUACUAUGUUCACCUCAACAAAUUCAAUGGAUGACGAAAUAUGACUGGGGCAGUAUACUUACGUUUAAAAGACGAGUAGCCUGGUUGAGAGUCCUUGUCAGCAGAGCCACUUCACCGUCCUCUUUUUGCUUGUUUAUCACAAUACCCUGUGGCUGCAUCUCGUCGUCCCACCAUUUAACCAAAAUAGGUGGCCGAGAAUCUUCAGUUGAUUUAAUCCGAAGAAUUUCUUCUUCGUCGCCAAUCAUUGGGCCUUCAAGUAUAUAGGCAGCAAUGAAAUAAUAAGGGAAGUUUUUCUUGACAUAAGUUCACUGGAGAAAGCAUUACCUGUGAUAAUUGUCGGUGGUGGCCGAGCAGGUCCCUCCACCUUGUCAAAGGUACUAGCUUCAGGUCCAGCAUCUGUAUCUUGGUUCAGAGGAGGUCUGCUGGUCUGCUCUUCCGUCUCAGGAAUAUUUUUUUCCCCAUCUACAUUUUGCUGCUGGGGAUUCUCUUUAUCCUCACCCGGCUGGUUUCCAGUCGGGGGCUCCUGGCUGGUGCUCGCCUCGGCAGAUGCCGAUUGGUUUCCAGUCGGGGGCUCGUUGUCAGCUUCAGUUUCACCAGUUGCCGACUGACUGCUAGUCGGUGGAUUUUCUUUGGAGGUAUUAGUCCCGGCAACAGCAGCAGAGCUAGUCUUUUCUUCUUCAGCCGCUCCCGAGCUAGUAGAGGGAUCAGAGUUUUUACCAGUCGGAUCAAUGUCCGAUGGUUUCCUAAGGUACAAGAGGGUAUUACCAAUUGAUCUCAACAAACACAGAUCCGAAUGUUUUGAUGAACUCAUACCUGGAAGAUCUUCGGAUUUUUGGCAUUGGGUGACUGGUUGUUUUCUUCUUCGGUGGAAUAGCCUUUUUUGGCUGCUUGCCAACUGGCCCAUCGUCACUAUCGUCAUCAUCGCUUACGAUCAUCUUCCUUUUUCGAGAAACCGUUUGACUGGGCGGAAUAGCAUCUCUUUUGGGCCACGGGUUGAAUCUUUGGACCCCCGGUAGCUUGGCCUUGGUGAUGCCACGGAGAACGACGUUGAGCGGUUGGAGGGUCGGAUUUCAUUAGGGCAUUUCCCUAUGGAUAAGCAAUUUUGAGAUUAUUCCCAAGAAUAGCAUGAUAAAAGUCCAAGCAUUUAGAUAUUUACCGCUGGAGGAGGAUUGAAGGCGUUGUAUGGCACGAUCGGCAGCAAAUGUGAGAAGCUGACCACAAUACCAGAUGAGAAGAUUUUAUACAUCCUCUCCUUCAUGAUCUUGAAUUCGAGGGAGUUGGGGUCUUCUCGGUUGGGAUCAGUCUUUCCGUCGUACUCGAAGGCCGUGCGAGAUCUCUCUUUGAUUGGAGCCAGUCGACACUUUAUGAAGUGCUGAGUAAUCUGCUCUUCUUGAAGGCCUUGUUCCUUUAGCCUCAGCAGUCGGUCCAGCAACUCAAGAGCUUGAGAAGCUUCAUCGCCCAUAGGAAGUGAGUUCUAGAUGUCUUGAUAUUUCAGAGGGCAGCAUGAAUAUUCGUGUAGCGCAGGAUCUGGCUUUUGGAUGUAAAACCAGCUAGCAUGCCAGCCCUUAUUGGAGGUUUUGAAGGGAAGAGUGAAGUACUUCUGGCAUAGGGUGCCACGAAGCUGGAAGCCGGAUCCCCCAACGAUGCAGGGCUUGUUCUUAUUCGGUUGGGGUUUCAGAAAAAAGAUUCGGCAAAAUAAGGCGAAGUUUGGCCAAAUGCCCAAAAAAACUUCACAAAGAUGGAUGAAAUUUGCUAUAUGAACAAUGGAGUAGAGGUUGAGGUGAUAGAUAUUGAUCCUAUAAAAUUCAAGGAUUCCCCUAAAGAAUCUGGAUGUUGGAAGAGCAAAACCACCAUAGAAGAAAUGGGUGAAGACGACAAUCUCGUGAGUAUCGGGGGUCGGAAAAGCCUCACCAAAUGCUGGAUGCCAUCCGAUGUUCUCCUUGGCUGGUAACACCCCGUGCGCCAUCAUCUCCUUGAGGGUUUCCUCUAUGACGUCAGAAGGCACCCAUUGACUCUCAAAAUUUUCUCUCUCUUCCGCCAUGGAUGAAAAUGGGGUGGAGAGAUUUAGAGCACGAAGAUUGACAGGGAAAUUGGGGGCAGGGGUUGUGCGGAGGAAUUUUGCCGAAGGAAGCUGAUUUGAAGGAGGUGGAUUGCGGUACAGUUGCGAACCCUAGCUUUUGGCGGCGCAAGCCUGUUACUGUAGCAAAAAAUGGGGAACGCGCGGCUGUUGUGGCGAGGAAGACGAUGGGGUUUCCUUCGGUGCGAUUUUUAUCGAUGGGUAUCGGAAAAUGCUAAUGGGCCUAGGCCCAAACAGUGUUUUCAGCUCAAAUACACUCUCGGUGUGGCUGAUUGUGGUCUCUUGGGACUUAGGCGUAUUUUUGCUCAGGCAAAAUUGCCCAUAAUAAAUAAAGCCCGAUACCAUUAAAAUCCUUUUUCCGCAGUUAGUAAAUUUCUUGGAAUUACUACGAUGCAUACAAAAAGGUGCCCAACAGUUAAAAACGCCAUGUUAUUUUUGUUGACUUUUUCUAUAAGGUCACAAAGCUAUUAGGGUUUAAUCAGGACGAGUGGUUUUUAAAGCUGUUGUUCCUUCUGAGCACUUAUAUGCUUCAUUUUUCUGAUAUAGGCUCAAGUUACAACUUAGGUUGGUUAAACUUGUCGGUCAGUAUUUAUUCAGCAGUUGAUAAAUCCUUAUGAGUUUUUACUCGGAUUUUUUAUCACAAAUGAUGUAUUUAGCUCUGAAAUAGACGAUAGAUCUUUAGAAUGCUUUUAUCACUCGGAUCUUUAUAUAUCUUCUAUGUUUCAUAGUGAGCUUAAUGAUUUAAUUAAAUCAGUUGGCAAACUCUUCGAAUGGAGUCACAUAUGUUUAAUAUUUAAUUACUUCGGUAAUAUUAUUUAUAAAACCACUCGGAUGGUUAUUUGUUUCAACCUUCACUAUAUGUUCACUAUAUGUUUAGUCGGGGUGCAUCUAAUCAAUGCACCUAAUUUUUUAUUUUUUAGCUCUUCACAGCCUUUGAUUCAAGCACUCGGGAGGCCAAGGCGGCAAUAAUUGAAGCACUCAGGAUUUUUGUUUAAUGGCUCGGGAGAAGAUUAUCUCGUCGACUGCGAAGGUCUCAGGGGCUACUGUGGAGAUUAUGGAUACCCCAUACCCACACGGCAUGUAUAUCCGACUGGGUAUAGGGGUACCAUGUACAUAUAGAAUAAAUUUAGUAAAGGACCCGGUUGUUAUGUUAACUUGUGUAUCAAGGAAACAUCCGAUAGUCCUAGUCGGUUAUGAUUGUAAUUUAUCUUUACAUGCCUAGUACGUUAGGAACAUGGGCUGUAUCUUGUAAUUCCGGCUCCUCCCCCUAUAUAAGGAGGGGUCCGGAUGCCUCUAGGGGCAUAACUUUUCUCGUUGAUCAUAUGAUCAAUAAUACACUCGGCGGAUCAAUCCCUGGAUAGGAGUAGGGUAUUAAUUCUCAUCAAGAAGGCCUGAACCUAUAUAAACCUCGUGUCUCCUAACCUAUCCACUUUUCCAGCUUGAUAGCCACUGUAAGUUCAAGUGCCUUAAUUUGGUUUUGGUGAUUAAUGACAAAUCUAAUUAAAUGAGACUAACGGUUUUAUGAGCUUUUCUUUGACUAGACUCAUUUUGAUAUGAAAAUAAAAAUGAUGAGAUGUAUGUAUUAUACUUUAUAUAUUCUAACUUGGUCUCUCUUGUGGAUCCAAAAUAUAGUGUAAGCUCCCUCAUUAAUCUCGAUUGAUUAUGUGCAUAUGUGUUCCUUUAUAUCCAUAUAUAUGCACAUCUUGAGGGGGAGCUUAUUCUAUAUUUUGUUUAUUAUAAGAUUUCUACCUUUGAUUUGAAAUCAUCUUUCAUCUUAUCUCUCUAUAUUGUUUAUAUCGGGUUAUUAUCUAUCACAGAAGAGAGAAAAGAUUGAAAGAUCUUGGAUUAAACAAUUUGUGUAAUUGUUGCUUUGGUGAUAGAUGAUAAACCGAUAUUUAUGGGAUUAACCUCUCUUUUACAUAAGUUGUCAACUAGGUUAUUUCCCGAUAAUGAGAUGUGGUAGAUAGACCUUAAUCAUGACAAGGAUGAAAUGCAUGGAGAAAAAGCAAUAUGUAUCACUUCUUAUCUCCUACUUUUUGAUAGGUUCAUAUAUAUGAUUUCCAUGUUAUUGUUAUAUAAGUGUGAGACUAAUGUUUACUUGAGCAUUAUCUUAUUUAGUCUCCUUUACUUUGAGAACAUGGAGAUCAUAAAGGUUUGUGUUUUUGUUUGUCUUGUCAUUGCUAUAUGCAUUCUCCAUGUGUAUAGGAUAAACCCCAUUAGUUCUUCUUUACUUAUACAUAUACACUUGCCUCUCUUGUAUAUGAUUCCGAAAAUGAUUGCGAAGGCAAAAGUGGUUCUGUAUAUUUUCGGACUUGUCCGAAACAGAUUUUUGGAUUUUCCGAAAAUCAUCAGUAGAGUCAAUUUCGCUUCGGUAUAUUUUCGGACUUGUCCGAAAGUUAUUUUCGGACUUUUCCGAGAACAUCCAGAACGAUGUUGUUGGUACUGGAAAUUUUCGGACUUGUCCAAAAAGUUUUUGGAAUGUCUGAAAAAUCCUUCGUUGACCAAACUAUUGGUGCUGAGCUGGAAUUUUCGGACAUGUCCGAAAAUCUUUCGGAAUAUCCGAAAAUCUCAAUUAUUGUGCAUAACGGGCAGAAUCUGGGCUGUGGCUAUAAAUAGCCCCCUCCCCUCACUUGUGAGGUCUGCUGGUUCCAUUCCAAUCAUUUGUGCCCUUGGCUUGCUCUCUCUCUCUCUAGCACUUUUGAGCCUUGCUUUCUUGUUUCCCCUCUCACCCGUGUUCGAUUUGGAUUUGGUGUGUGUGUGAGAGUUGUGGAUUCGAGUUUGUAUGAGUGCUUGUUAUUGACUUCGUGAAGAUUUGUGAGCACUUGCAUCAUCUCCGGGAGUUCUUUGCUUCAUUUGUUACUCUUGGAGGUUGAGGACUCCUAGGCGGCUAGGUGUUGCUCCCGAGCCACCGAUCUACUUGUGGUUGGCCGGGAGAAGUUUGUGAAGGUCGGAUCUCACCUCCGAGAAGGAAGAGAUACCCUUAGUGGAAGGAGGAGUGCUUAGUGCAACCUCUUGAGGAAAGUGUUAGCUAAGACCCGGCUCUUAGUGAGCUCCUCAACGGAGAGUAGAAUCCCCUCAAGGAUUCGAACUUCGGGAACAACCUCGUGAGCUUCAUCUUUGGUGACUUUACUUCCUCCCUCUCCACUAGCUUUGCUUGUUCGAGCUGCAAUAGGUCUAGUUGCUGUUUGUGCUAGCAUAUUCUUGUUGUAGGCAGCUAGAUCUAGGAUUUACUUUGCUAUUUGUGCUGACUCCAAAAAUUUUUGGUUAUAUCCGAAAAUUUCGGAAAUAUCCGAAAAUUACUGCUUCCGCUUUUAAUUGAUUUUUGAAUUAGCGUAUUCACCCCCCUCUAGGCCUAAUUGACACUUUCAAUUGGUAUCAGAGCCUAAUCUCCUAAUUAGACUUAACCGCUUGGAGAGAUCAUGUCGGGCCAAGCGGGGGAUGGGAACGAUGGUGAUAAGGGAGCUAAGAUCCCUUAUGACUAUCCCUCUACAUCUACAUCUUAUGUGAGUACCUAUAGCGGCAAAGCUCCGUACUUCAAUGGUACGGACUAUGCCGCUUGGAAGCAUAAGAUGAAGAUGCAUUUGAAGUCUAUUAACCCAUCUAUUUGGAGAAUAGUCAAAAAAGGCUAUGUUUUGCAGAAUCCCGAAGAUCCCACCAAGGAGGACGACGAGAACGAGCACAAGAACGCUCAAGCCGCUAAUGCAAUACUUAGCGCCUUGAGUGGAAGUGAGUUCAACCGUGUGGAUGGCAUUGAGAGUGCCAAAGUGAUUUGGGACACGCUUCGGAACUUGCAUGAAGGCACGGAUAGUGUUCGUGAGUCCAAGGUGGAGAUCCUCAAGGGGCAAUUUGAGAGAUCUGUGAUGUUAGAUGGUGAGAGCCCAAGCGACAUGUACGACCGGUUGAGCAAGAUCAUCAAUGAGAUCAAGGGACUUGGCUCCAAGGACAUGACCGAUGAGGUUGUGGUCAAGAAGAUGGUUCGAGCAAUCACUCCAAGGAACUCUACCUUGAGCGUCCGGACUACAAGACUCUCACACCUCAUGAUUUGCUCGGAUGCAUCCUUGCCCUUGACAUGCUCGUGCAAGAGUCCAAGGAUGUCAUCCAAUACAUCAACCAAAGCUCAACCGCAAGCAUCAAGAAGGAAGACUUAGCUUUGAAGGCAAAGGAAGAAGAAGAAGAGAAUCGCAAGAGCAAGAGCAAGGCGGAGAUCGAUGAUGAAGAGAUGGCUCCCUUCGUCAAGAAGUUCGGCAAGUUCAUGAGGCGAAGCGGCUUCUUCAAGGGAGGAUCUUCCAAGCACUACUCCAACAAGUCAAGUGGAAGACACUCCGCAAGAGUGUGCUACGUGUGCAAAGAGCCCGGGCACUUCAUUGCGGAUUGCCCCCACCUCAAGGAUGGUUCCCACAUCAAGGAAGAUAAGAAGAAGGAUGAGAAGAAGGAGAAGCACAAGCAUAGCAAGAGGGAACAUUAUGGCCAAGCUCACCUUGGGAUGAUCUUCGGCUCCGACUCCGAGUCAAGCUCAAGUGAUGAAGAAGGAGUCGCCACGUUUGCCGUCAAGCCCUCAUCACCACCGAGACUCUUCGACUACUCAAGUGAUGAGGAUGCUCCGGUUUGUCUCAUGGCAAAGGAGCCUAAGGUACCUUCUCUUCUUAAGUCAUUUAAUGUUGAUCUUGUUAGUGAUGAGGAGGAUGAGGUUGAGGAUGAGGUUAUAGAUGACGAAUUGUUCAAGUCCAUAACUAAGGAAUCCCUACCACACUUGAGUGAGUUGCUUGAGAGAAUUGAGGACCAAUAUGCAACUCUUGAGAGGCAAGAGACUUUGCUCAUUCGUGAGAAAGAGCGGUCUCAUGAACUCAAGAGUGAGCUUGCUAAGGAGAGAGAGAAAAAUGAGGCAUUGGUACGGCUUUACAAGCAAAUCAAAGAGUCUCAUGCUAAUCUUGAGGUGGCGAACGCUCAACUUUAAGAGAGAGUGGAUGGCUUGGACAAAGCAUACCUCACUCUUGAAGAGAACUUCGUAACCUUAAAGAAUAGUGUCUCUCUCCCUAGCGAGCCAUCUUGUUCCAAAAUUGUCCCAAGCAAUGAACCAUGUGUGAGAUGCAAUGAUAUUGAUAUUGAAGCUUGUGCUACUAACUCUAUUUCCUUGAGUGCUUUGCAAAAGAAAAAUGAGAAGCUUAUGGGACUCCUUCACAAUGGCCUACUUAAGUGCCAUAUGGGUAGUAAGGCCCUAAAGGAGUACCUAGGCUAUCAAAAGGGACAACUUCAACCAUGAGGGUCUUGGGUAUGUUUCUCCACCAAAAGGAAAGGUGGACAAGAGUGUGAUGAUCAAGAGGCCCCAAGGUCUUAGCAAUUUUGUUAAGGCCAAAAGUAUCCUUCCUAAUGAUUAUGCUUCAUAUUGUUCUUUUGAUGUAUCUUAUGUUCUUAGGAAGAAUGCUAGUGGUCGUGUUGUUGCUAAGUAUGUAGGCCCAAGGGGCAAGAAUAUUUCUAUCAAGAGAGUACUUUGGGUGCCUAAGGCACUUGUUACUAACAUGAGAGGACCCAAGCAAGUAUGGGUACCUAAAAUUAGAAAUUGAUCUCUUGUAGGAAUAUGUCUCCGGUGGAAGAAGUUGGGUAAUUGAUAGUGGAUGCACAAAUCACAUGACCAGAGAAGAAUCAAUGUUUUCAACUCUUGAUCCAAAUGGCACUUCACAAGAUAACAUAGUUUUCGGGGACGAUGGAAAGGGAAAGGUUAUGGGAUUGGGUAAGAUUGCAAUUUCUAAUGAUCUUUCCAUUGCCAACAUUCUCUUGGUAAAAUCUCUAAACUACAAUCUUUUGUCCGUUUCUCAAUUAUGUUCUAUGGGUUAUAAUUGUCUUUUUACCGAUGUUGAUGUGACCGUCUAUAGAAGGAAUGAUUCCUCGGUAGUCUUUAAGGGUGUCCUCAAGGGAAAGCUUUACCUUGUGGAUUUUUCCUCAAGUAAAGCCAAACAUGAGACAUGCUUAGUGGCUAAGUCCAACACGGGGUGGCUUUGGCAUCAGAGGCUAGCCCAUGUUGGUAUGAGGAAUCUUCACAAGCUUCUAAAGCACGAUCACAUCCUUGGACUAACAAAUGUUCAAUUUGAGAAAGAUAGGGUGUGUAGCGCAUGUCAAGCCGGCAAACAAAUUGGAGCACAUCACCCCGUCAAGAAUGUGAUGACCACUACAAGACCAUUGGUGCUUCUCCACAUGGACCUCUUCGGACCAAUUGCUUAUCUAAGCAUUGGAGGUAACAAAUAUGGUCUUGUUAUUGUUGAUGACUUUUCACGCUUCACGUGGGUGUUCUUUUUGCAUGACAAGAGUGAGACACAAGCUAUCUUCAAGAAGUUUGCAAGAAGAGCACAAAACGAGUUCGACCUCAAGAUCAAGAACAUUCGAAGUGACAACAGCAAGGAGUUUAAGAACACGUGCAUCGAGAGUUUCCUUGAUGAAGAAGGCAUCAAGCACGAGUUCUCGGCUGCAUAUUCACCUCAACAAAAUGGAGUAGCUGAGAGGAAGAAUAGGACUCUCAAUGAGAUGGCGAGGACCAUGUUGGAUGAGUACAAGACAUCGGACAAUUUUUGGGCCGAAGCCGUCAACACCGCAUGCCAUACCAUCAACUGCCUUUAUCUUCACCGCCUUCUUAAGAAGACUCCCUAUGAGCUUCUUACCGGUAAUAAACCAAAUGUCUCUUACUUUCGUGUUUUCGGUAGUAAGUGUUACAUUCUUAAUAAGAAGGCUAGAUCCUCUAAGUUCGCUCCUAAAGUGGAUGAGGGAUUCUUGCUUGGGUAUGGGUCAAAUGAAUGCGCAUACCGCGUUUUCAACAAAACCUCUAGUAUUGUUGAGAUUGCGCGUGAUGUGACAUUUGACAAAAUUAAUGGCUCUCAAGUAUCCGAGCGAAGCAAUCAAAAGAUUGGCUCUUGGGGACGUACGUCCUAGGAAGCCCCAACAAGGAGCCUCUUCCUUAACACAAGUGGAGCCACCUACAUCAACCCAAGCCGACGAUCCCUCUAUCUCAAGCUUGGAUCAAGGUGAAGAAGGCGAGCAAGUGCCACCCUCACCGAUCAACUUAGCUCGCCCAAGAAUCCACCAAAGUAUCCAAAGAGAUCAUCCUACCGACAACAUCUUAGGAGACAUCAACAAGGGAGUAUCCACUCGUUCUCGUAUUGCAAAUUUUUGUGAGCAUUACUCGUUUGUGUCUUCUCUUGAACCUCUAAGGGUGGAAGAAGCUCUUAAUGAUCCGGAUUGGGUGAUAGCGAUGCAAGAGGAGUUGAACAAUUUCACCCGGAAUGAAGUGUGGACUUUGGUGGAGCGACCUCGGCAAAAUGUGAUUGGCACAAAGUGGAUCUUCUGCAACAAGCAAGACGAGGCCGGGGUCGUAAUAAGGAACAAGGCGAGGUUAGUGGCGCAAGGGUUCACCCAAAUCGAAGGAUUAGAUUUCGGUCAAACUUUUGCGCCGGUGGCUAGACUUGAGUCGAUUCGCAUAUUGCUUGCUUUUGCUACUAACCUCAAUUUUAAGCUAUAUCAAAUGGAUGUCAAAAGCGCCUUCCUCAACGGGCCUAUCAACGAGUUGGUAUACGUGGAGCAACCACCGGGCUUCGAGGAUCCGAAGUAUCCCAACCACGUGUACAAGCUCCACAAGGCACUAUACGGGCUUAAGCAAGCCCCUAGAGCUUGGUAUGAGUGUCUUCGCAAUUUUCUUGUGAAAAGAGGCUUUAAAAUCGGGAAAGCCGAUUCAACCCUUUUUACUAAAAGACAUAAUAAUGAUAUUUUUGUGUGCCAAAUAUAUGUCGAUGACAUUAUAUUUGGUUCUACUAACAAGUCUUUUAGUGAAGAGUUUAGUAGGAUGAUGACCAAACGUUUUGAGAUGUCCAUGAUGGGUGAAUUGAAGUUCUUCCUCGGCCUUCAAAUUAAGCAACUCAAGGAAGGAACUUUCAUUUGCCAAUCAAAGUAUUUGAAGAACAUGCUUAAGAAGUUUGGGAUGGAGAACGCCAAGCCAAUCCACACUCCCAUGCCAUCAAAUGGCCACCUCGACCUCAACGAGCAAGGUAAAGACGUCGAUCAAAAGGUAUACCGUUCCAUCAUUGGCUCACUUCUUUACCUUUGUGCAUCUAAGCCUGAUAUUAUACUUAGUGUGUGCAUGUGUGCAAGAUUUCAAGUCGCUCUGAAGGAGUGUCACCUUGUGGCCGUGAAGAGAAUUCUUAGAUAUUUAGUGCACACACCUAACCUUGGUCUUUGGUAUCCUAAGGGAGCGAGGUUUGAUCUCAUUGGUUAUGCCGAUGAGGAUUAUGCCGGGUGCAAAGUGGAUAAGAAAAGCACAUUGGGUACUUGCCAAUUCUUGGGUAGGUCCCUUGUUUCUUGGUCUUCCAAGAAGCAAAACUCCGUCGCCCUAUCCACCGCCGAAGCGGAAUAUGUUUCGGUGGGGAGUUGUUGUGCUCAACUUCUUUGAAUGAAGCAAACCUUGAGAGACUAUGGCCUCAAUGUAUCCAAAAUCCCACUCCUAUGUGACAAUGAGAGCGCCAUUAAGAUAGCCAACAACCCUGUUCAACACUCCCGAACCAAACAUAUCGAUAUUCGCCACCAUUUCUUGAGAGAUCAUUCCACAAGAGGCGACCUAGACAUCCAACAUGUGAGAACCGACAAACAAUUGGCGGAUAUCUUUACCAAGCCUCUAGAUGAAGCUAGGUUUUGUGAGUUCAGGAGUGAACUAAAUAUUUUAGAUUCUCGGAAUGUGGCUUGAUCUAUUGCAUGCGUGUUUGCUUAGUAGAAUAGGUUUGCAUACCACUUUGUGACAAAAUGGUCAUUCAAUUCAUGGAUGGACACUAGUCAUUUUUUUGUGGAGAUUUUGAAUCUAUGUGUAUGGGGAUCUCAUUUUUCAAUGAAUUUUGGUCCUAGCACAACUUCAUAGAUUCACACAUUCCCUCUCUCGAGGGUGAAUUAUCUUGUCUCAUGGUAAUUCCCUCUCUUUUGAUCCCUUGGAUCGUCCAUUUGACUUGUGGCUAUUGUUUUGUGUGAUUGAUUGUGUGCUAGUCACAAAUUCAAAUGGAGCCUCUAGUGCUCGACCAUCCCUUCCUUCCUAAAUCCUAUAAAAAAUCCUUGUAAAAAUUGUUUUUGUCAAAAUUCCCGGUGCUUGUCCCUUGCAAAAUUCCUUUAAAAUGUUUGAAAAAUAAUUUCAUCAAAAUUCCCAGCGAAAUCUCAUUGCAAAACUGUGUUUUCCAGGAAUUUUCGGACAUUCCGAAAAUCUCUGUCCUGUCCCUCUUUCAAUUGCUGCAAUCCCAGGAUUUUUCGGACUUUUCGAAAAAUUUUCAGACAUAUCCGAAAAACAUCAGAACCGUGCGCAACUCUUCUGUAUCCUUUCGGACAUAUCCGAAAAUUUUCGGAAAUAUCCGAAAAUCUCGGGGUCCUUAUAUAUCACCCCGUGGACUCCCUUCUCUCUCCUUUCCACUUCUUUUCCCUACGGGUUGACUCCCUCCUCCCUCCCCAUUGGACCUCUCCGCAUUCAUACCCCCGAGAGGGAUCCGGCGGUGAUUCGCCAAGUGUAUGAUUGGCGGUGCAAGUCUGAGGUUGUUGCUCCUCGUCGGGAUGAGAAUCCGCGCUCCCUUCGCUGCACCGCCACGGAUCCGCGUUUUUGGACCCUCUUUCAGCAAGACUUUUAUGAGUCUGUGAUUAAGUCCAAAGCUCAUCCCACUGUUCCCAUGCAAUAGAUCAAUUGGGAGGAGUUGCAGGCACACAACGAUCCGGUGAUUGACUCUAUGAUUGCCAAUUGUGAUCUCAUGGGUAUCCGCUCCUUCAUGACGUUGCAGCAAAAUUGGUGCAACGAGGUCAUUGCUCAGUUUUAUGCCACCGUCUACUUUGAUCGUUAUCGUGCCAUGCACUGCAUGACUCAGGGGUCCUGGUAUUCUGUUUCUUAUCAGCAGUUGGCUGAGAUCUGGGGCUUCCGUCUUCGUUCUUUGCUCAACCUUGAUGACCUUCAUAAUCUUCAAAUUCCUGCCAACACAGAAUUGCUUCCCCUUUACACUCCAAAUGAUCCAAAUGUGGUGUUGGGCAAGGUCGACGGCCUCAAGCCGUACUUUGCCUACUUGAACCGGAUGUUUCGCCGGUCUUUUGUGUCUAUGGAUAGUGAUGCUAACAGCAUUAACCACCUCUCUAGGACCGUGCUUCUCCGUUUUGAUCCCCCUCCUCAUCGCUUCCAUGUCUAUCACUUUGUGUGGGAGGAGAUCCGCAUGGCUUCAAUUCAGUACAAGAAGGGGUUGGUCUAUGCCCUUCACAUUAUGCGGAUGAUCGAGACUGUGACUCAGCUCCAGUUUCGCCAUGAUGUGACUCAUUCUCAGCUUCACUUGCGCCUUCUUAAGGCCCCCCGCUCCUCGGCUGCUUGGGACAUACCCUCCUCUUCCACUCUGCCGCCUCCUGCUCCUGAGCGCCCUGCCUCUGUGGCUCGUCGUGAGCCGUCUCCCUUAUUCCACAAUUUACGGAGUCUUUUUGGUCUUUGCUCCACGGAGGCCAAAAAGAACCGCCGAUUGCGGAAUUCGGCGAAGAAAACGGCUCGUGAUGUCAAGUUCCUCAAGGCAAGGUAUUAUGAGGACCACCACAUUGAUAUCCCUCCUUCUCCUCCGGGUUUCGAGGCCGAGCCCGAUGAGCCACAGGAUGAAGCGAUUGAGGAUCCUUUUGCUGGGUUGCCUUACGACUUCGACUUCUUUGGAUAUGGCCAUGGCUAUGGCUAUCCUCCUCCACCACCUCCAGAGGAUCCUUCUCAGGCGCCCUUCGCUUGAGUCGUCAUCUCAUCGUCCUCUCUUUUUCGUGUCUUGAUGCCAAAGGGGGAGACUAUCUAUCAUGGCUUUAGAUUAUCUAUCUUGUCCUUAGAGUCGAGCACAGUUGGUUUUUAUCUGUAUGAGACUAUUGUGAUUUUUUAUGUUAGGUUUAAAGCUUUGUAAGACUAUUGUUUAAUUAUGAAUGCUUGUGAUGUAAUAGAUCUUUUUAUCUUUUAAUGUGGUGCAAUGCCUUAUCCUCUUUAUAUGGUGCUUGUGAUGAGAUGUAAUUAUUCCUUUGCAUGCGAUGUGUUGGAUGUAAUGAGCAUAUGUGAUAUAUUUGUUCUCUUGUGAGCUUCAAUGUGGAUGCAAUAAUUUAGGGGGAGCUCUCCACUUGCUUUUAUGCACACUCUUAGGGGGAGCUUCCACUAAAAUUUUGCACAAAAAAACCUUAAAUUAUAUUCAUUCUCUUGUGUUCUAAUCGUAUUGUCAUCAAUCACCAAAAAGGGGGAGAUUGAAAGUGCAUCUAGGCCCCUAAUGAUUUUGGUGAUUAAUUACAAUGUGAUUAGAGAGGACUAACAUUUUUAUUUAAGCAAAUGUGAAGGUUGUUAUGUCCUCAAUAAGUUAGCGUAAUGCAUAUCCCGCCGAAUACGUUGAUGUGAUGUGAUGCGGCAAAUGAGCAAAUGGUAUUUUGUACGUUUUCGUUUCCUUGAGUUAAUAGGAAAGCCGCACUAUUAAGAGGGAUGAUGCAUUGACAUACGAGGAGUGAUCAAAGUGCUCAAAAUCUAUUUUCAAAAAAAGGGUUUCUCCUCAGUUUGGUGUGUUCUGGAUUUUUUCGGAGUUUUCCGAAACUCAUUUUCGGACUUUCCGAAAACACACAGAACCAGAUUUUCGCUUCUGGAAAUUUUUGGAUUUAUCCGAAAGUGAUUUUCGGACUUUCCGAAAAUGACUGCGAAGGCAAAAGUGGUUCUGUAUAUUUUCGGACUUGUCCGAAACUGAUUAUCGGAUUUUUCUGAAAAAUAUCAGUAGAGUCAAUUUCGCUUCGGUAUAUUUUCGGACUUUUCCGAGAACAUCUAGAACGAUGUUGUUGGUACUGGAAAUUUUCGGACUUGUCCGAAUAGUUUUCGGAAUGUCCGAAAAAUCCUUCCAUGACCAAACUGUUGGUGCUGAGCUAGAAUUUUUCGGACAUGUCCGAAAAUCUUUCGGAAUAUCCGAAAAUCUCAAUUAUUGUGCAUAACGGGCAGAAUCUGGGCUGUGGCUAUAAAUAGCCCCCUCCCCUCACUUGUGAGGGCUGCUGGUUCCAUUCCAAUCAUUUGUGCCCUUGGCUUGCUCUCUCUCUCUAGCACUUUUGAGCCUUGCUUUCUUGUUUCCCCUCUCACCCGUGUUCGAUAUGGAUUUGGUGUGUGUGUGAGAGUUGUGGAUUCGAGUUUGUGUGAGUGCCUGUUGUUGACUUCGUGAAGAUUUGUGAGCACUUGCAUCAUCUCCGGGAGUUCUUUGCUUCAUUUGUUACUCUUGGAGGUUGAGGACUCCUAGGCGGCUAGGUGUCGCUCCCGAGCCACUGAUCUACUUGUGGUUGGCCAGGAGAAGUUUGUGAAGGUCGGAUCUCACCUCCGAAAGGGAAGAGAUACCCUUAGUGGAAGGAGGAGUGCUUAGUGCAACCUCUUGAGGAAAGGAUUAGCUAAGACCCGGCUCUUAGUGAGCUCCUCAACGGAGAGUAGAAUCCCCUUAAGGAUUCGAACUUCGGGAACAACCUCGUGAGCUUCAUCUUUGGUGACUUUACUUUCUCCCUCUCCACUAGCUUUGCUUGUUCGAGCCGCUAUAGGUCUAGUUGCUGUUUGUGCUAGCAUAUUCUUGUUGUAGGCAGCUAGAUCUAGGAUUUACUCUGCUAUUUGUGCUGACUCCGAAAAUUUUCGGAUAUAUCCGAAAAUUUUGGAAAUAUCCGAAAAUUACAUCUUCCGCUUUUAAUUGAUUUUUGAAUUAGCCUAUUCACCCCCCCUCUAGGCCUAAUUGACACUUUCAAGGUUCCACCGUAAUGAGGCUAAUGGAUGCAUGACACCAUGUGUUGACGGUCACCAAGCCAAGGACAUCGCCAUGUUGAAAAGAAUGAAGUCAAGCUUGUGAUGAGAAGAAAGUCUUGACAAAGGAUGGUUAAGACCUCGGCAUAAAUAUGGUUGAAUCGAAUGGUCACAAGUGUUGAUCUCGGCUCAAGCUUGAUCCCAAGUUGGAUGGUGCAAGGCAAAGGUAUAAUGUAGCUAAGAAUGUUUUCUUAGUCUUUUCCUGGUCUUGGUGUUUGGCGUAGACCGGAUUUGCUAGAUAGGCGCCGUACUAUCAAGAGGGGUCUAUGAAGCGAGCAUGUGGAUGAUCUUGCACCAUAUUAGUUCAUAUGCAUGUAGGUGUAUUUGGUGGGCUUGUCUAGCCAAGUGUGGUGAGUUUUCUCAAGUCCCAAACAAAGAGAGAAGUGAGCACAUCCUAUAGGUUUGGGUAGCCUCAUAUGGUUUUGUCUGGUGGAGUAUCUUUUGGAGUGUGAGCCCUUUUUCCCUAAGCAAAGUUGUGUUUCUUGGAUGGAUUGUUCAUGGGUUGGAUAGCCCUUUGAAUAAGCUUUCCAUAGAGUCCAAGAACGUCAAAUUCCGAGACUCAAGUCAAGAGAUAUCACCGUUUUACUAAUGGCCGAUUGAGCUGAAAAGUGCCCUGUGGUCUGACCGCAGCCCUUAUGGAGGUCUGACCGAAGUAUGUCGUCCGGUCUGACCGCAGAUCACAUGGCGGUUUGACCGCACAUCCUGAUUUUGAAGGAGGUCUCGUCUUGGCAAUCCAGAGCCACUAGAGCCGCAGCCGGUCAAACCGAGCCCCUGGCAAUCUGACCGAGCUGUGGACGGUCUGACCGGCCACUACACUGCGAUCAGACCGGCCAGGUUGACUGGGCUCAAUGAUUGCCAUGUAAUGGCUAGUUUUCUAGCCGUUAAGUAGUCCGGUCUUACCGGCCACACUAUGGCGUUCUGACCGACAGAGCACAGAGUUGGGGAUUUUGACUCCAACGGCUAGUUUUUGUGGUUGGGGGUAUAUAUACCCACUCCCCAACAGCAAGGGUAAGGUUUUGGCACUCCAUUGCAUUAUCUUGAACCCUUGCAAGAGCUCUCACACCCUUGUGCACUUAGUUUAUCUAGUGAGGUGUUGGAGAGUGAGUUAAGCCAAUCCAAGUGCAUUGAUUCAUUGUUAGAGCUAGUGUGGUACUUGAUCAUCCUCGGCAAGCAUCCUAGACUUGUUACUCUUGGAGGUUGCCGCCUCCUAGACGGCUUUGUGGAGGUGUUGCCGGUGACCUCUCCGAAGAGAUUGUGGAGAAGACCCGGCGCCGGUUGAGAGUGGUUUGGAGUUAACCACCUUCGGAGAGAAGUAAGAACUAUCCCUAGUGAUCGAGGCUUGUGUAAUCCUCUCUGUGGGCCGGCCCCCACCUUGCCCACCCCUUGACGAAGGGGGCGUGCGGUGGCUUCGUGGUUGAGCGGUGGAGUUGGCCUCGCCUCAACAGAGAUUAGGAAACCGGCGAGUUUCCGAACCUCGGUGAAAAAUUCCUUGUCUCUUGUCUCAUUUAUUUGUUGCAUUUACAUUUGAGCAAGUUUACAUACUAAGCUUAUUUGUGCUAUUAUCACCCUAAGCUUGCAAACCUUAACAUAGGCUAGCUUUUUUGUGCACUUACUUGAGACUAGUUGAUUUAGGUUUUGAAUUGUGCAAAACCAUUUUGAUUUACGCUUCCGCAUACAAAAUUCGGUUUUAGCCAAAAGUUUUAAAACCGCCUAUUCACCCCCCCCCCCUCUAGUCGGCCUCCUUGAUCCUACAGCCACCCCUUUUAGUUUUGCCGAAAUAUUGUUUCAACAAGAACUACGAGGAAGCCGAGAUAAUGUUUCGACAAGAACUACGAGGAAGUUAAGUUUCCAACAGGUCCACAUCUGAUAAUAAAGAGACUCUCAAGGUUUGCUACCUCAACUUCUUAUCUCUUGAAGGUUAUUGAUACUGAAGUGCUAGCUGAUAGAAUGUUCUAUAUCCAAACACUUGCUAAUACCAUUGUGGCUUCGGUUCUUUUGGAGGCUAUCCUAGCUAAGCUCAGCUCAUUUGCAAUGGACAUGACCCUAUAUUUUUCUUGCAUGUUCAUCUACCAAAGUAGUUGGCAGCAUGGUCUCUUCAUCUCUUCAAACAAGUGCAAAUCAGGUGAACAAGAAAUCUAUUUUGCUUCCCUUCAAUAUCCCAAUUAUUUUCUUCUAUCAUGGAUAAUUUGUAUUCUUCCACCUCUAGGGUACCAGCCAAAACCAGCUAAAUAAAACUAGUGUAUAUAUAUAAUAUGUAUUCAUCCUUCUUGAAAGAAAAUCACAUAAAUAUCAUGCAUGUACUAUUGUGAUGUGUUUUUUCCAUGCCACUACGGCGCAGCAGAGGCUAUGUGUGUUCAGAUGAUGAGUAGAGCUGUCACUUGGAAUAAAACUGACAAAUCAAUUACUACAUUUCAACAAAAAAUCUGGAGGCAUAUUGAGGUUUGGUAAAUUUCUAGUGACAUAUAUAUAAGGAAUUUUCCUAUAGCAUACUAUAGUUCUCCUGUUCAGUUAUGGGCCUGAUGCACUUCACAUCAGGGAUUCCAAUUUUGUUUUGGAAAAAAAAUAAUCAGAACUGAAAAAAAUUAAUGACCAUAUAUAAUUGUUUGAACUCGAUUUAUGAACGUAAAAUUGUGAUAAAAAAAUUCGAAGCCUAGGUACCUUGGUUUACACAGAUAAUAAUAUCUUUCGAGUUUCACACCAAAGAGAUGUUGAAACCACAAUAGCUUACAUUUUCUUCUCUCUCUCUCCAUGAACUUGGCGUGCUUAGGCUCGAAUGAGUCAUUUAUAACAAUGAUUCAUGUCAUACUCCAUCCGUUCACAAACAUAAGAGAUUCUAUAUUGUUUAGCAAAGUUAAGAUUGAGGUUCAAAUUACUUUGAUGUCUGUCACGCCCAGAAAUUUAGCCCAAAAUUUCAUACUAUUUUGUGUAUUAAAUCCUUGUUCAGGAAUUAGCCAGGGUACACAAAACGACAAAUUAAUAUACAAGUACAAACGUAAAUAAAGCGUAAAAUACUUACAGAAGAGGCACUUAGUUCUCACACCAAAACCGAAGCAGCAGCAACGGAAAAAGGCGAUCAUAGCGAGGCUUCAGCUCCACUCCACAGGCAAAACUCAACUGGGGUCUGAGCCUUGGUCCUCUAACUUCGUCUUCAGCUCAGAAGCACUACACUUCUGAAAAGGGGGAAUAAUAGCAAGGUUGAGUACAACCACCGUACUCACCAAGCCACACCAAUGAUGCACUCAUGCAACGGGAGACAAAGAGAGGUUUGUGGCUAUUUGCAUAAAGGUAGUUGCAAAACAUUUUAUUGAGCAAAAUAGUAAAACUGUUGAUUAAUUAAGGUAGUACUAAAUCUUCACUGAUCAACGCUACACCACGUUGAUCAGGCCUAACCAUCCCACCUGAACUAAACCAGUUCAUUAAGCCAAUUUAUUAAGGGUGAGACUAAUCACGGUGAAUCUGGUCGAUCGCCCAUUACCACGGGCACGGUUAUUUGAAUAGUUUUACUCUGGCCAGAGGUGCACAACUGUACCCACAAGACACAAUCCACCGGCAUGUCACCGUGCCCGGCUGGACACGUCACCAUGUCGAGUGAUUGUGGCAAGACCCUUCAUAUAACUCCCUCUGACCAAUCGAUGCCACACCUCAGGUUUCACCCCUCCCCCAGCAGGCAGCAGGCAGUCCCCCCUCGUGCCACGGUGAAUCCGGAAGCAGCAUAGGCCGUCGCAGGGCCCAUCCAUACUCGAUCACACCCACCCUAGCCUGGGUACGUCAGCCAAAGGAAAGCUAUACUACAAGUCAAGCAAUUACCCAUUCCUGCUUGUGGUACGCGCGGUAAGUCUUCCAGUGCAUCCAGCGAACCAGUCCUUAAUUUGCUAUGGGCGCAACUAGAAAAACCAUGCACCCACAAACCACCAUUAAGUCAUGUUUUAGUUGGAUAAUUACAACCAAUGAAACAUGGCUAGAUGUCUCGAGCACGCAGCUCGUCAAGAUAUAUACUAGGUGUCUAAUGAUGUAAUUAUCCCAUUAUGUGAACUAGUGGUAAUUAAGUAUGGAUAAGCAUAUAAUUCUAGCUAGGUCAACAUAAGUAACACAAAAUAGUCGAAUUAUCACCUAAGUUUGACAAAGGACGAACAUCAAGUAAUAUGGCACAAGCGAAGAAGUAGAUAAAACCCUGAUCCCAUGUAAUUAGCAUGACAUGCAAUUUUAUUUGCAAACGAUAAAACAUUUAUAAAUUAGGAUCAACAUGCUCAAGGGGAAUGUGUGACUUGCCCUGCUUCUUCAAAAGAAUCCUCUGAACUCUUUCCUCGUAAUCGCGAGCUUCCGAAACAGCGGAAUCUACGCGCUGGCACGCAAAACAAGGAAAAACUCUAAUAAAAACCAAGUAAACAGUAUAUGAAAAGUAAACAAACAUGUAGAGCUCAAGUUUAGAUGAAUUUUGCAAGUUGAAUGGCCCAAUUUGGAGUUCUUAUGAAUUAGCUAUGAAUUUUAGAAGUUUUGAGCCAUUUAAAUGAAUUUCUAUAAUUAUUACUCGAAAUAUUGCGCAAUUAAAGCUAUUUAUGGUGUCAACCGAGGGGAUUAGGUGGAGCCGACAAGCAGGCCCCACCUGUCGGUGACUCAAGGAGCCUUGGCCUACCGUGGACCGAGUCCACGGAGGCACGGGCUAGUGCACCACGUGGCGCACUCGUGGCGCCGAUGGGGCACCGACGUGCUGGCCACCUAUGCGGACACACGGGCGGCUCAGAUGGAGGCCGGGGCCGAUCCGACGGCCCAGAUCGGCCGCGCGACAGGGGUGGCGGCAACUGGCUGCCCGGCGAGGACGCGGCGCGCGGCGGCAGCGACCCGACCGGACGGCCACUAGCGGCAGCGGCGCGUCGCGAGCUGGCCCAGGAUGCGACCGACGAAGCGGAGAAAGAGGGAGAGGGAGGGGAGCGCUCAUCGGGGAACGACACUGUAGGGAGGCGGCCGGCGAAGCUCGAGGCGGAGGGAGGCGGCGGAGCUCCAGUGACGAGCGACGCUCAGGAAGGGGUGUACGAGCUCGGUCGCGACCUGGGGAUGGGGUUUAAAGGGGUUAGGGAAGCGCGGGGUGGCCGGAACAGCGAGGAAGGAUGGCCGAAGGCGAUGAGGGUGGCGGAGCUCACCGGCGAGCGAGGGAGAUGGAGCUCCGGCGAGGUUUUCGACGGUGUGGGGCGGUGCCCGUGGUACGGCACAGUGCAACGACGCUGGGGUGACCAUCGUGGCUCGGGAUGGCGGGUAACAGUGGGAAAACGGCGACCGGAGGCGGUGAAUGUGGCGGCUGCCUCGGGUGUGUGGUGGGAAGGUCGUUCCGGCGGCGUUUUGGGGAAAGGGAGGGGACGCCAAGAUGUAGCUUGGCACGGUGGUGGCGGUGCAGUGCGGCGGUGACCCAAGCGGUGGUGGUGGGCGGCUGAACGACACUGGUGAGCGGCUGAGGUUGGUGGCGCGGUGGGGCGGCUUUUCGAUGGUGGUGGGGGAAAACGGAGUGGCGGCCUGGCUUGCCCUUGCGGCGGCGAAGCUGGCGAUGACGGCGGAGUAGAGCGGUGAAGACUAGAGUGGUGGUGGCGCGCGGCCAAAGCUCACCGGAGGGUGGCGGAAAUGGCGGACGGCGUGGGCAGCACGGGAGGGGUUGAAGGGAGCUCGGGCAAAUGGGGAAAAAGGGAGAGGGAGGUGCGGGCAUCCUUUUUGUGGGCUCGGGUCAAUGGGAUCGUGGCCGAUUAGGGGCGGCAACCUGCGAGGAAGUGGCAUGGCGACAUGGGGAGGAUGGUGGCUGGAUUUGGUGGGAAGGAGUGGGGAAAAUGGGCGCAGGACGGACGCGAGGUGGAGGAGAGGGGUGGCAUCUGGGCCCACGCGAGAGAGAAGCGCGGGGAGGCAUGAAAAAGGUGGCAGCGUGGGACUGUUUCGGCAGCCAUGGAGCCGGCCCGAGGAGAAAGAGGAAGAUGACACGUGGGGCCUCGGGUCCCACCUGUCGGGGAGAGAGAGGGGAAAUUGGCAAGGGGAGGUUAAAUAGACUUCAUGGGCAAGCGGACCGAGGGAGAGAGGCCGGCCCAAGAGAAAGGAGGGAAGGAGGGAGGGGAAAAUGGGCCAAGGAGAGAGAGGGAGAGCUUUGGAAUAGAAGGGGUCGAAAGUGAAGGAGGGGGAAAUAAUUUGUUUUCCAUUUAAUUUAAAUGGGUUUAAUGAACUUUAUGCUAUUUAAAUUAUUUCUUGAGCUCGGAAAAUUCGCAGGAAAAGUUCAGAGAGUAUUUUAGGGCACAGAGAAUAUUACAAAAUUAUUUGUAGCCAUGAUUUUUAAAGGAAAUUUUAAUUCCCUCCUUAUUUCACUUGAUUAAAUUGCUUUAAUUUUUAAUAUAAUUUCUAGAAAUGAUUUAUUUAAUGAUUUUUAAUCUCGAACGAAAAUUGGGGCGCUACAAUGUCUGUGUGUGUUUGAAUUAGGAAAGAUCACGCCUAUCAAUGAGAAUAAAUGUAGAGGUUGGAUGGAUUGGGAAAGUAGUGCUGUAAAAUCUCCUAUAUUCGUGAAUAAAUUUAAACCCCAAAUCCCUUAUUUUUGUAGAGAGAGAAAUAAGUAUACGCUGUUAACGACCAAAUUUGGUAAAUUCUAUCACUAUUGGCAUCGGAGGUGAAGAUCAGAUUGAAGUGGGAUCCAAAAUGAAGAUCAUUGCGGAAAUAGAGUAAGAGUCGGCUGCAGUCCAAAUCGGCUAAGGUCAGGUCGGCAGAGUUCGAGUCGGAUGGGGCUAGCCGAUACAGCCGAUUCUGAUAAUAUGACUCGGUGUACGUCAUCGGGUUCAAGUUGAUGUGCUUCAAGAUGGUUGCCAUGCAUGGAUAGAGUCCUGGGAAGGCAAUUGUAUCUAUUAAUUAGGAUAUUCUAUGUAAUUUCCUUAGAUAUAUGUUUGGGCAAAAGUCUGCCGUAAAGACUUAUGUUAUCUUAGAGUUUGUUAGAGAUAAUAGUCAUGUCUGUUGUGGACGUAUCUUGUAAUUCUCGGGUAUAAAUAGACCCGAGCCCUAUGUAAAAAAGGGACGACAUCCAAUACAAUCUCGGCGUAUCGCCACCCUUUUUGCUUUACUUUUAUUUCGACGAGUUCGUACUCUCGGGUUGAGCUGCAUCGGUUUCGAUCUUCAACAAGAGGUAAAACUUGUCAUGACGACUUAUGUUCUCAGGAUUAGUGCUUCCAUCUUUAUGAUACUCUAAUCUUGUCUAUAUAAUUCGUCGAGUUAUCAUAUAUCUCACAUAAUCUUCGAUAAUAUCUUUAUCUAACCUAUAAUCGGCUAACAUCUGUUAAUGGAAGGCAGCCGAUUAGGUUAGACAAUGACGUUAACUUAGAUUAUGUGAUAUAUCUACCACUCUAUGAAACUUCCAGCGGCUUGAUUGUCUAGAUAUUGUUCUUCUUUUCAUACUUAAUGCUGCAUCAAUUGAGUUUGAUCUAUUAAGUCAUGCUUAGAAUUGCAAUCUCUAGCCUGCUUUCUGGUCGCCGAUUAGGGUAGUAUCGGAGUUUCAGCCGAUCUUAUCUGAUUUAACUACUUUUAUUCCAUAUGCUUAAUCUAUAUGUUAAAUCUGCCCUUUAUGUUAAGAUCUUGUCACAUCUAAGUAUAUUAGGCUUCUGUUUGGUAUAUUCUACUUACUUUAAUAUCUUAAUAUAGAGUGGUAUCGGAGUAUUAGCCAAUACAUGCUAGAUCCAUUUGAUCGGCUAUGCUAUAAAUGUAUAUAAUCCCACUAUUAAUAUAUAUUUCGAUCUAAGUGAUUUAUACUGUCUCGGCAAGGCGACCGAUCUAUCCCAACCACUUGAUUUAAGUAUAUAUCGAUAUAAGGAUUAUAUAUCAUUAAUAUCUACAGCCGAUUGAGUAGAUUUAGUUCUGAUUUGCUUAUUGAUAUUUGCCGAUCGAUGUACGCAUGACAUCGGCUUGAAAUAAAUGAUAUGUCAUCGGCACCUAGCCGAUCGGCUAUCAUUUAUAGGAUUAAUUGCGGUUUCUUUGUUCUAUUUCUUGUUGAUUGCAGGAUCAAAUCAACUAGCACGCUCAUACAUCCGAACGCGAGUUUUGGACCUGCACUGGAGUUAAGCAGAUCUCCCAGGCCUCGUGUUUUCUGUCAACACGCUUUUGGCACGCCCGGUGGGACGAAUUAGAAGUCAGAAAUCAAUCUUCCUCAUGGCCGAGAAGCUGCCACCUUCGCCAUCCUCGGCUAGCCCGGGUACUGUUAAAGAGAAAAUCCAAAGACCAGGAUUGAGCGAAGUCAAUGAAGGGAAUAUUGUGGCUAUUGAUCCGGAAAAGCUCACACCUGACCAGAAGAAGGACUUCGAAGCAAUGAUGCAACAAGCACGAGAACAGUUCUUCAAAUCAUUCACACAGACUCGCAAGGGAAAAUUUGUUUAAAAGUACAAGGUAAAGGUGGUUCCCGAUGAGCCUGAGACCAGUACCUUUAAGGAGGGAGAAGGGAAAAGAGUUUUAGAUGGCUCGGCUCAAGAGAAUCAGGGUGACGACUCUCAGGGGGCACAUGCAGUUCAAGGUGAUGGUGCUCACGAGCCACAACGAGGAAAUCUUAAUCAGAAUGGUGAGACAGCACAAGAUUUCUUCAACAAUUUCCAAGAUCGAGUGGACUACGCCGUACACAAUGCUUUGAUCAAUCAAUCUGGAGUGUUAGUCAACACCUUGUCUAACAUGAUGAAGACGAUAGCCGAUGGAUCAAUAGUUGAGCAUCAAGCUGCAGGCCCGGUUUACUUGCCGGGAGGUGUUUUUCCGAAUUAUCGAUCUUUGAUCACUGAUGUUCAGCCGCUUGCUCAGGCAGUUCUUCCGAGUGCACCAUCGGCUCAGCCGAUGGCACCGCCAUUGACUUCUUUGCCUGCUCCAUCAGCGUCGACACCAGGCCAGCCGAUUAAUCCUCGGCUAUUGAUGAGGGAGCAGCCACAGCAUAGCGGACAGACGGUAAAUCGGCCAGCACAGGAUCAGGUGGCUGCUAUGUUUCUACCCCUCCAAUCUACUGUCAAUUCGAUUCAGCAGACGCCACCAAGGCAACAGGUUGUGCAGCCGAUUCAACAGACUCCACCAAGGCAGCAGGUUGUGUAGCCAGUUCAGCCAACACUUCCGGGACAACAAACUAUACAGCCGAUUCCGCAGCAAGCUUUGAUGAAUCAAUCGGCUGAGCAAUCAGCUGGACACGCCCUGAAUCAGGUUGUUCCAGAACAUUUGGUUCACCAUAUACAACCAGAUGGUACGACGAUGCCUCAGAUUGUGCCAGAGCACUUGGUGCAAAGUAUUCAGCCAAAUUAACAGAAUUUAUUCAGCCAAAUUAACAGAAUUACCAAUGAGGCAAUAUAAUCAGUUUGAACCAAUACAGCAACAGUCGCAAGGAGCAGGUCAACAACGACCAUGGGCUGAUGUAAUUGCCGAUGUGAUGAGAGAACAAUUUGGGCUUAAGCCGAAAGAUACUGGAAAAUUGUAUCGGCAACCUUACCCUAAAUGGUUUGAGAAAGUUCCUCUUCCCAACCGAUUUAAAAUCCCAGACUUCUCCAAAUUUUCGGGACAAGAUGGUGUGUCAACUUAUGAACACAUUAGCCGAUUUUUAGCUCAGUGCGGCGAAGCAUCGGCUGUGGACGCUCUCAGAGUUAGAUUAUUCCGGUUGUCCUUGUCUGGGUCGGCUUUUACAUGGUUUUCUUCUUUGCCGUAUGGGUUAGUCAAUAGUUGGGCCGACUUGGAGAAGCAGUUUCAUAGCUAUUUCUAUAGUGGAGUUCAUGAGAUGAAGUUAUCUGACUUGACAGCAAUCAAACAAAGGCAUGAUGAACCUGUGCAUGAGUAUAUUCAGAGAUUCAGGGAGAUGAGGAACAAGUGCUUUAGCUUAAGUUUGACUGAUGCCCAGUUAGCCGAUUUGGCUUUUCAAGGCAUGAUUCCUCCGAUUAGGGAGAAAUUCUGAUCUGAAGAUUUUGAUAGCCUGUCGCAUCUCGUACAGAAGAUAACAUUGCAUGAACAGAGGUUUGCAGAGGCCAGGAGAAGCUCUAAGAGGGUUAAUCAUGUCUGCCCUUACAUGUAUGGAUCGGAUGAUGACGAUGAUGACUCCGAAAUAGCUGCAGCCGAAUGGGUAAGGAGUAAAAAGGUUAUACCUUGUCAGUGGGAAAAGAAUUCUGGAAAAGAGGAGAGAUAUGAUUUUGAUAUUACCAAAGCUGACAAGAUUUUUGAUAUGCUACUCCGGGAGAAGCAAAUUCAACUCCCCGCUGGUCAUGUAAUUCCAUCGGCUAAGGAACUAGGCAAAAGGAGGUAUUGCAAAUGGCAUAAUUCUGGAUCUCAUUCUACUAAUGAUUGCAAGGUCUUUAGACAGCAGAUUCAAGUAGCCAUUGAAGGAGGGAAGAUUAAGUUUGAUGAUUCCAAAAAGCCGAUGAAGGUCGAUGGUAAUCCUUUCCUUGUUAACAUGGUGCAUACCGUUGGUCGGACAGCCGAUGUGGGACGAGCGAGAGGUUUUUGCGUGAAUUCGGCUAGAAUUAUAAAUAAGUAUCAGAGGAAAUACGACAAACAACAAGAGAGGCAUUAUGAAGAAGAUAAUGAUGGUUUCGAUCCUUAUUGGAAUUGUGAGUUCUUUCGGUUCUACUGGAACGAAGGUAUGAGGCUACCAUCUAUUGAAGACUGUCCUGAGUGCAGUGAUAUUACAGAGAGUUCAAGCCGAUCGUACAAUAGAGGCAAUCGGCUGAAGCAAGCUAGAGUUCCCGUUCAUCAAAGGUUGGGCCCGGCAAAUCAAAAUGAUUACUUGGAGGAAGACGAGAACGCGAAGACUCAGUGGUGUCCUUCUGAUAUUUUUACAAAGAAUCAGAAAAGAAGGGUUCAAAGGUUGAGGAAUAGGGAGCGCUUUCAGGAGGUCGAGCAAGAAAUUGGUCAUCGGCUGAGGAAAGCAAAGCCAAGGAAGGAGUGGCGUGUUAAGAAUCAAGUUCUUGGAGCCGAUGAUAUUGCAGCCGAUGAAGCAAAGAGGUUGGCAAAAGGGAAAAGUAUUGUAACGGCGCCAAUUAACAUGGUCUUUACUUUGCCAGCCGAAUUCGGGAUUGACCAAGCCGAUGUUGACGAACUGGAAGAGGAAUUGGCUAAGUUGGUUCUAUCACCAGAACGAGCAGUUUUUGAAAAGCCUGAAGGGACAGAAAAUCGGCAUCUUAAACCAUUGUAUAUAAAUGGCUAUGUCAAUGGGAAGCCGAUGUCUAAGAUGAUGGUCGAUGGUGGGGCUGCGGUAAAUUUGAUGCCUUAUACUACGUUCAGAAAGUUAGGUAGAACUACUGAGGAUCUCAUCAAGACAAACAUGGUGCUUAAAGACUUUGGUGGCAACCAAUCGGAAACAAAGGGUGUUCUGAAUGUAGAAUUGACAGUCGGCAGUAAAACUAUCCCUACCACAUUUUUUGUCAUCGAUGGGAAAGGUUCUUACAGCUUGUUGCUUGGAAGGGAUUGGAUUCAUGCCAAUUGUUGUAUUCCUUCGACCAUGCACCAAUGCUUGAUUCAAUGGCAAGGCGACAAGGUUGAGAUUGUACCAGCCGACAGGUCAGUUAAUGUUGCUAGUGCCGAUCUAGCUCUUUGGGAGAUGGAUGGCCUUGAUUGUUUAUCCAGGAAGAUUUGGGUUGGAGAUUUUCUAAAAGUGUCCGAUUCUGAUAUACAGCCGAUUGAAGAUGAAGAACCCAAGCUAUUAUUUUGAGGGCGUCGUGGAGGGUUCAAGCGUCUACGCCAAGGACACGGUAGAUGAUCUCGAUGACAAGCAAGGUUAGGGUUUUAUGUCGGCCGAUGAUUUAGAAGAAGUGGAUAUAGGUCUGGGUGAUCGACCAAGGCCGACAUUCAUUAGUAAGAAUUUGUCUUCAGAAUUUAGAACCAAGCUGAUGGAGCUUUUGAAAGAGUUUAGAGAUUGCUUUGCUUGGGAGUAUUAUGAGAUGCCAGGACUCAGCCGAUCGAUCGUCGAGCAUCGAUUACCUUUAAAGCCAGGGAUUAGACCACACCAGCAGCCUCCGAGAAGAUGCAAAGCCGAUAUGCUUGAACCUGUCAAGGCUGAAAUCAAACGUUUGUAUGAUGCUGGUUUUAUUCGUCCUUACCGAUAUGCUGAAUGGGUUUCUGGUAUAGUUCCUGUUAUCAAGAAAAAUGGUAAGGUGAGGGUUUGCAUUGAUUUCAGGGAUUUGAAUAAAGCUACCCCAAAGGAUGAAUAUCCGAUGCCAGUGGCCGAUCAGUUGGUUGAUGCUGCUUCAGGACAUAAGAUACUAAGUUUUAUGGAUGGGAACGCAGGAUAUAAUCAAAUCUUUAUGGCCGAAGAAGAUAUCCAUAAGACAGCCUUCAGGUGUCCUGGUGCGAUCGGCUUGUUUGAAUGGGUUGUAAUGACUUUCGGCUUAAAGAGCGCUGGAGCUACGUACUAGAGGGCUAUGAAUUAUAUAUAUCAUGAUCUGAUCGGAUGGUUGGUUGAGGUCUACAUUGAUGAUGUGGUUGUUAAAUCUAGAGAAAUAGAGGACCACAUAGCCGAUUUGAGAAAGGUUUUCGAGAGGACUAGGAAAUAUGGUUUAAAGAUGAAUCCGACAAAAUGUGCUUUUGGUGUAUCGGCUGGCCAGUUCUUGGGAUUUCUUGUUCAUGAGAGGGGGAUUGAAAUACCUCAGAGGAGUAUCAAUGCGAUCAAAAAGAUUAAGCCUCCGGAAAACUAAGACAGAGUUGCAGGAGAUGAUCGGCAAAAUUAAUUUUGUUCGAAGGUUUAUUUCUAAUUUGUCUAGAAAACUGGAACCUUUUACACCAUUGUUAAGAUUGAGAGCUGAUCAGCAAUUCACUUGGGGGGCAAAACAACAGAAAGCUUUGGAUAAUAUUAAAGAAUAUUUAAGUUCUCCUCCAGUAUUGAUCCCUCCACAAAAAGGGAUUCCUUUCCGGUUAUAUUUGUCGGCCGGUGAUAAGUCAAUCGGCUUGGUCUUGAUUCAGGAACUUGAAGGAAAAGAGAGGGUUGUGUUUUAUUUAAGCCGUCGGCUCUUAGAUGCAGAAACAAGGUAUUCUCCUGUGGAGAAAUUGUGUUUGUGUUUAUAUUUCUCUUGCACUAAGUUGAGGCAUUACUUGUUGUCCAAUGAAUGCACUGUGGUAUGUAAAGCCGAUGUGAUUAAGUACAUGCUAUCGGCUCCGAUUUUAAAAGGGAGAGUUGGCAAGUGGAUAUUUUCUUUAACGUAGUUUGAUCUUCGGCACGAAUCACCAAAGGCGAUUAAGGGACAGGCUGUAACCGAUUUUAUUGUGGGUCAUCGUGAUGAUUCAAUCGGCUUGGUUGACAUUAUGCCUUGGGUAUUAUUCUUUGAUGGAUCUGUAUGCAGUCAUGGUUAUGGUAUCGGCUUGGUUAUAAUUGCGCCUUGGGGGGCAAGUUUUGAAUUUGCCUAUGCUAUCAAACACCGUGUGACUAAUCAUCAGGCUGAGUAUGAGGCGGUCUUAAAAGGGUUACAGUUGCUUCAGGAAGUUGCAGCCGAUGCUAUUGAAAUCAUGGGUGAUUCGUUGUUGGUGAUUAGUCAAUUGGCAGGGGAGUAUGAAUGCAAGGAUGAUACAUUGAUGGUUUAUUAUGAAAAGUGCCGAACGUUGAUAAGUGAAUUUAGGAUGGUGACUUUGAAGCACAUAUAUCGAGAACAGAAUAUAGAGGCUAAUGAUUUGGCUCAAAGAGCGUCGGGAUAUAAGCCAAUGACAAAAGAUAUCGAGAUAGAGAUUGCUACAAUUACAGCCGAUGAUUGGAGAUAUGAUGUGUUUCAGUAUUUACAGAAUCCAUCUCAAUCGGCUUCGCAGAAAUUGCGUUAUAAGGCCUUGAAAUAUACUUUAUUGGAUGAUGACCUCUAUUAUCGGAUGAUUGAUGGAGUGUUGCUUAAAUGUUUGAGUGCCGAUCAGGCAAAAGUUGCAAUCGGCGAAGUUCAUGAAGGGAUAUGUGGUACACAUCAGUCGGCUCAUAAAAUGAAGUGGUUGCUCCGACGUGCUGGAUAUUUUUGGCCGACAAUACUGGAGGAUUGUUUAAGAUAUUAUAAAGGUUGUCAAGAUUGUCAGAAGUUUGGAGCGAUCCAAAGGGCGCCAGCAUCGGCUAUGAAUCCUAUUAUUAAACCGUGGCCUUUUAGAGGUUGGGGAAUUGAUAUGAUCGGUAUGAUUAAUCCACCCUCGAGUAAAGGACAUAAGUUUAUAUUGGUGGCAACCGAUUAUUUUACCAAGUGGGUAGAGGCGAUUCCUUUAAAGAAAGUUGAUUCUGGGGAUGCUAUACAGUUCGUUCAAGAGCAUAUAAUCUAUCAAUUUGGUAUCCCUCAAACUAUUACGACUGAUCAAGGUUCAAUUUUUGUAUCUGAUGAGUUUGUUCAAUUUGCCGAUAGCAUGGGAAUUAAAUUGUUGAAUUCUUCACCGUAUUAUGCACAAGCUAAUGGACAGGCCGAGGCAUCUAAUAAGAGUUUGAUCAAGUUGAUUAAGAGGAAGAUUUCUGAUUAUCCUCGGCAAUGGCAUACUCGGCUGGCUGAAGCAUUGUGGUCUUAUCGGAUGGCUUGUCAUGGAUCGAUACAGGUUCCUCCUUAUAAACUUGUUUAUGGUCAUGAGGCUGUUCUGCCAUGGGAAGUUCGAAUCGGCUCGAGGAGAACAGAGUUGCAAAAUACUUUAACAGCCGAUGAGUAUUAUAACCUUAUGGCCGAUGAAAGGGAAGAUCUGGUUCAAUCACGGCUAUGAGCUCUUGCAAAGGUUACUAGGGAUAAGGAGCGUGUUGUCCGGCAUUAUAAUAAGAGAGUAGUACCCAAGGACUUUUCGGAGGGUGAACUUGUAUGGAAGUUGAUUCUGCCGAUUGGGACUCGGGAUAGCAAAUUUGGCAAGUGGUCGCCAAAUUGGGAAGGACCGUUCCAAAUUUAUAAGGUGGUAUCUAAGGGAGCAUACAUGUUGCAAGGACUCGAUGGAGAAGUUUAUGGCCGAGCUCUAAAUAGCAAAUACUUGAAGAAAUAUUAUCCCAGUGUUUGGGUUAAUGCAUGAUCGACUAGUGUUGCCGAUACAUGAUAGCCGAUGUGUUUGCAUCGCCUGGAGAUGGCCGAUAUUGUUAUAUCGCCCUUAGUUGCUUUUCACUAUUGUAAUCGGUUGUGGUUUGCCGAUCUACAAAUGGCCGAUAUUGUUAUAUCGCCCUUAGUCGUUUCUAUAAUUUUGUCAAUGUUUUCAACAUUGUAAAAUUAGGGGGGCACAUACAUAGAGAAUUGCAAAGAAAAAUGAGAGAAUUGAAAUUUUUGAACAAGCCGGCACAAGGAUGGCAGCAAAGUAAUUAGGGUGUCUUAGCCGAUUACAACAGUUUUCUACAAACUAUUACAUGGAAAUCACUGAGACAAGUAUCGCUGGAUAGCCGAUAUAGCCCUUUGCCUAAUUUGAUCUAUUUCUUCGAUAGCUUGGGCGUCUUGAGCAUCGGUUCCAGGAAUGACUUUCAAGGAUUUAGUCAUCUCAGCAAUGUUCUUGAUAGCUGAUUUUAGCCUUGCCUUCUGUUCUUCGACAGCUUGCAUGAGAUCGGUUAACUUCUUGUGCUCUAGAUCCAGUUUAGCAUUGCAUUCUUGAAGUUGUGCCAAGAGUUCAAUCUUGUGAGCUUCAAGCCGAUCAACAUUAGAUUUGAUCGGGCCUUCAGAUAACUGAUCAAGCUUGGCUUUCUCUUCAUGAACACGCUGCCGAUUGGUUUGGAUUGUAGCCUCGAUGUCCUUGCGCUCCCGGCGAUCGGAUAACCUCUGCCUGGCUUUCUCCAGUUUGAAUUGAUGCUGCUCGAGGUAGACAGCUGGAGUAAGAGCAUCGGCUAAUUCGUCCGAAAGAAAGGCUUGGAUAUCUGCAAAUCUUGCCCGGAUUGAGCCACAGUUGGUCACCAGGUUAUCUAGUGAUGCUCCUAACCGAUGGGAGAUGUCUUCGAGUGUUUUCUUCAUAUCAUCAGACAGGAGAGCUAUCGCUUUACUGGUGGUGUCUUCUUCUGUUUCAUCGAGGUAAUCUUUGAUGUCAAAGGAGAACAGAUCGGCUAAGACCUGCAAGAGACAAUAUCAUGGAUGAUUAAGGAUCAAGAUAUGAUUGGCCGAUCUCAAAUUUAUGUUAAUAAACCUUACUGGAAUAGUAGGUGCAGCUAAUUGUUCCUCCUCUUCAACAUGAUGACUGCCUGCAGUCGAUGGAGUGUGGCCGCCUGAUUCUGCCUGCACAAGAGGGGAAGAAGGAGGAGGAGACUGCUAAAGGGAUAAAUAUUAGAUAUAAUCAGCCCAAAUCAGUUAAUGAGAUGAUAAAAGUAUCUUACUGUAGGAGCUGGUUUAAGGGUUGAAGUAGCUGAUCUAUUCCUCACAGCAAUUUUCUUUCUCUAUAUUUAUUAAAAUUGUGAGGAAUCGGCUAUAAAGUAAAUGACUGCAAAAGUGGACAGAUAAAGUCGCUUACCUUUGCCAAUUGAGCUGAAGCAGAAGGGGAUGGAGGAGAUUGCUUAGGUGAAGCCAAUGGUGUUCUUUCAGUAUCGCUUAUUUCGGCUGCAGCUUGGUCGAUGUCUUCCUCGAUUUCUUCUUCAUCCAGAGCUUGUUCAAUGGAUGGAUCUAGGGCGGGUAGAUCGUCAGCUGGCUUAGCUUUCUUUGUCUUAGCCUUAUUCUUCGGAGCCGGGGCUGAAGUAUCUGCAGCCGAUGAUCUGGUUCUCCGCUUCUUGCCGGCAUCGGCUGGUUCUCUGAUGAGUCCUCGGGGAAGUGCUGAGGUCUUUGGGGCAUUGUAGCCAAUGGCAGAAGGGGAUGGCCCACCUCCAUUUGGAAUUAGACCCGGAGCAUACUUAAUGACCUUGCCGCUAUUGCUCUGGUGAGGAGGAGAAGAUUCUGUUGUCUGCAAAACAGAAGAAAAGUUAGUCAAGGUUCAAAUCGGUUGAUUGACUAUUCAAGCAAGAUUGAAGAAAUAAAGAUUAACAUGAGGGAUAGCAUCAGGGAAUAAGUCUGUCAUGUACAUGGAAGCCGAUUGAUGGAACAGAUGCAGCUUCCACUCGCCCCACCAUCUGUCAAAUGUCCUGCUCCUGAACCUUGCCAGCUUUAUGUUCUCGAUGCUGCCCAACGGAGGUCCAGGGAUGUUCAAUAGCUGAUCCAUCAUUAAAGUUGAGGAGAUGUCGCCUCUGCAUUGGAUCUUGUUGGCAAAGUACAGACCGAUUGGCAAUUGUCCCAUUCCAAGUUGUCUGGCCGAUGACAUCGGAUGAUAAAACUCGUAAGAGACUUGGAUAUUUCUCCCUUGAUGGAUGCCGACUGGGAGGAUACAUGGGCUGAUAGCAGUAGUAAAGAUUUCUCUGGAUUGCUGAAACUUCUCAUGAUUAAUAUCCUCGAACCUGAAAUCGGCUGGCAGUUCGAAAUCCAUUGAGUCGGCAUAGAAGAACCAAACUCGGGCAUCUUUUUGGAAUCCAUCAUAAAAGCUGAAGAACCAGUCCUUCAGAAGUUCAGCCGAUAACUUUGCUCCUGCAUCGGCUGGUGUAGAUGCAUAUUCUCCGUAUGACAUACAUCUGCGAUGGGUGUGUUCUUCUCCAUCAUCUUCCACAAUCGGCUCCAAACUUGGAAAUUCAGCUUCUGUCACAGAUGGCCGAUUGACAACUUUCAUGACUACCAGGUUCAGCUAGGAUUGCAAGAGCCACCAUGGUCCACCUGUUCCAACCACUGAGCCGAUAAUUAUCUUGGCCGAUGCGUUGUUUAAUAUCUGGUAUAGAUAGCCGAGAAGGAUUUUGCCUAAGGGAAAUUGUUUCUUCGUUACUAGGGCCUCGGCUAAGAAUUGCCAGUUGGUUGUAGGACCGCAGCUUGAUCCGCAGAAAAGGAAUUUUUCCAACCACAUCAGCAAAAAAGCUACGUGCUCUCUAGGAGUGACUGGCCCUUUGCCCAUAUAUGCUGUGAUAUAUCCUGACCAACCCCCAAUGCUCUUAGUUUUGAACUCAAAAGUGUUCUUGGUGUUCAGGUUCAUAGGGUUAGCUGAUGAGGUUACAUCUAGGCCAGUGAGCAUGAUAAUAUCCAGCAGCGUUGGGGUCAUCGGCCCUUGGUUGAAAAGAAAAGCAUUGAGAGUGUUGGACCAGAAAUAAGUUGCAGCAGCCAUUAGGGGUUCAUCUUUGGCCGAAUUUGCUAUUGUGAGGGCUAGGGCUUGGCUGAUUCCGAUCUCAUCCCAAUGGGCUUGUUUGCUAGCCGAUAUCCGCUUAUACCAUACAGGCCAGCUUUUCUCCAAAGAAGGCCAGGAUUUGAAGGUGUUUUUCCAAUGGCUUGUGUUUGGAUUGGCCGACCUAAAAGGGGUUCUGUUGGUUUCGGCUAUGAUAAACUCAGUGGGGUCUAGAUUGCCGAUUGGACCGAGAAAGUAUUGUUGGUCAUGAAACAGACUGGGAACCGCAACAAGAUUGGAAAGAUGCUACAAGAAUAGAGAAGAAGAAAACAAGAUAAGGUGAGCGAAAACCGGUCUGAUGAACGGAAAAGGGGGUCUAGCCGAUGGGGACUUACCUCAGCGUAUUCGGCUGAUGAUGCGGCGGUCGGAUUGGUGGAGGUCGACAUCGUCACGGGUGAAGAUCUGGCCGGGAGUGGAAUCGCCUAGAAAUCGCCAUGCGUGUUGAGGAGGUCGCCGGAGAGAGAAAGGACGGGAUCUGUUUAAGCGGUGAAAACGGAAAUCACGACGUGAAGAUUCUUUGGGGCAACGGUUAGUAUUUAAAGUAGAGCGAUAACGGACAGGAAAACAGCAAGUGCGAGUUUCUCUCAGAGUCGGUAUAUGGCAAAUCCGAAACAUUAUCCAAUAUUCCGGACUUGGGGGGCAUGUGUUAACGACCAAAUUUGGUAAAUUCUAUCACUAUUGGCAUCGGAGGUGAAGAUCAGAUUGAAGUGGGAUCCAAAAUGAAGAUCGUUGCGGAAACAGAGUAAGAGUCGGCUGCAGUCCAAAUCGGCUAAGGUCAAGUCGGAAGAGUUCGAGUCGGACGAGGCUAGCCGAUACAGCCGAUUCUGAUAAUAUGACUCGGUGUACGUCAUCGGGUUCAAGUUGAUGUGCUUCAAGAUGGUUGCCAUGCAUGGAUAGAGUCCUGGGAAGGCAAUUGUAUCUAUUAAUUAGGAUAUUCUAUGUAAUUUCCUUAGAGAUAUGUUUGGGCAAAAGUCUGCCGUAAAGACUUAUGGUAUCUUAGAGUUUGUUAGAGAUAAUAGUCAUGUCCGUUGUGGACGUAUCUUGUAAUUCUCGGGUAUAAAUAGACCCGAGCCCUAUGUAAAAAAGGGACGACAUCCAAUACAAUCUCGGCGCAUCGCCACCCUUUUUGCUUUACUUUUAUUUCGAUGAGUUCGUACUCUCGGGUUGAGCUGCAUCGGUUUCGAUCUUCAAUAAGAGGUAAAACUUGUCAUGACGACUUAUGUUCUCAGGAUUAGUGCUUCCAUCUUUAUUAUACUCUAAUCUUGUCUAUAUAAUUCGUCGAGUUAUCAUAUAUCUCACAUAAUCUUCGAUAAUAUCUUUAUCUAACCUAUAAUCGGCUAACAUCUGUUAAUGGAAGGCAGCCGAUUAGGUUAGACAAUGACGUUAACUUAGAUUAUGUGAUAUAUCUACCACUCUAUGAAACUUCCAGCGGCUUGAUUGUCUAGAUAUUAUUUUUCUUUUCAUACUUAAUGCUGCAUCAGUUGAGUUUGAUAUAUUAAGUCGUGCUUAGAAUUGCAAUCUCUAGCCUGCUUUCUGGUCGCCGAUUAGGGUAGUAUCGGAGUUUCAACCGAUCUUAUCUGAUUUAACUACUUUUAUUCCAUAUGCUUAAUCUAUAUGUUAAAUCUGCCCUUUAUGUUAAGAUCUUGUCGCAUCUAAGUACAUUAGGCUUCUGUUUGGUAUAUUCUACUUGCUUUAAUAUCUUAAUAUAGAGUGGUAUCGGAGUAUUAGCCAAUACAUGCUAGAUCCAUUUGAUCGGCUAUGCUAUAAAUGUAUAUAAUCCCACUAUUAAUAUAUAUUUCGAUCUAAGUGAUUUAUACUGUCUCGGCAAGGCGACCGAUCUAUCCCAACCACUUGAUUCAAGUAUAUAUCGAUAUAAGGAUUAUAUAUCAUUAAUAUCUACAGCCGAUCGAGUAGAUUUAGUUCUGAUUUGCUUAUUGAUAUUUGCCGAUCGAUGUACGCAUGACAUCGGCUUGAAAUAAAUGAUAUGUCAUCGGCACCUAGCCGAUCGGCUAUCAUUUAUAGGAUUAAUUGCGGUUUCUUUGUUCUAUUUCUUGUUGAUUGCAGGAUCAAAUUAACUGGUACGCUCAUACAUCCGAAGGCGAGUUUUGGACCUGCACUGGAGUUAAGCAGAUCUCCCAGGCCUCGUGUUUUCUGUCAACAUACGCAUACUCAGUAAAACAUAAUCGUUCCAACGCUGUCUAUGACUGUCCACAGAUUGUUAUGGUAUGUUUUUUAAGAUUCAAGCCAUCGUCAUCAUUCUUCAAGAAUGAUAGCUAGAUCACAAAAGAGUAGGAUAUGAUAUGGCACAUUAACCACAAAUUGAAUACUACCUUGAGGGGAUCGAUCGUUUGCUCUAAUUUGUAUAGUAUAUGGAGUUAAAUAACUGGUUUCGAAAUACAAGGUAAAAUGGUCUUAAUUUUUUUUUCCUUAUGAAUCAUAUUUUUAGAAUCGCUACCUUGAGGGAAUCGAUCGUUUGCUAUAAUUUGUAUAGUAUAUGGAGUUAAAUAACUGGUUUUGAAAUACAAGGUAAAAUGGUCUUAAUUUUUUCCUUAUGAAUCAUAUUUUUAGAAUCGUAGAGCAUAUAAUACGUGGAAAUAAUUCAGUAAAUAAGCAGAAAAGAACGGGGCUAAUAAUCAAAUUAAGAAUCACUCCAGCGCAAUCAUAUUUUCCAAACCUAUGCCCCUUCCAUUGAUUAGUUUCAUCAACUGAAAGUUUGAUGCAGUACUUGUGGGGCAGAACAUGCAGACCAAUCAACAUAUAUCAACAGGUAAAAUUAUACAGUUGAAUAUUAUGAGGUUAUAAUUUCUCAGCCAAAGCUUCAUUCUCAAAUGAAUAUAUCAAAUCUGGUUACUCACACUAUAAGGAAUUUGAUUUUUUAUGACUGCAAAACAUAUUUAUGAGUAGACAGUCAUACAUCAUUAAAGAGUGGCUAAUCUACUGCGUUCAUCAACCAAAUUAAAUCUUGUAUCAAAUUGAUAUGUAAUUUGUGUUCAUCAACCAAAUUAAAUCUUGUGUCAAAUUGAUAUAUAAUUUAGCACAUGUUUUACAUGUUAUUAUUUCUCAAUCGAAUCAUUCUUUGUCUUCCUAUCUUUAACCAUCAUCUCUAGUUUUCCUUCUCAAAUCAACAGGCUCAAAUAAAAAAUUUGUGCCUCAUUCAAUAUAUAUAGUAUACAUUCAUCUAUAACAUUGAUUUCUCUGUCUUCCUAUCUUUAACCAUCAUCUCUAGUUUUCCUUCUCAAAUAAACAGGCUCAAAUAAAAAAUUUGUGCCUCAUUCAAUAUAUAGUAUACAUUCAUCUAUAACAUUGAUUUGUAAGCCACAUGACUAUUGAUAAGAAACAGAUUUAACAGUUUAGUAAGCAACCCUCUUGUUUUUCUCCAAUAUUUUAUCACAUUUAAUAAUGAUCUUUUGCGGUAUAACUAACCCAUAUUAUUUCAAUCAUGCCUAAAACUAGCACUCCUAUAUAUCACUGGUACGACAUAAACACAUCAUGUGUGCAAAGUUAGCUGUAUGAUGCCACUAUAUACUAUCACUGUCAUUUAAUUGCUAUGGCAUCAUGUUUAUGUUCCUUGCCCACUUAUUUGCUUCAUAAAUCACAUACGCAUGAACGCUAGCUACUCCCGCAUGAAUCAUUAGCUAGCUUACUUUAUUGAAAUGCAGAACGAUCAUGCAUGUAACAUGUUUCAAUUUUUAUGUUUUUUUUAGCGCGCCAAUUGAUCUCUACCCUUCUCUGCCCUUUUUGUUUUUUCUAAAGGUAUCCCACCCUCGUACUAUCUUUGGUUGAUUGGAUGGACCGACGAGAUGAAUGGAGAACUAUCCAGUUCAUGCUUUCUUGACAUCCUACUGUUUGGAUGCAUAAACGGGAUUAUAUGUGUUUGGAGACAGCAAGAUAUUACCUCCGUUAUCACAUAGAUGACAUUAUAGAAUGCGUCUAGUCAAACCUUGAUAUAUUAAAUUAAGCAUACAUAAGUAUUAGAAUUUAAUACACAAAAAUGGUAUUGAUAGAUUUAUCAUGAAAAAAAUAUUCACAUGGUUAUAUGUUCGUUAUUUUUAUAAAUAUACUGUUAUAAAAAAAUAAUGGCAAAACACAUGCAUUUGAGACGGUGUCAAUGUCCAAAAUGCUCAAUUAAAAAGAACAGAUGCAUAUAUGUUUCACUAAUAUUCUCAUAACUCCAAAGAUGUGUAUAGUUCCGUUCCAUAUAAAUAAUAUGGUUUUGGAGCGUGGUUCUUUGGCAAGUAACAAUAUAUGCUGGAGACGCAAUAUAUGUGAAGAUAUAUUAUUUAAUUGACAAAACAAAACAAUGAAUGAGAUGCACCUACACAAGGUUGGCCCAAUCCGGUAGAAAUGGAAACAAAACCAAUAGAAACAAAUAAAAACAAGAUAAUAAAAAAGAGAAAAUAAAAUAUGAACAAGAAGAUAAGGACAUGCAAUGAAAUAUUAUCGAGGAAGAUUAUGAUUUACUUACGUACCAACAUCUCUAUGAAAAUUAGAAAUAACAUAAAUUUUACCCAACCAUUCUGGGUCAUCUUUUACAAUAUUAUCAACCAAAUAAAUUGAUCAAUCGAACCGUAGAUUUGAUCAAACAAUCAAUAAGUGUAGUUAUUCUAUCCUAACCCCCAUCCAACACAUUGUCCUAUUCCAUUCAACAACAUCCCUCCAACAAAACAUAGAAUAUAAUACAUCAAAUGAAAUACACCUUAGUCAUAACAAAUGAGAUAAACAUAGAAUAUAAUCCAUCAAAUGAAAUACACCUUAGUCAUAACAAAUGAGAUGUGUUUUUUUACACAUAUCAUAGUAUACGUGUAUACUCAAUUACAUUGUCCAUUAAAUUUUAUUCAAUCAGAACCCAACCAAUAUUGAGGAUAAAUAGAAUUGGACAUAAUAUGCUCACAAUUUGUAGGUUAUGCGGACAAUGAAGAUAAUAUUUGUUUGAGUAUAUCAUCCUCCGAUGAAAUUACAAUUAUGAGACAUAAAAAGUUACAACUUAUAGUACUAUUUAAUAUUUAAAACCUAAAGCCCACUACUUAAAACACUAAAAAUGAUAUAAUUGGGUCGGUUUAAAUAAUAAAAAAAUCACACCAAUCAUUUAAAUACUAUAUAUAAUUUUCCUCCCUGUACAGAGAGAUUUCUUCUUAAUGAAAAAUGUAGAUAUAUUAUUUCUCCCCCAUACAGAGCGAUUGCUUCUUAAUGAAAAUAUGGAGUGAUCGAAUGUUUUUUUAUAAAACUGUCAUAUGAACCAUAUCAGAAAAUUCUAUCAUAACUAUCCCACUCGCAGGUUUGUUAAACCAUAACAAAAUUGACAUGAAUAUCUGUUCAAUCUAUCUUCACAUAUUUUCUUCAAAAUCUGGUGGGUAAGAAACCCCUCUUGCUUUCCUCCAAUAUUCCAUCAUGAAUUAAUGUUUCUUUUUCAGUGGAUAAAUAUGUAUUCUCAUCAAUACUAUCUAAUACGAGCCAAAGCUAAUAACCUAGCCAAAGCAUGUAUUCAUCACUGAUAUUUAUAUAUGGCAAUGUAUUCAUCACUCGCUGGAAGAAAAUCCAAUAGAUCAUGCGUGCAGUGUUUGCAUGCAACUGUAUGUUCUUCAUGUCACUUAAUUACUUGCUGUACAUGACACACUAUUCAUGUUUCUUUACUGUUAAUCUCUUCCAUGUAGUUUAAGAAGGUUUUGCAUGCAACUAGUCGCACGUUCGCGCGACUAUAACCUUCCUAUCUAUUAGCUGCUAUUACAAUUAACAAUAAAUUUUCCACCAUUCAGCUAAAUCAAUAAUUAAUGUAUAGACUCAGGGUUUAUAUUCAUCUUAUUCGUGUUGUUUCCUGCUUUACUUGAUUUAAUAUUCGAAAAAAGUAUUUGGUCGGAAGUGCAUGUUCAAUACAAAUACUAUGUUGUUUUGAUAUGUAAUAAAUACAUAUUGUAAUGAAAAUAAACAAUUUACUAUAAUUACGCUAAACUUGUGAUAUUAUUGUAAGAAUCAAAAUUAAAUUUCACUACUACCUCGGAUUCCAAAUAUCCUGGGUCUACAUUUAAGUAAAAUUGCACAUCAUAAUUGUAACUAUGUUAUAAGAUUUGUUUGAGAUGUUAACUUUUUUUUUCUAUAUCUUUGUUUUGAUUGUUGCUGACUGAUUUAAAGUGUUAUAUGUAGAAUAAUUUUUCCCUCUUAUGAAAUUAUUUAAUUGGUUAUCUAGUCUAAGGACCGUUUGGGUUGAUUGGCCAGGCUAAGCCAGCCCUAGGCCUAUUUGGGAGGCCAACAUGAGAUAACCAAUAAGAGGUAAUGAGUGGCUCAAACUCUUCCUUCUCUCUAUAUUUUACUACUUCUAGAAGAUUCCUCAUUUCAAUGGCUAGGAUUCUUCCUUGCUAUUUUGUCAUUUUGUGAAUCCAACUGCUAUUUUUUGACAAAUCAUGUGGCUAAUUCUGGUUGCUUUUUGAGUUUUACUUUUCAAUUAGGUAGAUGUCUAUGCAUUGCAAUGCAAUGGAAUUUAGAGUAGGGAUAAGUCUAUUUAACACCCUUCAACUUUUUGCUUUGUUAAAAACACACCCUCGAACUAUAAAAUUGGUUUCUAACACACUCAAACUAUCAAAACCAGACAUUUACAUCCUUUAGAGGUUUUAGGAUGGUUUUGGUAUAGCUGGACAUCACUUUGGAUGCCACAUUUUAAAAAGAUCCACAUCAGCAAAGGGAAGUGUCCCAUUAGUCAGUUCCAUUCCACCCCUCUUCUUCUUCCUUCCCCUCUAACUCGCUCUCCCCUCUCUUCGUGGAGCAGUUAAAGUUGACAGCGAGCUCCAUCCGUGGAGAGACCCCCACCCUCUCGGCUUGGAGCUCCACGCUAUUUCGCCGCCGUUGGCAGUAACACUGCUCAACAAGCUCGAGUUGGAGGUGAAGAUGGCGCGGGCGACGACAAACUCUUGGUGGUGGAGGCCCUGCGGCAUCGACUCCUCCGUCGAGUUCAUCUUGGGAUCAAGGCCGUGCUGCCGGCACCCGUCUCUUUAACCUCGGCAAGGAGGGGGAGGGGGUGGGGGUGCUGGGUCUAGGGUGGUAGUGGCGCUUGGAUAGGAAGCCAUCUACGAGCUCCCUGAGCUUGACGAGGAGAGUGCCGACGGCGGUAGUGGUGGAGCUUGGGUAGGAGGGGACGGCAAAGGCUUCAUGGAGGAGAGAAUUGAAGAACCACACCUUGGUCUCGUACUCUCGUCGACAUCGGGGAGGAGAGAUACCUCCAAAUUUCAACUAGCCGUAGCCAGAUCAAGAUACAGUUGGGUCGAUCCGCAUCCAUCAACCCUCACCAGAGCUUGCCAAUAACCCCGUCUUCUAUGUGCUUGGCGAACCCUCUUCUUCGAGCUUGCUAACAGCCCCUUCACCAAUCACGGCCAAGGGAGCAGGCUCCGCGUCAAGCUUGUCACCAACCUCCCUCUUCCCUUGAGCAUGGCCAAGGGGGUGGGCACCGCAUCAAUCUCACUGUCAACCUCGUCAUGGCCACCGCCAACCUCCCUCUUCUCUCGAGCAUGGCGAGAUCUCUAUGGCCGACUCAAGCUCGGUGAGGGAGGGAGUCAAAAGAGUGAGCCAUGGCGGCCUCAAGCUCGGUGAGGGGUGAGCGAGUCGAAAGAGAGAGGGAGGAGGAAGAAACCACUCUAACUAGUAGGGCCAGCUGAUAUGGCAAUACCAAAAAUGCCACAUAAAAUCACAACUUUCACGGAGAAAGGAGAACAACUGUAUUUUAAAGUAGUAGAGAAGUGCAUAUCUCAAAGACCAAAUAUGCCACAUAAUAAUACAGCUUUCGCAAUACACAUUUGCUUUAUUAACCACUAAUGCAUGAAAGCCAACUUGAGCAUGAAUCGUUUAGCUUAGUUUGCUGGAGCCUGGAGACGCAAAAUAUGAUCAUGCAAACGUUCAGAAUUUUAUAUACUGUUUGAAGGUAUGCAGUUCGUCUCCACCCUUGCCUUCUCCCCUUGAUAAUCAAAAUUCCCCAUUUCCCCUAUGAAGCACAUCUUGACCUUCUCCCCUUGAAUCAUCAAAAUGAGAUGCAGUUUCCGGGCUACUUUUCAGAGUUUACUUAAUUAUAUGCUCAAUUACAUUGUGUUCAUAUGUGAUGAAUUAGUCGUUCUGUAGAGACAAAUGGGAAGGCGGGGUGAGCUGCAAAAGAGCGGAUGAGAAACGCUUUGCAUUUUUCUUUCAUAUUCCAUUUGUCAUCCACACUGUCUAUGUACCCUCAAAGAGAAUAUAUAUGCACUGUAUUAGCUACCUACAAGCUAUAUCAUCCACAAGUGUCAACCUCAUUCUUGAAGCACCAAAACAACGCUUCAGUAGAUCUUAACAAAGUACAAACUCAUUAUCUACCUGGAGGCUGGAGGGAAUCUCCCUUGUGCCACUGGGAAUAUGCCCUUGAAUUUUGUUUCUCCCAUUUAUGGUACUAUUUCCAAAUCUUAUGCCAAAACAUGCUGUGGACAUUGGCCAUGCUGUACUGAGGAACGCAAUGAUGAUUUAUGCCCCCAUCCUGUAUUAGACAAACUUAACGACAUACUCUGUUCUUCACUCAUGAUGGUGGUAGCUCAUCUGAAAUCAUUAGAGACAAGAAGUCAAGAACAUAAAAAGAACAAUUUAUGCUAUGGGCCAAACGGAGACAUGAGACACAAGUACUGUGUAUUUAGAAAAAGGGUAAUUACCAUAUUAUAAAAAGGGUAAUUUCCUCGAAAAUACGAUAACCAAGGAAACGGUUGGUAAAACAACAAAAUCAUUUCCAUUUCUGUUUCUAUUUUUAGAGUAAAGUCCAUCACCGGUCCCUAAACUUGUACCGCUGUGUCAUCCCGGUCCUUAAACUCGCAAAUCGACCGUUCAGGUCCUCAAACUUAUUCGACUAUGUCAUCCUGGUCCCUAAACUUGCAGAUCACUCGUUUAGGUCCUCCAACUUGCUCAGUUAUGUCACCUCGGUCCCUAAACAGGACGGUCUAAAAACUUUAUAUCAAAAAAUAAUUCAUAACUUUUUCAUGUGAACUCUAAUGAAGACAAACUUUAUAUCAAAAUUGUAGCCCUCGACGUGACCUACAACUUUUUAGUUGAAAAGUUUUUGAAUUAAAACCAUUUAGGGUCUCAAAAUAUUGUUGCAUGUUUAUAGAUUUUGAAAUUUUAAUUUCACAAUUACAUUUUGGGACAAAAAAUGACUUAAAAUAAAAAAAAAUCAACUACAAAGUUGUAGAUCACGUCGAGGGCUACAAGUUUGAUAUAAAGUUUGUCUUCAUUAGAAUUCACAUGAAAAAUUUAUGAAUUAUUUUUAAAUAUAAAGUCUUUAGACCGUCCUAUUUGAUCCAGAUGAUAUUCAAAUCCAAGUUUAGGGACCGGGGUGACACAACUGAACAAGUUGGAGAACCUAAAUGAGUGAUCUGCAAGUUUAGGAACCGAGAUGACACAGUCGAACAAGUUUGAGGAUUUGAACGGUCGAUUUGCGAGUUUAAGGACCGGGAUGACACAGCGGUACAAGUUUAGGGACCGGUGAUGGAUUUUACUCUUUUUUUUUACCAUUUCCAUUUUUGUGUCUGUCAGUAACCAUUUCCAUUUCUAUCAGUAACAAAUCAUGAACGAUUACCGUUCGGUCGGUAACAAAUCAUGAACUAUAGCCAGUCGGUCAGGAAUUACCAGGGGCACUGUUUUUCACAACUUCACCCGUAACUGACCACGGAGUGGAAACAGCGCCAGGACACCUUGUGCAUGCUCACUCCUGUUAUGCACUCGUGACAGCAAUGAGGAGGCACCAAGCCCAUAGUAUAGGCUUGUGGACCAGAACUGCAACAGCCACACUGGGAUGUACGCAGUGGAGGUGAGGCUGCACAGGCAUUACCCAACCUACAUGGAGGUGGCAAGAAAUGCAAAGUUUUCCCAGAAUGAUGCAUAUCAAUUAUCAAAGCAGUGGCUCGACCACCCCAGAUGAGCAUAUCAGAGGUGCGGUUACGCACUCGUUGCCCAUCCUAUGUUGAGGUGGCAAGAAAUGCAAACUUUUGCCAGAUUGAUGGAUAUCAAACCUUAACCAGCGACACGAUCACCCAGAUGAGCAUUAGAGGUGGAGAGAUGCAAUCCUCAUACUGCCCUGUUCUAGGUGCUUCCCUUUGGAUGUGUGAAUGCCACCUUGCCAUCCUUUAUAAGAAAUGGGAUGUGUCAAUUACGGAUGUAGAGUUUCCUUCUUUCUUUGGGUUUAUGUGUAAUCAGAUGGAGAGUAGAGGUGCCACUUGGAAUAAAAAUGACAAGUAGUACGUUUGGGCCAAACUGUGUUACCGCCCGAUGCAUAUUCCGGCAUAGGUUCACAAAGGAGUGCCAUAUAUGGGAGAAGCAAAAAUCUGGUGGCAUCCUUUUCCUUUGGGUUCUAGUUCGGGAACCGCCAGUUUUCUCAAAACAUGGAUUUGGUUUCAGGAUCUGGAAAUUUCUAGUGACACGUAAGGAAUUUUCCAACAAUUUCAGUUAUGGGCCUAAUGGACUUCAAACCAGGGAUUCCCAGUUUCAUUUUGGAAAUAGAUUCUGGGCGAUAACCAGAAAUUUCAGAAAAAAUAACACCUAGAAUUGUUUGAACUUUGAUUUAAGAAUAGAAAAGCGAAAAAGAAAGAAAAAGAAGAAGGCAAAGAGAGAAAAACAGAACAGUUCUCAUACCAUAAAUUUCUUUUUGUCAGCACAUAUGUGUUACCACUGAAGGAGGCAGGCGUUUCUGUGUUGGAAGACCUGUGUUUAAAGCCGAGGUAUUUCCUGCUUAACAUCAGAGAGAUGUAAACAUCGAGAGCUCACGUUUGCUUGUCUCUCAAUGAACCUGGUGUGAUUAAGCUCAAAUGAGUCAUCCAUAACAAUGAUUCAUGUAGGUCCCAUCGGUUGCCCAUAUUCCCUAAUAAGCCAAAACGGCUUAUUAGAGAAUAAAAACUAACUUAUAGGUAAAACUUUUAUAUAUGUGUUCUUAACAACUUAAAAGCCAAUACUAAAAAAGAACUACGUUGAAAAUAUUUUAAAAUCAACUUCAAAAUUAAGUUUGAAAAUUCAAAUUUUGGCUUUGGCUUAUUAGGGCAACCGAUGGGGCUCGUAAUAUAUGCAAGCUCAUCAAAACAGAAACAAAAUAAGAGAUACCAAAAUAUUCCCUCCAUUUCAUAUUAUAAGUCGUUUGACUUUUUUUCUUAAUCAAAGUUCCUUAAGUUUGAUCAAGUUUAUAGAAAAAUAUCCUAACAUUUUCAAUACAAAACAAACAUAUUAUCAAAAUAUAUUCAAUGUUAAAUUUAAUGAAACUAAUUUGGUGUUAUAAAUGUUGCUAAUCUUUUCUAUAAACUUGGUCAAACUUAAGAAACUUUGACUAAGGAAAAAGUCAAACGACUUAUAAUAUGAAACGGAGGGAUUAUAUUAUUGCAUGAUAAAUUCAUAGUCUUCUUGAAAUGAUAAUUAGAGUAGGACGUAUCAUACUUAUUUUUUCUUGCAUAGUAGCAGCAAAAUCCAUGCCAUUUUCUCUCCAGAUAUAGGGAAGGACAUUUUGAAACAUAUAUAGUGUUGGAUGAACUCCAGAGUCCUCCAUCCACUGCAAAACCUACAGGCACAAAAAAUAAAGCUCAAAUAAAUAUCAGGUUUUGACCUAUUACUCUUGAAUCUAGCUUGUUGCAAGCGGUAUUCUGAGAUGAUCAGAUGAUGUAAAAAUGAGAAGGGGCCUUGUUACCUCAAUAUACUUUCUCCAUUUCCCAACAACUAGGAGAUUUCUAAGAACAACCGCAUAAGUAGAAAGACCCACAGUAGAACAUGAAGUCACCAUCUUGUAAAACAGCUGCAUAAGAGAAUCAAAUAAUUAAUGUAGGGAAACAGAACUGUAAAUGCAGAUCAUUAUUUCUCUUACAAGUGUAGUGGCAUGUUUGUGAUUCCAUGGCUUCCUCAAGUAUCAAUGUGUAUUGAUGUGAGAAGGUGAUGAACUGAUGAUUUAAAACUAGUCAAGAUAAAAUUGUUCUUAUUGCUAAAUCCAUUUUUAUUUUGGACAAGGAGCAGCAGGAAAAUAUAGGUGGUACAUGGAAGUAUGGAAUUACUGGUAGUACAUUGAUACUUGAACCUUCAGACAUUCAAGAAAAACAAUUCACUGCCAAAUAAGUAAGAGUAGAUGAAAUCAUAAAAUAUUUGUCAACUCCUCUGAAAAGGAGAAUCCUAUAAAUCUAUUUGAUUAUGCUGAGGACAAACAUAUUAAAUGAUUAUAUGUUUGGGAGAAAUAUAUUGUAUUGUGUCAGUGUGGCAAGGCCGUUAGUUCCAUAUCUAACCAAAUAUGGACUUCACUUUUAUAGAAAUGAACAGAUCGAUAGUUUUUUUCCCCCCUGAACAUGUAGGAGAACUGCAUCCCUUUGCAUUAAAAAGAAAGAUAUCCACUAAAACUAAAAACCAUACCACACCAAAAACAGAGUAAUGAAGCAUGUAUAUCCAUUGCACUGCAGAAGUUGGAUAUCUUUCUUUGGGUCUUAGAAAGAUAUCCACUAAAAUUACUGGAAUGACAACUAUGUUCUUAGAAAGAUAUCCACUAAAACUAUAAACUACCACACCAAAAACAGAGUAAUGAAGCAUGUUCUGAAAUGACAACUAUGUUCUGAAGGCCAACUAUACCUUCAUCAUGUUCUCUGUCUUCCCACAUUUUCCAAGAAAAUUUAAAACAUGGUUUAGUGUUCCAACAGAAAUGGAUGAGAGCGAAGAAUCCAAAUAUUCAAUCAUCUCACUUGCUGUUUUCCAGUCACGUAUCCUGUUAUGAGGAAGCAGAACAAAAUAGAAUAUUGAGUUAUUCAAUGCAUCAAAAGCUUGUAAACAACAUAACACCAGAUGUGUGCGGUAAAAAGGAAUUUGUUUCUGCUCAACACUUGAAACCACCAAUAUAUCACAAGUCCAAUACAAGUUACAUGAUGAAAGCAUGGCAGCAUGCCAUGAUAGCCUGAUUAUCUAAACCUACAAACAGUGAUAAUGAAAGGAGCAGAGGCUCACUGGCAAGUUGCUGUAGCCCAUCAAGGAAAAUGAAAUUAUCAAUGAGCUACAAUCCGAAUUGUGUAAGCGAACAAAUGUAGAUUGCCAAUACAGUAACCCCAACAUUCAAUUGAUUCAAGUUGUCAAUUACUGGAAUCGAAUUAACACUACACAGAACAUUCCACCCUGCUAUCUUAAUAAACUUGAAACUUCAUACUGUUUUUACCUAUUAAAAACUUAUCUUUUAUAUCGCAUGGUUGCUUAAGAAGAACAAGCAGAUGUUUGUAAGUGACUCAAAUGGUCACCUGAUUAAAAUAAUCCUAAAGCAAAGCUGCACAUGACAGGUAAGAUGACUGAGUCAUGUACACCUAAAAGCCAUAAACACGAUGAUACCAAAGCAAGUGUGAAUGCAUAUUUAUAGUGUUACUAGAUCAGCAGAUGUUGCACACUGCUCAGAUAAUAAUAAUAGACCUAAGUUACCAAUUUAGAAUUGCCUGUUCGACUUAAGACAUCAGUAAACGUACAUGGUGCAUGAAGCUAUUAUCUCAAAAUAAGAUUUUUGGUUCAACGGGAUGGAUUUUUUCUUCAUGAAUUCCAUCAAUUGAAGGACUCUUUCAGGUUCGCCACCCUUAUUGAAUGCUUCCAUGAGAGAUGAGCAUAUAAUGGCAUCUGGUGGAAUACCAUUUACUUCCAUCUCUUUGAACAGGUCCCAAGCUCUCUUCCAACCACCUUAUGGUCCAUAAGAACUAAAAGAUCAGUUUAAAUUCUUGAGAAGCUAAAUCAAUUAAUCAUAAUAACAAAAGAAUAUUACCACCAGCAUUAUAGGCUUGGAUCAAUGUAGUAUAUGUCAAAACAUCAGGAAAACAGCCUGAUUUUUUCAUAGAACUGAAAGUAGAUUCUGCUUCAGAUAGUUUGCCCUGAAUACAAAUCAUUGUUAGGAUAGCAAACUUUUUAGAGUAAACAACAGAGAAAAUAAGAGCAACACUUGCCUGUUUGAUAUACGAAUAAAUCAAUGAAGAGUAAACCUCCUUGGUUGAAGAAACCUUGGAGUCCACCAUGUCCUCAAAAAAUCUCAAAGAUUCCGUAUACUUUCCUAAUUUACUAGAUCCACUGAUGAGUAUAUUGUAGGUUACAGCAUCUGGUUUCACAUUGCUCUCCCUCAUUGAUGUAUACAACUCCAAAGCUUUCUCAUAAUCUCCAAAACUUAAAUAACUUUUAAUGCCGGAGUUGUAAGCAACUGUAUUUAGAUCAAUACCUCGGGACCUAGCUGCUUCAAGAAUUGUCUCAAUUCUUGUUAUCUGCCUGCAGCGACCGCAGGCAGCCAACAGAGUACUUAUGGAAACAACAUCUGGCUGAAUGCCAUCUUUCUCCAUUUCAUGCAGCAAGCCAACAGCUUCCUUCAACAUUCCCGCAGACCCAUAGGCAUCAAUAAGUGCAUUGUAACUGACUUUAUUUGGUUUGCAUGAGUUCUUCUUCAUCUUGUUAAAGACCUCCCUAGCCUUCUCAGGCUGUGCAGAUCUACCAUAUGCAUUCAGUAAGGAGGUAUACGAAACUAUAUCAGGUCGUAACCCAUUUUUCUUUAUUAAAUUAAAAAUUGCCAAGGCCUCUCUAUGCAUACCUCGUGAGGCAUAUGCACCCAAAAGCGAAUUAUAUGCUACAAUAUUAGGCUUCACUCCUUCAGCAACCAUCAAAUCAAAGAUUGCUUUGCAAUUUUCAACUUGCCCAUAAAUACAAUAAGAAUGCAUGAUGCUAGUAUAUGUAACAACAUCUGGAGGACAUUUGGUUCUUCUCUCCCUCAUUGAGUUAAACAAUUCAAUAGCUUCCCCACACUGUCCAAUCUUUACAAGGCAAUGGAUGAUAAUAUUUAACGUGAAAGUAUCAGAGGUGACAUUUGCUCCUUUCAUUAUUUCAAAAUAAGAUAUUGCUUUUGAGUACUGAGCUCCAUUCUUGAGAGCAGACAAGACAAUGUUGUGUGUAACCAAAUCUGGUCCCACACCAUUUUCUGUCAUUUUCUUACACAGUUCUAAAGCUUUUUUCCAGUUGCCAGCAGCCCCACAUGCAUUUAUCACAUUAUUAUACGUAGUCCGGGUAGGAGGUAUCUGCAGCAAAAGUCCGGAACACAACCUUCUUUAAUAAACAAUUAUGGCAACUAAACUAAAAAAAUGAAAUAUAUAAACUUUGCUGGUUUUCUAAUAGUCUCUUUGCAUUUCAAUAACGUAAGGACUGAUGAGGCAAUCAACAGUGAUGUGUCCUUGCACAAAGUGAGUGCAUGGAGCCAAAAACUUUAUAUGGUUCCAAGAUUCUCUUCAAAUUCAACCCAUAUUUUAGAGAGAAAAACUUCAACCCUUAAUCAAGCAAUUUUACCUUACUCAACAAACUCCCUUAAAACAGGAUUGCAUUUCUCGCUCUGAACCUCUGGUAGUUGCAAAACAUGUUUUUCCUGUUAUUUUUUAACUCUUCAUUAUUUUCUUUGGUGCACUAAAUCUACCAUAGCCAUUACUAUGUAUAGUAGAAAACAGAAGGACCCUAUUGGGUUUAUAGAUGAAAAAUUAGCUCAAUAUCAAGAAUGGUUAUAGCGAAAUGAGGAAAGCAAUAAACGCAUUGUACUCAUUGUAAAGAAGAAGCAUUUCCAAAAUUAUUUAUCUAAAAUGAAUAAGGUUAAAAGCACAAAAGUUAAUGUUUUGUAUUACUUCGAAAAAUAAAACACACAAACACAUCAACUUAGGCAUUUGCAAGAUGAGAAAGCAAGAAUAUAGGGUUUAUGUUUCAAGGAAUGAUACUGACAGCAGCACGAAGCAUAUCUUCCAUAAUGUUGAUGGCCCAACGCCAUUGACCAGCUCGAGAAUGAGCAUGGAUGAGGGAAUUGUAUAUAUCAGCAUCAGGUUUACACCUAAGGUUAUAAAUGUCAGUAUUUUGUCCAAAAAAAAAAAGAGAAGGAAAUGACAGAUAAUGAAAAAUGAUAUAUUUCUUAUCACAGUAGUGGAAAACAAAAUAUAGAAAUAGCAACCACAUGGAAAUUGCACUUAGUAUUACACAUAUUACAGUUUAUUAUGAUAAAGUAUAAAUUUCCUACAUGCGAGAUCAGCAACCAUCACUUGCGCUGUUCCCUAGAUGAUCUGGGAAGAUUUUGGAUUUGCAAACUCAAACAAAUUGAACCAUAACACAAACAUGUUAUUUGUAUAUAGACAAGUUACCGACGAGACAAUUACUCAAUUAUGAGGUGAUAAAUUUUUUUAGUAAUAUCAGGCAAAACUCUUUUUGAUGGUUGAAGGAACGCAGAAGCCAAAUUAAAACCUUAUGUCAGAAAUAUAUGUUAUAACAUUCAUACCGCCAUUCCUGCAUCUCAAAGAACAGGCCACGUGCCUGAUCAACCUGGUUAUGCCUCGCAUAUAGUCGUAUCAUCAUGCCAUAAAUGUCGUUACGAGCACAGUAGUUAUCCUGAUUUUUCAUCCAGCAGAACACAUGGACAGCAUGCUGUAAAUUCCCAGAAAUUGUGAUCUCCUACAAGUGAUACAACAUGUGUAAGCGCGUUAUUACCUGAAAAGGCUAGUUUUAUGUUAGCAAAUCGAGAGAUUUGAGCCUCGUCUACAAAAUUUGCAUGUGCAGCUGGUACUACCAUAACAACACAGCUAGAUCGAUUGAAUUGUUCAUGAUUUUUGUAAUUUCAAGCAAUCGAUAACAUUUUGGCCCCAAAACCAGUUUGUCAUUAGUGCCUCCACGCAAGGCAACCAUGGCAGCCACAUUGAUGUAUAUCAUCAGCAAUUUUCAAUUCAUGAAAUGCUACAGAGCGUGGGGAUGAUGGCCUUACGCGGAUGAGGAGAGGGAAGUUGCGGCGGGCGAAGCGGCCGGCCCAGCAGUUGAGCACGGCGUCGACGGCGCGGGCCUCGGCGCGCGGGAGCGCGAGCACGCGCGCGGCGGCCUCCGACACCUUCCAGUCCCGCUGCCACCGGCUCCCCUCCACGCGCAGGCGGUGGCGCGCGGGGAGCGAAGCGGCGCCCACGCCCUCCACCUCGGCGCGGGCCUCGCGCCGGCCCCGGUCGUAGUCCACGGACACGGCGGGGCGGCGCUCCGCCCACCCCGGCGGCGCGGCGCCCGGGUGCGCCAGCCGCGGCCGCGGCGGCCGUGGGGGCGCGCGGACCACGCGCGUCCGGGCCGGUGACGCUGGCGCCGCCGCGUCGGGCGUCGCAGCCGGCGACCGCGGCGGCGGCGGAGCGGAAGACAUCGCGGCGGGUGGUGGAGGGGGGGAGAGAAGCUUUACCGUUGGGGCGGUGUGAGAGCGGGUUUUCCGGAUAAGGGGCGAUCUUUUCCUCAACAGAAAAACCAGGAAAUGAACUCCAUCCGUCCUAAAAUAUCCUCGCGAAAUUAGAAUCAGAUUCGUAAAACGAGAAAGCAUUCUGUUAUAUCCUAGAUUUUUAUAUUUUAAAAAUAAGAUAGUAAUUUACAAGCACCCCAAUCUAAAAAUAUCACCGUAGAAAUGCUUUUAUUUUAGAAACUAGGUGAAACCCUACGUGUUAUUGUAGGAGUUUAGUAUUAUAAUAAUAUAAGUAAAAAAUAAUGCGUAACAUAGCUAGACAACAUAAACUAAAGUAAGUUGAUGUGAUUUAUGAUAAUUUAAAUUUAAAUAGUAUAUAAAAUGAUGAUUCAAGAUAUCAUUUUUUCAAUACGAUUUUGUAUCCGCCAAAAAGAAAUACCUGGAUUCGGCUCCGAUACCUAUGUAAACAUAUGGGUAGAUUAUUUUACCCUGAAAUUAUUACAGAUUAAUAUGGACAGACGGGAAAUACAUGUCCCGUUUUCACCCCUUGAUUCGAUCUUACCCGUCCUAUUUUCACCCCUUGAUUCGAUCUUAUCCAUUCCCGUUCUCUCUCUGAGUCGUCGUCUUCCUCCUUCGCCUCUCCUAUUUCACCCCUCCCUCCCCCCUCCUCUCCAAUACAGCAAAGAACUCCUUUAUGCAAACAUAGCGGCCGUGAUAAUAGGGCUUUUAUCUAAGGGUAAAUGGGCAAACGGGCACGAUUACCAUGGGCAGCCUCCCUCCAACCGAAGUACCGAACCUGCGCCGAGGGAGACAGUGCUUCUAUGGGCCGGAUUUUGUCGCCGUGGGCCAGGUGAGCCCGCUCGUUUUUGCUAACCUCGCUGGUUGCCGUCCGAUGCAGAUCGUGCGCUCCAUCUCCCCGCUAUUUCCCUCCCUCUGACUCCGAAUCCGAAUCCGUAGUCGAGUCUCUCCCCCCUUCGGCGUAAAAAGGAGAAGAGAAAUCCCCCGUCUCCUCCGCUCCUUGCGACAAGAACAGGGGGAGGGAGAGGCGCCGAUCCCCAUCUGCUCGAGCAAAGCAGCGGAGGGGAGGGGAUCCUGCAGGUGAGCAGCAUCCAUCCACAUCCUCCUUCUGAUUCAUGGAUUCAUCUCUCUCUCUCUCCCACCCCUACUUUUGUCUGGAAUUCGCUUUGUGUGCGUUCGUUAACCCUAGCUUUCUCUUGUAGAUCUGGAAGAAGCUCAUCUCUUAAUUUCAGAGAGAGCCUCAACCUUUUGAUACAAGAGUAACAGUAUUGGGGGUUCAUCUGAACCCCCAAAUGUCCCAAGUUGGAUCCGCCCCUGAGACGAUGGAUCUGGAGACGGAGAAUCGUCUUGCUUCUUUACUUCUCGAGGAGGCGAGGAGGUUGCAGGCGGAGGCUGACAGGGAAGGUGUUCACGCAUAUCUGCGAAAGCCCAAUGUAAGGCACCGUCCGAAUUCGCGCUUCCUUACGGCCACAGUUCGUGGAGUUCAGCAAGGUUAGCAUCGUAGUUUCGAUUUAUCGUUAUUCCAUACUUGAUACCUCCUCCUGUUGAUUGAUUAGCUAUCCAAGGCAACUAUAAUAAUUUCUUAGUUUCUUGACUCAUUGUUAAUCGUUUGGUAGACUUUUAUCUGGAAUUGAAUUAUUUUUUAUAGAACAUAUUAAUUUUAUUGUUUGCCCAAAAAAAUGUCUGUUCCAUGUCUUAAAGGAGAAUUAUAGGUGUGGUUAAACACAAAAUAUAAACCAAUCGUGUAAAACUUACUUCCUUUGUCUAGGAAUGAUUCGCUGGAUAGCAAGUAAUGACAAUCUCAUAAGUAUAGCUGAUCUCAUGUUGCUAAUUUUCUUGUCCAAAGAUAUCAGCGGUGUUCUGGUUGUCUACUUACUGAAUUGGCAUGAUAUGUGCUGUUCACCUACAGCGAACCGUGUUGUGGAGGUCAAUGAAAUGUGGCGUGCCAGAGAGAAGGAACUUGAACUGGAGUCUAAGAUGAAAAGGAGUAGAGGUCUUGGUGACGCCAGAGGUGAAAAACGCAAAAGUGACUUGAGAAACCAGAGUUCCAGUCCAAGGGUUGAAGAAGAAGGCAUAGCUUAUAACAGUUCAUAUUCGGAUCAGGAGGAUGGUCUAGGGGACGAUGACAUUGAGAAGUUUCUUCAUUCGAGGUCUGUAUUUUCUAUCUUUUGGUUGUUCUACUACCAACAUUUUACACAAGUAGCUAUCUGCAAUGUUGCUGACAGAGAUGUAACUUUGGUCUGCUAUAGGGUGAAGCGAGGUCGAGGGGCCGUUGGUUCUAGGAUGGAUGAGCCUGGUCCAUACCUUAAUGUUGCAUCUCGUAGUCAAGAGAACGAACCUAAUGCUGAUACUCAGGUGGAAGAAAAAUGGGAACGAAGAGUACAAGGCCCGGAGAAACCAGUGUCUUUGAGAUCAAGAUCACCUGAUGACUAUUGGCGUAGGGAAGCACUAGAUGGAGAACCUUCCAGCCCUGAACUCCACAAGAAAAAAGAGAAGAAGAAGGAAAAGAGUUCAGAGAAAAAGGACAGGAAAGAGAGAAGGAAGAAAAAAGACAAGAAGAAAUCUAAGCAUCGCCACCACCACCAUCACAAAAGUCGGCAAAGGGAGUGAUUGUUCUGCUUGCUGAGCAUAAAAAAUGUACACAAGAAACAUGUUAGCUUCUAAUUGCUACUGUUACUUCUCACUUGAAACAUGUUGUACCAAAAACUUGAUAUCGUGUGGAAUGGAGAACUGUUCUUCUCACACGGAGUGUUGAUACAAAGCCAUAUGUUAGAUUUUAGUGCUCUCGUUGGUCUUGUGUAUUUAUUAUCAUGAUGACUAAAUCACACCCUCGUUAAUUAGGAAUAACGUGGUUUUGGUAGCUAAAUGUUACAGCUUCCAAUCUUAUCUGCAACUAUUGUAUGUUGUACAAAUCGUACAAAUCGAUCAAAUUUGUAUGCUGUCUGUCUGUCAGGCAAGGAUUCCUCAAUUGGAGCACUUUGGAGUCCCUGUUUACUGGCAUUCUAGUUUCACUUUCACAUCAGUAGCCCAGAUCAGAUAUUCUGACUCAGAACUUUAAAACGCUGCUGAUUUGCACUUUGCAGUAUGACCUCAUGAUAAUCCUCCAAGCAACAUGUACCUUCGAGAGUUCUUCCCUAGAACUUUCAUUUCGAAAAAAAAACAAAUUCACAAAAAUAAAGAGAGAUUUUUCUCUCCUUUAAGAAUUAGUUUACAUUUCCUGUUCAUAGCCUGAUAAUGCAGCAUAAUCUGUGGAACUUCAUUUGAGUAUCGAUCAAAACAGUUCAGUACCCUUGCUGAGAGGGUGAAAAAGAACAUAGGGAUGACAUGAUUGUUCAUAUGUAGUUGCACAAAUGUUUACAGGAUUACAUGACAUAAAAAAAAUGUAAGAAUGAAAAGAUAAUGACCUAGAGUCUACCACUUCUGUUUACGCCUGAAGGCAAUCAGUGGAACGCUAAUCGAGAUUUAUGGGCUCUGUACAGUAUAAUGCAAUGUGUAUUGAAGGACUGGAUUCGACAAAAUCUAUCUGCAAAAAACAAUGAAAUUGUUACUAAUCAGAUCAAAUGAUCAGAAGCAUAAUAAGGGACGAAGUGAAGAUAAGUAGUAGUAAAUAGGCAUGUGGAAUAUGGUUAAACUGAUCAUGUAAACAUCAUUCACAAACAAGCAUGAUGAGCAGUGAUAUUUGAUAGCUUAAGAAUAGUUGUGCCAAGCGAAAGAGACUUAAUUCUGGAAGGUUAGUAAGAAUCAACCACAUGUUCGAUAAAUAAAAUGGUUUCAAGUUUCAACAUACACAAAGAAGUUAAUGACCAUUGUACUAUUCUAGCUGCUGUCAUUGAGAUGGUUUGGAGAUUUCAAGUAGUCAAGGUAAUUUGUAUAUUUUGAGAAUUUUUGUUGGGACCUGUAAUGACUACAAAAAAUUAACAUACUCAACAACAUGUUUAAAUUUAAAAGUGUAUAGCGAAAUUGUAUCAGUUACUCCCACUCAUUCAUUGUGCAGGUCAGUCAAAGCUACUCUAUGAAGAAAUGGCACUUUAGCUUAGUAAGUGGCUAUUGCCUUAGAACCAUGAGGCAUAUGUCUGAACGAUCAUGAUUAACCUGCCUCUUUCUUAAUAAAAGAGAAUAGCCAAACCUAUAUCUCAUUGCAAACUACAAAUAGCUGAAAUUUUAGAUUGAACAAUCGAAAAUUUGAAAUGUUGUCAGCGAAAUACUCCCUCCGUCCCAAUAAGUAGCAACCUAGGAUAGGAUUAGACCCAUCCUAAGACUAGGGUAUGUCCAAAUUCGUAGUCCUAGGAUGGGAUUAGACCCAUCUUGCUACAUAUUGGGACAGAGUGAGUACUCACAUUGCUUAGCAGUGAAAAGUACAAAACAUAAAAGGUGAGAAAGAUAGCACUGAAUCUAUUUUCUUUAAGGGAAAGCAUUGUGCUGUGCAAGUUCCUCAACAUCCAUGGCUAUUGAGCAACAAGAAACAACCAAGAGAAGGACCUGAGGCAAUCACCUGCAUCAAUGAAUGAAGGAAGAAUGGCCCAGGAGGAUUCAGCCAACAACAAAGGGGCUGAUCUCCCCGUUCCGCAUGCCGCGGGCUAUCUCACCGGCGAUCACCAGGCACGUUGAAACCCAGCCGGCGAGCACCAUCCACACCAUGUCCACAAUGUGAGCCGCAAGCCCCCACGACAUCGUCAUCCUCGCACUCUUCUCCCUCAAUUUCCUCUCCUCUCCAGCCUUUCCCUACAGCUGCUUCCAGGGAGGCAAUUCCACAAACACCUAGCCUGCAAGCCCACAAGGAACCCCCAACAGUUUGCCCCCCCCCCCCCCCCCCCAAUCAUGAGUGAGCCGACAAGAUGCCAUGGAGGUGAACAAGGGUUAGAUCUAUCUAGUUCUCCAAUAAUUGAUUCCAUCUUCUAAUCGAUGGGAUUGACAAGGCACAGAACAAUUACCUCUGUAUAAUCCUGAGAUGGCAAAUUCACCUCACCAUGCAACAACAGAAUCGACUCCAGUUUGCAAGAACCCUUCACCCAUGGCAGUGAUUGAAUCAGGAUCUUGUGUUUCACCACCCCAGCACGUACAAUUCUUCUCCUGCUUCAAUAAGAUUGGAAACCAAAUAGACCUUGGGGAAUCUUCAGACUCUUCAGAGUGGGACUGUUUCCCCCUUUGCUUCCGCCCUCAGAUUCUACCAAACCAUGGACGGAUAGAUCCUUAAAUUUAGACGGAAUCAAGAAGAGAUAAGACAGGAAAAAUAAUUUUUUUUAGAAAAUACACCAUCAAGUUUCUUGCUUGCUUUCCCCAAACUCUUGCCUUUCACCUGUCGCUGUCAAACUGACCCAACUGAGCAAAUUCAAGAAACACCUAGGACCAACCUGCACAAGAACCAACUGGAGACUGCCACAUAGGAGUCUCUGACCAGGAAUUUUGGAGGAGAUCCUCAUCCAAAUUGGUUUAUCCAAUCGUCUUUAUCUGUUUGGUUAGAGGAUUAGAUAGGGGAUUUGGACAAGUAUACAAGUAUUCUUCAGUUUUGUCUCAUCGUCAAUUCGUCGAAAAACACCUGCCCUCCAGGUCAGCACAGUACAUUGAACAGAAAAGGUUCUACUGCUGAGUAAAUGCAGAUUAAUCAUUUUUUUUAAAGAAAUACAGUACAGACACACGCUCAUAACAUGCACACUCACGUUAUAAACGCACACACGGACAUCUCAUUAUCGAUUGGUAUGUCAUCUACCACUAAAAAAAUAAUCGAUCUUUGACUCCAUCAACAGUUGUCACAAUAUAAGCCAUUGGCUUGUUGAGCUUUUCAAACCCAAUCUUAAAUUGUUGCAAGCAUUUUUUUUUCAUCGUUUUUUUUUUCUAGCCCAAGUCCUACUCGAAAAAUAAUAUCUUGUUGACUUAUUUAUUUUUGUACAGCAUGUGAGUCUUUUUUUUUCAUUUCUCAUACAUAUUGUGUUUGCUUCCCUGAGCCAGUUCCGGCUUAUAAGAUUUGAGUUGAUUCCAUCAUCUCCUCUCUAUGCUACAGUAGCUAUUCUUAAUUAAUUGAAUAUUGAUAAGUACUAAUAAGUUCUCUAGAUCUUUUUUAGAAAAAAAGAAAAGUUCUCUGGAUUGUUGGGUCAGAGACUCAUCCAAAUUUGGGCCAGGCUCUGGGUCGGCCUGCUGUCACUAGGCCAAAAGUCAUGAUCCAGUGGCCCAGAUCUUAUUAGGUCCCUCACUGUCAUUAGGAAAAUAAUUUGGGGACCAGGUGACCCUGCUUAAAAAGUUGGGUUAUGUUCAAAGCAGGGUCUCCUAAUCUCCUAUGAUUAUUUUCCGGAUUUCAAGCAUUGCGAUAGAUAAUAUAUAGCGGGUUGGUCGUGAAUUAAUCUCUUGAUAGCAGAUUGUGUAUAGAGAGUGCUAUAGCGGCUAGUAUGUUCCAACAUACUUCCUCCGUUUGUAAAUAUUUGACGCCAUUGAUUUUUUAAAACAUGUUUGACCAUUCAUCUUAUUAAAAAAAUUAAUUAAUUAUUAAUUCCUUUCCUAUCAUUUGAUUUAUUGUUAAAUAUACUUUUAUGUACAUAUAGUUUUACAUAUUUCAAAAAAAUUUUAAAUAAGACGAACGGUUAAACAUGUGCUAAAAAGUCAACGGUGUCAAACAUUUAGAAACGAAUGGAGUAUUAUCUUGGGUCCGCUAACUUUGUAGUGCUAGCAGUAGAGGACUACCAACAUUAUAGCGGUCGCCAUUACGGCCACUGCAAACACUAUAUUAAUUACCUUGCUUCCAAGUAACUGAGCUACAUGUGUAGAAGUCUAAGAAGUGGAUCUGAAGUGUUUGGGUUAAAGUCACUAUAUUAUUUAUAUUUACUAGCGUAUAAUAUCCAUGCGUUAGAUCAGAAUUAAGGAAACAUUGUCAUUAAUACAUUCUCGGCACAACAGGCGGGUCCUUUGGCCCCCACGCACAAACUCCAUUUUUUCCCUUCACAACAGUGUGCAGGGAGUUGAUGGUGUGAGUGAUGGAUGCGGAUUGACCAUUCAUCACACCUAGUUGUUUCAUUUAAAUUAGUAUAUGUAUACCUAGAAGGUAAUAUCAUGGUUUAAGCAUGACCAAUGAGUUUAUUUUUCUUCUAGAAAGGUAUAAUUAACAAGUUAUUACUUUGUUACAAUACCAAAGCGAAUCGAUUUUCUUUUGAUUCAUCACUGUAUGUACGUAGUAUGUGCUGACUUAUCAUCAAAUUUACACUUGAAAAGAAAAUUGUGCUGAUCUUUCAAAAAUAAAGAAAAGAAAAUUGUGCGCGGUUCGUUGUUUCAAUUUGUUCAAACAAGGUAAAAAUAUGAAAUACUACUCAUCACCUGCUCUUUAUUGCCCAUCACAUGAUAAUUACACACCGUUGCAAGAACAAGCAUAGCACGCGACCAUAAUCAUUUUAUUCGUUUGAUAAAUAAAUAAUCUAGAAUAUAACAAUGGCGAUUAUUAUUUAUCAUUAAACAGCAUCAGAUAUCAAUUAAUCACCAAGUGGCAACGGCGCGAUCCGCCGUCGUCGGCGCGCGUGUCGAGGUCGCACUCGUCGCGCCCGGGGAGCCCCUCGGCGAUGGCGGCCAUGGCCCCCUUCUUGCACGCCAGCGGCGCCUCCUCCUCCUCGACGAGCACCUCCACCAUGGCGCGCAGCGCGUCGCAGCGGCAGCGCGCCGCCACCUCCCUCAGCUGGUGGCAGCACCGCGCCCGCACCCCCGGCGGGUCGCCGCCGCCGCACCGCCGCAGCAGGUACGCCCGGCACCCCGGCAGCGGGUCCUUGGGCACCACGCCCUGCCCCGGCUCGCACCCAUCCGCCGCGCGCGCGACGCCGCCGUAGUACUCCUCGCCGCCCGCAGCCGCCGCGACGACGGCGCCGACCACCACCACCAUCAGCGCCACCAGCGCCACCGCCACCGACGACACCGAGAGCUUGCUGUUCUUCGACGCCAUUGUCGCCGUCAGGAAGAGAAAUCGAUGAGCAGUGCAAGGUUUGGGUUGUUGGGGGGGGGGGGGGGUGGUGAGAUUUUAGAUGGUUGGAAAAAGGGAGAGAAAUGGAAGCGUGGGGAGGAAGACGAACAGUUGCUUUUUUUGUUUUUUUGAAUUUGCCGGGAAGCGAAGCUACGUGGAGAGGGCGUCGUGCAUGGCGCGCGCGGGAAUUGUCAGUGGGCGUAAGGGAUUAGCGUCCAAAUUAAACAAAACGAAUUCAUCAGUGCAUUUCCAGGGCCGGGCUGCCUACUUGCUUAAUGGGCCGUGAAAGAUUGGGCCCAAAAGGGACCUGCACGAAUCUCAACUCGAUCGGACAAAGGGUCUCAUCUUUUCGCUUAUACUUAUUCUUAUCAGACAAAAUUUGAAUUUUUAAACUUAAAUUUGGAUUUGAUUUUAAGAUUUUUUCAUCGAAGUUUAUUUUUCAAUCUUUGCUUUUAAAUCGCUAAGAACACGUAUAUAAAAGUUUAAUUCACAAAUUACUUUUCGUUUGCAAAUAUGUCGUUUCGCUUAUUCAGCGAAACGAUGGCUCCGGAAGGGUUUACUUACUACUGGGCCCGCAUACUACCUCUCCCUUUGUGUUUCCACUCACCCCGCCUAUAAAAAUACCGCCAUUUCAUCAGUAUACUAUUUACUAUAGCAUUUAUUCAUUUGUAUUAAAAUAUACUUAUCAUUGAGACCAUGUAAAGCAAUUUAUGUGACUUCUAAUGUCCAAGUUGUCAACCUCUAUUCUCUCGUUUUCUGCACGCACACUUACCGAACCACUAAAUGAUGUGUUUUUUUAAUAAAAGUUUCUAUAAAAAGGUUAUUGUAAAAAUAGUUAACUUUGGCGUGAAGGACUAAUACUUCGGUUUCAAUUUGCCUCACGAAGAAAAGGGUGGAUGGAGGAAGAAGAUUGAUCUGACCGGUGGGUUCCAUGAGUAGAUGAGGAAGAAGAUGGAGAAGGAAGGAGAUGGAUGGAAAAUGUGAUGGCAGUGGUGGUACCAAUUUUGUAAAUUUUCAAUGGCAUGGUUACAAAUAGAUGAAUUGUAGUAGCAUUUAUCUGAAUCAACAUAUUUAUAAUGGCAUGGAUCCAAUUAACCUAAAAAUCAAUACGUACUAGCCCUCUUGGAAUCGUCUUUUUCGUACUGUAACUACCUUUUACUCUAGUUCGUCCAUUUUUAUUGGUUUGCAUUGUAAAUUAACCAUCCAUCCUUGCUGUAAAAGUGCGAAUCUGUUAAUCCUGAUGGGUGUUUACCCCAAUUUGUCUAAAUUUAAUAUGCUAGCCGAUUUUGAUCUCAAUUAUCAUCUUGGUCAGGAGUUUUUCUAGAUCACGGUUAUUAGCGAUUAUAUUCAUAUCCUAAGGCUCUCGGUGGUACAUCGUGGUGAUUGGUCCCUGAAAAAAGGGUCAACAAUGGCAAAUAUGCAAUUUAUUUCAAGGCCCCUGAACCAUAUUAUCUGAAAGUUUACUUGGUACGUAUUAUCUAAAAGUUUCCUCUAUAUAUGGUUGGCUGUUUUUUCUUUUACCUUUUUCUGAUUGCAUGUUGUCCCUAGGGACUAGUAAUUAUAUUAUAUAUUUCAGUGUCCCUCUUGCACAAAGGAAUUAAAGAACAAUUCGAGCGGGCUAGUGAAUCAACAUAAGAACAUCGAAGUUCAUCAUUUAUUCACCACAUACAUACGUUUCCAUGCAAAUGGAAACAGUAAUUACAGUAACUACACCACACCACACAAAGUAGCUAUAGCCUAGUGGCCAGUCGCCGGGUUCCUAAGAUAACCCAGCCAUUAGCAAACACCACCGAUGCCGAUAUGGAUAUCCACACCGCAUAAUGCCAGGAGGCUCGCCACCACCAUGCAUUUCAUGUUGUCUCUCCGGCAGCCAGGGAAUACCUCGUCCAUGGGUUGCCCGUGAGCCGCCGUGCCGAGCUCCUUGUACAUGCCUACCAACUUGUGGCUGAGCACCGGACACCUACAUAAGUUGUUGUUGAUGGUGGCGAGCUGCCUACAGCAGUCUCGCCAGACUUGCUCAUCCACGUUACCGGCUGCGCCACCGCCAAUGCACUGGCCCUUCACCAUUGUUCGGCAGCGUGGGAGUGGGUACACAUCGAGUAGUCUAUUCUUGGCUGGCAAAGCUGGCUGGGGGUAUACACCACCUAGCAGUGGUGGUCUGCCAUUGUUGUCGUUGCCACAAGCAUGGAGACAACUAUCGAGAGCAACACUAAGAACCAUAGUAUAAUUUGAAAUUUCAUUCUCCACUGGCAAGCAUAAAUCUCCCUGAAUUUUUUGGUUUUUUUGGUCAAAAUUUAUUUAAAUUCAGUCAAAAUAUGUUAAAAAUUCAAAUAAUUUCGGUCAGAAAAACCCGGAAAUCACACCAUAUUCGUUAACCCCUGAAAUUACACUACCUUGUUUGGUGCCAUUUUGUUUUUCUUUGUGUUGCAGAAAAUUUUAGUUAGUCUCAAAUUGUAUGAGAGGGUGUACAGGUAAGCGCUACAUCAAUGGUGGUUUUAUAUGUAGCUACAAAUACUAAAGUGAUUCCAGAACGGACACAAUUUUUAUCAUGAGUGAGUAGCUUAUGGUUUUGCAUGUAAUAUUUAUUGUGGUUCAAAGCUAAUCUAGGCAUCAUUUCGAAAAAAAAAAACCCUUCGUUUUAUAUGGACCACACUCUUUUCAUUUUCAUUCUUCCAUGCAAGAAAACAAAUGCACAAACUGCCAACAGAUAUAUAGUUUUGGAAGGUAACAAAAUCUUUUGAUCUUUAUUUGCAUGGCUUUUUCUAUAUAUAGUUGAUCCAAUUUGGUAAACAAGAAAAAAGAUAAUACUUCAGAACAAAUAUUGUUAAGAGGAAUGCUCUGGAAGCUAAAAAGCAUGCAGUAAAGAAAGCUGCAACACUAGAUUCAGAAAAUUAAGAAACGUGUGUUUAGUGAAGAAACGUGUGAUUAUGUCGGAGUAUUCUGAAACACAAGACGCGCACGUUCACUUAAUUUCCUUUUAUUGUGUACUCUAAUCUUGAGAGGACUGGGCAGUUGGAUCUAAGUAACAGAGUUAUUUUAACAAGCCACGGAAUUAUAUAGGGAAGCACGUACGCAUAAUCACUUUGUCAAAAAAAAAACAUUACAAAUUAAAGGCUAGAGAUAUUGUGUGUUAUUACCUUGUCGUAUUGCAAUUUGCAUAGAAAUGUUUUAAGUAAAGAGUAAGGAGAGCACAAGAAAUAGGUCUGAAGUGUGGUAGGUUUGUCAAUUUGCGAAGGAAUAAAAAGAGCGUUGUUAGCUUGGGGAGUGAGUUUAAUAUCUAUCGGAAAUGUAUUAAUUUAUUUUUAAAUCUUGGUUUUACCAUAUCAAUUAUCUUAAUCAUUGUAAAAUAAACUACUCCCUCCGUUUUAAAUUAUUUGUUGUUUUAGUUUUGUUACAAAUCAUAUGUCACUACAAUAAAAACCUCAUAUGGGACUUUUCUAGAGGAGUUUACAACAAAAACCUUAUAUAGGACUUUUCUAGAGGAGUUUGUAAAUUACCUCUAAAAUCAUGAGUUCUAUAACGUAGAGGCACUUUGUACUUUAAAAACUGCCCAGAAAACCUUUUACUCUAGAGACACUUUUUAUAUAUUUUCAACAUAUUUUGUUAAUUCUUAUCUCGUAGAGGCAUUUUUUCGGCACUUUAAAAUAUGCCUGAUAUGUAUAAGAAAUUUUCUUCAGGCAUUUUAAACUCUGUAUAAACACUGUUUAGGGCCACUAAAGGGUAAGACCCUGAGCAAACAAGCCAGGCCUAAGGUCAAACCUGUAACUUGCCUAGCAUAUGUUUGGUUGCUACCCUUAGGAUUCUAGCAUGAUGAAUCUUGCCUGAGCAAGCCAUGCUAUCUCGCUCCACCUGCCUGAGUAAAAUCACCGCAUUAGUGAAAAUGAGACCACUUCUUCCUCCUCCUCCUCACUGCUAGCCUAGGGUUUUUGCAGAGGCCAUUUCCCAUCGAUUCUUCCAUCGCUCCCGCAGCGGUGACCAAGGAACUUGCAGAUCCGGUGGCCAGUUGUUUCUUUUUCCAGUAAAAAUCCUGCAUUUGGUGAUCUGUUAGAGCGUACGCUACUGGAGAAGUGAUCUUUGCUGAGUCAUACAAAAAUCACAUAGUCCCGGUUCGAGUAGGAACCGAGACUAAAGAUAUUCUUUAGUCCCGGUUCAAAAACCUAGGGGUACUUUUUGAUCUUUACUCCUAGUUGAAUAGCUGUUAGACCCUCAACAAACUUUAGUCCCGGUUGGUGAUACCAACCGAGGCUAAUUGUCUCUCUCCUACAGCAUCUGUUCUCUCUCUCUUCCUUAUCUCCUCCUCCUCCUCCUGCAAAAUAAGCUGCCAUCAAACCGUCUUGGGACUUAUUUUGUAUCGGUUUUAAUAGUUGAGGGAUAUGUUGUAUUUGGUUUUCCGGUUGAAAGACGAAAAUCGGAUUCGUUGACAAGUUAAGGGACCUCAGAUGAACUUAUUCCAAAUUAACUGUAAUAUAUAUUUGGUUGGUUGCUUAUUUUUUAGCCUAGUAAUUAUAAAUUUCAGUAUUCCCUCUUGCACCAUGGAGUUAAAGAAAAAUCCGAGCCGGCUAGCGAAUCAUCAUAAGACUAUCAGAGUUCAUCAUUUAUUCACCACAUAUAUAUGUUUCCAAGCAAAAGGAAACACUAAUUAUAUAGGUACCACACAAGACACACAAGGUAGCUAUUUCUUAGUGGCCAGUCGCGGGGUUCAUAGGAUAACUCAGCCAGUAGCAAACACCACCAAUGCCAAUGGGAAUGUCUACAUUGCAAAACGCCGGGAGGCUCGCCGCCACGCGUUUCAUGUCGCCUCUCCGGCAGCCAGGGAACACCUCGUCCAUGGGUUGCCCUUUAGCGGGUGCACCGAGCUCCUUGUACAUUCCAACCAACAUGUGGCUCAGCGCGGGGCACCUACAGAAGCUGUCGUCGAUGGCGGCGAGCUGCCGGCAGCAGUCUUGCCGGACUUGCUCGUCCACGGCACCGCCGGCGCACUGGCGCUUCGCCAGCGCCCGGCAGCGGGGCAGCGGGUACAUCGGGUAGCCCCGUCCGGCAGCGCAUAGCUGCCCGGGGGUAUAAACCACCUGGCCACGGUGAUCCGCCAUUGUCGUCGUUGCCACGAGCAUGGAGACAACUACCGGGAGCAACACCGAGAACACUACCUUGAUGAAAGCCAUUUUCUUUCUAUUGUUGUUGCAGAAAAUUUUAAUUAUUCUCAAUCCUCAAUGAGUGGUUUUAUAUAUGUAGCUACUAAGACUAAAGUGAUAGUGAUUCAAGAAUGGACACAAAACUUUUAGCAUGAGUGAUUAGCUUGUGGUUUUGAAUGAAAUAUUUAUUGUGAUUCACAGCUAAUCUAGGCAUCAUCUGGGGAAAAAAAAGUUGGCUAAAGUGGAUUCAUAUGGACCACACUCUUUAAUUGUUUAAACCCAUUUUCAUUCUUCCGUGCAAGAAAAUAAAUGCAUAAACUACUAACAGACACAUAGUUAUGGAAGGCAACAAAAAUAUUUUGAUCUUUAUUUCCAUGGCUUUUUGUAUAGUGGUCCAAUUUGAUAAACAAAAAAAUGAUACUUCAGAACAAAUAUUGUUAAAAAGAAUGCUCUGCAAGCUACAAAGUAUGCAGUAAAGAAAGCGGCAACACUAGAUUCAGAAAAUUAAAUAACGUGUGCGUUCUCUGUAUAUACGUGCCUGAUCAAGCAUAUAUUGGAGUUUUCUGAAAAACAAAAUUCAUAUAUAAGAUAGCUUUGAUGUGCACGUUCAGUCUUUCACCUACUUUUUUUUUUUGUUGUACUGCAAUCUUGAGAGGCCUAGGCAGUUGGAUAACAGAGAUAUAUUAACAAGGCACGGAAUUAUAUUUAUAUGGACAUAAGAAGCACGUACGCAUAAUCACUUUGUUGAAAAAUGUUGCAAAUUAAAGGCUAGAAAUAUUGUCUGCUAUAACUUUUCCCGUUGCAAUUUGCACUACUAGGAAAAGCAUUAUCGCAAGCGGCCGAAAAGGGUCUUCGCAGGCGGGGCGGCCGUCCGCCUGUAAGCCAACGACUAUGAAGAUCGCCGAUCUUCGCAGGCGGGGAGGCCGUCCGCCUGCGAAGAUAAUUUUCGCAGACGGACGUUGGCUAGUCCGGUCCGCCUGCGAAAAUAGGAAUCGUCCGCUUGCAAAAAAGAAAACUUCCGCCUGCGAAGAUAGGUAGAAAAUAUUGAAAUUUAAAUAUAAUUUGGCCGUAAAUUACUUUUAAAUUAUUUAUUAGAAAUUCUUGCAGGUACAUAUAUUGGAAUAUUAUCAAGCAUUUGGUACUGAGAAAUCUACUUAUAUUGCAUAAAUCAAAAGUGUUGCCAAAAUAUAUAUAUUACAAUAUUGUUUUACAUUGUCACUUCAAAUAACGUCAUCUAGUUACAUUAUGGCAUAGCAGUGUUCCACUCCCGAAGAUCCUUGAAUUCGUCACUUGCCGCUAGGGCACCCUCUGGGUCGAAGAAAUCUCCUUUGACAUGACAGCACUCAUGGUGGAUGAAGUGGCACAGAUCACGCUGCACAUUUGUGAUACCUGUAUCGUCAAAGCUUGUUCGACAUUCUAAUCUUGGCAACUGCAUGCAUUGAAAUUAAUCAAUAUAUUAGUAUCAUAAAUAUCAAGAGCUGUCUAGUAAAUAGUAUAGAGACUUACAUCCUCCGCGUUAGUCCUGUACCGUCCAUUAACCCUAAGGAAUUCGCACGCAUAAUACCCGCAAAGGACCGUUCCUCGCGGUUGCUUGUGACACUGAAGGACAUAUCAUAGAAAAAAGUAGUUAUAAUUUGCAAUUAGUGAAACUAUUGGAAUACAUAAAGUGAGUGGAGUAUUACCGGCCAAUAGGUACGUACUAGCAGCUUCUCCCGUGUUCGUGUCUGUUCUCCACCCUUGAACUUGUAGUAUUGGUAUGCACUGUAUGAAUGUCAUACCAUUUCAGAGUAAGGAGGAUAUUUAUUUGUAAUACAUCCAUAUACAAAUGCAAGAGUCAUAAUAACUUACUACUGUAAGAUUGUUAGAAAUUCUUUGUAUUGCUUGUGUUUGUAAUCGAGAGGAUCCAAGACUACCACGGUUCCGUCUUUAGGGUGGAUGAGUAAACAGAUAUAAUGAUCGCUACAUAUUAAUAACAUUAUAAUUAGUUAGUAACAGCUAAAAUAAGACAUAUGUGUACAAGAUAAAUGUACCGAACUUACUUAAAAUUAUAAGCGGCCAUGACGACUCUCUUAUUUUGAAAGUGCAAGAAGGCUCGUCCAAUGUACUGUGCGACAGUAAUCAAUUUCUCCUUGUGCAAGCCCUUCUUGUAUUCUGCUAUCUCUUUCGGAUUCUUGCCCUUCAGCUGGUCUGACCCUGGAUCUAGCGUAACGGUAUGCUGUGUUUGGCAGAUCUGAGUUGGAUCCAAGAAGCCGAUGGGUUCUUUUUUCUUCUUAGCAUCCAUGUAUUGCAUCCUACAUAAGAAGUUUGUUAGUAGCAAUCACAUGGAGUUGUAUUGUACAUAUUUUUUAUCUAAUUAAUUAAAAUUCGUACUCACAUGCACCAAACACCGACAUAGUUGACGUCCAUCUUAUCCCGACGAUAUAUGGCGUGGAGAUCUGAGAAAUCUAGCCAUACGUAACCUUCUUCGCCGAAACAAUCUGCCGGUGAUCGAGCUAUUAUAUUGCCCAAGCCUUUCUUGCUGGCCUCCAUGUAGAAGUUAUGUAACCUUCUCAUCUCCCAUGGUGCUUCUUUCAGUGCCCAUUCCGGCAAGAGUGCUUUCCCAUGUUCGUACUUUUCCGGGCAAUCAUCGGUUGCGAAGUAUGUUGGCCCGGCUAGCACAGAAGCCUUCUGGGGGUCGUCAUCUCUGAGCUUGGCACGUUCCUUACCCCCUCUGAAGACGGUUAGCAUGAACUUCUCCUUGUUCGCAUCUUUGGACUUGGAUUCGUGGCUCCUAAUCACUCGUGGCACCUCGGGUUCUUUCGCAGGAGAAGGGUCUUCAAAUAUCUCUGGCUCUGUACCAUCCCAUUCCAAUCCUGGUACUUCAUCUUUGACUGACCCGACUGAUGCCACAAAUUCCACCUCUGGUUCUGCCACUGUAAUCUCUAUGGGCACAUCCGGCACUUGAAUCUCCAUGGCUGUCUCCGGCGGUGCAAUCUCCAUGGCUGUCUCCGGCGGUGCAGUCUCCAUGGCUGUCUCCGGCAAUGCAAUCUCCGGUGGCACUUCCGGCACUGGAUUUUCCUUACCAAGUUCAGGAUCAUCCGCCUUAUCAGUCACCUUCCUCUUAGGAGGCCUCGGAGGUUUUCCCAAACCCGGUUUAGGCAACACAGGUUUUUCCCCGGCGUCGGUGCCCAAUCCAAAGAAUAUGUCAUUCUUAUGCCAGAGAAUUACAAGAUCGACCGCAUCCCCAAGUACGGAUAUACCAUCUGCAGUCGGGUAGUCAAUGUCGUAGGACUCAAACCCUUCGUGGACCACUUGUGGCUGCACCUUGGCAUACGCAUCGGGUAAGAACUGUUCAUUGUAUGUUCUACCAGGGAUAGCAAUGGCUGUAGCGGCCUCAAGAGUUUUACCGGAGCGUCCAAUGGGAACGUCCAAUCUGCAGGGUGUAUUCUCCUUGAGGUCAUCGAAGGGGUAAUCUGGCUCAGUUUCUUUGGUUUCGGGGCGAAGCAAAAUCAUGUGCUUCGACCGUAGAAAUCAUGGACGAACGGUCGACGACGAGCUUCGGUCGUGGACAACGAAGGAAGGGCCGGCGACGAGGUUCGGCCAUGGACGACGAACGGCCUACGACGAGGUUCGGCCGUGGACGACGACCGGCCGAAGACGUCGUUCGCGGCCGAGGACGUAUUCGCUCGUGGACGACGAUCGGCCGAUGAAGCCGUUCAGCCGCGAGCGGAGGGGUGGGCAACGGUGGUGGAGGGGCCAACGGCGGCGGUGGCCGUGCGCGCGGUGGAGGGGCCGGCGGCGGUGGAGGAGCCGAUGGCGGAGGAGAGCGAGCUCGACGGUGGCGGUGGAUGAGCCGGCAGCGGUGGAUGAGCUCGACGGUGGCGGUGGCGGUGGAUGAGCCGGCGACGGGGCUGCCUCGGUGGAGCGUGGUGGACGACGACGGUCGGCUGCGGCGGAGGACGACGGUCGGAGAGCGAAGGUCGCAGGCGGGGCGGCGGCGGAGGACGGCGGAGGCGUGCGGCGGUGAAAAAUUUCGGCAGCCUGACGGCGCCAAAUUUUUUAGGGUUCCCGCCUGGACUUAGAAAUUUUGGCGCCGCGGGCUUGCCCUUAUAUAGGGCAAAGAUCUUCGCAAGCGGGCGGUCCGCCUGCGAAGAUCUUUUCAACAAACUAGUAAUUGCACAUAAAAAUAUUUACACUUUUCAAAUAUUACUAACUUUAAAUUUUUUUAACUAAAUUUUCACAAUUCAAAUGGUAAUUGCACAUAAAAAUUAGUACUUAGAAAUUAAUAUGCAAAAUGUUGAGUACAAUUGUUCGUCAAUUUGCGAUACGAUCACACAUACGACCAUUACAUAACUACUAACUUCUUAGAUGUUUAUAUGCCACUCAACAAUCAUUACCCUUUAACAUUUUUGCCCACACCGUCCGUGCGCAUGUAAGGCUUCACGGUCUUCUGAGUAGAUGUCUCGACAUUCUUAAUCUUCUGUACAAACUGACUAUAAAGUGGCAUACUAUCAUAUUGGUUGUAAUCUUCGACAUCUUCAACCCCAUCCACUCCCAAUAUCUUUUGUUUCCCUGGUAGCACUAUAUCUUUCUUCAAAUUUGAAGGGUCUUUCACAUAAAACACUUGUGCCACGCGAUUGGCGAGUACCCAAGGAUCAUCCUUGUGACCCACUCUCGCAAGGUCAACAACAGUAAGACCGAACUUAUCAACAUUUACCCUGUUCGGGUAUUUUACCCACUGGCACUUAAAUAUGGGGAAUUGCAUUGUGUGCCCAUAGUCAAUUUCCCAUAUUUCUUCAAUAAACCCGAAGUAUGAUUGUUUUUCACCGGCUUCAUCAAUUGCCUCCACACGGACACCGCUGUUUUGUGUACAGGUCUUAUUAUCUCGGGCUCUUGUGCUAAACGAAUAUCCAUUAAUGUCAUAUCCCUGCCAAGAAUUUACUGUAGUUGAUGGACCACAAGCCAACCGCUUCAUAGUUAUUUCAUCGGUAGUUUCUCCCUCAGGUAAGUCUAGGUCUCGCAACCAAUCUAUGAAGAGACGCUUGUGUUCUUUCAUUAUCCACUCGGUGGAGCGACCCUUAUUGUUAGCUCGUAUUAGUUCGAUAUGUUGAUCGAUGUACGGCUCGACGAUAGCAAACUGAUGAAGCACGCUGAAGUGAGCUUCUUGGAAUGAUUUGUGAUCAUGGGUGACGAAUCUCUUCUUUCCUAUCGUUCCCCUGCCACUCAAUCUGCCCUCGUGUUGGGGCACAGGUACUCCAAUUGCAUAUCCAUCCUUGAGAUAAUCGAUACAGCACUCGACAACCUCUUCAGUACUAUAAUCCUCAACCAUUGAUCCCUCUAGAUGUGCACGAUUUCGGACGUAACCCUUCAGAACCGCCAUGUAACGCUCGUAUGACCACAUUUGAUGGAGGUACAAUGGGCCAAGCGCAACCAUCUGCGGCACAAUGUGAACAAUGAGGUGCUCCAUCAUAUCAAAAAAUGACGGAGGGAAACACAUCUCAAGUUGGCACUGGGUCUCAUGUGCGAAUGUACGGAGAUUUCCUAACUCUUCGAGACUAAUGACCUUCUGUGACACUGCGUUGAAAAAGUAGCACAACCUUGUGAUAGCAACCUUUAAAUGCUCCGGUUUUAUGGCUCUUAUUGCAAUUGCAAGAAACACGGUGAGCAAGACAUGGCAGUCGUGUGAAUUAUAACCAGAUACCGACAAAUCUUUCAUUGAAACUAGUCGACUGAUGUUUGAUGAGAAACCUAUGGGCAGUCUGACAUUACGGAGUGAGUUGCAAAAUGACUUCUUCUCCUUAGGUGUCAGUGUGAAACAGGCUGGUGGAAGAUAUACUUUGCCAUUCUUUUCUCCUUCUUGAGGGUGUAACUCUUCCCUGAUUCCCAUCUCGACUAGGUCCAUCGUUGAUUGCAGACCAUCUUUAGUCUUCUUCGGCAUGUCCAACAAUGUUCCAACUAUGUUGUCAAACACAUUCUUCUCUAGAUGCAUGACGUCUAUGGCAUGCUGAACCUCCAGAUCUUUCCAGUACGGGAGGUACUUAAAAAAUAUGGAAUGCUUCUUGAAUGGGGGAGGGAGUUUAUCAUCUGGCUUCGAACUGUCAUCUUGCUUCUUACUAUCCCCUCCCUUCGUAUUCUUCUCGGGUUUCUUGCGCUUUGUCCCCUUUGAUGGUUUCUUAGUCAUUUUUCCAAACUCGCAAACAAUUUUCUCUAUCAUUGCACACACAUUUUCUCCCGAUGUAGGUUUUGGUGCAGGAUCAGUCUCUUCAGUACCAUCGAACUCCGCCUUCAUCUUACGGUACUUGUGAUUUGUGCGUAGGAACCGCCGGUGCCGCAUGUACACAAGCUUGUUGGAACCCGGGAGAUACCUAUAGGACGUUCCAUUCAAGCAGAUCACACAUCCUGUUUUACCUUUAAUUUGACCUGAAACUAAAAACAUUGCUGGAUAAUCGUUAAUGGUCACGAAGAUGAUUGCCUUCACUGUGAAGUAUUCCCUUAAGUACUCGUCCCACACUUUCAAUCCCUCUUUCCAUAAAUCGGCCAUAUCUUCCAACAAUGGUCCAAGAAAUACGUCUAUAUCAAUACCAGGCUAACGGGGUCCCUGUAUGAGGAUACAGAGUAGUACGUAUUUUCGCUUUUGACAAAGCCAGGUAGGAAGAUUAUACAUGGUGAGAAGCACUGGCCAAGUACUAUGUGAACUGCUCAUGUCUCCAAAAGGAUUAACUCCAUCAGUACUCAGGGCAAAUCUAAUGUUCCGUGGGUCUUUAGCAAACUCUCUAUACUGCGCAUCAAAGGUUCUCCAUUGACGAGCAUCUGCCGGGUGUCGAAUCAUCCCAUCCUUCUUGCGCCCUUCUUCAUGCCAGUGCAUUAGUUCCGCAUCUCGCGGGUUUGAGUAUAUUCGUGUAAUGCGGUCUUUCACAGGAAGGUACCACAUCACAAGCUGCGGGAUUUUUCUCUGUCGUCCCUCAGUUGCUUCAGAGGGUUCUAGGCUAGUAUUGCUAUUCGACUUGUACCAGCUUGCACCGCAUGUUGGACAUUCAUCCAAAGAAGCGUACUCUUUCCUAUACAGUAUGCAGUGAUUUACGCACGCAUGAAUCUUUUCCACACCAAGUGAAAGGGGGCAUAUGAGUUUCUUUGCUUGAUAUGUGCUGGAUGGUAGUGAGUUAGGCCUCGGUAGCAUUUUCUGCAGGAGUUCUAAAAGACUGUCGAAACUGGUAUCAGACCAUCCAUGUCUCGCCUUUAACCUCAUAAGUUCAAGAACUGACCGGAGUGUUGUGAAAUCACUGUCACAGCCCUUCGACUCAUCGUACAAAACUUCCUUUGCUGCCUUCUGUAAAGCUUCAAAGUUAUUUAGCCCUCUGGCCGACCCCAUCAGCACCUCGGGUUCUGCAUUACGUAACAUUUUCUCUAGGUCGAUUUUGUCCUCAACAGAACCAUCGUCAUGCACCAUGUCUUCAACUUGUGUCGGAACUACAUUUUCAGGCUCGUCCACUUGUUCUUCGCCAUGACGUGUCCAUAUUUCGUACUUGUCCAUAAAUCCGUGAGUUACCAAGUGCUCCUUCACUUUAAAAGCAUCGUCAAAGUCCCAGGCUAUUUCAUUCUUACAGUCAGCACACGGACAAAUUAUCUUCCUCAUAUUGUUCUUCUCAGCGUGAACCUUGGCAAUACCAAUAAAUUUAGCCACUUCGUUUCUAUAUGGAGACAAAAACCUCGGCCAAUGAUACAUCCAUUCCCGACUUUCUAUAUCUCUAAAAAAUACACGUAAAAUAUUUGCACAAUUAAUACCAAAUUUGUAGGGUUUAUUGAAAAAACUUAUAGCUAUUCAAAACUAAUUAACUAAAGGUUAAGUUGUAAAGUAAUAAAAAAUCAUAGUUUAUUUCAAUUUUUUUUACACAGACAUGCCAAAUUAGCACAUUAGGAAAAUCUAACAAAAUCAAUUCAUCGGCAUAUUACAAAAUACUAUAACUAUUUUUUGAUUGCACUGAAUAAAUAGACAUUUAAAAUUUUUUUCUCUCUCUAUACAUGACAAGAGCUAGAUCUAGAUCUAGAACUAGGUGGUGGAUAUGAUAGCAAAAAAUUAAAAAACAAGAAUUUAUGUUACCACAUUAAACCACUACAACAAGAGGCAUCAAGUAUUACACAUACAUCUAACAUAAACAAAUGACAAGAAAUAAAAUUAAAAAACAUGGAGCUCUUCCUUCAAAAUUUUGGAUGCAUAAAUCCAUCACAAAUUAAGGUCUAAAAGCUUAAAAAAAAUGCAUACCUAGUGUGGAAAUGAGUAGAUCUAAGUACCGUAGAAAAAUCCCCCGAAGAUUUGAAGUUCAAAACCUCCCCCCUAUAUUUAAGUCACUUUAGGAGAGAGAAACGUCGGGGAGAAUGAACAGGGCUCGGGGAGGAAGAAGACUAUAUAGGGGCAUCUUUGCAGGCGGGCCAUAUAAGCGUCGCCUGCGAAGAUUGAUCUUUGCAGGCGGGCCAUAUAAGAGUCGCCUGCGAAGAUUUAUCUUUGCAGGCGCACGUCGUCUGCCGCUUGCGAAGAUCGAUUUUCGCAGGCGACGCUUAUAUGGCCCGCCUGCAAAGAUCAAUCUUCGCAGGCGGACCGCCCCCUCCACCCCAGGUACCAUUUUUGCCGGCGGGGUUUUGGCUCCGAAUUACGUGCACGCCUGCGAAAAUUUAUCCCCUACGACGCCGAAAAUGAGAUUUCUAGUAGUGUUGCACCAGCCCUUCCCUUAUUUUAUAAGUAAAGAGUAAAGGAGAUUAAAAAAAUGUCUUAAGCGGGGUAGGUUUGUUCAUUCCUGAAGGAAAAACGAGGCCGGAUUUGUUAGCUUGGAGAGCGAGUUAAUUUAAUGUCUUUCAGAAAUGCAUUUACUUUGAAAUGUUGGUUUUACCAUAUAUAUCCAUUUACGAUCUUAACUAUUGCAAAAUAAACUAUAAACUAUUUGUGAUUUUUUUAACUUGUCAGACAAAGUCUCCAAUCCAUAUAGGUUUGUUGCCAUUCAUGUUUAUAAUAAUAUAUUCAUAAAAAAUAUUUAAAUAAAACAACACAAGUAUAUUUAUUGUAAAUCUAUGAAUGCAAUUAUUCGCAUAGAUUAUAUUAUAUCGCAUAGAUUGUAUAGACCUGUGACUACCAUAUGUUUUUUGACACGUCAUGAAACCAAUCCUACUGUUUGUCAGUUGCUUAUCGGGUGACACAUUUGAUGAAAACAAGCGUAGGAAUAAUAACAAAACUAAAAGAAGAGAGGAACAUCGUUUCUACUCCUUUCAAUUCAGAUUAUAAGUCGUUUUGACUUGGGUCAAAGUUAAAUUGCUUCAAGUUUGACAAGUUUAUAGAAAAAAAGUAGUUACACUUUCAUCACAAGACAAAUAUAUUAUGGAAAUAUAUUUAAUAUAUAUAUAUAUAUAUAUAUAUAUUAAUUGAAACUAAAUUACUGUUGUAAAUAUUACUAUAUUUGUAUACAAACUUAGUCAAAUUUAAACUAGUUUGAUUUUGACCAAAACUAAAACGACUUAUAAUCAGAAACAAAGGGAGUACUCUUAUUUCUUACUAGUAAAAUGGCCGUGCUUUGCUAUGGAUAAAAGAAAAUAUAUUAUAAUAUGUAAUAGAUAUUAAAAAUUAUCGAAUAUAUUAAUGCCACUUGCUUACUUGUUUGAAUAUACAGUAUUUACUUGUUUGAACCAUAUAUUUGGACUAUUCCAUAAUAUAAAAAAACAGGAGCCUAUUUGGAAAACAGUGGGGGUGGCAGAUUCACUACCACCACAUCUAGGGACUUUUAUGUACAACCUUCGUUUUGAAUAUAAGGAUGUGUCUAUGUUGUUUAUCAGGUGUUUGUCGAAUACUUAUAUCAAAAGAUUCAUUUUUAGUCACUUCAGUUGUCAAUUUUUGAAUUUUGAAUUAUUUAGAUAUCAUUUACAAGAAUCUGAUUACCUAUGCAAUCACUGAAAUGAUGGGAAUCAAAGUAAUCAGUGCAUGAAUACUUAUAGUGUGGUACCAAAGAAUGGAGGGAGUGAAUAAGAAAUGCAACAUUCAAAUAUUAUAGAUGUUACUAUUAAUUGUCAGAUCACAAAAAAAUACGGCAGCUUAUUAUAGAGGGCACCUUUAGGCUGCGAUUCGGCCGACAUGGGCGCUCUCCUCAACAAGAAAUUCCCUUUUUCCAUCAUGAAAUUAAAGAACAACGAAGGCUAGCUAGCAAACCAGCAAGAUAUAUUCAGAAGAACAUUGAAGUUCAUCAUUUAUUCACCACAUAUAUAUAAAUAGAUGCUUCCUGACAAAAGAAAGCACUAAUUAUUUAGCAACCCCACAUAGUCACACACACACAGCUAACUAUAGUAGCCUAGUGACCGGUUCUUGGGGUCCUAGGAUACCCAAGCCAGUAGCAGACACCACCAGGCCCAUUGGGGAUGUCCACGUUGCAGAACGCCGGGAGGCUCGCCGCCGCGCGCUCCAAGUCCCCUCUCCGGCAGCCGGGGAACACCUCGGCCAUGGGGUGCCCGGCCUCGGUGGCGCCGAGCUCCCUGUAGAUGCCUGACAGCAUGUGAUCGAGCGCCCCGCACCUGCACCAGCCGUCGUCGACGGCGGCGAGCUGCCGGCAGCAGUCUUGCCAGACUUGCUCGUCCGCGGCGCUGGCCGCGCCACGGCCAACGCAUUGGCGCCUCACCAAUGUUCGACAUUGCGGGAGUGAGUAUGUCGGAUAGCUUAUUCCUGGCCGACAUUGCUCACCGGGGCUGUAGACUUGGUGGUGGUCCGCCAUGGUCGCCAUCGCCGCCGCGAGCACGGAGAGAACGACGAGGAGCAAUACCGAGAACACUACCUUGUUGGAAGCCAUAUUUUGCUUAGUUUGUGAAAAAUCUUAAUUAACUGUGAUAGCUAGGCUCUUCGUCUCUGGGUGGUUUUAUAUAUAGCUAUAAAGACCAAAGUGAUUCAAGAACAGAUAGAAAUUUUUUGGCUGUUCAUGAGCUAUUUAUGGAUUUGCUUGUGGUUCUGUAUGAAACAUCUAUUGUGAUUCACACGCCUAAUCUGGGGCAUCAUAUGGACAACAGAUGGUUAAAGUGGAUUGAUAUGUACUACACUCUUUAAUUAUUUGAAUUUGUUUGAUCCUUACGUGGAAGAAAAUAAAUGCUAUAUGUGGCUAUAGAAAGACUAAUUAAAGUGAUUCAACUUUGAAGAACGGCCACAAAAUUGUUUUAGCUGUUCAUGCGUGGUUAGUAUGCUCUUGGGGUUUUGCAUGACUGGCAUGAGCAAUUUGCUUGUGGUUUUGCAUGAAAUAUUUUUUGUUAUUCACGGCUAAUCUGAGCAUUAUAUAUUUUGACAAAAAGUUGGUUUAAAGUGGAUUGAUAUGGACCACACUCUUUAAUUAUUUGAACUCAUUUUCAUUCUUCCGUGUAAGAAAAGAAAUGCACACACCGUCAACAGACAUAUAGUACUAUGGGUAACAAAAUCUUUUGAUAUUUAUAUUUAUCCAAUUUGUUUAAUGACGAAAAGGAUAGUUCAAAGCAAAUUAUGUUUAUAGCUACCCGUGGCAUGAUUUUGUUGUUAUGUCAUAUCGGAAGUGGUCUUGAAGUAAUAACACCUUGAUGUAAUUUGUAAGAUCAACAAAGUUUCCUUUGUCUUCAAAGAAUGUUUGCUAAUUUGCAAAAGGAAAAAAGAGUAUUGUUAGCUUGGGGAUUGAGCUUAAUGUUUUUCCAUAAAUGUAUUUAUUCUUAAUGUCGGUUUAUCAUAUCGAUGAUGUUAGUUAUUUCAAAGUAAACAAUACUCAUUGGGAAAGACUCUGAGGGAAAAAAUUAUGCGGGAUCUUUGAUGAGGACAUCCCAGCUACACUUGACGUGAACAAGGCUGAUGGUUACGUUAUACAUCACAUGGAGAAAUUUGAAGAUGACGUAAACCAAGUUGAUGGCUUACGUCUUAGUAAGAACGAUCAAACAUAUCAUGGUCCAAUUAUGCACAGCCAUGCUAAGAAAAUACAACUAGAGGUGAACUCACUCUUUGCUCAACUUAACCCAAAUUUUAAUGAGAAUUUUAUACUACCUAAAUAUUCUACCUUUGUCUUGCUAAGGUUUACAUCGGAAGACAUCAUUACUACGCCAAGAAGGAUGGGUUAUGUUGAGGAUGACAAGAGUUACACCGAGCAGGAAUUAGCCCAUGCACUACCAGCAGCUGUCUACGCCAACAAAAAGUUGGUUUACGCUACAAAGGCUCAACAUCCAAGGCUUGUACGACCCAGCCAGUCAAGUUACGGGUUGCAUGGCAUACAUGGUUGGAAAGAGGGGCAUGUCUAGCUUCCAAUGCUUCAAACCCCAUCUCAAUAUCACUUUCCAAUAAAAAGUUAGAGCAUUUUUACUGAGGACUGCGCAGGAGCUGAAGGGCUGUGCGUGAACCCGAGAAAACUUUUUGCAUUCUCAUUUAUGUUAGCCUUGAUCACCAGAACGUGGCUUCUUAUGUUCACACCUACGCUAGGAGGAAUGUUCCUAGUAUAAAUACACUUCUAAUUCAUCCAUUAGACAACUUUUGUUCAAUUGAAAACCUCAUGUAUGAGAGAUUAUUGAAGUCUGCAUAAGUCUUACCCUUUUUGUUCUCGUGAGUUCUUUUGGGCUUGUGAGAAGGAUCCUCUUGUGUCCCCUAGUUCGUGAUUUUGGCCCUCGGGCCUCUUGUGUGGAUUAGUUCUGGAUUGUGGUUCUGUAAUUGCUCGUUUUGACGGGUCAGAGUCCAGGAAACUUCGGAUCAUUCUCACACUCACCACUUGGUCGCAUCCAACCUUGGCAGGUAUAAAGCUAGUUAUCCUCUAGCUACGAGUAGCUAGUUACCCUCUUGUGUACAAUUUAUGCCGGUGCUCUUUUGCUUCAAACCUACUACCGUGAAGAUCGGGUCACCUCUCGCGAUUGCGUUCGCAACAACCUUGGUUAUUCGCUCUUCUAGAAAUACUUCUAUUUACUGUCGGCACGAAUCUUCACGAAAGCAAUAGCUUACAUAGACAUCUUUAAUACUAUAGAGGCAUUGCAAAAAUAUCGCACAAGUGCCUUUUGAAUAAUCUCUAUAAAUGGGGAAACAUUUUAUAGAAUGUCUCCAUUCACAAUGUGAUUUUUCUAGAAGCAUUUUUAUGUGUAUAAGAGAGUGGUAAAUUUUAAAGUGCCAAAAAGAUUGAUUCUCAAACAAAGUAAAUUUGUCUCUAAAAUAAAAAAAGUUCCAAGCAAUUAUUAAAGUGCUUCUAAAAUGUGUCUCUAGGCUAUAGAACUCCUAAGUUUAGAGAUGAUUUCAAAAUCAGCUAUAGAAAAGUGCCCACGUACUUAAAGUUUUUCAUGUGCUUGGAGCAGUCAUCACCUCCUACCUCAGCUCAUGUCCCCAAAUUCUCACCUUCUCUCUUGUCUCAACUCCCCACCUCCCUUCCUUCUCCUUGGCCGGAGGCCCAAUCUCCGUCCAGAGUGCAAUCCAUGUGCAGGGGCAGCGAGCUACCCCAACUUUUCCUACUCUCUCCCACUACCUAACUCUCCUUCCAUCUAAGCUGAAGUCCCAAUGUUUGGCCAGAUGCGUAGUGACGGUGCCAACGUCAACUCAUCCAACCAUGGGGACGGCCGUCAAAUUUGUUAAGGUUUAUUUUGGUUACAAUCUGAAAAACCGUGAAGUAUUUUGGGAUUGGUGAAAAACCGAGGUCAUGCAUAAUUUCUUCCACAUACUUUAGGAAAAUAUAUCGUAAUAAGAAUUUCUAAAAGCAUUACAUAAAAAAAAACUUCCAAGAACAAAACUAAAGAAGAGAGGAACAUCCAUUCCACUUUUUUAUUUCUUAUUAGUACUAUCACAUACAUAAGAGGAGAAAAUUAUAGAUGCUACAAUUAAUUGUUGGCGAUCUCACCACCAAAUUAAAAUAGUGCAGAUUAUUAAAGAGGGCACUUUUAGGCUGCGUUCGAGCGCAGGAGAAAGAGAGAAAUAUUGUUUCGUUUUUCGCGCGCACGCUUCCCGAACUACUAAACGGUAUGUUUUUUUCAAAAAAUUUCUAUAGGAAAGUUGCUUUAAAAAAUUAUAUUAAUCCAUUUUUGAAGUUUAAAAUAGUUAAUACUUUAUUAAUUAUGUGCUAAUGGCUCACCUCGUUUUGCGUAUCUUCCCAAUCUCCUCAAUCCCCUCCUUCUCAAACACACCCUUAGUUUGCAAAAUCCGCACUCCGUCAGCAUGGAUGCCAUGCCUGCCAUCCUCUGGCCGACGCAGCCCAGCAGCGGUGCUAUUCGGUCGACAUGAGCACCAUGAAAUUCUUUUUUUUCACAAAAUGAAAUUAAAUAACAACGAAAUAUUGCUACCCAAUUGGCAAGAUGUAUUCAGAAGAACAUUGAAGUUCAUCAUUUAUUCACCAUAUGUAUAUAUGCUUCCUGACAAAUGAAAGCACUAGUUAUUUAGCAACCCCACAGAGUCAUACACACAGCUAGCUUUAGUAGCCUAGUGACCAGUUCUCGGGGUCCUAGGAUAACCUAGCCAGUAGCAGACACCACCUGUCCCAUUGGGGAUGUCCACGUUGCAGAACGCCGGGAGGCUCGCCGCCGCGCGCUCCAAGUCCCCUCUCCGGCAGCCGGGGAACACCUCGGCCAUGGGGUGCCCAACAUCGGUGGCGCCGAGCUCCCUGUAGAUGCCUCCAACCAUGUGGUUGAGCGCCGAGCACCUGCACCAGCUGUCGUCGACCGCGGCGAGCUGCCGGCAGCAGUCCUGCCGGAGUUGCUCGUCCACGGCGCCGCCGGGUGCGCCGUGGCCCACGCACUGGCGCUUCACCACCGCCCGGCAGCGUGGCAGCGAGUACAUCGGGUAGCCCAUUCCUGGCUGACAACGCUCGCCGAGGCUGUACACCACCUGGUCUUUGUGGUGGUCCGCCAUGGUCGCCGUCGCGGCGAGCACGGAGACGAUGAUGAGGAGCAACGCCGAGAACACUACCUUGUUGGAAGCCAUGGCUUUUUGUUUGCAGAAAAUCUUUAGUCUGAAUUUGUAUGAGAGGGAUAGGUUUAAGGUCUUCAUCUAUUGGUGGUUUUAUAUAUAGCUAUAAAGACUAAAGUGAUUUAAGAAGGGACAUAAAAGUUUUAGCUGUUCAUGAGCUAAUAGAUUAACUUGUGGUUUUGUAUACAUAUAAAAUAUUAAUUGUGAUCCACGCCUAAUGUGGGCAUCAUAUGGACUAAAGUUGGUAAAAGUGGAUUGAUAUGCACCACACUCUUUAUUAAUUUGAACCUUCCGUGGAAGAAAAUUAAAGAAAUGCACAUAAUGUCAACAGACAUAUAUAGUUUUGCAUGCAAGGUAACAAAAUCAGUUCAUCUUUAUUUCCAUGGCUUGUAUAGUGAUCCAAAUUGUGGAACAAUAAAAAGAAUAGUUCUGAACAAAUACUUUAAAAAGAAUGCUCUGGAAGCUGCAGUAACGAAAGCUGCAUCACUAGAUUUCAGAAAAUUAAGAAAUUAACGUGCCUGAUGAAGCAUAUAAGUAUUGGAGUUUUCUGAAACACAAAUAUCAUAUAUAUAGAUAGCUUUACGCGCACGUUGGAUAACAGGGUUAUAUUAACAAGGCACGGCAUUAUAUAUGGCCAGGAGAAGUACGCACGCAUAAUCACUUUGUUUAAAAAUUAAUGAUACAAAUUAAAUGUUAGGAAUAUUUUGUGCUAUAACUUUGUCGACUUGUAAUAAAGUAAAAAAUACGUGAGGUUAAAAUAUAGGUAUUAUGUGAGGUGGAAGGAAGAGGUUUUUUAUUUCGUGACAAAGGAAAAAGAAACAAGCUAGAGGGUUGUUAGCAUGGGGUGUGAGUUUAAUGUCCUUCAAAAUCUAUAUUUAUUUGGAAUUGUUGGUUUGACCAUAUGAAUGACCUUAGUUUUUGCAAAAUAUACUAUACUCCUUGUGUUCCUUUUUAUUUGUACAAUCACGACAUAGUCUCUCUCGCCAAUUCAUUAAUUUUUAUCAUUCCUAUUGAUAAUCAUAUAUUCAUAAUAAACAGUUCAAUAUAACUACAGUUAUAGUCUUUUUUUUAUGAUAAAUCAAUGAGUGCCAUCUUUGAAUAUUAAAUCAUAUUAUAUUUUUGCAUCUAUAAGUGAUUAAAAAAAUAAUCAAGAUUUCAUUGCCUCCUAUACAUCCAAAACAGCAUCUAUUUGUGAACGGAAGCAACACUUUAAUGGCUUAACAAGUGAUCUUAUUUGUGCAGUCAGCGAUAUACUCUAUCUGUACUCUAUCUCAACAAAGGAGUAUAUGAGAACCCUUUUGUUGUGUAUGACAUGUAGGGGUGAAAACAGUACGGAAUUUUUCCGGAUUCCGGUCAUGUUUUCGGAAACGGAAUCGGCCGGUCGGAAUUUUUUCGGAAUUUCUCGGAAUCGGAAUCGAAAACGGAAAUAUUUUCUCGGAAACGGAAUCGAAUAUGAUAAUAGCAGUUUCCGUCGGAACCCGGAAACGAUCGGAAACAUUCCGGAAAAAUUGUCGGAAUUUCCGAAGUUAAAAAUACCAUAGAUUCAAUAGUCCAUAAUUCAUCCCUAGCUUCCCAGCCCAACCCAAAUCGCGGCGGCAUCUACCCUAACCGGCUAACCCUAUAGGAGAGAGACCGUCAGACUCAGAACUCAGACGCGACUCGCGAGUUGGAGGCGGAGCGGCGGCUGCGGCAUCCAGAUCGCGGCAUCGCGGCGCCGGCGUGCCCUCACGCCCACCGCCCGUGGCGCCGGCGCCCCACCGCCCACUGCUGGUCGCCUGGCCGGCUGGCCCCCGCCGUCCUCGCUCCCACCAUCUCGCGCCGCCCUUGCUCUUCGUCGUUUCGCCGCCGGCCGCCGCCACCAUCUCGCACCUCCGCCGGCCUGCUCGGUCCCCGCCAUCUCAAGGCGCCGUCCCACCGCGUCUCGCCGUUUCACCGUCGCCACCACCGCCGCCGACGACGGAACAACCACCACACCGACGAGGCGACGACGACACCACCACUGCAGUCUCUUCCUCACCGCCACCAACGCCGACGGCUCCUCGCCUCGCAGCAGCCAGCAGCCCAGCGGCAGCAUCUGAGCAACCAGCAGCAGCAGGUGUAUAUAGUGAUUGACUUUGCACUUUUACUAAUGCUCUAUCAUUUUUUUUGAAGGCUAAUGGAACGGAACAAGAGACAGAGACAGUAGAAGCGGAAUGUUCUAAUGAGGAUGGCAUUGCGCCAAUGGAUGUUUGAAGAAAAUGUUGGUCAAUUUAAUUUUCAAGUUACAUCUAAUUUCAAGUUUCCAUUUCAAAUUAGUGUACUCCUGCUGCACAAGUGGAUGAGAUAUGUUUGAACCAUGUACUGAUGUGUUUUGUGAUUGAACUAUGUUUUGUGAUGAACUAUGUAUUUAUAGGGUGAUGUGUUUUGUGAUUGAACUAAGUACUGAAACACUGAUGGACUGAUGUGCGUUGCUGUUCUGUGAUGAUUGAUGAACUAUUGCUGUUCUGUGAUGAUUGAUGUUGUGACCUUAGGUCACGAACAAGAUCGGGGAUAGGCCGGAAAGAAGUGUUUUCCCGCCUAUCCUUAGAAACGAGCUCGAACAGCAAACACAACUUUUGAGGAUUACUUUUGUAUUCAAGAUGUUUUGUCCUGCUACAGGUUUUUGACUGGCUUUUAUAACCAGUGGUCGUACACGUGAGAUUACAUUUUUACCCCUGUGGGUCUUUGUAAGUUUACUCUAAUGCCCCUGCCACAUCAGCGUCUGUGGGGGCAUUCUAGUACAUCUCCAGGGGUCUUUUAGUCUUUUAGGUGCUAGCUGGCGAGAGUGGUUGAAGGUGGUCCCCACGGAAUCUUCCCUUGGCAUCUUCUCUUGUUCGAGUAGUGCUCUUCCUCGAACUCUUGGGAAAAAUGCCUUUUCCGUCCUGGACCGUCUUCUUCCUCCCGGGAAUUCGAAUUCCCCUUUGCCUUCUCUUUCAUCCUUGGAAAACACCUGUGAAAUUGUAACUUGUCCAAAAUAUGUGUAGUUGUAUUAGCGAUUAUGGAAUGUCCCUAAAAAGGUGUUCUUCACCCGAAGAGGUAUUUUCUAUUCGAAUGAGUGUUCUUCCUCUGGGAAGGUAUUUUCCCUUUGGGAAGGUGUUCUUCCUCUUGGAAAGGUAGUUUCCACUCAAAAUGAGUGUUUUCCCUUCUGGAUACUUAGGUCUUGCAAAACCUCGUAGUGUUUUGACCGAAUUGGAGGAAAAGGUGUUUGCACCCUGCUACAACAAGCCCCUCACGGGUAAGGGCGAUGUGUGUUUUCGGCCGAAACCGUGCCUGAGUUUAUGGAAAAAGGGGGAAAACCGCCGUCCUCCUAUUCGGUCGAAACACACUAUUCAAAUAUGCAUAUACGCCACGUUUACUAUUCAUUUAUUUUUAUUCUUAUUAUUUUUCAUUUUUAUUUAUUUAUUUAUUGUGUUUUUUUUUGAAUGCCACGUGCCGGUAUUUCAUUGGUGCGCUCAAGGGGUCGCGUCGCUUCGGGUUUCGUGUCCGCUCGUAAACCCGCGACCCUUACCACCCUGCGCUAUAUAAGGCCAGGAGGGGUCGCUAUCACGUGACCCACGCCACCACUCGUUUGCUCUGCCAUCAACUCGAAAUCACAAAAUACUCGAACUAAAUCUCUUUCUUCCUUCUUCCAUUCGAGUUUUGGUGCUUUGCUUGAUUUCUUCCUUUCUCACUACACAACAUGGGGAAAAACAAGAAAACUGCGGAAAAGUCGAAGUCCAAGAAAUCAAAAAGCCACGAAGAUACUUCUUGUGGUAUUGGUGCCUCUUCGAUUAAGGAAAAAAACUUAAACGAUCUUGUUGAUGUUGGUUGGAUAUCUGGUCGAAACGUUGUAAUUCGACCAGUGGGAGAAUCAAGGCCUUCUCCCAAGCUGGGAUACACUCUUGUGUUUGAGGAUUUCUUCUACGCCGGGUUUAAAUUCCCAUGCAGCACUUUUUUGGUUGAGGUCCUGAAAUUGUUCAGACUUGAGUUUCCUCAAUUGACUCCAAAUGCUUUAGUUCGAAUUGGGCUUUUCGAAUGGAUGAUUCGAAGCUGCGGUGGGACCCCUCGAGCUGAAGACUUUGCAUACUUCCAUUGUACUCGGCACUACACCAAACAGAACUCGAAGUUUGGGUGUGUAAACUUUGCUCCUCAUCCCAAGCGCGGAAGUCCAUGGCCAGCUGUGUCUGCUAUUCGAGCAAAAUGGGGGAACAAGUGGCAAUCGAAGUGGUUUUAUCAUCAAAUCCCUCUCAGCCUGCUGAAUGAUAAGGAUUGUCCUUUUUCGUUCUCUGGGAAGAAACCGAAAACUGUCUCCGAGCCAUCAGUCUCUUUGUCGCCGGAGUUCACUGCCAUACAACCUCGAAUCGAAGAACUUGUUUCGAAAUUUAGCUGCCGAGACCUGGUGGAAGAGUUUGUUCUUCUCAAAAUUAGACCUCUUUCGAGCGGCUGGGAUAUCACUCUCGGAGAAAUCCCCGAAAAUUGCCCUUCCAGUCUUCCUCCAUUUGUGGUUUCGUCUGAUCGUAAGUUUCCUUUUCGAACUGCAAACCUUGUUUGUCUUGAAAAAGUGAUUUAGUUAAGAAGAUUUAUUUUCUCCCUUUGUUAUCUUCUUCCUUGUAGUUGUGAUUCCAGAGGAUAUGGUCCGCCCAGUUCGAAAAUUUCUUGGCCCUUAUACCAAGGAUGAGCAUUUGAAAUUUUUGACACUUCAAAAUGAGAAAAGGCAAAAUCGGGUCUUCGCCUCUCUAGGCUCCGAUAUCCCUGUCCGCGUUCAUCCUGAAAUUGUCCCCAAACUAAAGAAAAAGAAAUCUGUGAAGCCCUCUUCCUCUGAUGAUGAUGAUGAUGUUGAAGUGGAAGAUAUUGACGAAGAAAUUGGGGAAGAAAAUGCUGAAGAAGAAGAAGGCGAGGAAGGAGCUGAUGAAGAAGAGAACGACUCGGGUGAUGAUAGCGACUCGAGUAGCAGUUCGAGCGACAACUCGAGCGACUUGUCUGAAUCUGGUGAUAGCAAAACAGUUCCUCCUCCUACUGUUUUAGCUGAUUUGAAAAGGAAGAAAACUGCCAGCAGUCCUCCUCCUGAACCGAGUUCUAAACGAGUGCAACUUGUUAUUGACAGUGAUGAAGAGUUGGAUGAAGAUGAUAUCCGUAUUGAUCUUUCUGCUAUCCAUGUCACCCCAAUUCGAGCUGAUGCUAGUUUUGCCCUUUCGGCAAAAGAAGUAGCUUCACUGUAUGUUGUUGCCCCAACCACCACGGUUGUCGAGAAAGAUUGCUCGACCCAAGUGGGUGAUACUGUUGAGACAACAAACCCUCUUCGAGCUGAUCGAGACUUGGUUGCAAAAAAGGCAAAAACGCCCGUCAGUGCAGCCGAAAAGUCCGAAGCAGGGAAGAGUGCUGCUGAUGGAGGUGUUCGAACUACAGGUAGUUCGAACCCAACUCCACCUCCGUCACCGCCGUUCAUCGCAACCCCUUCCCCAGAGCUGAUACAAAACGUUCUUGGUGGUUUUAGCGAACGAUGCGCAAAAGAUGGACAUUGGCUUAUGGGUCUUCCUAAUUUCAACGAACUCGGGGAAAGUAGCCAUCAUGGCCCAAACCUGUGUUUGAAUGACCUAAAGUAUCGCCACCCCCUGAGUUCGAUUGGUGAUGAACUCGAGAAAGUUCUGAUUACUCCUGAUCUUGAAAAGGAGUUUUUGGAAGAAAAUGAUCUUAUGUCCUCUUGGACAGCACUUGAUGUAUCUGCUGCACAGGUAUUUUUAUUUAUCUAUUUAUUUAUUUAUUUAUUUAUUUAUUAUUAUUUUCUUUUUAACUUAAAACCUAUUUUCUGAUGCGCAGACUGCGAGCCUUGCUCGUCUUCAACGUGGUGUUGCUCGGAAAGCUCUUCGAGCUCUUUGCACGCAACGGAAGAAAUCACUUGAUCGCAUCGCUAAACUCGAAAAGGAUCGGGAUUAUCUUCGCUGCAAACUUGAUCGAAUGGCCGACGAGAAGAAAAUCACCACCGAUCUCGUGCGCAAGUUAAGCGGCGAAAAGAAAGAGCUUUCCGAAGAAAAGAAGUUGCUUACUGAGGAAAAGAAGAAAUUACUCGCUCAUGUAAAAGCAUUCGAGCGAAAAAUCAUCGAGUAUCAAGACGUCGCACGACAACGCGCUGAAUCAGAAGACAAGAUGAAGGAGCAAGUUGAGGUCUUGGAGAAGAAGAAUAAAGAACUCGAACUCGCCUGCAAAAAUCAAAGCGAGAAGAUAUCUGCUUUAGAGCUCGAGAGCGAAAGUUGCCGCCAACUUCUUCUGAAAAGUUGCGAGACCGUUCGAAUCACGUUGCGAAGUCUAGGGGCUGACAUCAGCUUGCUAUCGGAAGAAAAUACCUUAGCAGCUGUGGGAAAAUGGUUCGAGGAAUUUUCCAUUGGGCUAAAAGAUAGCGUUACUCCCUUUGCAUCUCGCUGCUCGAAGACUGCUGUGGAGAGCCUUUCGGCCUGUCUGCUUUCAAAUGGGUGUGAACACUUUACCACCCUUAAAACUGAUAUACAAGGUAUACUUAAUGAUGAGGCCAAAUUUGCACAGCUUCGAGAUGCAGCUCAACCCGUCGUAAAGGCUUUCCAAGUGCUUUACUGGAAGAAGAAAGGAUAUGAAGAUACCCUGAGGUCUCUCCGAGCAUCUCUUGCCUCGAGAUCAAAGUCACAACCGGCCAGUUCGAGCCAACAAGAUAAAGACAGUAGUACUCCGAGCUCGAGCGCACAGGUGUGACGUUCGUGAAAAGAAUAGUUAAGGAUGCUUCGUAUGUUCGAAAACAAUGCUAUUUUGCUGCUUCAAAACCGUUAUGGUUGAGAGCCUUUAUUGUAAAAAUUCAUCUCUUAUUGCAUGCUUUUCACGGAAAUUCCCUUUCUUUGGGGGGGCUGCAUGUUAACUCGAAUCGAAAACUUGUGAUUCGACGCAACAACACUUUGCCUACUCGAAAUGUGAAGCACUUAGCAUUUCGAGACCCUGCAAAGCUUUCUUCUACCAGGACCGCCGUCUCCGAUGACGAACUCGAAGCCUGUUAUGAUAAUACUUGUAUAUUUGCUUUUAAGUUUUUCCGAUGGCAACGAAGCCAUCGACAUGACAGUUUACGUGACUUUGUACUUGAGUUUAGGGAACGGCGUUCGAACAAUACUCUUGCUAGUAAAGCCUUUUGGCAAAACUUCCAACCAUCCGAACGCCAACGUAGAAUAUGGAAAAGGCGUUAUUCAAUAGUUCCAUAUACAGUAAUGCCUUCUCCUCUCAACAUUGUUUAUCCCGACUCUUUUCUUUCUUCUUUGUAGAGUUUGUAUGUAACUUGUUAUACCUUCUUAACAUCAAAUAAACCCUUCCUUUCUUCUUUUCUUUAUAAAUGCUCUUUAUUUCAAUUGUUCAAGCACCCUUAGGUAAACUACGUCCUCCUUAUCUUUGGAAGAAGUUACGAAAUCGAAACGUACUUUAUCUCGUCACGUGCAUUUUCCGCCUUUUGAGCUCGAGCGAGGGGAAAAUAGAGUUCGAGCAUUCUUUAGUUGGUUUUUUGGACUAAGGCAAAAUAGUUCGAAAACCGCCGUCCUCCUCACCUUUCGAAGGAGUGACGAGGUCGAAACGUAUUUUAUCUCGUCACGCGGAUUUUCCGCUUUUUGAGCUCGAACGAGAAUAGAGUUCGAGCAUUCCUGAGCUGGUUUUUAGGACUAAGGCAAAAUAGUUCGAAAACCGCCGUCCUCCUCACCUUUCGAAGGAGUGACGAGGUCGAAACGUAUUUUACCUCGUCACGCGGAUUUUCUGCUUUUUGAGCUCGAACGAGAAUAGAGUUCGAGCAUUCCUGAGCUGGUUUUUAGGACUAAGGCAAAAUAGUUCGAAAACCGCCGUCCUCCUCACCUUUCGAAGGAGUGACGAGGUCGAAACGUAUUUUAUCUCGUCACGCGGAUUUUCCGCUUUUUGAGCUCGAACGAGAAUAGAGUUCGAGCAUUCCUGAGCUGGUUUUUAGGACUAAGGCAAAAUAGUUCGAAAACCGCCGUCCUCCUCACCUUUCGAAGGAGUGACGAGGUCGAAAUUUGCUAGUCGAAAGUAUUCGACUCCUAGCGUGAGGAGUUAUAUUUUGUCGACUUUGCUAGUCGAGAGUAUUUGACUCCGAGCGUGCGGAGUUCUAUUUUGUCGACUUUGUUAGUCGAAUGUAUUUGACUCCGAGCGUGCGGAGUUCUAUUAGACUUUGUUAGUCGAGAGUAUUUGACUCCGAGCGUGCGGAGUUCUAUUUUGUCGACUUUGUUAGUCGAGAGUAUUUGACUCCGAGCGUGCGGAGUUCUAUUUUGUCGACUUUGUUAGUCGAGAGUAUUUGACUCCGAGCGUGAGGAGUUCUAUUUUGUCGACUUUGUUAGUCGAAUGUAUUUGACUCCGAGCGUGCGGAGUUCUAUUUUGUCGACUUUGUUAGUCGAGAGUAUUUGACUCCGAGCGUGCGGAGUUCUAUUUUGUCGACUUUGUUAGUCGAGAGUAUUUGACUCCGAGCGUGCGGAGUUCUAUUUUGUCGACUUUGUUAGUCGAAUGUAUUUGACUCCGAGCGUGCGGAGUUCUAUUUUGUCGACUUUGGUAGUCGAAUGUAUUUGACUCCGAGCGUGCGGAGUUCUAUUUUGUCGACUUUGCUAGUCGAGAGUAUUCGACUCCGAGCGUGCGGAGUUCUAUUUUGUCGACUUUGUUAGUCGAAUGUAUUUGACUCCGAGCGUGCGGAGUUCUAUUUUGUCGACUUUGUUAGUCGAGAGUAUUUGACUCCGAGCGUGCGGAGUUCUAUUGCAAUCAUACACAGAGGCAUGUUUUUUAUACAGGUUCGGGCCUCCAUUAUGGAUAAAAACCCUACGUCCUGUUUAUAUACAUUAACUUGGAUAUCAUUCGUAUUUACAUCUGAGUGAGUAUACUACAAACUCGAGCUCCCGUGUUCUCCUUUUUCUCUUUCUCUCUCUCUCUCCUUUUUUUUUAGGCAUAAAAUUUCUUUAAAGAAAUAGCAUUCCAAGUAUGCUUUAACUCAUCACCAUCAAGAUAUGCUAACUUGAAUGCUCCCGUUUCUGUCUUCUUUUUGACUAUGAAUGGUCCUUCCCACUUUGACUCGAGUUUUCCAACAGCUACCUCAUUGAGCACUUUCUUCAAGACUAAAUCUCCUUCUUCAAUCGGCCUUGUCUUUACUUUUUGGUUGUAAUAGCUCUUUGUUCCUUCUGUGUAUGAUGCCAUCUUCUCCAAAGCUUCAACCCUUAUUUCAUCUAGCAUUUCAAGAGUUAUGUCUCUUCCUUCUUCAUCUUUUUGGUCAAAUAUCAUUCUUGGAGAAUGUGCCCCUACUUCGCUUGGAGUCAUUGCUUCAUCGCCAUAAACCAAUCUGAAAGGGGUCAUGCCAGUCGACCUUACUACCGUAGUUCUUAGUGCCCAAAGCACUGAUAGCAAAUCCUCCGGCCAUUUUCCUUUUGCUGAUCCUUCUAACCUCUUCUUGAUAGCUUCCAUGAUUUUACCAUUUGCCCUUUCCACAGCUCCAUUUGUCUGAGGAUGGCCUAUAGAGGCAAAGUUGAUUUGCAAAUUAAGGCCUUUACACAUGUCUUGAAAUUUUCCAGAUUCGAAUUGCUUUCCAUUGUCACAUACUAUUUCCCUUGGGAUUCCAAAUCGACAUAUUAUGUUCUUCCAAACAAACUUUUGUAGUGCUGCAGAAGUUAUUCUUGCCACUGCUUCUGCCUCAAUCCAUCUUGAAAAGUAUUCAAUUGCAACAAUGAUAAAGCGCAAAUCUCCCUUCGCUCUUGGAAGAGGACCUACUAUAUCUAUUCCCCAUCUGUAAAAAGGCCAGACUGGCGGAAUUGGUUGCAGUUCUUUGGGUGGUGCUUUUGUCAUUGGGCCGAACUUCUGACAUGCUUUGCACGUCUUGAUGUAUUUCUCUGUAUCUUUCAUAAUUGUUGGCCAAUAGAUUCCUUGUCUUAUGACUUUUGAAGCCACUGACCGUGGUGCUUGAUGAGCUCCACACAAGCCUUCAUGUAUUUCUACCACCAUCUUCAUGCCUUCUUCCCUUGUUACACACUUUAACAAAGGAGCAGUAACUCCACUUUUAUACAACUGUCCCUCUACCACCUUGUAUUUUUUGGAUGUUAGUUGUAUUCUCUUUGCUUCUUCUUCCUUUUCUGGAAGUUGUGCACUGGCAAGGUAUUUCAAGAUCGGUUCUCUCCAAUCUCCUUCUCUCUGUAUGCAUGCUACUUCUUUCUUUUCGUAACUUGGCUGGGUGAUUAUAUCGAAAAAUGAAUUUUCCAAUGGUUGACCUGUUGCGGCUGCCUUAGCUAGCUCAUCAGCUUCUCCAUUUUCUUCCCUUGUUAUGGCUUUUACCGUUAUUCCCAAGAAAUGUUUCUCAUUCAGCCUUGCUUCUUCCAGAUAUUUAGCCAUAGUUUCCUCCUUUGCUUCAAAGGAUUUGGAAAAGUGACCUGCUACCAACUUUGAGUCAGUUUUGACUAUUAACCGCCGAGCCCCUAGCGCUCUUGCCUUUCUCAUAGCCAAUAAAACGCCUUCAUACUCUGCUGUGUUGUUUGUUGAAGGAAAAGCUAAUUGAACAGAAUACUUCAACGUUUGCUUCAUUGGUGUUUUCACAACUGCAGCGGCUCCUGCUCCGGCGGCAUUGCAUGCUCCAUCAGAGAAUACUAUCCAUGGUUUUUCGACUUCUUCCUGUUGUUCUACCUCAUUGGGAGUCCAUUCUGCCACAAAAUCUGCUAGUACUUGUGACUUUAUGGCUGUUCUUGAUAUGUAUUUCAGGUCAAAAGGUAAGAGUUCCAUUGCCCAUUUUGCUAUUCUCCCCGCGACUUCCUUGUUUGUUAACACUUCUCCUAUCGGGUAUGCCGAUGGUAUUGUUAUGUCAUGCGACAGAAAAUAAUGCCUCAACUUUCUUGAAGCCAUCACAAUUGCAUAAAUCAACUUUUCUACUUCUGAGUAUCGUGUUGUUGGUCCUUGUAAUGCUUCUGAGACAAAGUAUACCGGCACUUGCCUAUUUUCUUCUUCUUGUACCAAAACUGCGCUAACUGUCGCUGGAGUUGCUGCCACAUACAUUAACAGAGGUUGACCUUUUGGCGGACUUGCUAAUGUUGGCAUUUCAUGCAAGUAUUUCUUCAAGUCCUCGAAAGCUUGUUGGCAUUCAGCAGUCCACUCGAAGGUGUUUGCCCCCCUCAAAGUCUUGAAGAAGGGUAAUCCCUUUUCUGCUGAUUUAGAUAAAAAUCUACUCAAAGAUGCCAUUCGGCCUGUCAAUCUCUGCACUUCUCUUGUGUUUUUUGGCGGCUCCAUUUGAUGGAUUGCUGCGAUUUUGUCAGGAUUUGCCUCUAUUCCUCUUUUGGACACCAAGAAACCAAGUAACUUUCCUGCUCUAACGCCAAAAACACACUUUUCUGGAUUAAGCUUAACUGAGCAUUUUCUCAGGUUUUCAAAUGUUUCUUGCAAAUCUUUGCCAUGGGUAAAUGCUUGUUUACUCUUUACCACAAUGUCAUCUACGUAUGCCUCGACAUUCCGUCCUAACUGCUUAGCCAAGACUUUUCCUAUCAGCCUGGCAAAAGUCGCUCCUGCAUUCUUCAAACCAAAUGGCAUUCUGAUAAAACAAUAAGUUCCAAAUGGUGUUAUAAAUGAUGUCUUUUCCUCAUCCUCCUUCACCAUAAAAACUUGGUGAUAGCCAGAGUAUGCGUCUAAGAAACUCAUUAGUUCGCAUCCAGCUGUGGCAUCUACCAACUGAUCUAUCCGUGGCAAAGGAAAAUCAUCUUUUGGGCAUGCCUUGUUGAGGUCUGUAAAGUCAAUGCACAUUCUCCACUUGCCAUUUGCCUUCUUUACUAACACUGGAUUUGCCAGCCAUUCUGGGUGCAUCACUUCUCUUAUGACUUUCGCCUUCAACAACUUUUCAAGUUCAAUUUUUGCAGCUUGUUGUCUGUCUAUAGACAUUCUUCUCAAUUUUUGUUUUUUGGGCUUGUAUCCUGACUUAAUCGCUAGGUUGUGCUCAAUUAGACUUCUAUCAACUCCCUGCAACUCAUCUGGUGACCAUGCAAAUACAGCCAUGUUUUCUUUUACUACCUUUAAGAUUUCUUCCUCAACAUGUUUUUCCAAGUUUUCUCCUAUCAGAAUGAACUUUCCAGGGUCAUGUUCAUCCAACUGUACUUUCUUUGUUUUCCCUUCAGGAAUUGGCUUUUGUAUUUUUAUGUAUUCUCCCUGUUUUUGGUCAACCACAUGUACUCCUUUCACACUUGGUGUUCCUUAAAGCUCAUACUUUCUUCCUGCAAGCUGUUCUCCUCGGACCGUUAUUACUCCCCUUGGUCCUGGGAGCUUCAUACAUAUGUAGUUGUGGUGUAUUAUGGCCUCAAAAAUAUUGAUUGUUGACCUUCCAAGAAUUGCAUUGUACUGAUAUGGCAUAUCGACCACAUCAAAUACUAUCUCUUCUUUUCUCACAUUAGUGCCUUUUCCAAAGACCACUUGUAAAGAUAUUUUUCCAAUUGCAUGUACUUGUUGUCCACCAAAACCUUGUAAAGGUACUCAUGCAUUUGUUAACCUAUCUUCUGGUAUUUGCAUUUUCUUGAAAGCAUCAUAAAACAACACAUCCGCUGAACUUCCUCCAUCGAUUAACACUCUUUGCACUUCGCAUUGUGCUAUUUCCACUGAGACCACUAAAGGAUCUUGAUGAGGGAAAAGUAUUCCUUCUGCAUCUUCAGGCCCAAAGGAAAUUACCGUUUUUGAGUAUACUGGUGGAUUUGACUGAUAGCUUGUCCCGACAUGAUUUACCUGUCUGACAUAUGCUUUUCUUUGCCUUUUUGACUCAAUUCCUAACGAAGAGCCCCCAGUUAUGGCAUUUAUCACUCUCUUUGGCACUUCUUCAAUUGCCUCUAUCUUCAUAACUUGCGGUGCUUCUAUGGCGUUUUGUCCUCGUUGAUCACGAGCUCCUUCAUACUUGUUCUCAUAUCGAUUUACGUGUUUUUCCAACAAGUGAGUCAUUUGCCUGCAUUCUUCUGUGGAAUGACCUCCUGGACCAUGUAUAUGACAAAACUUACUGUAACAUUCUUCUGUGGAAUGACCUCCUGGUCCAUGUGUUUGACAAAAUUUGGUUUGGUCAGGUUUAUUUUCUCUUCCUUUUCCUCUUUCAUUGUUCCACCAUCGUCCUCUACCUCUGCCUGAAUUCCACCAUUGUCCUCGACCUUUUCCAGAUUGCCCCCAAUUGUUUCUCCCUCUGCGAGUGUUGUCCCAUUGAUGUUUUCCUUUUUCUCUUUCAUUGUUGGAUCCAUCUCCGAUAAAAUUUACCUGUUUCUUCUGAUCUUGUUUAUAGUCAUACUUGAACCUUUUCCAGGGCUUUCCGGUAUAGACGGCUUCUUCCUCUUGCACUCUCAACUCAUCUUCUUCUCCUCUUGCAAAACUUUCCAUUCUUUCAAACAAGUCUUUUGCUGUCUUUGGUCUAUUUCUAGCAAGAUCGAAACGAAGAGGACCGGGUAGCAAUGCCCUUUUUGCUGCCGCUAUGAGCAUUUCGUCAUCUACAUGCCUGAUCUGACAUCUUACCCUUGAAAACUUCACGAUGAAACUUCUCAAUGUUUCCCCUGGAAGCUGCUUCAUGGCAUACAAGUCAUCUGCCUCUUUUGGUUCUUCAUACGCCCCAAUGAAUCCUGCUCGAAAGGUGUCUCUCAUAUGUUCCCAUGAAUAGAUUGUCAUUGGUGGAAUGGUAGUGUACCAUGAUAAUGUACUCCUUCUAGCAUUGUUGGGAGUAUCUUAGCUUUCGUGGUAUCAUCUCCACCUGCUGCUUCAACUGCUGUCUCAUAUACUCUGAGGUAUUCAUUGGGAUCUGUGUCUCCUUUGUACUUUGUGAUGUUGGACAACUUGAAGUUUAUUGGCCAAGGUGCCAUUUGCAGGUUUUGACUUAAGGGAUUCUUUGUAUCUAUUGCUCUGGUCGGUUGAAAAUAGGGUUGUGUGGGCUGGAAUUGAAAGGCCUGGUUCGGUAUUUGACCUGCAUAUUGUAUAUGGUUGGCCAUUUGUGGGAUGUACCCUUGUUCAAGCAUCAUCUCUGGUUGUUGCAUAUGGAAAGGGGAAAAACCUUGGGGGACUUGGUGAUGGUUUUGAGCUGCUUGAGUGUUUGUUGAUUGCGUAUGUGUGAAGUUGGGCAAAGAUGUUUGAAUCUGUGGUAUUUGGGUUUGUGGAACUUGUAUUUGUGGUAUAUCAUUUUGUGGGAGUUGUGUUCGUGGGAUAUUACUUUGUAGGAUAUGAGGUUGGGGGAUUUGGAUUUGAUUGGGAAGAACUGGGUGGGUUUGAUGUAAUUGUGUUUGAGGAUAUUGUACUUGGUUAGGAAUUUGAGUUUGAAUUGGAAUAUGCGGCUGGAAAGAAAUGUGCGUUUGAAUGGGAAUUUGGUUUUGGCUAGGGAUCAAGGUUCGAGCUAGGUUCUGAGUAGGAAUGGUAAUUUGAGCUUGAGGUGUAUUCUGGGUAAGAAUGGGAAUUUGAGCCUGAGAUGGGUUUUGUACUUGACUGGGAGCUUGGGUUCGUGGUAGAUCUUGAGCUUGGGUGGCUUUGGUACUUUCUCCUUCUUUGUUCUCCCCCUGGGCAUCUCCUUUUGCCUGAUCUGAUUGCUUUUCCCUAGCCCCUGGUAUUGCACACUGAUCACUUGAUCCUCCUGCUCCUACUGUCUGAUUGUGUAGGGUUUGCAAUCUUUGUAACUCUUUUUGCAAUUCCUCAUAUUGUCCUUUACUCACCAUGACAGCCCCUUGCGCUUGGACCAAUUCAGCCAGCUCUACAUCACUCAUGGGUGUUUUCCCUGUUUCUUCCACCACCGCACCAGCAAUUCUUUCUUCUUGAGUUGUUUCAUUACCUCCUGCUGCUGUGGAUGUCUUGGCCAUCUCUGCCCACUGCUUAUCAAGUGUUUCCGUUGCUCUUGCCAAGUCACUUUCUUCCACUGCCUUUUCCCACUCUCUCUCGAGUGCAGCUGUCGCGCUUGCAAAAGCUCCUGUAUAGCGUACUGGCACAGUCUUCUGUCGUUGAGAACGUCGCAUUUACUGUUUGAGCCCAAUUCAAUGGAGACUUUCCGUCCCCACGGACGGCGCCACUGUUGUGACCUUAGGUCACGAACAAGAUCGGGGAUAGGCCGGAAAGAAGUGUUUUCCCGCCUAUCCUUAGAAACGAGCUCGAACAGCAAACACAACUUUUGAGGAUUACUUUUGUAUUCAAGAUGUCUUGUCCUGCUACAGGUUUUUGACUGGCUUUUAUAACCAGUGGUCGUACACGUGAGAUUACAUUUUUACCCCUGUGGGUCUUUGUAAGUUUACUCUAAUGCCCCUGCCACAUCAGCGUCUGUGGGGGCAUUCUAGUACAUCUCCAGGGGUCUUUUAGUCUUUUAGGUGCUAGCUGGCGAGAGUGGUUGAAGGUGGUCCCCACGGAAUCUUCCCUUGGCAUCUUCUCUUGUUCGAGUAGUGCUCUUCCUCGAACUCUUGGGAAAAAUGCCUUUUCCGUCCUGGACCGUCUUCUUCCUCCUGGGAAUUUGAAUUCCCCUUUGCCUUCUCUUUCAUCCUUGGAAAACACCUGUGAAAUUGUAACUUGUCCAAAAUAUGUGUAGUUGUAUUAGCGAUUAUGGAAUGUCCCUAAAAAGGUGUUCUUCACCCGAAGAGGUAUUUUCUAUUCGAAUGAGUGUUCUUCCUCUGGGAAGGUAUUUUCCCUUUGGGAAGGUGUUCUUCCUCUUGGAAAGGUAGUUUCCACUCAAAAUGAGUGUUUUCCCUUCUGGAUACUUAGGUCUUGCAAAACCUCGUAGUGUUUUGACCGAAUUGGAGGAAAAGGUGUUUGCACCCUGCUACAACAAUUGAUGAACUAAGUGUUGAUGGACUGAUGUUCUGUUGUUGUUCUCAAACCCAUUUCCUGGAGUGAUAGGCUGAUAGCAGUAUAGCACCUGAAUUGUGUAUACCUUAUAGGCUUAUACCAUUCUGUUUUGCUGUAUUCUUUUAGAAUAUUUGUUAUGCAAAUUAUAUGAAGUUAUAGAAGAAUAUAUUUUGCUGUGAGACUCAGUUUGAGGGGUUUAUGUAUUCCGAUAAAUUUUCGUUACCGUAUCCGCGCCGGUUCGUUUUCGCUCCGUUUUCGGUUUUGAUAAUAUUCGUUUCCGUUUUCGUUUUCGGGGUUUCCGAUUUCGAUUCCGAUUCCGAAAAAAAAUAUGAAAACGAAAACGAUAAAGGUUGUUUCCGUCCGUUUCCGUACCGUUUUCACCCCUAAUGACAUGCACGCAUUAUCAUACAUCCAUGUCUACUAAAUUUUUUUUUCAAGUUUAGUUUGCACCUAUAAAAAUUAAAAUCUGGAAAUUCAUUUGCACGGGCGAGUACUUAAGAGAACGCAAUGUUGAAAUUGAUCUCCACGGCUGUCGGUAUAUAUUUACAAAUCUCGCGAAUUUCAACGUUACAGGCCAUAUAGUCAGCCUCGAAAAUGCCCAUGUAAACGAACUAGCUAUCGGCGGUCUACACAAACAUUUUUUUAUAGUGUCAUGGUGACACUCAUUUUUUCUCACCUUGAAAAUUAUAAAACAAUGAAGCGUAGCAAGGAAAUCUUCAUAGAGAUAUAAACAGAAGAACAUCUGAGUUCAUCAUUUAUUCAUCAUACAUGCUUCCAGAUAAAAGGAAACACAAAUUAUUUAGUAACCAAAUCACACACAUGAACAGCCAAUAACUAGCUACAUACAGAAGGCUAGUAGCCAGUUCCCGGUAGCCAGUAGCAGACACCGCCUACGCCAUUGGGGAUGUCCACGUUGCAGAACGCCGGGAGGCUCGCCGCCGCGCGCUCGAUGUCCCCUCUCCGGCAGCCGCGGAACACCUCGGCCAUGGGGUGCCCAGCGUCGGCGGCGCCGCUCUCCCUGUAGAUGAUCCUCAGCAUGUGGUUGAGCGCAUCGCACCUGCACCAGCUGCUGUCGAUGGCGGCGAGCUGCCGGCAGCAGCCUCGCCGGACCUGCUCGUCCACCGUGCCGGGGGCGACGCACUGGCGCUUCACGAACGCCCGGCAUCGCGGCAGCGGGUACGUCGGGUAGCCGAUUCCUGGCUGACAUAGCUGGCCGGGAGUGUAGACCACCUGUUCUUGGUGGUGGUCCGCCAUUGUCGUCGUUGCUGCGAGCACGGAGACGACGACGACGAGCAACGCCGAGAUCACUACCUUGUUGGAAGCCAUUUUUUUUUGUUUGCAGAAAUUCUUGAUUGUUAAUUUGUAUGAGAGGGAUAGAAGCUCUCCCAUCUAUGGGUGGUUUUAUAUAUAGCUAUAAAGACUAAAGUGGUUCAGGAAAUGGAGACAAUUUUUUUUGGCUGUUCAUGAGGGAUUAGCUUGUGGUUUUGAAUGAAAAUUUUGUUGUUAUUCGUACGCCUAAUCUGGCAUCACACGGAUAAAAGUUGGUUAAAGGGGAUUGAUAUGCACCACACUCUUUAAUUAUUUCAACUUAUUUUGAUUCUUCCGUGCAAGAAAUUGAAUUAAUGCACACAUUGUCAACAGACGCGACGCAUAGUUAUGCAUGGUAACAAAAUCUGUUGAUCUUUAGUUCCAUGGCUUAUAUGGUGAUCCAAAUUGUUGAACAAGAAAAACAAUAGUUCCAAACAAAUAUUUUAAAAGUAAUGCCUCUGGAAGCUGCAACAGUAGACGUGCCUGAUCAAGCAUAUAUAUAUUGGAGUUAUCUGAAACACAAAUUUCAUAUAUAGAUAGCUUUAAUGCGCACAUUGGAUAACAGGUUAUAUUAACAAGGCACGGCAUUAUAUAUGGCUAGAAGAAGCACGUACGCAAAAUCACUUUGUGAAAAAAUGAUACAAAUUAAAGGCUACAAAUAAUUUGUGCUAUAAUCCUGUCGAGUUGCAGUUUGUGCCAGCCCUUUUUUUAAAGAAAGUAUAAGGGAUAUCAAAAUAUAGGUCUUAAGUGAGGGGCAAGAAAGAGUUUGUUAUUUUGUGAGAAAGGAAACAAAAUAAAACAAGAGGGUUGUUAGCUUGGGUGUGAGUUUAAUGUCCUUCAAAGUGUAUUUGUUUUAUCUGAUCGAUGAUCUUAAUUAUUGCAAAAUAAACAACUCAUUGUAUUCCUUUUUUACUCGUCAUACGUACCAUCUCGACACAUUAAUUCUCACCAGUUCAUAGGUUUUUGUCAUUCGUAUUGAUAAUUAUAUUAAUAAAAGACAGUUAAAUAUAACAAUAAUAAAUAUUCAUAUUUUAUUUUUGUGUAUAUUAGUGAGUUAAAAAGAAAUCAAGAUUUUGUUGCCUCCUAUCCAAAACAGCAUUUUUCCAUGAACGGGAAGUAACAUAUAUAUCAAUAGCUUUACUUAUAUUUUGUUCACGCUUUCACAAUUGACAUAUUUGUGUAGUCAUCGCAGCCAUUUUUUCUAUAUGUAUACUUCGUUGUAAUUUAUUUUUUUGCUGGCAUGCAGUAUAUGACAAAGUUAUUGUGUAUGGCUUUUACAGACGUCAUGAAAAAGAACAGAAUGUCCAAGAAGCAGUUGGACCAGAGAGGCCAAGGCGAACUUGAUAAGAUCUGAAAUGGACUGUGCUGCUACAAGGGUGGCAAAGGGGAUGCUUUUUGACAGGUCAUGAAACUAGUCCCCGCUUUCACAAUUAACAAGCCACGUAAUAGAAAUUACUAAGAACAUUACAAAAAAAGGGGAAUUUCAAGAACAAAAUAAUAGAAGAGAGGAACAUCGUCCAUUCCACUUUUUAUUACUUAUUAUUGUCAUCAGAUAUAUGGAGACGCAGCAAUCGUGGAUGUGAAAAUUAAUUAGUCGGCUGGCUAGUGCUAGCUAGUAACAAGCUACUCCCUUCGUUACAAAAUAAGAUUAUAGAGGGGACCUUCAGGUUUUGCAAUACACUAAUACACAAACGAUUUUUCUAUACUAGACUUCAUGAAUUUUUGCAAACAGACCAUAAGUGAUGGCGUAUGCAAAAAUCGACCUUCAUUUUUGCAUACGGCUUCUUAAGACGCCCGUAUGGAAAAACUGAUUUUUCCAUGCGGGUCACUUAAGAGGUCCGCAUGCAAAAAUGAGCUCAUUUUUGCAUGUGGAUCACUUAAGUACCCGCAUAGGAAAAUCUAUUUUUCCAUACGGGCGUCUUAAGAAGCCGUAUGUGAAAAUAAAAUUUGAAAAUUUAAAAAUUUGAAACUAGUUUAUCUCACUCGUAUGAACUCUAAAUUGGAUGAUUCUUUUUCCUAAAUGUUUCUAAAAUCAUACUCUAUCAUGUUAUUGUGUUCUUUUGCUAUUAUUUUGGCCAUUUUUCCUUGUGACUUCGUUUUAUAAAUUAAAAAUUUGAAUUUCAAAACUUCAAAUAAUAUUUUGAAGCAGUAAAUAACUUUAGUCGAAAAGUCAUCAACAACAAAGUUGUAUAACUCAUCAAGAUCUAUAACUUUUAUUUUGGUCAUUUCUUCAUUUGAUGAAGUGAUAGUAAUAUUUUCACAAAAUUUACAUAUCUCUCUUAUAGUUUAUAAAACCAUAUGAGAGAUAUGUAAAUUUUAUGAACAAUGUUACUGUUAAUUUGUCGGACGAAGAAAUGACCAAAAUAAAAGUUAUAGAUCUUGACGAGUUAUACAACUUUGUUGUUGAUGAUUUUUUUCAACUGAAAUCAUUUAGUUUUACAAAAUGUUGUUUGAAGUUGUCAUAAUUUGAAUUUCAAAUUCAAAUUGUUGAAUCAAAGUCAUAUAGAAAAAUGACCAAAACAAAAGUUGUAUAUUUUAAUAAGUUAUACAACCUUGUUAGUGAUGUAUUUUUCAUUUGAAAUCAUUUACUACCUGAAAAAUUAUUUAAAUUUAUUAUAUUUUAAAGUUCAAAUUUUAGAUAGUUCAAUCAAACUCGGAUAGAGAAAUGACCAAAAGAAAAAUGGUAGAUCUCAAUGAUUUCUACAACUUUGUUUUUGACAACUUUUUCACAUGAGUUGAUUUAGAACCAUAAAAUUCGAUUCGAAUUUCUCAUAUUUUUACAUGCAGCCCCUUAAGAGGUUCGCAUGCAAAAAUCUACUUAGAUUUUUUCAUGCUUACCUUUUAAGUGGUCCGCAUGCAAAAAUGCCACCCCAAUUUUUUUCAUCUCCCUCCACUCUCUUUUCCCUUCCACCACUUCAAUUUUUUUUCAACACAUCUCCUCUCUCUCUCCCCCUCUAUUAUUUAAGGCAAAUUUUGCUACAGGACACUUGUUAUGUGUGGUUUUAGCCCCAGGACACUGCCCAAACUCACUUUUGGGUGAAAACACUCCGUAAACGUGGUAAUUUACCAGUGGACACCACGCCGAUUAAAAUAAUGCUUUCUCUCAGAGCGCGCUUGCACGGGGUGGCGUCGGUCACGGCAAAGAUGGCGAGGAUGGCGGCUGGCGGAGUGGAGCGGGGUGGCAGCGGCGGUGGACGAGCGCGUGGCCGGUGGAGCGGCAGUGUCGGCCAAGCGGAGUGGCAGCGGCAGCGACCAAGUGCGCGAUAGGAGUCGCGGCGGCGGGCGGCUGGCGAGAGUGGCGCACACCCCAUGGCGACGGCGAUGGCGACGCAAGCUCCCACGUCGGCUGAUCUCUUUGGCGGCGGCGGUGGUAUUAUUUUAAUCGAUUUUUGACAUUUCACGCGAUUUCUCUCUCCUCUCCAACCGGAAAGUAUUAUUUUAAUCGGCGCGGUGUCCACUGGCAAAUUACCACGUUUAUGGAGUGUUUUCCCCCAAAAGUGAGUUUGGGCAGUGUCCUAGAACUAAAACCACAUAUAACAAGUGUCAUGUAGCAAAAUUUGCCAUUAUUUAUUUUUACUCUCCCCCUCUCUCUCUCUAUCUCCACGGAUCUGUCCUCUCCCUCUCUCCCCCUCCCUCUCUGAGAGCGGGUGCCGGUGACCGUGAGCAGGGACGGAGAUGGCAUCGGUGGGCGGCGGAUCCAGCGGCGCCGCCCUAGGGAGCGGCUACGGCUACGACGACGGCGGGCGCACAGCGGGGGCGGCGGAUAGAUCCGGCGAGUGGGCGGCGACGCGGGCGGCGGCGCCGUCCCGCGCAGAUCCGGCGCCAAGGGCUCUUCUCACCCGCGCGAACAGUGGGGCCGGCGGUCGGCGUCGACGGCGGGUGGUGGGGUAGUCGAUCCGGUGAUGGCGUGCAGCGGGGAUACGGCGCUCCGGCGGCGGGCUAGGGUUCGGGUUUGUUGGUUUUUUUUUCCGUGAUUUUAUUUUCGCAUGCGGCUGGUAUAAGCGACCACAUGCGAAAAUCCCAUUUCGCAUGCGGUUGCGCCGGCCACAUGCGAAGAGCGUCAUUUUGGCAGAUCUUCUUGCCCAUGCGGUUGGCAACCGCUCCUUCUCGCCCGUAUGCAAAAAGGGGUUUUCGUAGUAACGAUAGCCAUACUCCGUCAACAUAUACACCGUGCUGGCGAUCCUCUGGCCAUCGCAGCCCUGCAGGUAGUGCCACCAUGCGGCCGACACAUGGACACCCUCCUUAGCAUGACAUUCCAUAUUUCUCGUCAUAUCAAAGUUUAAAGAAGUAAAGAACGACGGCAGAUAGCUAGCGAAUCAUCAAGACAUAUACAGAAGAACAUGGGAGUUGUUCAUCAUUUAUUCACCACACAUGCUUCCUAACAAAAGGAAACACUAAUUAUUUUAGGAGUAAAUUGCAUUCACGGUAUAUCAACUUGGCAAGUGGAUACAAUUUAGUGUAAGAUAAUAUCUACGGGAGCAAUAUAUUCUAAGAUAAUAUAAGACUUGUGCAAGAGGUUCUUAUUGCCAUCUAUGGAUGAGGGUUAUGCAUAUUCUUGCCAACUAUGGCCUUGUUUAGUUGGGGAAAAUUUUUGAGAUUGGUUGUUAUAUCGAAUAUACAGACACACCACUGGUGGAGAAACCAUCUUUCGUCGGUCGGCCGAAUUCCACAAUAGUCCCGGUUGCAAUAAAAACCAGGACUGUUGACGAAAAAAUCGAACACACCAGCCUGGGAGAUCUUCUUAGCUCCUGUGCAGGUCCAAAAAUUGAUGAGAUGCGGGCGUGCCAGUCAGUUUGAUCCUGCAACUGACAAGAUAUGCAAAUAGUAGAUCAAAACAGCCGAACGGCUGACAAGCCGAUGGAGUAGUUCCAGCCGAUGCCGAUAAUAGCCGAUGCCGAUACCAGCCGAUAGCGAUAGGAUUUAAGCAAUCGGCUAUAUAAAGGCAAUCGGCUACUGAUAAUAAAAUAUAACAAUAAUAUAGUCCAGUAUAAACCAAUCGGCUAGCAUUGAUAUGAUAGAAUAAGCAUUGAUAUGAAGGUUAGAGCAUACAUCAGCUGGAGGUCCGAUGUCAUGACAUCCACAAGAUUAGAUUAAACAGUGAAGCCUUUGUUGUCAUCGGCUAAAUCCAACUUAUAUGUAUAUGCAAUUCUUAUGAGCCGAUGCAACAUCCAGAUAACUCACCGGCUGAAACCCCGAUGAAACCCUUAUUGGCAAUCAAGAAGCAGGCUAGAUAUUAUGGUUCUAAGCACGACAUAGUAGAUCAAACUUAACUGAUACAGCACUAAGUAUGAAAAGAAACAUAAUAUCUAGACAAUCAAGCCGUUGACUGAGUUUUCAGGGUGGUAGAUGUCUAAGCUAAUCUAAUCUAGCAACGGGAUUUAGCCGAUACCGGCAGAAACCCUAAAACGAGAAGUAGUCGAUAGAGCUAAAUUGAUAUGCUAAGACUAGAUUAACAGAGACAUAUGAUAAAUAGGUAGGCAAGUAUAUCAUCCAAACCAGAGCAAUCCAAGAGGUCGAAUGUACUGAUGCAGCCUUGAACGACGCCGAUGUAGACGAUACAAUUGCCUGGGCUGGCGGAACAUUGGACUUACCCCUUAGCCGGAGAUCGAACACCGAUGCAGCCCCGCGUCAGGUGCCAAGUCCCGCCGGACAAUAAAAUAAAGUAGAAAAGGUAAAAGGUGGCGAUGCGCCGAAUUGUAUUGAUCGUGGAGAUAGAUUACAUAGACCCUGGGUGUACAUAUUUAUACCCAUGGGUUGAUACAAGUCCUUGUCGGACAAGAAAGAAGCUUUCCUAAAGAUAAAAGGAAAAGAUAAAGUCCUUAUAGGACACUAAACACACUUUCCUAAAGAUAAAAGGAAACUAACAAACUAUUUCUAAUUAAUAGAUAACUUGCCAUGCCGCAUUCUCUUUGAACUCGGUCUUUUCUGGAUAAGCUUCCUUUAGUAGAUCAAUUUCCUUAACCGAAUAUAGCAAGAAUCCGACAACUAACGACUUGACAACUCUCAUCGGCUAAUCGCAGGACUUCGAAGCCGAUGCUGACUCUAAGCCGAUGACUACUCCGGGUUUACCAAAUUUCACUGUUAACAGGCGUUAAAGAUGAUCUUUAGUCCCGGUUAAAAAGGGUAACGGGCAUAUUUGAUCUUUAGUCCCGGUUGAGUCAGGGCCUGUCAGGCCCCCCCCCCCCCCCCGGGAUCUUUAGUCCCGGUUGGUAACAAGUAUCUUUAGUCCCGGUUGGUGUUACCAACCGGGACUAAAGAUCACGGGGAUCUUUAGCCCCAGUUCAUAACACUAACCGGGACUAAAGUCUCACCCUUAGAUAUUCGUCUUCUUCCUCCUCUAGCUGCCCGAGCAAGCUUCAAAAUUUCUUCAAAAAAGAGGGGAGGUCAUGCCAAAAUUUCUAGUGAAUUUAUUUUGGUGAUUAUAUACAAAUCGGAGGUGCCUAAAAGGUUAGCAACUUCAUUCUCCAAUGUUUUCUUUGUCAUAUUAUAUUUGGAGCUAUGUUUUGCACACUUUUUUGUCUCCAAAAUUUAGUUGUAAGUUGAUGAGAGAGAAAAUUUGUGUGGGGAAGAAAGAAUAUAUAGAAAUUUAGUUUAUUUGCUAAAGAAGGUUUUAUAAAAUAGUUGAGAAGGAAAAUAUAGUGAAAGUUAAUCUUAAAUAAUAGAAAACAAACUAAAAUGAAAAUUAAAAGAAGUACAACACAUUAAUAUUAGUUUAAAACUUUAGAAAUAGUAAAUAAGAAUUAUUUGGUGUAAUAUUUUAUAAUUUUUGUAUGAAUAAUGAUAUGUCAUUAUUGUAUGACUGUUGAAAGAGUUUGUAAUUAUUUUAUAAUUAUUGUAUGACUGUCAUUAUUGUAAGAAUAAUUAUUUGUGUACAAUUUUUGUUCAUCUCAUGUAGAUGGAUCGGCAAUGGAUGUACGCUGACCGGUGGUCCAAAGAGGUUAUUGACGGCGUGCGUUAUUUUUUGAGAAUGGCCGAAGCUAACAGGCAUAAGGGUUUUAUUUGUUGUCCAUGCAAUAAGUGUAAGAAUCAGAAGGAGUAUUCUGCAUCCAGGACUAUUCAUUUCCACUUGUUUGAGUCGGGGUUCAUGCCAAGCUAUAACUGCUGGACAUCCCACGGAGAGCAAGGGGUUGAAAUGGAAGAAGAUGAAGUGGAAGACGACAAUAUUCCGGACUUUGGUCAAUACGCUGGAUUUGAAGGAAAUCAAACGGACGAGGAGGAAAGGGAUGUUGAUGGUAACGACAUUGCGGAUGAUCUUGGUUAGAUGUUGCAAGACGCCAAGGAGGACUGCAAAAGUGAAAAGGGGGCCCAUAAAUUGGACAAGAUGUUAGAGGACCACAGAACGUUGUUGUACCCAGGUUGCGAGCAGGGGCACAAAAAGUUAGGAUACCACUCUGAAGUUCUUGCAAUGGAAGGCCAAAAAUGGUUUUAGUGACAAGGCAUUUGGCGAUUUAUUGAAACUCAUCAAGGACAUUAUUCCGGAGGGAAACAAAUUGCCCGAGACAACGUACGAGGCUAAGAAGAUAGUCUGCCCUCUAUGACUGGAAGUUCAGAAGAUUCACGCAUGUCCGAAUGAUUGUAUCCUAUAUCGCGGUGAGGAGUACGAGAACUUAGAAGCAUGCCCUGUUUACAAAGCACUACGAUACAAGAUUAGACGAGACGAUCCAGGAGAAGUUGACGGGCAGCUAACAAAGAAGAGAAUUCCUGCUAAGGUAAUGUGGUAUUUCCCUAUAAUAUAACGGCUAAGGCGUUUGUUCAGGAACAAGGGGAAUACUAGAAUGAUGCGAUGGCACGCUGAAGAGCGUCAACAGGACGGGAUGCUGAGACACCCCGCCGAUGUUUCGCAAUGGCGGAACAUCGAAAUAAAUUUUAAAGACUUUGGAAAGGACGCACGAAACAUACGGUUUGGUUUAAGUACGGAUGGCAUGAAUUCUUUUGGAGAGAUGAGCAGCGGCCAUAGCACUUGGCCCGUUACGAUGUGUAUCUACAACCUCCCCCCUGGCUAUGCAUGAAGAGGAAGUACAUAAUGAUGCUGAUUAUUAUUCAAGGCCCCAAGCAACCUGGUAACGACAUUGAUGUAUACCUAAGACCAAUGGUCGAAGAUCUUAAACUGUUGUGGAAAAAGGAAGGUGUCCCGUGUGGGACGAGGACAAACAGGAGGAGUUUAACCUACGAGCGCUGCUGUUCGUAACCAUCAACGAUUGGUCUGCACUUAGCAACCUUUCCGGUCAGUCCAACAAGGGGUACAAGGCUUGCACUCACUGUAUGGAUGAAACAGAAAGUACGUAUCUUAAGCACUGUAGGAAGGUUGUGUACAUGGGUAAUCGUCGAUUCCUUGCUGCAAACCACCCGGUACGGAAGAAAGGCAAUCACUUUGAACAUAAGGCGGACCACCGUGCGAAGCCUAAACAUCGCAGCAGUAAAACAAUGUUUGCUAUGGUUAAAGAACUUAAAGUAGUGUUCGGAAAGGGGCAUAGAAGCCAGCCUAUAGAGAGCGAAGAUGGUCACGCGGCGAUGUGAAAAAAGAACUCUAUAUUUUGGGAGUUACCCUAUUGGGAAUUCUUGGACGUCCGCCACGCAAUCGACGUGAUGCACCUCACUAAGAACCUUUGCGUAAACCUUCUUGGCUUCCUAGGUGUAUAUGGAAAGUCGAAAGAUACACUAGAAGCACGUAAUGAUCUAAACCAUAUGGAACAACGCGGCGACCUUCACCCAGAACCAAAGGAGAAAGGAAGCCAUUACUUGAGUCCAGCCAGCUACACUAUUAGCAAGGCAGAGAAGGAAAGUAUGUUUGAAUGCUUGGAGCACAUAAAGGUACCGUCUGGAUACUCCACGAAUAUCAAGCGAAUAAUAAGCACGAAGGAGAAGAAGUUCACAAACCUAAAGUCUCAUGACUGUCACCUGUUGAUGACACAACUGCUACCAGUUGUAAUAAGGGGUAUCCUUCCAGACUAUGUGCAUUCAUGAACACAAUUUCGCAGAAGGUCAUCAAUCCGGAUAGAUUAGAAGCCCUUCAGAAUGAUGUGGUGCAUUGUCUUGUCAGUUUUGAGUCGAUAUUUCCACCUUCAUUUUUCAAUAUAAUGACGCAUCUGCUUUGUCACCUUGUCAAAGAGAUCAGUAUUCUCGGGCCUGUGUACCUACACAACAUGUUUCCUUUCGAGAGGUACAUGGGCAUUCUAAAGAAGUAUGUUCGUAACCGUGCUCGUCCAGAUGAAAGCAUCGCCAAGGGGUAUGGAACAGAGGAGGUCAUCGAAUUUUGCAUAAAAUUUAUUGAAGACCUUUGCCCAAUCGAGGUACCUGAAUCACGACAUGAAGGGAGACUAUGGGGAGAGGGAUCUCUCAGAAGGAAAGCAAUAAUGGCGGUAGACAACAAUUUAUUCCGUAAAGCCCAUUUCACGGUUCUGCAACAAUCUUCAUUGGUAGCUCCUUACAUCGAGGAGCACUUGGCUCUAGUUCGCGUCAUAAACAUCGGUAAGUCCGAUGCAUGGAUUACACGGCAUCACAUUGAUACUUUCCCCGCGUGGCUACGACAACAUCUCAUGGGUAACGAGACGAUCAACCAACAACUUGUGACAUCCCGGCCUAGGGCUUAAUAGGAUUAAUAGAAUACUCAUAUCAACAAGUUGCAACUUCUUUUCCGGAAGCCGGUCUCGAAAGAACUCUUAGGUUAAGCGUGCUUGGCCUGGAGCAAUUUCGGGACAAAGUGUGCAGAAAACACUCACUAGUAGUGUGCACGAGUGAGGACAAAGUGUGCAGAAAACACUAGCGUUGGUCUGUGAGGGUAGUCUAUGUCCUAGGGAAGCUGCUAGAUGUAGAGAGGGCCCGGUCUCGGAGAGUGUGGGGCGUCACACAACUGGCCUUCCUGGCGGGGCCCGGUCUCGGAGAGUGUGGGGCGUCACACAACUGGCCUUCCUGGCGGGGGGACCAUCUGGGUCGAUCACGACAUUCCAAGGAUGGAUUAGGUUGACUGGUGGAGGUGUAAUGAUUGAUGACAGUGGGAUGACAACGGUUGACCUUAACAAGGUUGGAUACUCGGACAAACAUUUUGUCCUUGCCAAUGAUGUAACGCAAGUCUUUUACGUGAAGGACAUGUCUAGCAAAGGAAAGAAGGGCAGAGGACCUGACGAGCCGAAGCGUCACGUGGUUCUCCCAGGCAAAAGAAAAAUUGUCGGAGUUGAGGACAAAACUGACGAGGAUUACGAUCAGUUGGAUGGGCAACCCCCUUUCACGGUGACGAUUGACCCUAGCAUCCUUCUAUCAAAUGAAGACACCCCUUACUCACGUAGCGAUCACAAGGAGGGAACAAUAAUGAGGAGAAAGUACGUGCGGUCAACCGUCACCUUCGAUGUAUUGCCGUAAUUAUUGUGUACACGAUGUAAUCUAUUUUGGAUGUAUUGAUUAUCCAUAUAAAUCAAUUGUUGUAUGGCAUAUGUUAAUUACGUACGAUGAUUAGAGGUUUGAACAAUAUUAAAUCAUGUAAUUGCUAGUUAUAUGCGAUAAUUAGAAUUUUUAAAAGUUUUAAAUCAUGCAUGUGGCAUUUACAUAUGUUACUGAGAGUUUUUAACAAUUUUAAAUCAUGCAUAUGCUAGUUAUAUGCGAUAAUUGGAAUUUUUAAAAGUUUUAAAUCAUGCAUGUGACAUUUACAUAUGAUACUUAGAGUUUUUAACAAUUUUAAAUCAUGCAUAUGCUAGUUAUAUGCGAUAAUUAGAACUUUUAAAAGUUUUAAGUCAUGCAUGUGGCAUUUACAUAUGUUACUUAGAGUUUUUAACAAUUUUAAAUCAUGCAUAUGCUAGUUAUAUGCGAUAAUUAGGAUUUUUAAAAGUUUUAAAUCAUGCAUGUGGCAUUUACAUAUGUUAAUUAGAGUUUUUAACAAUUAAUUUAAUAUCAUUCAUAUGCUAAUUAUAUAUGAUUAUUUGAAUUUUUAUUAAUUUUAAAUCAUGCAUGUCGUAUGUAUUUACAUAUAUUAAUUACAGUUUUUAACAAUUAAUUUAAUAUCAUUCAUAUGCUCAUUUUAUAUGAUUAUUAGAAUUUUUAUUAAUUUUAAAUCAUGCAUGUCGUACGUAUAUACAUAUGUUAAUUAGAGUUUUUAACAAUUAAUUUAAUAUCAUUCAUAUGCUAAGUAUAUAUGAUUAUUAGAAUUUUUAUUAAUUUUAAAUCAUAUAGGAGUAUUUGCUUACUACGUUUUAUCCACUUAAUGUACUACAGACAACAAUAAUUUUUCGAAGUAAUUGUCAUUAAUUUGAACACAUUAUUUUCUAUUUUAGAAACACAUAUGUAAUGGAAAUUAAUAUUCAGUGCGCUUAUCAGUAGUCCCGGUUCUUAACUCUAACUGGGUUUAAAAAGAAAUUGGAAAUAGCGGGAAAAUAUCUUUACUCCCGGUUAUUCUCAUCAACCAGGACUAAAGAUCUAGAGGUAUAUAUAUUCCCGAUGCGCGCCUUCGUCUUCUCCACCAACACUUAGAAGUUUUUUCCCCAAUCAAUUUCUCUCUCGGCUUCUCCUUCGCCGCCACUACCUAGAGCAUCCCCGCGCCGACGCCGCCGUCGUAUCUCGCGGUCGUCUCGCGCGCGUUGUCGUUGCCGCCUCCGCCGCCGUCGCAUCUCUGGGGUGAGAGCCGCCGCCACCUCCCUCUCUCUCUCCGACCUCGAUCUCUCUCUCUCCCCAAACAGCCGCCGGCCGCCUCGUUGCCGACGCCGCCGCCGACGUCGUCGCGGCCGAACACGACUCCGCCGCGCCGAUGAUGACUAACUUGUCACGCCCGGAAAUUCACUAGUAAUUUCCGAACUUAUUUGUGCAUAAAAUCCUCGUCCAGGAAUCAGCCGAGGUACACAAACUGACAAUUUAAUAUACAGAUUCAUCAAAUUAGCUAAAACGAUAAAUACUUACUUAAGAGGCACUUAGUCCUCACCAUGAAGAAAACUGCAGCGGAAAAUAAAAUCUAGCGAAGCUCCGGCUCCACUCCCACAGGCAGCUCAACUGGGGUAUAAGCCAAACGUCUUCUCCUUCUGGAUCAUUUUCUUCAACUGAGGUUGAUUGAUUAUUGAAAGAAUUAGCAUAUGACAUACUCAACAAGCCACACAGCAAAUAUGCAAGUGCACAAGGAUACCAAAGGAUGGCAUAAUAUAGGCUCAUUUGCAAAAACAGCAUUUAGCAAAACAUUUAAGAGAAGUAAAACAGUGGAGUAAUUAAUCAGAAAUUUUAAUCAACACUGAACAACAUACCCAUGCUGCACAGGCCCAACCAUCCUGAACAACCAUACCCGGCUGUACAGAUCUAACUCCAAACCAGGAGCUAAGCAAAUUAUUACCAGGUAUAACAUCCAUAAUUAUUGUGAGAGGUGUGAGACUAAUCACGAAAAACAUUGCUCAACCCGCCCAUAACCGCGGGCACGGCUAUUCGAAUAGUUUUACUCUGGCCAGAGGUGUACCACUGUACCCACAAGACACAGCCCCACGACAUGUCACAAUGUGCCUCAGUACCACCACGGUACCUCGGAAAGGAGCUGUGACAUUACCCCUUGCAUAACACAACCCACCACAGUGCACCGUUCCUGGAUCAUAAUCACCCCCUCAAAAACCAGAGGCAUGGACUCCCCAGCGACCCCCGUGGGCUUAUCUCCGCCACUUCUCAGUCUGGUGCUCUGCAAUGAACCAUGCUAUACGAAAGGUAAAGCCGUUGCCCACGCUGGCUUGUGGUUGGCACGGUUAAUGUUUCACAACAGUAGCUCGCGAACCGGUCCUUAAUUGCCAUGAGCACGACUCUCAAAACCAUGUGCUCACAACCCACCAUUAUCAAGAUUUAGUUGGCAAGUAAUUAAUUAACCAAUCACGAUUGACCAUCGUGAACUAUCAUUAAGCCAUCAUUAAAUAAUAGUGAGUCAUAAGUUAUCCCAAUAGUGUGCUAAUGUUUCUAAGCAUGGCUAAGCAAUCAUAACUAAUAUCUAGCUGAACCAAUAUAUAAAGCCCAACUAGUCAAGUUAUAAUAACCCAAGGUAUCAAGGAAUAAAGUAAUCAAUGCAAACAGGCCAUAACAAAGGAAUAGGUUCACACCACCCAGUGACAUUCGAAAAUAAAUGCACAGUUGAAAUAAAUAGAGAAUUUAAAUAUAGGAUCAACAUGCUCAAAGGAUUGUGUUUAGGAUCUGUGUGACUUGCCUUGCAAUAAUCGGUCUUCAAUUAAUCUUCUUGAAUACUUCCGGCGCACUCACGAACCUCCGCAACGACGGAAACGACAAGCUAACACGCAAAACGAAGAAAAAGGCUAAUAAAAACCAAAUAAACAGUACAUAUAAAGUAAACAAACAUGUAGAUCAUGAUUUUAGAUGAAUUUAGCAACUUGAACCACUCAAAACCGAGUUACGAUGAUUUAGUUAUGAAUUUCCGAAGAUUUAAUCUAUUAGAAAAACAGGAAAAAGAAAAACGAUGAUGACGUCAUGAUGACCUCAUCAAUAGCCGGACCAAGAUGGCGACCUCGCCGGAGAUUGGAUGGUCGGCUGCGACUUUGGAGGACAUGUACACGUAGAGGACGACGAGACGAACCCAACGGUACUCACCCUCGAACCAAACGACGAACGACGACGGCCGACGACGAGGUCUAGCGGCGGCGCGGCUUCGGUCGACGGCGGCGACGGGGCUCCGGUGAUCGGCAACAGCGGGGAGAGAGCGGCCGGGCUUCUCCACACCUCGGCGUACCUUACGGCGGUGACGGCGGCCGGCGGCGACGACGGAGGCGGCGGCACGACGCGGAUGGAGCUCGGCCGGCGACGACGGCGGGGUGGAGCACGUGGCGGCGGCGCUACGAGGCACGGGAGACCACGGGAGAGGGGGCACACGAAAGAGGAGGACUAGGGGGUCCUAUUUAUAGCCUUGGAUUGAAGAGAUCGGACUCCUCCCGCAAGAAAUCGAUCCGGGAAAUCAAAAACUCGGUUUUGGAGAUAAACUCGAAAACGAGUUCGAUUCGGAUAAGAUACUCAACGAUUAGCUCCGAUUUUUGGGGGUAAAGAUAGAGGAGGAUAAGAGGAAUAUUUCCCCUCAACUAAUUUUAGAAAAAGGAGCAACGAGAGGCGAGAUUUUGGAAGGGGAUCGGCGGCAACAGGCACGGCACGGCUCUGCUCUGGCUCUGUCCAGAGCUGGAAGAUGAACAGUAGCGCAGGGAGGAAAAGUAGACUUCUUGCCGGGCUUUUCUUUUCUCAGCCUGUUUAGAAGAGGGAGCAAUACCAGACUUUGGCUAAGAGAAGAAAAGAGAGGAUGCAGGCUCGGGUUGGGCCGGUGGAAGAGAGAGGAAGGAAAGGAAGGAAUGGGCCGAAAAUGGCCCAAGCUGAGGAGGAGGAUUUUAUUACUUUUCCAAUUAAAAUAAUCACUUAAAUGAUCUUUGAAUUGUUAAAAAUACUUCCAAUGCUCAAAUAAUUUCAAGAAAAAUCCUGAAAAUACUUGGACACUCAAAGUACAUAAAAAAUUACAAUUAGACCAUUUAAUGAUUAAUUUAAUAUGUGGGUAAUUACUUAAAUGCUCUUUGUAUGAUUAAAAAUUACGAAUUGAGCUCCGAAAAAUCCGAGAAUAUUCCAGAGAGUAUAAUUAACCAUGGAGAAUUUAAUAAAAAUUAAAUCCAUCCAUGCUUUAUAUUUAGGAAAUUUUAUUUCCCACAUUUAACUUCACUUGUAAAUUAAUGAACAUUUAAUAUAAAUUCUAAUAAUAAUUUAUUAAAUAAUUUAUAAAUCCUGAAACAAAAAUCAGGAUGUGACACCAACCCUGACCUCGAUGCUGCCACCACCGGCGACGACGUCGCGCCGGCAGUGCCGACGAAGCUGCGCGCACCACAACGCCGGGCUGCGCCACGCCUCCGCGGCGGCACGACGCCGAGACACCACGACGCCGCCGCGGCACGCCCUCGCCGCGCCGCCACGCCGCCACCGCGCAACGCCGCCGCUGCGCCACGUCGAUGCCGCGCCGCCACGCUGCCGCCGCGCCAAGCCGCAGCCGCGCCGCCACGCCGCCGCUCCGCUGCCGCCACGUGAACGAACGAACGAUCGUGAACGAGAACGAAUGAACGAACAUGAACGAGAACGUGAACGAACGAACGAACGUGAACGAACAUGAAGAUUUUGGAAUACAAGAAUUUAUUAAUGACACCGGGCUAACUACGGAUCAAUUGCUACGAGGUGCACCAAUCAAAAAGGCGGAAGUGAAAUACAUGUACGAACUCGGUAAACCGCUUGUCAAGCCUGAGCAGCUGCAGUCCCUACCCACACAAAUGUACAAGUUCCAUCAACUGUACAUGGAGAUGAGCGCCACCGGUACAGAAAUGAUCGGAGCGAGGAUCAGGGACACGGACUUCUUGCAAGGAGAUGACAUUCUCUGGAUCAAUUUCAAGGGUAUCUACGAACUAUACCAGCUGGAUGCCCUCGACGUCUCUAUUAUGAGUUGCUGGAUUUUGUAAGUAUCGUUCAGUUAGAUUUCUUAUUAUGUUUCCUUUAAUUAGUUAGGUCCUUGUAUAUAAGUAGACUACAUAUAAUAUAUACUUCCUUUUAUUGUUGUAGAAUGGAGAUUCAAAGGGCCCGGCGGCGGGGGGUUUUCGAUACUGGAUUCAUCGACCCUCGGAAAGUAAACGUCGCAAUGCUCGACCAGUAUCCGCAAGCCACAGAGGACAAUCUCGUCCAUCUCUUGAAGGCGCAGCAUUACAAGACGUUCAUACUAUUACCGUACAACACAGAGUUAGUUUAAUUUUACUGUCUUCCUAUACCAAAUUUCAUUCCGUACGAACAUGCUAAGUGUUUCAUAUGUAAUGCAUCCCACGCACAUUGCAGAUUCCACUGGGUCUUUUUACUCUUCAACCUGGAGGCCUGCACCGUCAACGUAUAUGACUCAAUGGAUAAAAAAGAGUCUAUGUUUGACAAGGUUUUCGAACUUAUAGACAGGUACUGUCAUAAGUUCCUAUGUUAAUUAAGAAUCUUGUUAUAAUUAAUUGCUACUACGAAUCAUAGCUUUAAACUCCAUGUAGGGCUUGGUAUCGAUUCCGUCAUUUGGUCCGCAGUAAAUGGAGAGAAAGACUUAGGCGGAAGUUCAAUUUUCCUGUGAGUACACAUGCUUUACAUUUAUAUUGAAUCUCCAAUUCAAAUACAUACAAGUGUAUAUUAAUUAGAUCUCUCACCGUUUAUCAUUUAUUUAUAGUGCACAAAGCAAAAGCAGGGAACUAACUUGUGCAGCUGCUACGUGUGCGAGUAUUGCCACUGCCUUGUAGACCAAAUCAUCACCGCAAGAGAGCUCGAUGUACGUACAAAUAAAUUCUAAAUUUCAUUGCGUACGUAUCGAUUUGUUGUUUAAUUACUAAUUAAUUUCAUACAUUAAUAUAGUUUAUUCGCAUGAGGGAUAACCUGAUCACACACAAGGAAUUUAUCGCGGUGGUUCAAGAACAACUCAUGGGAUUUAUCAAUGAACAAAUCCUUGAUCCCAAGGGUGAAUUCUACUACGACAGAAAUACAAUUCAUAGGUCCUUAGCUUCUGAGAUAACGACUACUACUACGUCGAAAUCGUAGCUAGCUAGGACAUCAUAAUAGAUUGUAAUUAAUACAUGUCUAUUUUUCUAUAUGCAUGUACACAUUUUCUUUAAUGUAAAUAUAUAUUUUAGUCAUAUAUAUAUGCACAUAAAAUGUUAAGUGCUUUCAUAUAUAUAUAUAUAUAUAUAUAUAUAUAUAUAUAUAUAUAUAUAUAUAUAUAUAUAUAUACCUAUGCAUUUGCAUAACAUAUAUAUGUAUAAAUACAUAUAUAUUAUGCAUGUAUAUGUACUGAAACAUAUAUAAAUAUAAUAUAUAUAUAUAUAUUAUAUGCAUAUAUAUAUGUAUUAAAACAUAUAUAUGCAUGGUUUUUAUAUAUAUAUAUAUAUAUAUAUAUAUAUAUAUAUAUAUAUAUAUAAACCAUGCAGCAACAGGGCCAUGAAAAAAAAAAGGUCAGCUCGACUUUAGUCCCGGAUUGGUAGUCCCGGUUUGAAAACCGGGACUAAAGGGGGGUUACGAACCGGGACUACAAACGCUUUCUCCACCAGUGCACAUUUGAAGUAUUAAACGUAAUCUAAUAACAAAAUAAAUUACAGAUUCCGUCAGAAAACUACGAGAUAAAUUUAUUAAGCCUAAUUAAUCCGUCAUUAGUAAAUGUUUAUUGUAGCACCACAUUGUCAAAUCAUGGCGCAAUUAUGCUUAAAAGAUUCGCCUCGUAAUUUACACGCAAUCUGUGUAAUUGGGAUUUUUGCCUAUAUUUAAUACUCCAUGCAUAUGUCCAAACAAUCGAUAUGACACUGUAAAAAUUUUUGUUUUGGGAACUAAACCAGCUCUAUGGAUGAGGGUUCUUAUUGUUGUCUUUAGGCUGGUUGAGUACUGGUAGUGUAAGUGGUAGUUUUGUUGUUUCUAUUCGAGUUGUGAUUUUAUAAUUUUGUAACCAUAUUCGACCUAUAAUCGCUGUGUAAUAAUUGAUUGUAGUUUCUUUUGAAACCAAGACCAAAAAUAGACGACCGUUAAUUAGUAUUUGUGAAGAAGAAAAUACGUACACCAUUAAUGGUUUGGUAUGAACUCCACGGCAUGGAAGAACGAACACAAGACAAAUAAGGCUGAGACAUUUUUUUGGCUGCGAUCUUGCUUGCUGCGCCGUUUUCUGGUGUUUAUCAUUCUCCACUUAUUAAUGGGCAAACAAGGGGCCAAUUACAUGCAUAUAUAUGACAUAACGUGUACUUUAAAGCCGCCCGAGAGUUCACAAGAAAUCGUGCCAUCCCAGGAUCGAUCACGCGUACGGCCGCUAGGUCACAACAGUUACAAACACUGAAACACACACUGAUGUAGAAAUUGAAGCCUGAUCGACGUGAACAGGAACGAUGACACGAAACAAUUAAAAUAAUUAAACAAAGUAGUGUAGUAAAGUUUACGCCAGAAGUUGUACCAUUAAGUAGUAUUACUGCAUAAUAAGAGGGGCGGCGGCGGUGAUGGGGACGCUGUGGAGAACGAUAGUCUCGACGGUGAGGCCAGGACCGAAGCCGAAGAGGACGCCCCAGUCCAUGCCCUCGCCGGUGGUGGCGUGGCCGUCGUCGGCAGAGAGCUUGCGCAUCUCGUCGAGGACGAAGAGGACGGUGGCGCUGGCCAUGUUGCCGUACUCGGAGAGGACGUUGCGGGAGGCGCGCAUGCGGGCCUUGUGGAGGGCGACCUUCUCCUCAACCUGGUCGAGGAUGGCCGGACCGCCCGGGUGCACCACCCAGAAGAUGGAGUUCCAGUCGUGGACGCCGAGCGGCAUGAAGGCGUCGGUGAGCGCGCCCUCGACACUGUCGGAUAUGAACUCCGGGACGUCCUUGGGCAGGUGGAAGGUGAGACCCACCUCGCGGAGGUGCCCCACGAUGGCGUCCUCCGUGCCCGGCAGGAUGGUCUGGCUCGCCGACACAAUCUGGAACAGCGGCCGCUCAUCGGCUGCCUCGUCGGGGUCAGAGCCGACGAUCACCGCCGCUGCGCCGUCGCCGAAGAGCGCGUGCCCGACGAGGGAGUCGAGGUGCGACUCGGACGGCCCCCGGAAGGCCAUCGCCAUGAUCUCCGAGCACACCACCAGCACCCGCGCGCCGCGGUUGUUCUCGGCCAGGUCCUUGGCCACGCGCAGCACCGUGCCACCGGCGAAGCACCCCUGCUGGUACAUCAUCAGCCGCUUCACCGACGUGGGUAGGCCCAGCAUCUUGGCCACCUGGUAGUCGGCUCCGGGCAUGUCCACUCCGUUGGUCGUGCAGAACACGAGGUGGGUGAUCCGCGACAUCGGCUGCCCCCACUCUUUGAUCGCCUCCUCGGCUGCCGCCUUCCCCAGCUUGGGCACCUCCGCCACCACCAUGUCCUGCCUCGCGUCCAGCGACGGCGCCGUGAACACGCACAUGCUAGGGUUCUCCUGUAGGAUCUCCUCAGUAAGAUGCGUGUACCUCUUCCGUAUCUGCGAGCUUUCACCUGCAUAUAUCAUGGAUGCGCGAUAUUAAUUUGCACCUGCGCUAUUUUAAUCUUAAUUAUUAUUAAUUAUUAUUGUUAUACGGUUUAGAUAGGGUGAAAUUUACUCUGGAAAUUCGCUUAAAUUUUUUUAGAAAAUCACGAGCUGCAAUUAGGAGUCCGACUAUCGUCUCAAGUUAAUGUGCGAGUUUUUUUAAGAAAUAUUUCUUAUACGACUCCUUUUGUAUUUCAAAAAAUGAACAAACAAUAAAAUUGACUCAAACACGAAUCUAUAUUUCCAAAAGCGAACGAAAUUACAAACCGACUCAAAUAAAAAUGACAUACCAAAAUACCGACAAAAACAUGAUCAGUUUUUAUAAUAGAAGUGAUGGCGCAGUACUUUAAUUUCUAUAAAGGGAUUCACCUUUCACUUAUUUAGACUAGAUACAGUAUGUGUACUAGUAUAAUAUAGAUGCAAAUUAACUGAUUACUCAUUAGUGCUUACACAUCCUCUGGAACCUCUCCUUCAGGUUGGUUAGGUGCUCGCUGUUGGUGACCCUGAAGUAGUAGUCCGGGUAGUCGGUCUGGUACACGCAGUUAGCCGGCGUUGCCGUCCCGAUCGCUAGCACCGCCGCCAUCCCCUCCGCUCUUUGCAUCCUCCUAACCUCCUCCAACUUCACUGUUGAUGUCACCAUCUCCCCACUCACCGGCGGCUAAUCGUACCUAGCUAGGAAUGUAGUGUAUAUCUUGGUAUAACUGAGGGUACUAGCAGCUAGCUUGUUCGCCACAACGAAAAUGCAUGUGCGCUAGCUAGCUGCUGCCUCUCAGCCCGGCUGAUUCGAACAAAUGGUCGCAGCUAAGUUAUUUAUAGGGGUGAGCUGCACGUUUGUCUGCCAGAACGUUGUACCCUUUUCCAAUUUUCCUAACAAUAAUAUAUCUCCGUUGAAUUUGUGUGACGAUACUAUUUUUUUUUCUGAAAACGUGUUUAAUUAAGAUUCAUUGAAGUUUGAACAAAAGUUUCAAUUCGAUCUCAUAAGAUAUAUUCUUUUCAGCUGCAAAAACCAGUACUUUAAUAUAUAUACGAAUAUAUUGGUGUAAUUCUUGAACUAAAUAUAUUUGUAAUCUAACUAAACAGGAAGGAAGCAUGCGCACACAAACGUGGACAUCUUAUUUAAAGUUUCUUAAAAUUUUGCUAGCCUAACAUAUGCAUUUUUGUGCGUGGAUGACCUUUUUUGGAAAAAAAACAUAUUAUUUCAUUCUAUAUAUUAUGAACCUGCUAUCUUAUUAACGAGUUAUGAUUUUUUUAAGAAAAACAGUACAAAUGCACACGCUCAUAAUAUGCGCACAAUGACCCCUACGAGCACACACGCACACUACCCUACCUCUACGAGCACCUUUGAAAGACUGAGACGACAUAUGUUGGGAUUUACAAAUUGACCACAAGUGCCUCGAUGUAGACAGGUACGUUGGCUACUACUACAACAAUAGUUAGCCGUAAUCACAAACACCCGCGUAUCAAAGUCUAGGACAUAAAACCGGGUGGGUUGGUUCUACCAAAAAAACCUAACAAGUUGAGCUAUACUCACUUCGCGAUUUUCUUCUAAUUAUCCUCACAGAACAUAUAUAAAAUCUAAAGCAUAAUUAUAUUGAACCAUGGAAUCUUAAAUUGAUGAGAAAAUUAUUGUGUCGGAGUUGAUCCUAUGAAAUUAUCAUUUCUAUGAUAAGUGUUUCUUUUUUAAUUGAAUAUAUUUAGCACACUCUUUUUAUAGUAUAUAUACUUUGAGCAACUCCGGUUUACAUACACACACAUAGGACAUAUAUGGGCACCCGGGCACCAUAAUAUGAAAUACACAAAUUCGUCUAAAUUUUUCAAAAUUUUCUAUAUAUCUAGUUAUAAGUAUUCGAUUCAUACCUAUACCUAGCAACAAAACAACUCAAAUUUAACUUUAUAUAUAUAUAUAUAUAUAUAUAUAUAUUAAAAUUAACUGGGGCUUCAUGGGGCCCGGCCAACAUGAUUAAAAAUUGAGUAUGUACCUAAUGCUAAUGAGUCUGAUUUUUUUAAAAAAAUGUUUAGUUAUGAACAUUAACUUAUUUACUAGCUAGUUCAAACAAGUUUGAACUAAAUUUGAAUAUCUUUUUGUUAAAUUUUGAUUGUAGGUAUAUAGGAUCUAAACUUAUAUAUAAUUACUUAGGUAUGUAAUAAUGGAUUGUAAAAUAAAGUUUAAUUUAAGUUGAUUUAUUGCUUUGGUAUGAAUCAAAUUCUUAUGACUAAAUAUACACUCACAAUUUAAAAAAUUAUAUUUUUCAGUGUUUGUGCGCGCGCGCUAGUAAUAACUAACCAUUCAAAUUAAGAACCUAACCACCUAACCAUCGUACGUGAGAUUCAAACUUAGGUGAUAUGUGUGCAUAAGAUAUAUAGCAAAACAAUGUAACCACCACACAACUUGUCAACUUGUGGAUGUACAUGACGUACCCACUCUUCUUUUUGGAGUAUACGAGGUCAGCGCCAAGCGUUAUGGUGGUCAAUCCAUUGCAUCUUCUCGCGCAUCACCGUGAGGCCUUAUUCGGUUAAUCCUUAUGAGAGAGGAAUUGGAGGGGAUUUAUUUCACACCUAUUAUAGUCUGGAAUUAUUCCCCCUUAAUCCUCUCCAAUCGCCCUCUAAGCUGAAUAACGCCUGACGGGGUUAGCGGCAUCGAUCAGGGACGAUGCUGAGCUAUUGGACCUCAAUGCCAUACGGCCCCUGAGCUCAUGUUAUUUUUGCUGAAGAUUUUUACACGGUUUAUUUCAAAAUAAUUUUUCUAAAAGAUUAAUAAUUAGUCAAAAUUUCGAUGGACUUAUAGGCGGAAAAAUAUGUGUACAUGCGGAUGAGCCACCUGCGCCUCUACCAAAUUGCCAUAACCACAUGUAAAAAUCAAUUUUUGCAGGUGGUUAGGUUAAGCCGAGCAACUUGGGAGGUGAUUUUCGGUGAAAACAAAUAAUAUAGCUCAAAAAUAUCCAGAUGCAGUGCCAUUUCCUGCUCGUCCCAUUUCUACGGAUCCACACCACUGCAAAUCAAUAUCAGACACACCGCAAAUCCAAAGUCGAGAGUAAACUUCCACAUCACCAUAACAAUGCUCAACACAUAUAUAACGCAAUUCCAUAACAAAUUCACAUUUAUCUCAUAGCGAAAUAAAAGCGAAGUGAACAUAGGUCAAGGCUGCAGCAAAGCUUGCCGUUAUCGAGCUCAGCAUUGGCCCCUUUCUCCCACUGCCUUGAUCAUCAGCCUCCAUCUCAGCGCUCCUGCCAUGUACCUUGAUCUGGAUCUAGCUAGAGGUGGUAGUGGUGUGGUGGAUGCGAAGGAAGAAAGGGGAUAAGGCAGGGUGAGGCAACCUCCGGUGGACCGGUUGCUUAUGAGCCUUUAGGAGACCACAAUUGUCGUCAUCGUUUAACAAACCCUAUCGGCAGCAGAUCUGCCACUCCCAAGUCCACUGGAGGUUGAAGUUGUCAGCGGGUGCCUAGAGCCCACCAACAGGCGGUGAAUCCACCGCUCCUGAGUACGCAGGAGGCCGUAGCAAUCGGCAGCGCCUGCCGAGCCUUGUCAGCAUCGGUGAUCAUGUCGUUGGCUAUGAUUGACGAUGGCCUUGCGAAGCCUGCCAGCUGAGAGGCGCAUCGGUGAUGGGAGAGGGCGUAGAGGAAUUAGAGGGAGCAGAUCUCGACUCAAUCGUCCUAUCACACAAAUAAAUAUACAUGGUAGUCGUGUUACUGCACAUUGACCGUAACGUUACUACGCCGUUCCAGCGUGAUGAGAACUAAAAAAAAGUAAAUCUCAAUCUUUAGAGAGCAAUAUCUCUCACAUUAUAUAGUAUUUUUCUAAUUCGUCUGCACCAUGAUUUCUGUAAAAAAGUGCUUAACAAAACUAUUUUUCGAUGUUGUUGCUGCGAGAAAGUUGUCCUGUUACUACACGAUAACCGUUAUGUUACUGCGGGAUUCCUGCGAGACGUGAACAGCAAAGUGGUGGGUGGGAGAGGGAGUCAAUGGGCGGGUUUAACUCGGGUUUGACCGGCGGGAGGAGGCUUUGACUAGCCUUUGACUGAGGUGGGAGGGGAGAUUUGGGCCAUAUGAAUGGUGGGGGAGAUGGGAUUGGCCCAUGGGAGGGGGGUGUAGAAUAGUUAUUCUAGGGGAGGGGUGUAGAAUAGAUUUGCUAUAUAUAAUAAUCUAGGAUGGGAUGAAACCCAUCCACAUUUUGGAACGGAGUUAGUAGAAGUUAUAAAAGUUGCACCUCAACUUUCCGGAGGGAGUGUAAGCCAACUAUAGCUUAUGCCAAGACGAGAUAAAAAAAAUGAGAAGUGCUAGCUCUUAUGCAAAAUCUAGCUCUACGCAUGCUCCAAAGCAAAUGCAUUAGUUACAUAGGCGAGGGAAAAAGAGGAAAACAAAAAUAGGGCAACAUUACAACUAAAAUAUAUAUAUGGUAGGUUUAAUAUGGACUUAUUGUUUGAAUUAAUAGAUCGGUCUUAGCCCAUUCGAAGUUUAAUUCUUUGGAAAAUCAUAAAAGCCCACCUCAUGGGAUAUCAUGCAUGGGGAGUUUAGUACCGCCUUGCCUAUUCAAUGAGAGGAAGACCUCCUUUUAAGAGAGGAUGCUCUUCUAGCCACUUGAGGCAUGUGAGGCGGAGAGAACAGGGGGAACACGUGCUCCUGACAUGUCAGUUUAACUCGGGUUUAAUAUGGACUUAUUGUUUGAAUUAAUAGAUCGGUCUUAGCCCAUUCUAGGAGAGGAUGCUCUCCUAGCCACUUGAGGCAUGUGCGGGAAAUUCAUAUUUGUUUUUUUUGGAAACACUCGGAAUAAUCUGAUGAGUGAAACGGUGUGGAGUCCGUUUUGCUGCGGAAAAUUCAGAUUUUUUUUUUUGGAAACACUCCGAAUAAUCCGAUGUGUGAAACGGUGUGGAGUUCGGAUAAGUUACGCGUGACUUAUCUGGUUCGGUUCGGUUAUGCAGAGUGGAGAUCGUGUAGGCGCCCUGAUCAAGUGUCCUGAUAUCUCUAUAUAAUUUGAGCCGCCACCUCCUCGCAACAUACGUGGAAUCAAUCUUGGGUUGGCCUCCUCCUCCGUACUACGUUGUUGUUUGUAGUCUACUCCAUCCCACUCGCCGGUGCUCAAUGGCAAUCGGGAGAGCAGCUCUCCGAAACCUGCGCCUUCUACGUUUUGCACUAGAAGAAGGUAGCAAUAAGAUUUUUGGGUUUUUGGGAAGCGCUCCACGCGACUGCUCCCUAUUCGUUCAUACGGCUCGUCUUCCUCUUCGCUCGCGUGCUGUGCGCUACCGUUAAGGGACGGUACCGUGAAUUCUUCCUGCCGAGCAACCGGAUUUCCAAAACCAUCGGUAUCAACAUGUUUCGCAUCUUCGAUCUGUUCAUCCUUUACUGUCUUGUUUACAUGUAUAGAUCCUAUGAUGUGAUUAUACUAGUUUACAUCGACAAUGUCAUGAUUUAUUUAUGUAUUUAUGGAACAAAUUAAAUCAUUACGUGCUUAUAUAUUCAACACUUAUAUCUACUAGUAUUAAACUUGCUCAAAUACUCUGAAGUACAGUAAAUGAGAGUGGUUGAAGAAAUGCCAAAAAAUUAUAGCCAAUGCAUAUGUACUUCCUCUGUCUCAUUUUAAGUGCAACCAUCAUUUUUCGUGCCCAACUUUAAUAUAGUUUGUCUUAGUUGAUUUUUUAAAAAACUUUUAAAAAAACUCAUGCAUAAAGUACUAUUCAUGGUUUAUCAUCUCAUAACAAUAAAAAUACUAAUUAUAAAAAAAAUAAAGAGGACGAAUGAUCAAAGUUGGACACGAAAACUGAUGGCUGCACUUAAAAUGGGACGGAGGAAGUAGGUAACCGGAAGCUAUAUGAUAUAAUUGAGUGGAGGUAGCUCAAUUAAUUGUCAAUUGACUUGACAUGGAAUACCUGCAGAUAGCUAUGUUUGUGAAACAAAUGGAAUCUUGAUCGACCUAGACAUCUACCCAAAACUGACAAGUUGUUCCUAUUUUACAAAGUUCGAGCUGCCAUACUAUCAUUGAUAUUCUCAAAUUGGCUAAUAAACUACCUUGAAUAUGAGCAGUUCAAGAAAUGCAUAAAAAAUAUAUAUAGGCAGUGCACAUCUGGGUAACGGGAAGCUAUUUGAUCCAAUCGGGCGGAGUUAGCUCAACUAUUUGUAAAUCGUCCUAGCAAAGAAUUCGUGCAUACAACCCUGUUUGUUAAACAAUGGAAUCUUGAGCUACGUCCCACUACUACAUAAAUCAUUUUUACAUGCAGCCAGCACAAUCGCAUGCGCCAAAAGAUCUACAAAAAAUCGGAUUUUCGCAUGCGACCAGCGCAACCGCGUGCGAAAAUGGUAUUUUCGUAUGUGGUCACCUAUAUCGGCUGCAUGCGAAAAUAAUAUCAGCGAAAAAAAUAAAAAAACCGAAUCGGCCGAACCCUAGCUCGCCGCUGUCAUCAGUCGGACCCACGCAGGGCGGCGCCACUGCUGCUGCCAGAGCCCACCGUCCUCCGCGCCGGAUCCACCGUGCGCCUCUCGUCGUCGCCGUCAGAUCCGCCGCCCCCGCCGCCCAUCGUCGUCACCGGCACUGGAUCCGCGUGGGGAUGGGUCGCCACCGCCAGAUCCACGCUAGGCGGCAUUACUCCUGGCCACCUCCUUGUCAUCAACGGCGGCGCCGCCUGCUCCCAACCCCACCGCCUGCUCCCGCACACUCGGUGAGGAGAGGAAGACAAGAGAGUAUCAGAGGAGAGGAGAGGAACAGACAUAAGGAGAGGAAGAGUGAGAGGAGAGGAGACGAAAAGUUUUAAGUGGUGAGAGCGAAAAGAGAGAGCACGGGAAAAAAAAUCUGUGAAGAAGAGGGUAUUUUCGCGUGCGGACAACUUAAGAGACACGCAUACGAAAAUUUAUUUGGUAUGUGGCCCCUUAAGAUGACCGUAUUGGUAAAUAGACUUAUUUUUACAUGCGAUCCCUUGCAAAUUGCUACCACUAUAGAACAUGACGUCGUGAACGGGACAUCCAUGAUAGGGGCUUGCAUCCCAUCAUAUAGACCUCCCAUUUGACGGGACAUAAUAAACCUCGACACAAAAGCACCAUUACAGGCACUCACCACAGGCCUCUAGUCUGGACCUGUUACUAAUGACACUCAUCCUCGACACAGAUGAGUUUUGACAUCACUGACCAAUAAUCUGUAACUGGGCUCCUUGCCGACAUAGAAGGGACCCACCCAACAUGGAUGACCUAUUCCAUAGGUGUGCUGUGGAGUCUUGAACUACACAUCGUCUAUCAAAAACAUUGACAAGGUCUUCCUAUUUUACAAGCUACAAGGUACCAUUCUAUCAUUGAUAUUGUUGUCAAAACGACAACUGCAUACGUCGAAAGACGUGGUUACUCAACAGUGGAUGGGAAAAUGAAGUGUACUAAAUUUUGAAUUUUCCUUGGGGAUCCCCCAUUACAUGGCCCUAGGGGACUAUUUAUAGCCCCAUUACAGGUUCUUACUACUAGGGUUUAGGUUGUACAGGGAAAUUUACAUGAUUACCCUUACCAAAGGGGCAUUUACAGGGGUACAUAAUGUUAUAGGGGCUCAUGGGCCUCUGAUGGGCCGUCUGGCGAUCGCCGGCCUGUUGGGCCGGAAAGGCUUCCUCGGCCCUCACGGGGGCGAACUUGUCAAGGCGAAGUCAUCCUCCUUCGGCAGAUAGUCUUCGCCCUGCACCCUUCGCCUGAGACGCCUCUGGCCUGGCGCUUGUACGACUCUUCGCCUUGCGCCGUUCUUGUUCCAUAGCCUUCGCCAUGGGUUUCGGCAGGUUUGGUUGAAGGACCUCAUGCCAUCCGCCAACAAGCCCCUCACGGGCAAGGGUGAGAUUGGAGCUUCGGCCGAGACCGUGCAAACCAUGUGGUAUGGUAUGCGGCGCCCCCUUUCGACCGAUGCUCCUGCCGAAACCUACAUUAUUCCUGCGAAUGAAGUUUGUUAUUUGUGCGGCUGGUAUUAUUUUGCCGCGCUUCGCCUCCUGCGAUUGAUUUUUAUAUAUAUUCUUUUUUCCUGGGCCGAACGGAAGCCUUCCUAUCGUGGGCUUUUCACUGUGCCGCUCGGUCGAUGGGAAUUUACCAUUUCACCUACCCUUGCGACACGUGGCGCUUUAUUACUAGUGGUUAGGCGAACGGUCGCCUGGGUGGGCUAUAUAUUCCCGCUUCUCUUUCCUUUUCACCGCCCCACUUUCCAUUUUACCGCGAGCGCUCUCUUCCUCCGUCUCUUCCUUUCACAGCAUCUUUCGACCCCUCAGGCGUUUCGCCGAAUCUCGUUUUUCGCCACCGCAAACGCACCGUUCGCCAUGGCCCCACGUAAGCCAAACCCUACUUCGGCGAAAGGGCCAGAUCCCGGCCUAGUCGAUGACAACAGCACCGCCUUUCUGGGGGUCUCUCUUGUAGACGACGUCGAGCUGGCGAAGAUGGUCAGCUCCGGAGCGUUGGUUGAGGGGCAGGCUUUCGCCCCAGGGAAAACCGUGGUGCCGAAACCUGUCGACAAUCGGACAGUGGUGUUCGCCGUAUUUUUUGAGGCAAGGCUACGGUUUCCUUGCAACGUGUUGUUGCCGGAAAUCCUUCGCCUCUUCCAGGUGGAACUUCCGCAGCUGAGCCCGUCGGCGCUUGUUCAGAUCGCUAUCUUUGACUGGGCGUGCUGGACUUCCGGGUUUGAGCCUAACACCGAGCUCUUUGGCGCCAUAUUUUUCGCCACCGUGAACUCGAAGACGGUGAUUACCCCGGCUGGAAUGAAAAAAACAGUGUUCGGGAGCGUGAACUUCAACGUUAGCCCCGAGCGGUCCGAUCUCUAGCCGGUGAACGCUGCCAUGUCGAAGUGGGACCGCCAUUGGAUGGCGAGGUGGUUCUACCACACCAUCCCCUUCGAGGCUAUUUCUGAAUCAGCGAAAGCCUUCCGGUGCCGGCGCAAGGCGAUUGCGCCGAACCGGAGGCCCAAGAUUGCUGUGAACGGCACCAUGGAGGCAUGGUUCGUUCUACUACGGAAGGUUUGCUCCCGCCUUAGCUGCCGUGACUUGGUGGAGGAAUUUUGUAUGCUUCGAAUUUUUCCCCUCUCCCAGUCAUGGCAAGUCGCGGUUGAACAAGGCGAAGAGGUCGACGGUUUGCCGAACCUGAUACUUCCUGAGGGGGCGAACAGUAAGACUGUUGUUUUGCUAUUUACUGCUGUGCUUUGUUAUUUCGCCUUAUUUGACUUUUGACAUAGCUUCACACUCUACUUUUACAGUGUUGACCCUCGACCAGGCCGAAGCCAAAGCCUGCAGGAUGAUCGGCGAUGUUUCGGCCGUCGAGUAUAGUCAGCUGUUAACGCAUCAAGCGGCUGGGCGGGCGAACCGGGUUUACAAUGGCGAACUGCCUCCCCGGGCGAAUCCCCAAAAGGUCGACGACGAGGCAGGGCCUUCGCGAAAGCGGACGCGCGGACAAGUGAAGCUUGCCCCCAGGAAGCGAAGGGUUCCUACUUCGUCUGACUCCGACGCUGACGACGAGGAUGAUGCCGAAGAACGUGACGGCGAGGAGGAAGGAGAUGAAGAGGAGGAGGUGGAGGCUGUGGCUGAUAAGGCCGCGAGCGAGGCGGUCGAAGACUGCGUCGACACCCCCGGCUACACUCCUACCCCAAGUCCCGGUCACAACGAGACCGGGGUGGAGUCGAACAGCUCCCCCCUUCAUCGGAAGGAUUUGGAAGGGGCGAAGGCCCUAGUUGCGUUCUCUUCAGGUGCAGCGGCGAAGGGAGGUCCUGGCAAAAAGGUGGCUAAGAAGAAAGGACUCGUCGAUGUCGCUCGCGUUUUUAGCGACGACGAGUCCUUCGACGGGACUCUGACUUCGCCCGCUGGUCGCAGCCUGGAUCUUUCGGCCGCCCCCAUUCCUCCAUUCGACGCCGCGGGAGUGGACGGUAGUACCGCCGCUGGGGCUUCAGCUUCUGCGGAAAGGAUUGUGACGGCCGCGGCGAAAGUAUUCGGCAAUCCUCCGCCUCAGCCGGUUGCAUCGCCGCUGAUUGAGGUGAAGGGAAAGAGAGCUGUCGCUGAGACGUCCGCUUCGGAAUAUUCGAUCUCGGUACCCCGCUUCGCCCCUGGCGAUUUCGAGACGCGAGCGGACCUCCUUCCUUUUUUGGAGGGGGUAAGCAAUCUUGUACUGCCCGCCAGUGCCCCGAGCUUGUUCACGGAACUGAAUGAGUUCGACGAAGGGUGUUCUGCUAUAAAAAGCCUGGCUGUUCGGGUACGUUCCCCCCCCCUUUUUUUAUCUUUACCCUUCCUUUAUCUUGUUUUUACAAUUGACACUUGUUCUCUUCGCCGCUCGUAUUCUGCGCCCAGAUCCUCGCGGCUCACUGCUCAACGGAGCGAACCGUGCGAGCCCGACUUGAUGAGUUCAAAAGCCGUCUUCGGGCCAAGGAUGACAAACUAGGCCGUAAAAAUUUGGAGAUGGAGGCCCUUGCCAACACUCUUAAGGAGGCGAAGGCUGAAAACAAGCGGCUCCAAUCGGAACUGGAGAAAGGGAAAGAAGUCAGGGCCGAAGUCGAUCGCUUAAAGGCCGAACUGGAGAAAGAGAAGGCCCAUUCGGCGGUGCUCAUCGACUACUACAACCUUACUGAGCCGAAGAUAGUCUCUUCGCCAGAAGGCUAGCAGGGCUGAAGCGAGCGCCGCGGAGGAGUCGCAGCGGUUUUCGCGGGAGAUGGCGAAGACCGCCGAAUCUGCGAGAACGGCUUGCCAAACCCUCCGCCUCGCCCUUACCGACAUGGGCGCGAAGGGGCGGGGGGUCCCUACCGAGGAUGCCUCAGCCUUCGACUUCUCCGAGUGGACCCAGCAGGCCGGCGGAUCGGUUUCGGACUGCGCCACCGCGUACGGCAACUGCUGUGCGCGCGUGUCAGCGGCCUUUACCAUGGGCCUCCUGCAGCAGUUCGGCUGCGAGCACAUCGCCGAGUUCCCCAAGUACGCGAAGGGGGAUUGGGAAAUCAGUGCACAAGACAUUUCACCUGCACUUCGUGCGUGGCGAAAACAAUUUUGGCAGAAGGACGGCCGCUCCGCCGCUAAGGCGCGCCUUUUGGAGCAGCUGGCGAAAGCAGAGGCGGCGGACCUUUGUGAAGAGGAAGGCGCGGCGGCCGGAGGGGGUGGAGGCGAUGCCCAGGACCACCCAGAGGUGUGAGGCCCUCCACCCUUCUCUUAGAUUUUCAUAGUUUUCUUUUGGUGUUCGCUAGAUGUGGCGAACCGUUGUAUAUUCGGCAAACUGCCGCUAAACCUUAAAAAAGGCUUUUUGGUAUAUUUGGAAUGUAUGACAUAAUCUUAAUUACCUUUUGAUGAUCGAAGUCUUUGGCAUAUUUUUAUUUCACUCGUUUCGCAUUAUGCCAUACCUUCCCCUUCUUUCGCCUACUCUUACCAUUCAAGAUGUGUUUUGCCUUUUCUGCACUGUCUACCAGGGGGUCCGCCGAAAAUCGUGCAUUCGGCCCCCUUCUGGGAGCUGGCGAAGUCAAAACGAGAAAUUUGUGGCAUUGAAGGGGCUGCCGAAGACGCAAUGUCCAUUUCGGCAUGUUUAUCGCGAAAUGGAGAUAAACGGUCGUAGCUAUAAGAUUAUCAAGGUUGCCAACUGGCUACGUGUGCACCCCGGGCGAACCUUAGAAGAUUACGAUCUUGUUCAUUCAAGACGUUUGGAAGAUAUGGCUCGCUUUUGGCGAAACCAUUAGAAGACUAAACGUCAGGAAUCGAUCUUUCAGCGUCGUUACAGUUUAGUCUGUGUUUCGCCCCCUACUCCUCUUAAGGUUGUGUAUGAUAUUAGUAGUGAUGACGAACCUAGUUCGUCCGACCAUUCCUUAGGGAGGGAUAAUGAUCACUGGGGCGAAGAUGUAAUUUACUUGUAAAAUGAAUUGUAUCGGGUUGUAAACCUUGUAUUCUUUGAUUAUUUUUUUUUCGAAGCUAAUAAAGAACGUGCUUUAUUUCCUUUUCGCUAUUUUUCGCAUCGUCACAUUUUGUGCUUUUGUUAGGUCGGAACAUGCCGGCCCCUUUGCAUAUAUUAGCGAAAUAGGUGUAUUGACUUUUCAGCUUUUCGUCGUUCGUUUUUAAUCUGUAGCGUUCUGUGUCGAGAGAAACGCUUUUGCUUUUAUACUGAUCGGUCGUAACGUCGUUCGGCUAUUUAUUUUCCGAGACAAGCUGUUGCGGUUUCAAUGUUCGGCGAGCAAUGCUUCGGCCGAUUCGUUUCGCCCCCUUGGCCUUUUUCGCUGAUCAGGCGUUUGCCUUGGGGUUUUUCCACAAAUUAUCAAUCACACGAAAAGUAAGAAGAAGGCGGAGGACACAGAGAUUUUAUACUGGUUCGGGCCUCCAUGGUGGAUAAUAGCCCUACAUCCAGUUUUUUUUCUUUUUCUCUCUUUCUUCUUUUUCUUUUUUUUUCUUUGCCGAAAGGCUUACAUAGUGCCGAAGGGCUUACAUGAUAGUAUGUACAUUUUUACAAGUUGGCGAUUUGGGUGCCACCCAUUCUAGACAUAGAAGCGCUUGAGGGAGGCGGCGUUCCAGGAAUGGUCGAACUCCUCGCCUUCGAGUGUCGCUAGGCGAAAAGAUCCCGUCCUGGACUUGCGCUUGAUGAGGUAUGGUCCUUCCCACUUUGAUUCAAGCUUGCCAACUGCUACUGGGUUCGCCUUCUUCCUUAGGACGAGAUGACCAGGCAUGAGCUCCGUGGGUCGAACUUUUUUGUUGUAAGUUGCCGAAGUGCUUGCGGCGUACUUGUGCAUGUGCUCGAGCGCUUCGACUCUUACUGCUUCCAAGAGUUCGAGCGAUACUUCGCGUCCUUCGCCCCCGAAAAACAUCACCCUUGGUGAGUUAGCCCCUAGCUCUGCUGGGGUUAUUGCCUCAUCGCCAUAAAGAAGCAUAAACGGGCUAAACUUGGUUGGUCUUGUGGGGGUCGUCUGAAGGGCCCAGAGAACCGAUAGCAAUUCCUCUGGCCAUUUGCCUUUCGCCGCCCCCUCAAGUCUUUUCUUCAGUGCUUCUAGGAUCUUGCCAUUUGUGCGUUCGGCCGCCCCAUUUGACUGCGGGUGUGCGACCGACGCGAGCUUGAUUUCCAGGUCAAACUGCUUGCCGUUGUCAGUAAUGAACUCUUUUGGCACUCCGAAACGGCAAACAAUGUUUUUCCAUACAAACUUCUGUACUGCUGCCAAAGUGAUUGCCCCAAGCGGUUCGGCUUCAAUCCAUCGAGAGAAAUAUUCCACAGCUACAAUUGCGAAUUUAUACCCGUUUCGUGCCACUGGGAACGGCCCAAUGAUGUCUAGUCCCCAUCUGGCGAAGGGCCAUACUGGCGCAAUGGGCUGCAGAUCAUACUGGGGCGCGGCUUGGCUUCGGCCAUGACGCUGGCAACUUUCGCACUUCUUGAUUUGCUCAACACAGACUUUCAACACAGUGGGCCAAUAAACUCCUUGUCUAAAUACUUUGGAGGCCACUGUUCUUGCAGCCUAGUGCGCGCCGCAUAGCCCCUGGUGUAUCUCCUUUGCCAUUUCUUCGCCUUCGGCAAAUGAGAUGCAACGAAGUAAGGGUUGAAGUACCCCUGUGCGGUAAAGCUGACCCGAAACCAUCUUAUACUUCGUGGCUCUGAGCUGCAAAUGCUUCGCUUCUGCUUCGUCUACCAGAAGCCAGCCAGUUUUAAGGUGUUUCACAAAUGGGGUUCGCCAGUCAUGUGGGUCUUCACCCCAUUUCUCCUUGUCGAUUGCCAUGACUUCGGAGCAGUCCAUGGGCACACUUGGAGCAUGCAGGACUUCGAAAAAGAUGCCCAGCGAAUAUGGGCCGCCUUAAGCAGCGGAUUUCGCCAAGGCAUCUGCCUCCCUGUUCUGGUCUCUAGGCAAGUGUUCGACCAUUAUGCCGGUGAAGCAUUUUUCCAUGGACCGAACAGCCUCCAGAUACCUCUUCAUUCCCUCUUCUUUUGCCUCGAAGGAUUUGUCAACAUGGCCUGCUACCAACUUGGAGUCAGUUCGAAUUAGCAGGCACCGGACUCCCAAUGCUUUCGCCUUUCUCAGGCCCAGGAGAACGGCUUCGUAUUCUGCUGUAUUGUUGGUUGUGUCGAACUGCAAUCUUGCUGCGUACCGAAUCGGCACACCAUUCGGCGAAAAGAGGACUGCCGCAACGCCUGCCCCCUUGUGCGACCACGAACCGUCAGAGCACAUCACCCAGAACUGCUCGGUGGGCUCAGGGUCGGGGGCAAAUACUGGUGUCCAUUCAGCUACGAAGUCAGCUAGCACUUGAGACUUGAUAGCAGAGCGUGCAACAAAAUGCAAGUCGAACGGGGAUAGCUCUACCGCCCACUUGCUGAGCCGGCCAGUGACUUCCUUGCCUCGGAGUAUUUCGCCCAAGGGGUACUGUGAUGGCACUAUGACUUUGUGGGCCUGGAAGUAGUGCUUAAGCUUGCGCGAAGCCAUCACUAGAGCGUAAGCGAGCUUUUCCAUUUCAAUGUACCUUGUCUUUGCUCCUUGCAGUGCUUCGAAGACGAAGUAGACCGGUUUCUGUCCGGACUCUGUUUCUUGGAACAGUAUUUGCUCUUCGCGCCUGUUUUCUCCCGAGCCGAAGGCUAUCAGCAAAAGUGCUUGGCCAAGAACUUGCACUGCCUCUCCGCCGAACCCCCGGAGCGACGUUGGUGCCGGUGUAAGAGCUUGGGUUGGCAAGCCCAUCUUAGCAUAUGCUUCGGCGAAGAUCACGUCGGCCUAACUCCCUCCAUCGACCAGGAUUCGUCGGACUUCAAAACCGGCUAUCUCAGCUGAGAUUACCAGUGGAUCUUGAUGCGGGAACAGGACUCCUUCAGCGUCUUCUGGCUCGAAAGAGAUCAGCUGGUUCACGUACUGUGGCGCCCCCUCACCCGCCGAAGUGAUGCUGUGGACCAUGCGGAUCUACAUCUUCUUCUGCCAUUUCGACAACUGGCUUGGCGGGUCAGCUCUUGUAAUCACUUCGAUUACCCUUCGCUGUGCAUCUUGGCGUUGUUCGGCUGGGGGUGUUUGCUCCUGAACUGCUUCACGAGGUGCUUCGACAGUUGUUCCCUGCUGUGGCCUUAGGUCUUGCGCGUUGCCAUGUUGCCUAAUGUUUCAGCAUUGCUCCGUGGUGUGCGAAGAGCAUCCGUGAAAGGCGCAGUAGAGGUCUUUUCGGACCUUCUUGCGGGCUGGCUGCUGAUGGUUGCUUGCUUGCUGGGCGUCGAACUCUUUGCGGAGGGCUUGCACUUCUUCGACAGCCAUCACAGCCUUGCCCGCCCGAUCUGUUCUGAACUUUCUCCAAGUCAUGGGGGCUUGGCCUUGCCUUGGCGGCUGUCCCUGGAUCGCCGGCUGAGACUGGCGAACAGAGAGGGGAGGUGGUUCGGCAACUUGAACUUGUGCUUGAGCUUGAGCAGCGGCGACGUAUAGCUUGUCGUCGUUUAGAAUCCUCCUCACUCCUUGUGAACCCGUCAAUGAUGCGAAGUAGGUGCUCGAGCAUCUGCGGCUCCUUGUUGGCGAUUUUUCUUGUUAGUUCGCCCUCAAGCAGACUGGCCCAACUGGUGGUACUUGCUGAGCCGCCACGGAUGGGUCAAAAAUUGGCUGCAACCACAUCAUGGCAGCAUGGAUUGGUGCUUGGUUUGUUCCGAAGCCUAGAGUUGGAACUUGCUGCCGAACAGUUGGCACCUGAGCAGUGUUGACGAAGUCGAACUGCGGUCCUUGAUUCCACGGCGAAGCUUCCAAGCCUGGCUGAAUUGGUGGCAAUCAAUUGGGCGCACCAUGACUUGUAUUCCCCACCGGGUGAGCCGAUGGGGUUGUGCUUGAAAUGUAGUGGGGUUGGUUGAGUUGCUGAAGGAAAGCUUGGAGUUGCGCCUGCAGAGCCGAAGCCCCUUCCGCCACUGAUUGUGGCGCUUGGCCAGGUGGUUGAUGCUGCCCGGCGAAGUUCACCGGCGCCUGUGUGGCUAGUGGCGGAGAGGGCUGGGUCACCACUUGCGGCCGGACUUGAGGUGGGGCAUAGCCUGCCGAAUACUGAAGGAUUAGAGCCGACGUGGCCUUGGUCCGCCUUGCCGCCUCGUAUGCUUGUUGUUGUUCUUGCAUUUGGCGAAGCAUGUCUUGGAGCCGUGUCAUGUUCUGCCGCAUGGCUUCCAUGUCGGCUUCAGCUUGCGCUUCGGGGUCCAGGCUGAUUUGGGCCUGUAUAACGGUGAGCGCAGUUGGGGCCGCCGCCGGCUGCGAUGGGGCGGCUUGGGGCACCACCAGUUGGUUUGUCGAAAGGAUCUCCGCCCUAGUCUGGAGUGCCCUUCCGCCGUAGCCGCCUUCGCCACGUCGGCCGUGUUCGGCACUUGCACUGACGUUGCGGGGGCCGAAGACGGUUCUGAUGGCGCGGGGGCCGAAGGCGGUUGUGAUGGCGCUUGUGCUUCUCCAUCUUCGGCCACGGACGCCGAAGGCUCUGCUCCUUCUUCGGCAGCCAUGUCCGGUCCGGCGUCGCUCUCCUUCCGCCUGAUAACCUUCUCCUUCACGACCCUCUUCGGUGGCAUUCGCUCUCAGUGGUUUCGCUCGGAGUCCCCACGGUCGGCACCAGCUGUUGUCAAAACGACAACUGCAUACGUCGAAAGACGUGGUUACUCAACAAUGGUUGGAAAAAUGAAGUGUACUAAAUUUUGAAUUUCCCUUGGGGAUCCCCCAUUACAUGGCCCUAGGGGACUAUUUAUAGCCCCAUUACAGGUUCUUAUUACUAGGGUUUAGGUUGUACAGGGGAAUUUACAUGAUUACCCUUACCAAAGAGGCAUUUACAGGGGUACAUAAUGUUAUAGGGGCUCAUGGGCCCCUGAUGGGCCGUCUGGCGAUCGCCGGCCUGAUGGGCCAAAAAGGCUUCCUCGGCCCUCGCAGGGGCGAACUUGUCAAGACGAAGUCAUCCUCCUUCGGCAGAUAGUCUUCGCCUUGCACCCUUCGUCUGAGACGCCUCUGGCCUGGCGCUUGUACGACUCUUCGCCUUGCGCCGUUCUUGCUCUAUAGCCUUCGCCAUGGGUUUCGGCAGGUUUGGUUGAAGAGCCUCAUGCCAUCCGCCAACAGAUAUUACAUCAAAUUGCCUCAUAAACUCCCUUAAAUAAGAGUGGUUGAAGAAACACGUAAAAAGAUAUAGCCAACGCACAUGUUGAUAACCGGAAGCUAUAUGAUCCAAUCGAGUGGGAGUAACAAGAUUAGUUGUAAGUUGUCCUAGGAAAGUAUUCCUCCAGAUAACUAUAUUUGUUAAACAAAUGGUAUCUUGAGCUACACAUCUACCCAGAACAUUAACAAGAUCUUCACAUUUUGCAUCGUUUGAUAUUCCAAGUUGCCUAAGAGCAAUUUUAAUAGUUGGCAACUCCCUCCGGUUAAUUAUGACGUUUUGAAUAAUGAUAUGGUCUUCAAAAUAUAUCAUUGACUAUACAUAGUCAAACAUAUAUUUUAAAGAGCAUGUCAUUGUUUAAAUACAAUAGGAUAAUGUGUGUGUGUCUAUAUAUAUAUAUAUAUAUAUAUAAUAGAAAAAAAGUACCGUACUAAAAGUAAAAAAAUAUUUAUUUAUUUUAUAUAUUAUAAUAGAAAAAAACAAUGUACUUCUCCCCCGUCUAGUAACUUAGAAUGAGAUAAGACCUAUCCACAUUUUGAGACGGAGGUAGUAAAAGUUAUAAAAGUUGCACGUCAACUUUCCAGUGAGAGUAUAAGCCAACUAUAGCUUAGGUAGAAAGGAGAUAUAUAUAAAAAAAAAGAGAGAAGUGCAAGUUUUCAUGCAAAAUAUAGCUCUACACAUGGUCCAAAGCCCAUGCAUUAGUUACACUAGCCGCUAACCCGUACGAUGCACGGGUAUUAUAGAGUAUAGAGAUAUAUUUUAAAUUUUAAUCAUAGCUUAAAUAUGUAGGUUUUAUAUUUUUUUUAUUAUACUGACUCUAGCUAAAAGAAGCGCACACGUUAGUUACAACUUCACAUUUGUGGUUUCAAAAUUUCAAAUUAAAUUAGUUAUUUCAAAUUAAAAAUGGAAAGUCCGUAAUUUCAGAAUUGUGUAUUAUCAAUUUCGUAAAAACUAAUAAAGAAUCCGAUUCGUAUUUGUGAAACAAAUUGAAUCUUGUUCGACCUAGACAUCUACCCAAAACUCUGACAAGUUGUUCCCAUUUUACAAAGUUCGAGCUGCCAUACUAUCACUGAUAUUAUCUCAAAUUGGCUAAUAAACUACCUUGAAUAUGAGCAGUUGAAGAAAUGCGUAAUAAAUAUAUAUAGGCAUUGCGCAUCUGGGUAACGUGCAAAGGAUUCUUGCAUAUAUAACCCUGUUUUUUAAGCAAUGGAAUCUUGAGAGCUACGUACGUUCACAUCUAUCCAGAACUUUGAGAUUCCUAGAAUUCCGUAAUAAACAACGACGAAGAGAGGUUUGAAAACAUGCGUUAAAAUCAUGUGGCGGUAGCUCAUCAAUUAAUUGUCAUUUGUCCUUGCAAGUAGUGAUACCCGGAGACAAUGGCAUCUUCAGCGAGUACACACCUACCCAGAACUUUGACAAGUUCUUCACAUCUUACAAAGUUCGACGUACCAUACUAUAAUUGAUAUUCCACCAAAUUAGCUAAUAAACUGGCUUGAAUAAGAGCAGUUGGGGAAAUGCGGGAAAAAUAUAGGCAAAAUGCACAUGUAGAUAACGGGGACCUAUUUGAUUCAUCUGGUGGAGGUAGCUCACAUUGUAAAUUUUCCUUGCAAAUUAAGGCCUUGUUUAGUUCCAAAUUUUUUCUUCAAAUUUUCAAUUUUUUUCAUCACAUCAAAACUUUUCUACACAUAUAAACCUCCAACUUUUCCGUCACUUCGUUCCAAUUUCAACCAAACUUUUAAUUUUUGACCUGAAAACACACUCUAAGAAUUCUUGCCGACAACUAUGUUUGUCAUUGAAUCGUGAGCUACACAUGUAUCCAGAACUUUGAUAUUCCAUAAUCCCUAAUAGACUACAAUAAAUAAGAGUGGUUAAAGAAAGCGUAAAACUUAUAACCAAUCCACACACUAGAGAAAUGAUCUUUAAUACCGAUUCUAAACUCUUUUUAAUCUCGGUUAUAGUAACCGAGACUUAAGAUCUAAAGAUGCAUACUAAAUAAAAAAUAUAUAGGAUGUGGGAUUCGAACUUAAGAUCUCGCAUCUCAACCAUUAUCUGUGUUACCAUCUUACCUACUCCACACGUUUAACUUGGAUAAAGGUAUUUUCAUUUUGAACUAACUCUAGAGGCAUUUUUAGUACUGGUUGGUAACAACCAACUUGUAUUAAAAAUAUCUUUAGUCCCGAUUGAUAUUAUCAACCAGUGCUAAAAAUAUCUUUAGUAUCGGAUAACAGUAACCAAGACUAAAGAUCCACAAAAAUUAGUACCGGUUGGUGCUGCAAACCGGUUCUAAAGAUGUAUUUUUAAUAUCAGUUGGUAACACCAACUGGGGCUAAAGAUAUAUAUUUCUAGGUACCUAGGCUUUUAGAACCGAUUAUAAAUAGCUUUAGUACCGGUUCUUAAUGCAUCGGCCGGUAUAUUUGUGAUUUGGGGUAUUGGAUAAAAGUUGAUGAUGGUGAAAGUCUGACGAGAGUGGUGAUGCUAUCGCCAAAGGGGCCACAACAACAGUUUCAUGUAGAUGCAGUGCCAAGUAAGCAUGAGCAGCGAUACCACGCACUAUAAGAGGUGUGUGGAUUUUUAACAUUUUAUUAUGUCAUAAUAUAUGAAAUCAGUUGACGUAAUUCCAAACGUCAAAAAGCCACGUCAUAAAUUUAGUAUGUGACGUUUGUACAUUUAUUGUCACAAGCAUUUGACAAUGCUUUAUUGUCAUAAAAUCCUGGGGCUUGCCACGUGGCAGCUGACAUAACAGUUGACAUGGUUAAAAAAAAAGUCACAAAAUAAGAUUCGGCCUGCUAAAGCCCAUGUAGCUCAUGGGCCACAAAUAUAUUUUUUCUGGGGUUGUUGCUAGCUGGCCCAGUAUAUUUUUUGCUUGUUUGUUUAUGAAUGCAGCCUGUACAAAUUUUCAACCCACACCAAUUCGGCCCAUAUGAUUUUUCCAACCCGCACAAUUCAGCCCAUAUGAUUUUUCCACCCCCACAAUUUAGCCCAUAUAUUUUUCCAGCCCAAAUAAUUUUUUCAGCCCACAAAGCUCAACUGAUAUUUUUUCAGCCCAUACAAUUCAGCCCAGAUACUAUAUUUCAGCACAUACAAAAUCAGAUUCAAAUGAAUUAACAUUCCACAAAUGAUUGCAAUGUCACAUGCAUUUCACAUUCCAGAAGUCUUGAAAUGCAAUAUCAUUACAUCCAUCCACCAAUUCAGUACAUAUCCAAACUCUCAAAUUUCAUAUUCCUGCUACUGCGAGAGCAACAGCAGCACAUCUGCAAUAGCAUCACAGCAGCAGUAGCGCAAUGGCCAAAAGCACAGCAGCAACAGCACAACGGCCAGAAGCACAGCAGCACCUAAAUAACAUCCCACAAGCACAAUGGUCGCAAGUUCAGUGUCACCAAAAUAUCAUCUGGAACCUAAUUGAGUAGGAGUGCUUACUAUUCAGCAUCUGAUGAUGCAAAAUUGCUGCCAAACAAUUGAGUAGUUUCUUAUUGUACUUGAAUUACAUGUACCCCAGUGGCAUAAUGUAUCUAUGAAUCCUAUAAUACAUGAGUAAGCAAAAUUUAGUAGACUCAAGUAAACCCCCGCGGGGCAUUGCAUUUACGUUAGAAAACAUUGGCCGCAGUUUCAUUGAUAGAAACAGACAGAGUUGUCCGAAGUCCAGUGCAAAAAAGAACAAGUACCUUACGGCAUCUGACUUGAAUCCCAUCAGGUUUUAUAGUGCUAAACUGAUCCUCAAAUUGGGUCAUUGUGCAUUUAAUGGUAGAAUCCUCACAUGUAUUGUAUGAGCAGCAACUAUAAAAUAAAGAUAAUAAAUUUCAGGACAACAACAAAAUUAUCAUGUCUGGACUAAAGCCUACGAUUAUAGCAAAUACCUUAUGUUCAUACGUAUUGCUGCUCCAGCCCGUUUAUCUGCCGCAUGACAACGCACAGGUGGACAACGUGCAUGACGGCAGCAUCCGUAAGGAUUCAUCCUUAAUCAAAAGUAUUAUUUAGCCUUAGCCUUAGUCCACAUAUUGCACACAAAAAUGAAGAGUUAUUCCAUACAAAAUCGAAUCCAGAUUCAUCCUUAAUCAUACAAAAGCAUCUCUUGCUCUAAGAUUAAAAGGAAUGUGACAUCAAGCUAUGAACGAGCAGAACCGUUCAGCUUUCUUUAAUACAAGAAAUAAACAAGCUCACCUUGUGCCCAUUGUGGCCUUGGUGUUGCUUGUCCGUUCAGAGAUCUUGGGCUUCAUGCCAAGAUUCGGCACAGAAGUCUCGGCCAUAUCAACCACCGGCGCUUGAUGCAUCACAGCCACACCAGUGGCGGAGGACGGAAAAAAUUUUAGGUGUGGCCUACGAAUUACCACAGAAGUUAGCACAUAACGAAAAAUCUCAAUGCAUGUUAUUAUACGAUGCAAUAUUAUCACAACAAGUCUACAUUAAGCACGGUAAACAAGAACUAAUUAUAAGUUGAUGAUUCAUCAUCUAUUUGUAAACUAGAUAGAAGAGUAGGUACUCAAAAAAUACCUCAACUUCCUAAGAUUCAUGCUUUCAACAAUACAUCACAAAUAGGAAGUACAGUACUGAGUAUAGAUAGAUAUAGUACCAAAGAUUGAUUAAUGUUCACAUAUGUAGGCACCUGUUGAUGGAGUGAUGGAUGCUUGGCUUGUUGGCUUGUCGCUUGCUUGCUGUCGUCGCUGGGUGCUGCACGCCUGCACUGCUGUUGUGCCAUUCAUCCCACCCUGCCUCUGUCUCUGCUCUUCCUGCGCUGCGCGCCUGCCCAUUUGGGCCAUGGCGGCUGGUCGUGCUGCCGCCUUGCCGGAGCAGAUGCCACAGCCGCAGCUCUGGAAGCCUGGUGGCCGCGCCCUCCUCACCUCACCCUGCCCUCCCGCGCGGCGCGCACCACAGCAGCCCCCGUCCGCCGAUGGGGAUUGGGGAUGGGGAUUGGCGGAGGUUGGAGGAGAUGGUCAGAUGACUCAGAUGGGGAAAUUUGGGUCUCAUUUACACUAAACAAGCCUAAUGGGCCUACUAGCUAUCAGCGUGAGGACCAGCACUGGCAUUUGCGGACGCGUCCACGCCGUGUCGGCACUCUCUCUGACCCGGCUGCUGCUAUGCGCGGAGGAGCACGAGGAAGGGGGGGUGGUCAGCGGGCGGCGCGAGGAUGCUGUGGCCAACGUGGUUUGGAAUCGGCUAGCGGUUGGGCCCGUCGAUGCAGCCGCACGCCGUCCUCGAGCCGCCCGGGGAUUGCCGCCGCUCGAUCUAGCCGCCCUAGGCCCGGGAUCUAGCAGAUCCACCGCUCCCGAGCGUGGUGGCGGCGGAGAUAGAGGCGGCGUGGUAAGCGGCGAAGGAGGACGCCGCCGCACGCUGUCAUCGCCGAUACCCACCGCCGGAGAGGAGAGGAGAGGAAAGGAGAGGAGAAUGGAUGGGAGUGUGGCGGCUGAGGGUGGAGAGAGAGAGAGAGAGGAGGGGUGGAGAGGAGGGUUUUAUAUAGGGCUAGGGUUAGGGACGGCGAUCAGAACCAUUAGAUCGAAGAUGGACGGUCAGAAAUAGUUGGGCCAUUUGGGCCGAAACAGGAAUGAUCAUAUGUUUUUUUUUUAAUUUCAAUUUAUGAAAACAUUAAAUGUAAUUUUAGGUCGAUUUUUUUUGUUUCAAAUGAAAAAAUCAUAAAUAAUAAAAUUAUAGAACUAAUCGAGAUCUACAACUAUUGUAUUAGUCCUUUUUACAAAUAAGUUCAUUUGAACAAUACAAAUUUUGAAUUUUCAAAAAUUGAUAAUUUCGAAUAAAAAUUGGGGUUAAUAAAUGAUUUCAAAUGGAAAAGUCACCAAAACUAAAGUUGUAUAAAUCAUCGAGACGGAAAUUUUUUAUUUUUGUCAUUUCUCCAUCUGACUCUAUUUGAACAAUUUGAAUUUGAAAUUCAAAGUUUGAGAACUUCAAAUAGAAUUUUUUUAUUAGUGAACGACUUCAACUGAAAAAUUCAUCAACAACAAAGUUGUAUAAUCCAUCUGAAUCUACAAUUUUUAUUUUGGUCAUUUGUUCAUUCGACGAAGCGAUAGUAAGAUUGUUCACAAAAUUUUAAUAUGGUUUUAUAAACUAUAAGAGAGAUUUGUAAAUUUUGUGAACAAUGUUAAUAUCACUUUGCCAGAUGAAGAUAUGACCAAAAUAAAAGUUAUAGAUAUUUAUGAGUUAUACAACUUUGUUAUUGAUGACUUUUUCAGUUGAAAUCAUUUAGUAUUUGAAAAUAUUGUUUGAAGUAGUCAUAAUUUGAAAUUCAAAUUCAAAUUAUUGAAACAAAGUCAUAUAGCAAAAUGACCAAAACAAAAGUUGUAGAUCUUGAUAAGUUAUACAAAUUUUUUGUUGACAAUUUUUUCAUUUGAAAUCAUUUACUACACAAAAAAAUAUAUAUUUGAAUUUCUUAUAUUUUAAAAUUCAAAUUUUAUAUAGAUCAAUCAAACUCAGAUGGAGAAAUAACUAAAAUAAAAUUGGUAGAUUUCGAUAAGUCAUAUAACUUUGUUUUUGACAAUUUUUUCACGCAACUCCCAACAAUUUUUAGCUUGCGGGUUCGACUCCUAACUCCUAACAUUUUUUAGCCAUUUUGCUGAGUUAGGCGCGGCUGCUCGGCCUAGCGCACGGGUUGGCCCAUUUCGGGUAAGCGGCUGUUGGGCUAGCACCAGGUUGGCCCAUCUGAAAAUGAGAAAAGAAAAUCUGAUGUGGCAAUAAGGCUUGCCUACAUGGACAAAAAUAUUUAAAAUAAUACAAUAAAUAAUUUGUGACACAUAAAUAGGUCUUAUGACAUAGUAAAUAUUGUCACUGGAUGACACUAGACUAGCUAUAUGACACUUAUUGUGACACACAACUUUUUAUUGUCAUUAAGUUAAAAUGCUUCAAAUAAAAUGUCAUAAAUUAGAUGAUAUAGUGACAUUAUAACCUGUGUCAUAUAAGCCACACAUAACUUGUAGUGGCGGUCCGAAGGGGACGACGCAUGCAGCUAGCGGCAACCCGAAGCUUGGCAUAGUAGACAUGUUCCAUCCUACGAAGGCUUGUCACAUAUGGCCAUAUGGGCAUGCACUGUGAUCAGGCCAAUAGCACACAAUGCAACACAGCGAUAAACAAUGCCGGUUAUGCCGCGCAGAGCAGAGUCGAGGAAGGUGAUGUCGGGUAAGAUUGGAGCCGUGCAAAUGACGACGGAUGACUGUGGGCGACGCAAACCUGGGUCUCUGACCAGUAAAAAAACAAACACGAAGGUAGUGCACUAGUAAAUAGUAGAAGUGUAUCCUCUGUUCUCCAUUCGCCUCAACUACCACCAAUGGGCUCAAAUCUGUCCACAACUAUCUCCACUCUCUCUCCUCUCUUGGUCAAGGUCACAAGUUCACGGAGAGAGAGAUAGACAGAGCAGAGAUCAAGCAACCACCACUAUUGAAGAACCGAUCUUUACUGGGUUGGACGAAAACCACAAUAAUUCCGGUUCCAAAAAGAAUCAUAACUAAAAAUCAUCUUUAGCCUCGGUUGAAAAGCCCAUAACCAUUUUAUGAUCUUUAGUCCCGGUUGGUAACACACUAACCGGGACUAAACAUAGUCCCGGUUAAAAAAGUGUUUGCCCCCUACUUUUUUUAUUCCCGAUUAGAAACACCAACCGGAAUUAAAAAUCGGUGCAUAGUAUAUAAUUCCUCGUACUUAUCCUCUAGCAACCAUCUCUUCCCUUAUUCUCCUCCUCUCUUUUCUUAUCCUUUCCCUUUCCUCUCUCUAUUCUCGCACGCGGCAGUGGGCGAGCGAGCAGGGCGGGCUUGCGGCGGCUGAGGGAGGCGCGGCCGCCGGGUGGCAGGUGGUAGGGCGCACGUGGAGGGGCGUGACAGAGGGGUCGCGGCGGCUGCUGGGCGGUAGGCGGCCGGGCGCACGCGGAGGGUCGGCCGGCCGGAUGUUUUUCUUUUUCUUUUCCUUUUUUUCCCUCUUAAUUUGUGGAUGAUUUUUUGUUGGCUAUAUAUGUUGUUGUGGAUGAUUUGGGAUUGUGGAUGAUGAUUUUGUUGUUGUGAAUGAUUUGGGAUUGUGGAUGAUUUGGGAUGUCGGGAGAUGAUCUGUGGAUGAGUUCGGCUGAAAAAACAAGUGCAAGUAACUAAAAUCAAUUAUCCACAAGCAAAUAGAAAAAAUAAAAAAAAAUCUCUCCUCCCGGUUGGUGUUACCAACCAGGACUAAAGAUCGCUAUCUUUAGUCGCUAUCUUUAGUCCCGGUUGGUGUUAACAACCAGGAGUAGAGAUGCAUCUUUACUCCCUAGUAUUUAAACUGGGACUAAAGAUCGUCAUCCUUAGUGUCAGAUUUCUUCUCCCUGUUUGUAACCCGGGACUACAGGGGUUGCGAACUGGGAGAGAAGAGGCAUUCUCCUGUAGUGCACGGAGGCUGCAAAAGAUGACGUUGCAACAAAUAUAUAGUUUCAAACAGAUAUUUUUAAAAGUAAUGCCUCCGGACGCUGCAACACUAGACUUGCCUGAUCAAGCAUAUAUGUUGGAGUUUUUUCUGAAACACAAGUUUAGAUAGCUUUAAUGCGCACGUUGGAUAACAGGGGUUAUAUUAACAAGGCACGGCACAUUAUAUACGGCCAGAAGAAGCACGUAUGUAGGGAUGAAAACGAAACAGAAACGGACGGAAACUAGCUUUAUCAUAUUAGAUUUUAGAUUUUUUCGGAAUUGGAAUCAGAAUCGAGAACCGGAUACGGAAAUCAAAUCGAAUAUUAUCAAAUAAAGAUACCUAGUGAAUAUGAAAUGAACGAAUAUGGCAACAAAUAUUUGUCGGUAUAUAAAAAUCCUCUCAAACAUUUAUAUCGACAAUUUCGGAGGCGGUACUACAACCUUAUGUGAAAAUUGAUUUUCAAGGCAAUUCCCCUAAGAGACUCACAUGUAAAUAUAUGUAAAUAUGAUUAUUUAUUUUUUAAUCCCACGACCUUUUACUACAUGUAUAGCUUACUUACCAUAUCACUUAUCAAGAUCUUAUUGUAUAAAUUAGAGAUGUUAUUUAUUUUAUUUCACAUCUUCAAAACUUGUAGUGUUUGUUUUAUACUUUAAACAUUUUAAAAUACAAAUGUUAUAAACUACCAAGUGGUAGAUCUCAUUGAGCUCUACAAUUUUGAUAUGGAACACAUCUCCAUUAGAUGUCGUUUGAAUUGGAGAUAUGAGGUUUUGUAAAAAUAGAUAUGGUAUUUUAUAAUGAAUAUUUAGACUCAAAAAUGAUCUCAAAUAAUAAAAUAGUCAACAAGAAAUUGUAGAUAUCAUCAAGCUCUACAAUUUGAUCUAAAGUUUAUCUUCAUCUGACUCCGUAUGAAAAUGUUAUGUAUAUAUAAGUGCUUUUUCUAAAAUUUGAUCUAUGUAUGUGGAUAUCCGGACAAAAUUUCUGAACGUUUUCCCAUUCCGACGGAUAGUACCUUACUCUAUUCGUUUUAUUUUCCGAGAAAAAAGAAAUCCGCAUUUGUUUCCUUCGUCGUGACUAGCCGAUGCAUCGAGCCGGAUUUUUUUUUGAUUCGUGGAACCUCAAAAGUGUCGGAUCUUAAACCGGCACCUAUUUGUGUUUCUGUAGUAUCGGCUUCCACCCUCCUCGUGGAUCUUCCCGUGACCAGAUCUGAGGCUGGCCAUAGGAGGAGGGGGGUGGGGGGGGGGAGAGCUCCAUGAAGAAGAGGAUGUCUAGCCACUAGUGGAGCACGAGUCGACGCCAAUGCCCAAAAACUCCCCUGCAUGUUGCCAACUGUGAGGGAUGUCGCCGCCGUGUCUAAGGCCACGACCACCUCCUCAUGUCGCGACGGCGCCUCCGGCGCCAUCUCGCGCCCCUUGCUUGGUUGCUCCUACGGCUGCCAAUUGCCAGCUCUGGUGGCUCCCAGCGUAGUCGCCGCUGCCCCACCACCACCUCUCCUAUGCCCCCGCCGCCUGCCACCUCGUUCUCCCCUUCCUCCACCUUCGCCCCCUCCAGAUCUGGCAGCGCCCGCCAUGGAUCUGGCCUCACCGUCGCUCCUGCUCCACUCCGCCGCUUGUCUUCCCCCUUCCCCGCCGCUUGCUAUCUCCCUUCCCGCCUCCUUGGCUGCCACCGUCAUCCCAGGAAGGGGCCAAAUCUGGCCAGGGAAGCCAUGUCCGGCGCCGUCGCCACCCCCACACUGUUGGUAUUUCUUAACGACAUUACUAGAAAUAUAAUGCCCAGCAAUGGAACAGAAAUAUUUAUGUUAUAUUAUGGUUACAAAUCAUAUACGCAAGCACACGGAUAUACUAUAGUAGCAUUUCACCCGGAAGUAUUACAAGGGUAUCAUAUUUGUUUAGUCCCGUGGAAAGAUUAUAAUGGAGAAAACUAUGCUAAUAUUUAUAUGUUACUUGUAAUAAUCAGUCUAAGCAGGUGUUAAUUUAAUUCAAGGGUAGAGUGACACGAAGCAUAAAAACUCAUUCUCUCAUAAAUAAUAAGUCUAGGCAAAAUGGAAAAGAAUAAGAAAAUAAUCUAUUCUUACACCUCUAAUAUACAUACAACUUUAGUUAAUAUUAUCUGCUAUAUAAUUAUAUAGCCAAUACCCCCAUUACAAUGCCCUCCUGGUGUUUCGAGAGACCACUCCUGGUUGCCGAGUUUCUUACGACAACCCAUUAUGGCCAUCCAACCGGUGCUAAAUACGGAGAAGUAACCUCCCUAGAAAAGUAACUUAGGAUUAUAUACUAAUAUGGAGGAAUACUUAUACUGAGCUAUCACUAUCAGCGGCCCACCUCGACUGACCCGCAGCAUAUAACCCCAUAUAAUGAUAUUCAAUAGUCUAAGCACCUCGCUUAUACUACCAAAUACUACUCUACAAUCAUCGUCAUGACUUAGAGCAAUCAUACGAAUGAACAUUAUACCCACACCAAUGCAUCUCCCAGUUAAGCUAGCUAGACAAUUAUAUCUCAAAUAAUACAUUGGAAAGUUGGUACUCCAAUAAUCAGAGUGAAGUAAAGUACUGUAAAUAUAUUUUGAAGAAUAUUCUAAUAAUUGUACAAGUCUUACAAAAGAAGGAAGAGCUACUAGAGCCAUACCCGAAUUCUUCCGAAGGCUCCGAGGACUAAAGAAACUAUUUUAUUCCUGCUCCACUAGCACUAGAAUACUAAACUAAACUUAAGAGAGAGCUUGGAGCUUCUUGCUUGAGUGUGUCAUGGAGGGAGUGAGGUGAAGGCCUUUUCUAGGCAGCUUAUGACGGUUGGAAAGGUCGGAAACGCCCUCCAACCAUCAUUGGGAUCAAUCCCAGCCGUCCCACCAAACGCUGCAUCUGACGGCGCCACGCAAGGUUCGGCUGAACCAUGGGCUGGGCCGACCUGGCCCAUCUUCGGUAGAUCGCUUCCUCUCUGCCUCCUUUAUCCAAAAUAGUGAAUUUUGGGCUUGUUGGAUCUUUUAAAUUUGGUUUUCUCAGCCCAUUUGUCCAUAAGUCUGAUUCUCGAUAGCAUCUGAUUGAGUGAUCGUCUAUUUUGUUGUCGACUAUCCUCCCUUUUGUGUUUAUUCUCUGCAAGACGUUAGAAUCCUAGUGGUACUUGAAAAUAGUUUAUUCUACCACAAAUAUGCAUUGCAAGUAUAACUAGUUCUCCUUUAUUUUAGUAAUAUUAACUUGCAAAACUGAUCGAUUACGAUCGUCAAUACGCACCCAACCGCCUCCACGCACAACCGUUCCGCACCCAGCCGCCUCUGCAUGCCCAGCCUGACGCUCCGACGCCACUGUUGACUGUCGUUAGCGAUCAGUUUCGACCGUCAAUACUACCAAAAUAAUAGAGAGCUAGUUAUCCUUGCAAUGCAUAUUUGUGUUAGAAUAAUAAAUAUUCCACUAGUACUGGGAUUACUAACCUCUUGCAGAGAAUGAACAUAAAAUGGAGGAGAAUCAACAUCACAACAGACAAUCAAUCAAUCGGACGAUGAGGAGAAUCAGACUUAUCAAUGAGUGGGCCAAGAAUGCAGAAAUGACAUGACCAAUUGGGUCAAAAUUCACAAGUCUGAAGUGAACAGCAGAAGAGGAGGCCGCCAGCCGAAAAUGGGCUGGGUUGGGCCGUCCCCUCAUUCGGACAAACCCACCGCCUGGUUCGGCCGAACCCGCCGUGCAGCCGAUGGAUCCAGGGUUGGCGAUAGACGGUGUGGAUUGCUUCCCUAUGGCGAUUGGAGGGUAUUACCGACCUUUCCAACCGUCAUAACCAUCAUUACCUGCUUAUUUAAGGCCUUCAUCUCCUCACUUUCUUCACACACUUCGAGCAAAGUUCUCUCAUACUCUCUCAAGCUUAGUUUAGCAUUCUCAAGCUAGUGGAGUAGGAAUAGAAUAGAAAUCAGAGUCUGGAAGUCUUCGGAAGAGUUUGGGCAUGGCUCUAGCAGUUCUCCUUUCUUCUUUUGUAAGACUUGUACUUUAUUUAGAAUAUUCUUCUUUAUUCAAUUCUGGUAUUGUAAUACUUUCCAAGUAUAUGAAUGCCAACUUUACUUUAUAUUCAAGUUAUAUUGAUUAUACUGCUAGCUUAUAUAGGAGAUGCAAUGGUACGGGUAUAGUGUUUGCUUAUGUAAUUACUCUAUGUCAUGAUGAUGAUAUUAGAGUAGUAUCUGGUAAUUAGGCGUGGUGUCUAAAUUACUGGGUAUGAUUAUUUGGGUUAUAUGCUACGGAAGAGAGGUGAGUCGCUGAUGGUGACAGGUCAGUACGGGUAUUCCUCCGCGUGUGUAUAUAGUCCUAAGUUAAUUUCCUGGGGAGGGUACUCCUCCGUAUUUAGCUCCGGUUGUAUGGUCAUGACGACCUGUCGUAAGGAACUCGGUAGUCAGGGGUGGCUUCUCGAAGUACCAGGAGGGCAUCGAAAAGAGGGUAUUAGCUAGUUAAUCUUAUAGUUAGGAUGUAUGUAUAAGAUGUAUACUAGAAAUAUAGGAAUAGAUUCUUUUCUCUUUUCUUUCCACUUAGCUUAGAUGAUUUAAUAUGAAAAUAAGUAGUAUUAUGCUUGUGUGUCAUUCUACCCUAUGAAUUACAUUAACUCCUGCUUAAACUAUGGUUAUUACAAGUAAUAUAUAAAUUAUUAGUACGAUUCCCUCUACUAUAAUCUUCCCACGCCAAAAUUUGGAAUAAUUUUUAAUCACGAUAAAACAAUAAUUAAGACUUCAAACAGAGUGUAAUAUUUUUUAAUUAGGAAUUUUAAAACUAAAUUAUGAAGAUGCUAUAUAUAUUUGAGACUACUCCACAUGGAAUACAACUUGAUAUUUAAUAACUACGAAUAUAGGUGUCGAAACAUGAUUUCGGCAAUAAUAAAAGGGGGUAGCACACGAGACCUAAAAGUGGAUGGAUGCAGAGACAAAGGAUUUAGACAGGUUCAGGCCCUCUCAAUGAGAGGUAAUACCCUACUCCUGUUUGGGGAUUUGAAUCCGCCGGGUGUAGUAUAGAUCUGACGAUCAGGUUGUGUCAUAUGCCCCCUAGAGGGCCUCCUGCCCACCUUAUAUAGGAUGGGGGGCAGGAUUACAAGAUAGAAACCUUAACCAACACGGUAUCGGUUUCCUAAAUCUACUUUACAAUCUUAUCAAGCCAGGACUUUAGGCCGUUCCAUAAUAUACAGGGAAACGUAAUACCCAAGUCAUGAUCUGUUACAUAUUUCAUACAUAUAUGUUAUCCCCUAUUACUAGUCGGAUAACCAUGCCGUGUGGAUAUGGGGUACCCAUAAUCUCCACAGUAGCCCCUGAGACCUUCACAGUCGGAAAGAUAAUCUUCUCUCGAACUAGAUUACUCCAAAGCCGAGUGCUUCAAUCAUCCUCGCCAUGAUCUCCCGAGUACUUUUACCAAAUAUAAAGACUGUGGAGGGCUGAAAAAUAAAGUCAGGUGCAUCAAAUAGAUGUACCAACUGAGUGGUUUUGAUAAUUGUAAUCAACCAAGUGACUUGAUAUCAAUAUAUAGCAUAUGCGGUGUGAAUCCCCGAAUAAUAUAAUCCAAGUGAUAUACCGACUGCUUGGCAAAAUAUGAUGCGUACAACCUAAAGUUGACAACAUCUUUGAAAGUUCACAUAGCAAAACAACUAUAAAGAAGCUUGAAUGCUGUGAAUAAAGAAAUUUCCAAAGUAUUGGGCAUACGCCAUGCGCACACUGCUUUAACAGAUGUGCUUAAGUCCCUAGAAGACACAUGGUUCCACCACACCUGGAAAUAUAUGGCAUAUGUGGUAUAAAAUCCGAGUAAAUAAACUCAUAAAGGAUUUACCAACCGCCUGGAAAAUGACUACAAUAUAUAAUCAGCCUAAGCCAUAAUAUUGGUCAAUAAAAAUGCACACUUACGUGGCAAAAAGCAAUGAUAUUGUAUCCAAUCAAUUGCUUAAAAACCCAAACAGCACCUUGACUUAUAUAAAAAAGUCAGCGGGACAGCUAUAUAAAGCUUUACUGUUUGACACCUUUUAAGAUGCAUUGUACCAACUCCUAAAAAAGUUGAAUAACUGUGGUAUAAAAGGAUUUUAAGGUAUUGGGCACUUGAUCACGCGCACUUUGGCCUAAGCAAAAAGUGCCUAAGUCCCUAAAAGAACGUGAUAGGCCACACCUGAAAAUAUGGGCUGCAGACAUAUUAGGCCUAGGCCAAAAAAUAUGCCUUCGACACCCUUUAAAGGAUGACGCAUAUAACAUGCUCCCGAGUAAUAAAUCUUCCGGGUAAUAUAAUAAUUGAAUCCCGACUGGCGCAAGUAUUCGGUUGAUAGCCCUUACGGGGAAUAAUAAUUGGUCCAGUCUUUGAGCAUAGAAAAUAGACUCAUGACUAUGAAUCCAUGUGGAAUGUAUCCGGAACAAGUCCAAAUUGGAGAUAUAAUCCUCACGCUUGAGUUGAUGAGCCCCUGAGCAUAUAGCUUGUCCUUCUGUCAUAGUCAAAAUUGUCUAUUGGCAAUAGCUGAUGCAGUCGGCAUGGAGAUGAAAUGACCAACAUGAAGACGAAAUUGCUCAUCAGAAGUAACGGAAAAUGUCAGUGGUAGUAAAAACAGUGACACCAAUCAAAGGUAAUGAAGUUGCAUAACCAUGGAGGCGAAGAAACCAGUCGGCAACAGUCAGGUCAGCUAGCAGUGAAGAUGUAGGCGCCCAACAACAACAAAAGAACAGUCGGUGGUGACAAAAGCAAACCGACGAUGAAGACAUAGACGCGCAUCAACGGUGAUGGCGAAACCCACCAAUCAUGAAGAUGAAGAAAAUAAUCGGCGGCGACAAACGCAUCCGACGGUAAUGAUGAUUAGCGGCAACAGAGAUAGCCGACUAUGAUGACGAAGUUUCCCAUCAACGGCAGCAGAGUAGGCUAUGUUGAAGAGGCUUAACAAGAUGUUGAUGAAGAUGACGAUGUCGGUGAUCCAGUCAAUAGCGAUGUAGCAGCCGAUGAUAACGAUGAGAUCCUCUAUCGGCAGUUGCGUAGUAGGUCAACCGUCAAGGUGAAAUAAUAAGUCGGCGAAAACAUAAUCAUCCAUUAGCAACAGCGGAGAUGUCAGGGUCGAUGAAGCAGAGGUGCUGGAGAUGAUGUUAGUGACAAUAAUCCAUCAAAUUAAUGUUAUAGCUGUUGUAGAUGCUUCACUUGGAGGAGAGUUGAUGUUGUUGUCCAACUCGUCCAAACCGAAAUAUUUGAAGUUGUUGGAGUAGAAUGUCUGUUCCGAAGCAAAGAUGAAGAUAAUGACUCCUGGAGUUGACUCAUUGGCUUAUAUAAAAUUUGUCAAAUUUUGAGCCUUAUAUUUGUGUAGCCCCCGACUCUUUGGUUAGUUGGGAAACAACUGAACAUAGAGUCGAGAAUUAUAGCUUCUUGUCGUCGAGUAGUCAUUGCUUGAUUGAAGAUAUGUGUUGAAGAUGUCCAAGUAGAAAUCCGAAGAUAAUAAAGAUGAAGUCGCUCCACCAUGAUGACAAAGUUGUGUUGCCGUGAUGAAGUGAACACGAGUCGACGGCGGAAGACGAUGAUGUCCAUCAGUAGUGGUAGCUGUAUAAACCAAAUGUAGAGGCAAGGGCACUAGUUAGCAGCAGACGAGACGACCGGUGAUGAAGAUGGUAAGGCCAAUCAACACUAGCAGAAUCAUGCGGCCAUGGAAGUGAAGAAACCAGUCGGCAGCCAUGGCAAACGUAGGCAGCUUGUGUUGAAGAUACUGAUGCCUAUUAGUAGUGACAGCGAUGUAGCCAGCCGUGAAGAAGAUAGCAUCAGUUGGCGUUAUAACAGGCCAGCCGUGCAGGCGGUGACACCAGUCAGCGGCGGAUGCGGUGGCCGGUUGGUGAAGACGUAGACGCCCAACAACGGCGGCAUAAAGGCCAGCCGUGCAGGCGGAAACACCAGUCGGCAGCGGCGAAGGCAAGCCGGUCGGUGAAGACGUAGACGCCCAACAACGGCGGCAUAAUAGGCCAGCCGUGCAGGCGGAAGCACCAGUCGGCGGCGGACGAGGCGGCCGGUCGGUGAAGACGUAGACGCCCAACAACGGCGGCAUAAAGGCCAGCCGUGCAGGCGGAAACACCAGUCGGCAGCGGCGAAGGCAAACCGGUCGGUGUAGACGCCCAAUAACGGCGGCAUAAAGGCCAGCCGUGCAGGCGGAAACACCAGUCAGCAGUGGCGGAUGCGGCGGCCGGUUGGUGAAGACGUAGACGCCCAACAACGGCGGCAUAAAGGCCAGCCGUGCAGGCGGAAACACCAGUCGGCAGCGGCGAAGGCAAGCCGGUCGGUGAAGACGUAGACGCCCAACAACGGCGGCAUAAUAGGCCAGCCGUGCAGGCGGAAGCACCAGUCGGCAGCGGCGAAGGCAAGCCGGUCGGUGAAGACGUAGACGCCCAACAACGGCGGCAUAAAGGCCAGCCGUGCAGGCGGAAACACCAGUCGGCAGCGGCGAAGGCAAGCCGGUCGGUGAAGACGUAGACGCCCAACAACGGCGGCAUAAAGGCCAGCCGUGCAGGUGGAAACACCAGCCGGCAGCGGCGAAGGCAAGCCGGUCGGUGAAGACGUAGAUGCCCAACAACGGCGGCAUAAUAGGCCAGCCGUGCAGGCGGAAGCACCAGUCGGCAGCGGCGAAGGCAAGCCGGUCGGUGAAGACGUAGACGCCCAAUAACGGCAGCAUAAAGGCCAGCCGUGCAGGCGAAAACACCAGUCGGCAGCGGCGAAGGCAAACCGGUCGGUGUAGACGCCCAAUAACGGCGGCAUAAAGGCCAGCCGUGCAGGCGGAAACACCAGUCAGCAGUGGCGGAUGCGGCGGCCGGUUGGUGAAGACGUAGACGCCCAACAACGGCGGCAUAAAGGCCAGCCGUGCAGGCGGAAACACCAGUCGGCAGCGGCGAAGGCAAGCCGGUCGGUGAAGACGUAGACGCCCAACAACGGCGGCAUAAUAGGCCAGCCGUGCAGGCGGAAGCACCAGUCGGUAGCGGCGAAGGCAAGCCGGUCGGUGAAGACGUAGACGCCCAACAACGGCGGCAUAAAGGCCAGCCGUGCAGGCGGAAACACCAGUCGGCAGCGGCGAAGGCAAGCCGGUCGGUGAAGACGUAGACGCCCAACAACGGCGGCAUAAAGGCCAGCCGUGCAGGCGGAAACACCAGCCGGCAGCGGCGAAGGCAAGCCGGUCGGUGAAGACGUAGACGCCCAACAACGGCGGCAUAAUAGGCCAGCCGUGCAGGCGGAAGCACCAGUCGGCAGCGGCGAAGGCAAGCCGGUCGGUGAAGACGUAGACGCCCAAUAACGGCAGCAUAAAGGCCAGCCGUGCAGGCGAAAACACCAGUCGGCAGCGGCGAAGGCAUGCCGGUCGGUGACGACGUAGACGCCCAACAACGGCGGCAUAAAGGCCAGCCGUGCAGGCGGAAACACCAGUCGGCAGCGGCGAAGGCAAGCCGGUCGGUGAAGACGUAGACGCCCAACAACGGCGGCAUAAAGGCCAGCCGUGCAGGCGGAAACACCAGUCGGCAGCGGCGAAGGCAAGCCGGUCGGUGAAGACGUAGACGCCCAACAACGGCGGCAUAAUAGGCCAGCCGUGCAGGCGGAAGCACCAGUCGGCGGCGGACGAGGCGGCCGGUCGGUGAAGACGUAGACGCCCAACAACGGCGGCAUAAAGGCCAGCCGUGCAGGCGGAAGCACCAGUCGGCAGCGGACGAGGCGGCCGGUCGGUGAAGACGUAGAUGCCCAACAACGGCGGCAUAAUAGGCCAGCCGUGCAGGCGGAAGCUCCAAUCGGCAGCGGCGAAGGCAAGCCAGUCGGUGAAGACGUAGACGCCCAACAACGGUGGCAUAAAGGCCAGCCGUGCAGGCGGAAACACCAGUCGGCGGCGGCGAAGGCAAGCCGGUCGGUGAAGACGUAGACGCCCAACAACGGCGGCAUAAUAGGCCAGCCGUGCAGGCGGAAGCACCAGUCGGCGGCGGACGAGGCGGCCGGUCGGUGAAGACGUAGACGCCCAACAACGGCGGCAUAAUAGGCCAGCCGUGCAGGCGGAAGCACCAGUCGGCGGCGGUCGAGGCGAGCCGGUGGUGAUGUUCUGACUGAUCCAUUCCUGGAGCGUAAGAGAUAAGCUUAAAGCCAUGAAUCCCUUUUAUGCAUAUCUGGAUCUGGAUCCUGCAGAACAAACAUAUAGGAUGAGUAGUAUCUGAUAUAAAUAUAAUACUCGAGAAAAAAUCAAGUAUUUUAAAAUAUUUAUAAAUAUGUAUUUCUCCUCUUGUCAAUUUUGAUUUCCCCGAGCAGAUGAUUCAUUACGUUUAAACGCUCUGUCCGACUAGUCAUAGCCCCCAAGCAUCGGGAGUCGGCCUAGGCACUUCCCAGACAUGCAUAUGAGUGACAUGAGUUCGCCAUUAAUAGAACAAAGUUUCACGAAUCAGAAUUUACUACUCGGGUACUUUUGCAAUUAUUAAGAGCAGAAAAUAAAUUUAUCUCAUCUCUAUGCUUUUGAUUUAUUCCGAAUAAUACUUAGCACCUUGCGUUACUCGGUCCAUCCAACGAGCUCCCGGGUGCUAGGAAUCGGCCCAAAGGCAACCAUCCAUUGGCAAACCAAAUGGAAAGCAUAGGAAGAUAGAACUCCAUAACUCGAUAGGUACUUUUGUACUCAGAUUAUGUCGCAAGCAAUCAAGAUAAAUAUUAUAAAAAAUAUGAUAUAACAUCUGUAGCCCCCGACUCACUACUCAAUGGAAGACCAAUUGAUGUCGUGAGGCAGAGGAAAAGGAAAAAUGUCAUAUAAAGAAUAAAAUAAAUGAUGACUUAGCUUUGUAAUAUUCCCCUUGGUGAUGGCAGAAGUGGCCAAUGAGGGAACAAAGUCGUCCAUCAAUAACAAUGAAGACACCAGUCGGCGGCGACGAAGGCGGUCGACGGUGAAAGCGAAGAUGCCCACUAAUGGCGGCAUAAUAGGCCAGCCGUGUAAGCGGAAACACCAGUCGACGGCAACGAAGGUGAGCCAACGGUGAAGAUGUAGACGUCCAACAACAGUGGCAUAAUAGGCCAGCCGUGCAGGCAGAAACACCAGUCGGCGAAGGCCAGCCGGUCGGUGAAGACGUGGACACCCAUGAACGGUGGUGUGACCAACCGACCGUAUAGGCGGGGACACCAGUCGGCGGCGACGGAGGCAGGCCGGCGGUGUAGAUGACGAUGCCCAUCAACGGUGGUGUGACCAACCGACCGUAUAGGCGAGGACUCCAGUCGGCGGCGACGGAGGCAGGCCGGUGGUGAAGUCGUAGACGCCCAACAGCGGCGGCAUAAUAGGCCAGCCGUGUAGGCGAAGGCACCAAUCGGCGGCGACGGAGGCAGGCCGGCGGUGAAGACGUAGACGCCCAACAACGGUGGUGUGACCAACCAACCAUAUAGGCGAAGACACCAGUCGGCGGCGACGGAGGCAGGCCGGUGGUGAAGUCGUAGAUGCCCAACAGCGGCAGCAUAAUAGGCCAGCCGUGCAGGCGGAAACACCAGUCGGCGGCGGCGAAGGCCAGCCGGUCGGUGAAGACGUGGAUGCCCAUGAACGGUGGUGUGACCAACCAACCGUAUAGGCGAGGACACCAGUCGGCGGCGACGGAGGCAGGCCGGCGGUGAAGUCGUAGACGCCCAAUAGCGGCGGCAUAAUAGGCCAGCCGUGCAGGCGAGGACACCAGUCGGCGGCGAUGAAGGCAGGCCGGCGGUGAAGUCGUAGACGCGCAACAGCGGCGGUAUAAUAGGCCAGCCGUGUAGGCGGAGGCACCAAUCGGCGGCGACGGAGGCAGGCCGGCGGUGAAGUCGUUGUUGUUAUCAGCAAUGGCGGUGGCGAAGACAAGCCGGCAGAGUGGACUCGCGGCCGAUCGACCGGAAAGCUGAGACGCCUCGAGUCCAUGACCAGCAUCAAUCGCCUCAAUAGUGCCGCGUAAUUAUAUGCGAACAACAACAAAAAAUAGCAAGAGAUUAAUCUGGGAUUAAAAAUCAAUACGAUAAAUAAUGAUAAAAAUCAGAUUGAGUUUCCCCCUGACUGAUUUGGAUCAAGUUAGAGAAGAGGAGCUUGAAGAAGUGGUCGACGGAAAGGAAGUGAAAACUCCCAAAGCGAAAACGAAGUCGGCGACUCAUGAAAUUGAUUCCAUCGCGCUUGUUGAUAGGAAACUCGACGCAACCCCUACCUGGCGCGCCAACUGUCGAAACAUGAUUUCGGCAAUAAUAAAAGGGGGUAGCACACGAGACCUAAAAGUGGAUGGAUGCAGAGACAAAGGAUUUAGACAGGUUCAGGCCCUCUCAAUGAGAGGUAAUACCCUACUCCUGUUUGGGGAUUUGAAUCCGCCGGGUGUAGUAUAGAUCUGACGAUCAGGUUGUGUCAUAUGCCCCCUAGAGGGCCUCCUGCCCACCUUAUAUAGGAUGGGGGGCAGGAUUACAAGAUAGAAACCUUAACCAACACGGUAUCGGUUUCCUAAAUCUACUUUACAAUCUUAUCAAGCCAGGACUUUAGGCCGUUCCAUAAUAUACAGGGAAACGUAAUACCCAAGUCAUGAUCUGUUACAUAUUUCAUACAUAUAUGUUAUCCCCUAUUACUAGUCGGAUAACCAUGCCGUGUGGAUAUGGGGUACCCAUAAUCUCCACAAUAGGAAUCAUCAAAUCGUGAAAAAGGUUAAAUCCAAACCAAGUUUGUUUCUGUACAUAUUAAUUCAAAAUUGCUAAACUAUUUUAUAGCAAAAUGCUCACAAGAGACAGCAAAACGAGUAUAAAUCUAUAUUUCUAAUACUAAAUUUUGAAAUUAUGUAAUUUCAAAAAAAACAUAAAGUAAUAGAAGAAAUAUUAGAAUGGGUUAUAUAAGAAAUUACUAAUUAUGUUUUUGGCCACUAUAAUUUAAAUGAAAGUGUUUUGUAUCAACUUCUUUUAAACAAAAUUUACUUAUGAGUUUAACAAUAUAUUUUAUCAUUAUCCAGUGAAAUUUUAAUAUUUUGUCAUUCACAGUAACCCGUGCAAUGCACGGGUUGACCGCUAGUAAUAAGUAAUAAAAGGUGGAAUGGACGACGUUCCUCUCUUCUAUAGUUUUGUUCUUGAAAUUCUAUUUUUUUUAUGUAAUGUUCUUAGUAAUUUCUAUUACGUACGUACGUGGCUUGUUAAAUAUGAUAACUAGGUAUUAGUUUCAUGACCUGUCAAAUAGCAUCCCUUGCCAUCCUUGUAGCAGCACAGUCCAUUCCAGAUCUUACCAAGUUCGCCUUAGACUCCCUAGUCCAUCUGCUUCCUGGACAUUCUGUUCGUUCAUGACAUCAAUAAAAGCCAUACACAAAAAGUUUGUCAUAUGUCGGACUAACGGGGGCCCCGUGUCGCUCCAGGGGCAGGGCCGACACGGUCGGCGGCAACCAGCGCCUUCCUCCUCACCCCCGUCUUCCACCCUCCUCCGCCUCGCUGCCGCCCGAGCGGUCAGCCGAAAACCGCGCAGCUGCAAGGAUGGUGACAAUGGGGCCUUCCUUCUCCCUCGAGGUCGCAGGGUCGAUGCCCACGACCCUGACCAGAUUGGGGCGGCGAUGGUGCGGUGGCUAUUGGUAUUUCUUAACGGCAUUACUAUAAAUAUAUAAUUCCCAGCAAUAGCGCAUAAAUACUUCUGGUAUAUUAGGGUUACAGAUUUCAUCCACAAACGUACGGAUAUCCCAUUAUAGCAUUUCACCCUAGAGUAUUCUAAGGGUAUCAUAUUUUUAUGUUUCAGAUGGACACACAAUUUACAAACAAAAAUUAAGUAUAGCACAUAUGUAGAAGUCCAUGAUCACGCGCAUCAUCUACAGAUUUCCAGGUAGCUUGAGCUGCUAAUUAACUGCUGAGAUCAUCUGCAGAUUUCCAGGUAGAUUUGAAAAUAACAAAAUUCGAAAGUAAUAUAUAUCGUCACACAUCUGAAGCAUAAGUCAUUUCCAUGUUUUAAUAAUUUUGAAUUUUGGAAUUAAUCACUACCUAUAUUGUCCUUGUGUUGGUCUCCUAAUUUGGUACUAUGCUCCUGUUUUUAGAUACGCGAUUUUAAUUAGCACUUUUACAUCAUACAUUAAAUUAGUAUGCUAAAUUAAAAUUUCGAGAAAUCAUAGAUUCACUUAAACAAAUGUAUUUGGAUGAAGCAUGGAGCAGAUUUGUUAGCGAUAUAUGUUUAACUUAUCUGGAAAAAGGAAAUGUCCACUUAAAACUUGUUAUUAAUUUAUAGUGAACUUUCUCAUUAGCAAUAAAAAAAAGAUCAGCAACAUAAUUAAUUCUUUAUUUCAAUUAAAAUAAAAAAAUCAAGAAUAUCAUAUUACAUGAUGUGGGAGUUGACCCUAUAAUUAAAUUCAGGUGUUUACAUAUUCAUCAAUAAAUCCAAAGUUCUGUUUGAAUCUAGGUUAUCCAUCGGUGACCAUCGCAUCUACAAUCGACUGAUGCAUAUAAGAUGAUUCAUCAUUACAUCUACAAUGCACAAAGGUAUCCUGUUAAUUAAUCUUAAAUUAAUUUAUAGUUAGUUUAGAUGAGAAACAUGUAAGAAACAACUGAAUGAAACCCUAAAAAGAUUGAAUCAGAUCUUGCUCACUUGAGUAUUUUAAAUAGCCAUCGUACCUGCAGAGAUCAAUAUCUUGGAUCGAUAAAACACUUCCUCGCCAAUGCAUCCGGUCGACGGAGUUCCUCGGCUGCAGGGUCAAGUAGAUCGACGUAGCCUGCCGUGUUGUGAUCUCGUCGCGUGCAGAGUCGAGUCCGACUGCUGAGACCGAUAUGGGUACAAUUUGUAGACCUUGAAGGAAGCCUGUAUAGAUUGAAUGGUGGCCCAGACACGUGUUGGGCUUUAAUUAAAGGUCCAUAGUUAUAAUAUUUAAUCUACGGUCAUGAUUUUACGAUCUAGUUAAUCAAUGGUCAGAUUAAUCUGAUUGACGUGAGAGCUCUGGAAAAGUGCCCAAUUAGUAUAACGUGAGAGCUCUGGAAAAUGCCCAAUUAGUAUAGAUAUAGAAUAGAUAGAUAGAUUGUCUUCAGAUACAUAGGGACGCAGCAAUCGUGGAUGUGAAAAUUAGAAUCACUCUUUUCGUUCUAAAAUAAGUGGCCUUACUAUAGAGGGGGAUCUUCAGGCUGCAUAGCAAUACACCGUCGGCACGGUCACCAUGCCGACGACCCUAUGGCCACCACAGCCCUGCAGCGGCACCAUUCCGGCCACCGACAUGGGCACCCUCCUUAGCAUGACAUUCCAUUUUUCAAUCUCAUCAUCAAAUCAAAGAACAACGACGUACGGAUAGCUAGCGAAUCAUCAAGAUUUAUAGAGAGGAACAUCGGAGUUCAUCAUUUAUUCACCACACAUAUGCUUCCAAACAAAAGGAAAACACUAAUUAUUUUAGUAACCACACCACAUACAUGCACAGCUAGCUACAGUAGCCUAGCUAGUAGCCAGAUCUCGCCAGCCAGUAGCAGACACCACCUCCGCCGUUGGGGAUGUCCACGUUGCAGAACGCCGGGAGGCUCGCCGCCGCGCGCUCCAAGUCCCCUCUCCGGCAGCCGCGGAACACCUCGGACAUGGGGUGCCCGACAUCGGGGGCGCCGAGCUCCCUGUAGAUGCCUCCCAGCAUGUGGCUGAUCGCCUCGCACCUGCACCAGCUGUCGUCGACGGCGGCGAGCUGCCGGCAGCAGUCUCGCCGGACCUGCUCGGCGGCGGCGGCCGUGCCACGGCCGACGCACUGGCGCUUCACCAACGCCCGGCAACGCGGGAGCGGGUACAUCGGGUAGCCCAUUCCUGGCUGACAGAGCGGGCCCGGGGUGUAGACCACCUGGUCUUGGUGGUGGUACUCCGCCAUGGUCGCCGUCGCCGCGAGCACGGAGACGACGGCGAGAAGCAACACUGAGAACACUACCUUGUUGGAAGCCAUAUUUUUGUUGCAGAAAAUCUUAACUAUCAAUUUGUUUAUGAGAGGGAUAGCUAUCUAUGGGUGGUUUCUAUAUAUAGCUAUAAAGACUAAAGUGAUCUCAAGAACGGACACAAUUUUUUUUGCUGUUCAUAAUUGUGAUUAGCUUGUUUGCAUAGAACAUUUAUUGUGACUCACACCUAAUCGAUUUGGACAUGAUAUGGAUAAAAGUUUGUUAAAGUGGACUGUAUGCACCACAUUUUUUCAACUUGUUUUGAUUCUUCCGUGCAAGAAAAUUAAUGCGUAUACUGUCAACAGACGUCGAGUUACGCAAGGUAACAAAAUCUGUUGAUCUUUAUUUCCAUGGCUUGUAUAGUGAUCCAAUUUGCAAGACAAAGAAAAAGAAGAGCUCAGAACAAAUAUUGUUAGAAAAUAUGCUCUGGCAGUUAAAAAGUGUUCAGCAAUGAAGCUUUAACACACUAGAUUGCACAAAAUUAAGAAACGUGUGAUUUUAGUGUAUGGGUUCUUUUCCGUAUCAAAGCCAAGCGAAUCGAACAUAAUUAUACGAAAGCAAAAAAAAAAAAACUAUUACAACAAAAGAAAAGGUAAUCGAUUAAUACAAGUGAUCGAGUGAGUUUGUCUUCAUGUCCUUUCUCUUGCUUGAAAUUGAGCUCAAUCCUGUGAAAUCAAUGGUUUUGAUUUAUAUAUUUUGUGAUGAACAAAAUGAGACAUUUAAUUUAUAUUGGAUUUGAUAUUUGGUGAUUUAAAUCCUGAAUAUUUUGUGUUUAUUUAUGAUUUAUAGUUUGAGUGUUUGCCUACACACUGUACUGUAGUACAUCAUCCUUUUUACAACGAAGUAUUAAUUUAGUUAUAAUUUAAUUAUAUUUAAUUAUUUGAGCAGGGUAGAAACUAACCAAGCUUGCAGAAUUAAUGUAAGGCAUGUAGGAAAGCUCUUAUAUAUCUAAUAAAUAUCACUUAAAAACUAUCUUUCUAUAAUAGUUGACACAACAAAGCCUCUUAAUUAUUACUGCACCGAAAUAAUUUUUUUUAUCACUCUUGUUUUCUUUUCUUCACUCCAUACAUCAAAAUUUCCUUUGAUAAAUGCUAAAAGUUGACUCUCACUGUUGUCAUAUGUAGCAACAAUUAUCUUUUCUCCACUGUCUCUCUUCCAUUUCACCAAUAGUACUCUCCAAAUGAAAAGCUAUCAUAUAUCAAAUCAACUAAUUGAAGGCUGUUGAAGCCCAUGAAAUGCGGUGAACCACAUCCAUUUAUGUACAUCCAUACACAAAGACUGAUCCUCACCAGUUCAUCUCACAUUGAACUAAUUCAGUUUCUGCAGUGAUGACUUCUGUUCAUGCAGAAAGAUAACCUCUAGCUAGUAAAUCAGUGUGCGGUAGGGUUAGGAUGCAUCAGGAAAGAAGCCCCUAUCCAAGUCCAAUUAUCUGUUCAGGGAGCAGACUAGUCCUUGUGUGCUACAAUAAAAUUCGGUUGUUUCUUGAACAAGCAAUUUGUAAACAAUGUCUAAAGGUGUAACCAAUGGAAAACAUUUCUGAAUCUACUUCCGAAUUCAGCGCAUAUACACAAACACUAUAUACUUUUAAUUAAGAAGAUAAUGAAGUGAGGAUGAACGGUUCUUCUCCUCCUUCAUAUUUUCUCCACAAAGUAUGGUGAGUAUUUUCUACCGUCGAAGUGAGCUAUUAAUGUUCCUAUCAAAAUAGGAGCCCCUUAAUAUAACAUCUAAAUAAUAAUUUAUAUAGAUAUAUAAGGUGUUACUGCUUAGCACUUGAAUUACGUCAAAAACAAUAUUUACGUAAUAGGCUUUAUAAUAUUACCUUAAAAUUUAUCCAUUGCCCUCUUCUAUGAUUCUAUCAAAUCAUCCACUGUUUUCCCUCUCCUUUUCCUUUUUUUGCCAACCGAUACAAACUUUCUCAAUGACAUGAUAUUAAGGGCAGGUUAAAUUACUAAUGAAAAGAGUAAUGCUUUUAAUUAGUGGUUGAACUCAUAUAAAUUACAAAGGCUGCAAAACUACAAAUAUUGGUGUAAAUCUUACCAUUCAACAAUUAGUUGAUCAUGGAUGCAUAUGGCAAGUGAGUCGGCAAAAUGGGCUUGAUGCAGCUUCGUCCAAUGAUCCAAGCUCAAUCUCUAAGCUCUGAGAAGAGGAUCGGAGAAAGAAACCUAACAAAGUAAGCUAAAAGGUCCUCGCUUGUCACUACUCACUAACAACAUAUGGCAAAUUGGAUUGAGCUGUGGCAAGGAUGAAGAAAGAUCGGACGACGAACGUGAUGUGCUGGUGCUGCUUCUCACAUUCUCUUUUACACGUAGAUGCAACCAGAUGAUCGUCAGCGUCAAUCAAUGUUUCACUUGCAGAUUUAAUUGCAGCCGUGCAUGGUGACUGGCGGCAAGAGGCGUGGAUGCAUAGCCAUUGGAAUGGAGCGGUUGGCUGGCUAGCUAGCUAGAGCGACCUAGCAAAGCAUCGAGAUGUAUCCCCCCCCACCCCCGGGCACCAUGCCACGGUUAAUAUAUAGACGGAAAAAAAAAGUCAGAUAGCAAAUUAGUGGAUGGGUUCUGAAUAUAGAUAGCAAUAUGGCCUGAGGCCCGGCCCAAGGCAUGCCAAUUUGGCCCAGCUCAAGCACGGCACGGCCCAACUGGGGUCGUGCUUGGGCCGCUCCCCUCGGCAUGGUGGGCCGGCCUGACACGGCACGAUCGAAAAAAAAAUAGUAGAGAAAUAUAAAAUAGACUUAAUUAACAAUAUAAGACAAUGCCCAAAGACAAGAGGAAUACAAAAUAGACUUCUUUCCAGCCAUAUGGAUACGGCCCACAGAGUUUAGGGAGGAAAAAUACACUUAUUUUGUGGAGAAGAACGAUGGGUUGUUGUGCCUUUAGGCUGGCCCAGCACAGUCUGAGUCUUACUGGCCACGCCUGGGCCAUGUGUGCAGCCCGGGUGGCCUAUUUGGCCAUAUAUAGUUCUAAAGACUAUAUAUGGAAGGUAGUGAACUGCAUCCAUUUAUCCAUCCAUUAUCAUAUGUCCACAGACACAAUAUGUAUAAGGACUUACCAUUUGUCUUAUAUGCAUGCUCAGUAGCUAAAUUUAAUUUCUUCAAUGAUGAAAUCUUAUUAAGUUGAUUAUUCAAAAAUAUGUUGCAAACAUAUAUAUCACUAACAUGAACUUGUUAGGGGUAGGAUGCAUCGGGAAUGAAGCUUCCAUUACAGUGUUUGGCCAUCGAGCAAGCUUGGUGUUGUUCUCUACUGCGUGACAUAUGUGUGGAUCGAGGAGAGGUGCUUGUCCACACCUGUCUGGAGGACAGUUGGUGAAGUUCAUUGCAGGAAUACACACCGACAUCGAAAUUAACCAUACUACUAGACUCCCUCCAUACUCGUAAAGAAAGUCGUUUAGGACAGCGACACGGUCUCCAAAACACAACUUUGACUUCUUAUUUCUAUAAAAAUAUUUAUUGAAAAGUGAUAUAUAUAUAUACUUUUAUGAAAGUAUUUUUCAAGACAAAUCUAAAUAUAUAAUUUUUACAUUUUCAAACUCAACAUCUUGAGAGUUAUUCAUGAUUUAUAUUCCCAAGGUUUGACUUAAACAUUGUUCUAAACGAUUUUCUUCAUGAGUAUGGAGUAGUACUAACUAGUAACUAGAUUGACUGGAAUUCUACUGGAACUUGGUAGUAAUAAUUAAGAACAUUCAAGACACGUUUUAAUUAGUAGAUCAAUCUUGAGGUGAUUAUCAUAUUUAAGUUUUUAACUAAUCCAAAUCUUUAGUGGAGCUUAAAUGUAUACAUUGAGGGAGGUACAUGAUUAUUUCUUUUGAAGAGGAUGUGCUCAAUAGAGUAUAAAGAUCAUCCUCAAAUUGGUGCAGCAUUUUUGUGAUUGUUGUCAGCGCACAGUGUCUCUCCCACCCCCACCCCCCUCCAAAUAAAAGAACUCCCUCCAAAACCAUUCAAUACCUUGAUGUUUUUAUUGAACAAAAGAAUUAAAAAACCUAAUAUUUGUUCCGUAAAAGUUGCUUGAUACAAUUUGUAUGAAAAUAAUAACAAGGGAACAGAUCUUCACGCUGAUUGUCAGCCUUUUCUAUUAGUUUCUUAGAAGAGGGCUUUCCCUAUAAAGAGAAUGUAGCUAGGGAUGAAAACGGAUCGGAAACGGACGGAAACUAGCUUUAUCAUAUUCGUUUUCAUAUUUUUUUUCGGAAUCGGAAUCAGAAUCAAAAACUCAGAUACGGAAAUGAAAUCGAAUAUUAUCGAAUACAGAUACGGGGCGAAUACGAGACAGAAUGAAUACGGCAGCGAAUAUUUACCGGUAUAUAAAAAGCCCCUCAAAUUGAGUUUCUUGAUCAAGAAAGAGAUAUCACUUAUUAUUUUUGUUUAACAUCUCUAACAUUUAUAUCGUCAAUUUUGUAGAUGGUCUCACAACCGUAUGUGAAAAAUCAAUUUUAAUGGUUGUUCCUCCAUAUGCAAAUAUGAUUAUCAUUUUCAAUUCUCAAGACCUUUUACUAGAUGUAUAACUUACUUGCCAUUGUAUAAAUUGGAGAUGCUAUUUAUUUUACUUUACAUCUUUGAAACUUGCAAUAUUUGUUUUAUGCUUUAAAUGCUUUCAAAUACAAAUGUUAUAAACUACAAAGUGGUAGAUCCCGUCGAGUUCUACAACUUUGAUAUAGAACACAUCUCCAUCAGAUGUCGUUUGAAUUGUAAAUCUGAGAUUUGUAAAAAUUAAUAUGGUAUAUUAUAAUAAAUAUUUAAACCCUUAAAUGAUCUCAAAUAAUAAAAUAGUCAAUAAGAAAGUUGUAGAUCUCAUCGAGCUCUACAAUAUUGAUAUAAAGUUUGUCUUUAUCUAAUUCCGUAUGAAAAAGUUAUGUAUAUAUACAUGUUUUUUCUAAAAUUUUAUCAAUGUCUGCAGAUAUCCGAAAAAAAUUCCGGAUAGUUUCCGACCGUUUUCUGAUUCCGACGGAUAGUACCCUUACUGUAUUCGUUUUCGUUUCCGAGAAAAAAAAAUCCGAAUUUGUUUCCAAAUUCGAGAAUUUCCGGAUAGUUCUGAUCGAAACUAUCCGAAUCCGAAAAAUGGUCCGGACGGACGGAAACUAUCCGAACCAGUUUCAUCCCUAAAUGUAGCAAUAUACCCUAAUAAUAUAAAGGGUGCAAAAAGAUUGCGUGUGCGGAUGAUGAAGGGUUGCCACCAAACCAAAACACAUGGGAGGAACUACUCCUAAAGGAGCAACUAAAUUCUCAUAUACUGAAGUGCACAUUAAGGGCAGUCAAGGACCUUAAGUGUUUCGAAACCGCGUCCUCUUUUCAGAACACAUAGAUACGGGUACCAUACAACAAGUGGAGUUGGUUUGAGUUCUUGUAGGGUUAGGAGUACUGGGAACCAAGCUUAUGCGCCUCAGUCAUAGACAUGGCCUUUGGUUAUCUAGAUCUCAUGCUGACCCAGGUUCCAUCCAUAUUGAUAGUGCACCAUGGUCAAGAUUGACAAACUGGCAAUGCCAUCGGGUAGUAGCUAAUGAGGGUGCUGGCACCAAUACCCCCUGGAGCUUGGGUGUCAACCAGACAAUAGCUAGAUCUUCCAACCUGCCAGAGCUCCACGACGUCUAGUGCGCCUUCUCAAAGAGAUGGAAGCUAGCAAGCAUGCCUUAACUGCACAAAAAAACUCAGGUGCCUGCAUCUUUGUGCCAUUAGGGCCAUAUCUUGGCCGUACAUGCAAAUCUGGGUGUUUAGCUAGUGUUGCUUGGCAUUUCUUUAAGAUUUGUCUUUCUAUCUUGUUUAGAAUGUGUAGAAUAGUACAUAUAUGGAGAGAGAUUACGGAGAAUAUUGGAGAGAAGAAUUAGAGAUAAGGAAGAGUACGAUAGAAAUUAAUCAUAUCCUGAUGCAUGCAAUUCUUCUCUCAUACACGCUAACGGAAUGUAUGGAUGGUGCUUGGUUUCAUUUGUAGCACUGUGAAAAUUUAUCAAGAUUAGUUUAGGUGCAAAGAUGGAUUCGAAUGAGCUCUGUAUGCAAGUCAGAUACUGAUAUGGUGCUGGGUUAUGGUGUGCCAAUGGCAAAACAUCCCGGGGGCACAGCCUGUAGAUGACAACGCAGCUUGGUGGGCUGAUCUCAAUCAACUACACCCCAAACCUUUCAAAUUCAGGGUUAAAGGAUCUCUUCUCGCCACUUGGUGGAACGUUUGGUUGGAAAGAAACAGAAGAAUUUUUUAAAACAUCUCUUACACAGAGGAUCGCGUUGCGAGAAUAGUAAAGUCCAACCCCCCUAAUUGUCUUUUCUUUUUCGGAUUCCCUUUGUUUUUUCAGGUUUCUCCCUUCUUCUCCUUCGAUGUCUUCCCAUGUAUUCUCUGAACUGUUUUUCUCUCCUCUAAUAAAAUUCCGGCAGAGCUCCUGCCGUAACCUCAAAAAAAUAUAUGGUGCUGGGUUAAAAGGCUUAAUGACAUGGCUGGGGAAAAAAGAGUAGGUCAUUAUUUUGAAGAACUUGUGCAUGUUAGAGUAUAUUGUAUUGGUUGUAUUGACCUUUUAAACAGGUAUCAGAUAUAUCAGUUCACAGACAAUACAUAUGUGAAGCUUGCAAAUAAUCCUUGCCCAGCACUAGUCAAUGAUGAAUUGCAAAAUAGUGCCCUGAUUGUGCUAGCUAGCUAGCAUAUAUAGAAAUAAAAACAUUUACUAUACCACAUUUAAUAGUCUAGAAAUAAAAAUAAAAGCUACCAUAUAUAGAAAAUUAAUUGACGCUAGGGCCUAGGGACCAGAACUCCAGAAGCGCAAGAAAUGCAGUGAACAACAUCCAUUUUCUGUAUGUGCGCACAUAAGGCCUUCCUUACCUCAAUUCAGUUUCUGCAGUGAUGAUUUAUGUUCAGGCAGAAUCCUCUUGCACCAAAAACCAGGGCGUGUUAGGUCUAGGAUGCAUCCGGAAGAAAGACCCUAUCCUAGUACUUGUUUGGGAAGCAAACUGAUCCUUCUGUGCUGUGUUAAGAGAUGGUGUUAGCCCUCACACAAGCCAUUUGCCAACAAUUUGUGCCUACAGGACAAGGAUGGGCGCAUUGGGCUAGUGGAUCAGCUCAUAGAGGCGUGGAUUAUAUAUGGUGGAAAUAUUACUUGCUGUUUAGUGAAUGCAUUAUAUACAUUUCAUUCGAAGAAGAAAAGAUCACGACUGUGAACCAUCCUUUUCCUAUUCAGUUUUUCUCCAAAAAGAUACGAUGAGUAAUGUAUCCUCGAAGUGAGUAAUGUUUUAACGAAAAUGUUGUUCGUCACCACAUCAUAUUAUUGUCAUUAAUUUGAAAAUACAUACACAUAUAUUCACAGUACGCCACUACACUGGUCAAGGUCACCUGUGACGGGCCCAAACCCUCACCUUUGAUGGUUUUGGGCUUGGUCAGUGAUCAGUGGUCACUGGUAAGUCCAGUCACCUUUGACGGGUGGCCGGCCGUCAGUGGUGACAUCCACCUCUGACGGGCAAGUUAAUAGAAGGCCGUCAGAGGUGUUGGUCUAAGCUAGACUAGGGCUUGUUAGGACCCGUCACAGGUGUCUCAUCUCUGACGAGCCCCUAAAUAAAGGCCCGUCAGAGGUGAUGAUCUCCGGUAUAUAGUAGCCGUCACAGGGUGACCCACCUGUGACGGGCCCGAAAGUAAAAGCCCGUCACAGGUGGGUCACCUGUGACGGUCCGACGUUUGCGAGUCCGUCACAGGUGAGGUUACCUAUGACGGAUGUUUCUUCCGAACCGUCACUGAUGAGUUAAUUCCAGAAAAAAAAUAAAUGCUAAAUAUUGGCUAGCCUCAGGAAUUGCUAGCCAUGCCCUCUGAAAAACAGAAACAUCACAGGUACCAGUCACCCCCCCUCCAUAUCACAUAUUCCCCAACUGCCCAACAUCACAGAUGCAUCACAUAUCACAGAUCCAUCACAAAGCAACAAUUUACAACAUCACAUAUGCAACAAUUUAAUUUAUUAUAGCACACAAUUCAUACCCCAUGAAAGUCCUCAAAUGAUUACCAAAAUUUCUUGUAUUCUGUUCGUUGUGAACCUCCACAACCUGUCAAUAAGGGAAAAAAAAGGAGAAAACAUAUGAAUAGUACAACAUAAAUGAUAGUUGAUCAAAUGUGAUGACAAUUUAGUAAAGUACCAUAAAUAUUGCACAUAUGAAAGUAAAUUACAUUGCACUCUAUAAAAACAUAAUUUUUUACAUCGCCAGAAAUUAUAAAAACAUCUUUUUUACAUCACAAUAAAUUAUCUAGCCAAGUUCAUGAGUCUAUUUGGCAUGAAAACGUCCUUUCUUGUUCAUUAUUUCUGCAAGAAUAAAGGCGCACACUUCGCCUCUGAUAGCGGGGGGGUUGAUGGGUGAGAUCUUGAAGCCAGCUCUACCUUUCUGUUUAAUAAAUAAGAGGUUAAUUAGCACGUUUUGAAUAGUAAUGUAGAUAUUGAAAUGAGCUUAUUCGCCAUUAGCAACAACCUCAGGGUCGAAAUCUUUCACCUCUCUUAGAAGUGUUGACAUGUUGUGGCACACGUGGAAACCACAUUGGUCUCCGAUCUGUUGUGCGCAUGCAAACUUGGUGUCAUGAUAAAGUUCGUUCUUGCCCUCCUUGUGCCUACCACCCUUUUCCACAUAUGGGCCCCAAGCCAUAUUUAAGGCCUUGGUGAUUUCACUGAAAUCAUAAUCUUUGGACUUAUUGGAGUUAAGGUAGGUAACCCUACUCCACUUAGGUACGAUGACUAGGAGAAUCCAAUGUCGCCUGUGCAGUGGUUAUGUAGCAUUAGUACUAAGAACCUUAACUUCAAAAACAAUAUACACGAAGGGUAUUGUCCUCUUACUCUUGGUUGUGUGCGCACAUGAUGUACUCCUUGUCUUGAUGGGCCCAUAAACACCGGUUGACAUAGUCAACCACCUCAGUGAAGCUCUGUCGUAAAUUAACCUCAUUCACCAUGGAUGGAUCAAGGAACCCAACCUGAUUACCAUGGCGACGACUCUCGAUCCAACACAACCUUAAAAUAUUUACGUAUUAGAACUAAUUUAAUUAGGAGAUAUAGUCCAGUCAUAUCACAAGUAUAGAAGGUAUGCACUUACAAGGAGUAGCAUUUUAGAAGACCAGUGUCCAACUUCCGGAUCCUGAAAAGGUCGAAGAGGUCAUCAAAGCCUAUAGUUAUAUAGGCAGGCGACGAUAGGAACGGCUGGUGGUCGUGAUGUCCAACUAUGGAUGACUCCCUCAUUUUCCGCUUGGCAUUGCUUAGUUCCAUGUAUUGCUUAUGUAGCUCUCGGCAAGCAAUACCCAUCACAGCUAACAUGUACAUUGUCCUCCACCAAUGGCAUGCCUAGCUCAAAUUGGGCUGGCGCCCUCACGACCUUCCCCGAUUUGCUCACCGGCAUCGACGUCGCAGCCUUGCCCCGUUUUGGCUCCGGCGCCAACUCCCCGACCUUCCCCUUGCCGCGUUCACGCUUCUGGCCCUUGACAAGUGGUGGGGAGCUAUCGGCCUUUCUUGUGGUCUUUAUUGGAGCCAAGCUUUGAGCUAUAUCUGCCAAGUCCAUAUCAGCUCCACCGGGAGAAUGAGGUACUGACAAUGCCGGUCCACGGGGAGCCUCAAUUGAUAGCUUAGAUUUGGGAGGUGUAAGCUCCGUCGGUCGACUUGGACGAGGAGUCAUCUUCACAACUAUGUCUUCUUUGGGCCAUUGUAUGAACGUCUUGCGCGCAUCGCCCAAAGUCAUGAUUUCAUCAUUUGGGGGCACGGGCAGCGGAUAGCCUGACCAGGUGUCCUUUACUGUAUCGAUGGACACCUUGGCAUACUCAGCUAGCAGGUCUGCGCCGUGGACCUUGUCUGUAACCGAGGGCUUGAAAGCCAUGCCCUCAGCGACUUCAGGAGCGAAAGUUGGGUGGACUCUCGCUAGUAGGACACACUGUGCUGCGCCCUGCAUAAGGUGAAAGUUUGAAUUUAAUAUUGGAAUGUGUAAAUGUCUUUUAUUAGAUAUGGAUCGGAUAACAACAAUUACCUCGAUGUGGUCCACUGCAGCUAGUGGUGCGAUCGGGAGACCAGGGGCCGGCACCUCUGUGGAUGCACAACUACUCCUAUGCUGUGACGGACUCGCGUCGUGUUGUACACUCCUAUUCAUGUCGGCGAGGACCUUGUUAACCCUUUCUUCCACCCUUGCAUUCAUGCUAGCUUCUAGUUCUUGAAUGACCUCAACCUUAAGUUCGGCCUUCAAACGAGCGUCCCUCUCUUCCUUGGAGACUUUCCAUUUCCUGUAUUGGGAGCUGUACUGAGGGAGUCCAUGCUUCCAGGGCACAUCGCUACCAAUUCCCCGAGUUCGGCCAGGAUGUUCUUUGGUUCCGAGCGCCUUUGUGAGGAUGUCAUCUUCGCGCCUCUUCGGCGCGGACUCAACCUCGCUUUGUGAAGCUUGUUCAGCAACCAAGCCCAACUAGAAAAGAAGAUAGUCGUUUAUACGAACUUGUACUUUAUACGAACGGAAAUUAGUUAGGUUAAGUAGUGAACUCACCAGUUCCUGAUAGACGACGGCAUCACUUUUGUUCUCAAAUGUGACAGAGCCGUCCGGGUUGACCUUACCCCUUGCCCGCGCCCAGUUGCGAGCUAUUUGUUCAGGGAUGUCUGAAAACAGGGCAGGGACAUUCGCUGCUGUAGCGGCUGCAUCUUCUUGGGCCCAUAUUGCCUCCUUGCCGAUGUACCCUGCGGUGCCCAGCCGAUGCGGGUGCUCAUUCCGCUGUUGCAGUACGCGAUGUGCCUCGCUUGAUUCCCUAAACUCUUGGGUGGUCUUGAGAGAGCAGAAUUCCUCCCACACCGCUUCGGUUAUUUGAGGGUAUUCAUCGAACGACGUAUGAUUGCCGGGCGGGUUGACAAACUCGGUGAAGAGCUUCGACUUCCAAUUCUUCCAAGCUUUGCCCAUCUUUUGGAAUGCCUUCCGCUUGAGCCUAUCCUUUGCUUCGGCUGGAAAUGUGAACCAUUUCUCCAUUGCCGUCCAAGCUCGCUCUUUCUCGGCUUCUGUGACCUUCCUGAUAUCUUUAUGGAGGAUCCCGAAGUUCUCACGUGCCGCUAGCCCGCAGCAGUUAGACCAUCUUCCAAUGACAGUCCUGGGCGCCGUGGGCCUACCACUAGCGUCAACCUCUCUUAUAACUUGCACUGUGGUCGGCCAUAUAUUUUGUGACCGCGGAUUUCUACUAGACCUACUUGCACUUGUCCCUCCCGACAUCGACGUAUGUUGUUCCUGCUGCAAUUCUGCAGCACAAACAGAAGGCAAUAUUUGCUAAGGGGUGCUAGCUAAAAUUUAUGUGGUCAUGUGGUGAAAAUUUAUCCUAUAAAUUACCAUGAAUUUCGGGUUGUUGGUUUGCCGUUGUCGCGGGAUGACCUUCGGCAACUGCCUCUGUGGCUGGGUUUGCUUCUUCCUGGAUCCUCGCAGGUGUUGGGGAGGGCGGGUUUGCGCCGGGCGUUGACAUGGUUUAACUUUCGCGAAAAAGAUUAUAAAUUUCCUACCAUUAGACUAAAUAGCAUUAGAUCCAAUGUAAUACGGGGUAUACUAUGAAAGAUAUGGCCUCAGUUUUGCUGAGAAAUAUGCAUCAAUUACAAUCAUUUGCAUGAAGGGAUAAAAAGAGGAAAUCAUAACAUCAAAAGAGCAAGUGCAGAAAAUCUGUUCUUAUGCAUAAAAAAAGAACAAGUGUAGAGGUAUAUAACCACUGAAUCAAUCAUGCAAAUUUAAAAAACAGCAGCAGCAAGGGUACAGAAUUUGCAUGAUUGACAUAAAACAGCAGUAGGAGGAGUAUAUAUGCCACAGGGGUAGCAACAGCAGGGGCAAAUUAACUAAAACAACAUGUCUAGAUAUACUCCUCUUAUCAAUCCAGAAGAAAAGAGCAAGUGCAGAAAAUCUGUUCUUAUGCAUAAAAAAAGAGCAAGUGCACAAAAUCUGUUCUUAUGCAUAAAAAAAGAACAAGUGUAGAGGUAUAUAACCACUCUACACUGGCCAUUUAAUAAGGAACAAGUGAACAAGUGUAGGGGAAAAAAAUGAACAAGUGUAGAUAAUCUGUUCUUAUUGAGCAAUUCAUCACUAGCCAUUUAAUAAGGAACACAUUGGGCAGCAGCAGCAAGGGUAUAUAAAUCAUCAAAGAAUGACAGAAAACAAAAUGCAUGGAGAACUUUGGUGUCUAGGUCGGUUCCGUCCAUGGACUACACUGACCUAUCCUUUUUCAGCUAAAUGUAAACAUGAUCCACAAAAUUCAAUAGGUCUAGCAACAUAUAUAGCAGUACACACUCCAUGAAUGGUUAUAUGUCCAAAUGGCACUUAAAUCCACAUUCAAGUUGCACUUAACUAACAGUUGCAACCAUAGGCAGCAGCAUGGGCAAACAUAGACAGCAAGGGCAAACAUAGACAGCAGCAAAAUCAUGUAUAUAAAAUCUAGCCCCUACAUUCAUCCAAAACAUCCACAGACAACAAAUCACAUUUAAUUCAUCUAUACAGCAGCACCAAUAAUCGAAACAACAAAUCACAUUUCAUUCAUCUAAACAAUGCAAUUCAUCCAUCGAAAAAAAGGAGGAAUGGGGGAGGGUGGCGGCAUACUUGGAAAAGCGGCGUACCUGGAGACGGCGGCGCAGGCCGUAGUCAUCCUGGAUCCUGGUGGCGGCGGCGGAGAGGCAGUGGCGAAGAGGUCGAGGCGGUCGGUGGUGGUCGGGGAUCCCGGCGUCGGGGAGGUCGGGGUCGGGGAGGUCGGGGAAGUCGAUGGACGGACGGCGGAGAGGACGACCGGCGGCGAGGGCGGCGGUGGAGGCGGUGGCGGAGAGGGCGGAGAUGGCGGCAGAGAGGGCAGCGGAGAUGGCGGCGGAGAGGGAGGAGGAGAGGUUGAGGCAGCGACGGUGGAGAUGGCGGUGGAGAGGACGGCGGUGAUGGCGGCAGAGAGGGCAGCGGAGAUGGCGGCGGAGAGGGCAGAGGAGAGGUUGAGGCGGCGACGGUGGAGAUGGCGGUGGAGAGGACGGCGGCGGUCGAGAGAGUGAGUGAGGAGGCGGCGGUGGAGAGGGAGGCGGCGAGGGCGGCGGAGAGGGCGGAGAUGGCGGCAGAGAGGGCGGCGGCGAGGAGGGCGGUGGAGAGGGCGGUGGCAAUGAGGGUGGUGGAGAGGUCGAGGCGGCGGCGAGGAGGGUCUGGAUUGAGAGAGAGAGAGGCGAGGCGGCGGUCGAGAGAGUGAGUGAGUGAGAGUGGGUGCCGGAUCUGGAUCGAUCUAGAAGAUGUCCAACACUAGGUCAACCCUAGUCAAACUCACCUGUGACGGGCGCCAACUAUGUGGCCGUCACAGGUGGCCUCACCUGUCACGGGCGCCAACCGUGGAGCCGUCACAGGUAAGACCACCUGUGACGGGCCCAACACUCUGGGCCGUCACAGGUGAUGUCACCUGUGACGGCCCUACAGAUAGAGCCCGUCACAGGUGAGUUUGCCUAGAGCAAUUUUAUUUUAUUUUAUUUCACUUAGUUCUUUUAUUUUCCUUAACAUAUUUUCACAUACACUACAUAUUUUUUUAUACUUAAUUAUUUUAUUUCACUAUCAGUAGUAAUUGCACUUCAUUAUUAUACUACUUUAAUUAUUUUAUUUCCAAUGCUUAUACUUGCUUAAUUAUUUUAUUUCACUUCUAGUGGGUGCUUCACUUAAUUAUUUUAUUUGACUAUUUCAUAAGCAAUAUACUAUUGAUCAUUGCGAACAUAUUAGAGUCAUACAGAUAACAGACAUGUAGACAUAAACUACGUACAUAAAUUACAAAAAUAAUCCUUCCUCAUGGUCGACACGUGCAUAUUGAACUUCAUCUUCUUCUUCCUCCUCUUCUAGAGGUAUUUCUUGACCUAUGCCGUGGACGUGCUGGUUGUAAUCAUCCUCGUCUGCAAUGUUGUCCAAUCCAACAAUUCUCCUUUUCCCUUCACGAACAACAUGUAGUUUCUUGUUACACGGGUCAACUAUGUAGAACACUUGAACAACUUGUUUGGCGAGAACGAACGGUUCAUCCUUGUACGCGUUGUUAGCCAAGUUGACAGUGGUGAAACCUUCAUUGUCAACUUUUACAUUGCGAAGAUCGACCCAUCGACAACGAAACAACGGGACUUUGAACUUCAAGUAAUCUAGCUCCAAUAUUUGCUCAACUUUACCAUAGUAUUGAUCACGACGACCACCGUCACUAGCAGCCUCGAUGCGUAACCCACUGUUCUGCACUGUGCAUUUGCUGUCUUGCUUUACCGUGUGAAAGGUGUAUCCAUUUAUGUCAUAUCCUUGCCAGGUGGUGGCACUCCAUUCAGGACCCUGUGACAACCACUGAAGUGUUUCACUAGACAAGUUCUGCAACCUGGCAAUUCGGUUCUUCAGCCACUCGUUGAAAGAAGACAUGUGCUUAUUCCUGACCCAACUCUUUGAUCGGCCUGGGUUCUCUUGUCGGAUAACUGCAAGGUGUUCGUCAACGUACGGCACCACCUCAGUCAUAUGCUGUAGUACCGUGAAAUGAGCUUUAUCGUACACCUUCCGAUCCAACCUAAUAGUCUUUCUUCCAACAGUACCAACACCGUCAAGCCUCCCUUCGUGAUGAGAUCGUGGUAAUCCAAUUGAAGAUGUUUCUGACAUGUAGUCCACACAAAAUUCGAUGGCCUCUUCGGUGGUGUAACUCUCGAUGAUACUCCCCUCGGGGUGUGAACGGUUCCAUACAUAACCCUUAAGGAUCCCCAGGUACCUUUCGCAAGGAUACAUCUGCGUCAUGAAUGCUGGACCACAGCACUUUGUUUGCCUCACAAGGUGCACCGGAAGAUGUUCCAUUAUGUCAAAGAAAGUUGGAGGAAAGUACAUCUCAAGAUGACAUAGGGUUCUCACAAGUUCUGCCUGUAGUUCAUCUAGUCCCUCGGGAUCAAUGAUCUUCUGGCCGAUUGCAUGGAAGAAGGAACACAACCGCUGGAUCGUGUGUCGCACCUUAGGAGGCAAAAUAUUCCUUAUUGCAACGGGCAACAGCUGUGUGAUAAGAACGUGGCAAUCAUGCGACUUCAUUCCAACCAACUUAAGAUCUUGCAGUGGAACGAGCCUACUGAUUCUUGAUGAGUAACCAGAUGGAACCUUUAUACCACUCAAACAUGUUAGCAAAUCAAUCUUCUCUUCUUUCGAGAGAGUGUAGCAGGCUGGAGGAAGGUAAACCCUGCCGAAUUCCGUGGUUAUGGGAUGUAGCUCCGACCGAACACCCAUAUCUUCCAGAUCUCGUCGGGCGUUGAGACCAUCCUUUGUAGUACCUGGGUUAAGCAGUAAUCCCAUUAAACUCUCGCAUACAUUCUUCUCGACAUGCAUCAAAUCUAUGCAGUGGCGAACUUCAAGAUCCUUCCAGUAUGGUAGUCUCCAAAAUAUUGACUUCUUUUUCCACAUGCUCCUCUCUUUUGUCUUUUGUUUUUCCACAUGCUCAUCUGUUUUUUCCUUCGAUGUGCUCUUCUCUUUUCGCUUUCCAACUUUCCUCUUUUUUCCAAACUCGUUGGUUAUUCCCAUCACUAAGUUGUGCACCUCUGUCCCUGUUAGCUCUGUCGGGGGUCCGGCUGUAUCUCUGUGUCCAUUGAAAUUCUUUCUCAUAUUCCUAUACGGGUGAUACCUUGGGAGAAAUCUCCUGUGACCCAUGUAGACCAUCUUGUGUGAAUGCUUCAACCAUUUGCUUCUUGUUUCCUCCAUACACUCCGAACACGCCCAUUUCCCUUUCACAGUUUGGCCAGAAAGGUUGCCAAGGGCCGGAUAAUCGUUGAUGGUACAAAACAGCAUCGCAUGGAGGUUGAAAUACUCUUGUGCAUAUGCGUCCCAUGUUCGUGUGCCCUCAUUCCAUAGCCUUUCGAAGUCAUCGAUUAUCGGUUCAAGGAACACAUCGAUAUCGUUGCCAGGUUGUCUCGGUCCUUGAAUGAGCAUGACAAGCAUAAUGUACUUUCUUUUGAAACACAACCAGGGAGGAAGGUUAUAGUUAACAAGCAGAACUGGCCAUGUACUGUGACGACUGCUCAAAUCACCAAAAAGAUUAAUGCCGUCCGUACACAUUGCGAAACGCAUGUUUCUUGGGUCAUUUGAGAAUUCCUGGUAAAUCCUAUCGAUUGUCCUCCACUGUACUGAAUCUGCUGGGUGCCUCAGCAUAGUAUCGACUUUCCGUUCUUCGGCAUGCCAGCGCACAAGCUUAGCUUGUUCCUUGUUCGCAAACAUUCUCUUCAUGCGCUCCGCAAUUGGGAGAUACCACACCACCUUUGCUGGGCCUCCCCUCUUUGACUUACUUCCUUCACCUUCACUCUUUGCUCGUUUGUACCUUGAUGCCCCACAGAUAGGGCAGACAUCCAAGUCAGCGUAUUCCUUGUAAUACAAAAUGCAGUCGUUCGGACAUGCAUGAAUUCUUCUGACCUCCAGGCCCAACGGACAUAAUACUUGCUUCGCUUCAUAUGUCGUCUGAGGUAAAUUGUUCCCCUCUGGCAACAGAUCCUUUAACAGCUCAAGGAGUUCUGUAAAACUCUUGUCCGACCAGCCAUUACUAGCCUUAAGCUUCAUGAGUUCCAACACGCAUGACAACUUGCUGUGCUUCGACUUGCAUCCAUCAUACAACGGCAUCUGGCAAUCUUCCACCAACUGCCAACUGCCCGUCACUGGUAUCCGCUUACCUGUGACGGGCCAGAAAUGAAAGCCGUCACAGGUGGCGGCCCAUCACCUCUGACGGCUUCUAAUGUAUCGGCCCGUCACAGGUGAGGGGAUACCAGUGACGGGUUGGAAGCAAAACUCGUCACUGGUAUACCUCUGACGGGUUUUCCUUUCGGCCCGUCACAGGUGAGGGGAUACCUGUGACGGUCCGCGGCCGGAUGGCUCACCGGUGACGUUAUCCCGUCUGACCCGUCAGAGGUAAUGGUCACUAGUGACCAAAUCGUUUGCCCGUCACAGGUAUCCCGUCAGAGGUGUGAGGAUCUGGCGUAGUGUGCAACACUGUAUACACAUAUAUUUGACUCUGAUAACAUAGAGAGUAACAUCAUGGUUGAUUGAUUGACAGGAAAUGAAUGAAGUAAAAGCUAUAGCAAAUUAAAGGUAGCGAACAACAUCCAUUCUGUCCAUCCAUGAUCCACUUGUCCAUGGCCAUCAUAUUUGUAGUCUUACCGGUUUGAUCAUAUUCAGUGCCUAAAUUUAAUUUCUUGGUGAUGAAAUCUAACUAAGUUCAUGCAAAAAUCUGUUGUAAACCUAUGCCAAAUGUUAUGGUUAGGAUGCAUCGGGAGUGAAGCUCCCAUUCCAUUGUUUGGUCAUCAAGCUGGGUACUGAUUUCUGCUAUGUUUGAACGAGGUGUACUGAAGUAUGUUGUUUGUUCAUCACUCCUGCUGGUUGGAGGUUAGGAGCAGGGGUGGUGAGUGGUGAGCGAGGAUCUAGUGAGCAUUAUUGGUUAAGUCAAUUGGCAGAAUACACUGAUGUGGAAACACUACUAGCUACUUGGUAGUUGGUACUAACUACUAAAUAGAUGGAUUGUGGUUUUGCUACAAGAACUUGGCAGUAGUUAGAAUAUUCAAGAUUCACAGCACAUUUAACAAAAUCGAUCUUCGGGUUUUUCUCGUAUUUCACUACUAUUUUAAAUCUUCAUUGUAUACAUUGAGAAGGAGGUAGGUGAUAUCUUUUAAAGAAGAUAUGCACAUUGGAGUGUAUUGAAAGAGCUAGCAUCUCAAAUUGAGGCAGCAUUUUUCUGAUUGUGGUUGGUAAAAAGUAUCAUCUUCCUCCCAAAUUUUCCAAUACCUUAAUGUUUUUUAAUGGGACAAAUGAUUAAAUAACAGUUAAUUUGGUUGCAUAAAAGUUUCUUGAUAUGAUUUGUAUGAAAAUAUAAUAACAAGGGUUGAUUAUUGUCAACCAAGGCUAGACACAGUAAAAAUCUGGGUGGGCCUCGCUCGGGUAAUUGGCCAAGUUGGCCGAUGUGAUCCGGUCUAAUAUCAAGUUAUCUCGUAUUGACUGCUAUCCCAUGUACAUUUUUUAUAUAUAAUGGAAUAGAAUCCCGUCCUUUGCUCACAGAGCUACAACAAAUUAUCACAGAAUUUGAUCCCACGUACAUACAUACACUCAAAUUGAUCGAGCAAGUGUAUGAUACUGCAAGCUAUAUGAGUCUGAAAAUUCUAUUGGGAAUUUCGUAUGAAAUAUUCAAACAAAGUUUGAAUUGUGGAAUUUCAGAAAUUUUGUUCUGAAAUAUAUAUACAAUUUUAGGCCUGAAUGGUGGUGUUCGCAGCUGUGUCCAUAUUUAACUUUCGCGGCGAUAUGAAGCAUUUAAAGAGGGGUACAACCAAGACUAGUUUAAAUGGCCACCCUUGUACUACUAGGAAUUUAAUGCCGCUACCUACCAGCCUCACGCCCUUGAAUCUAGGUGGCCCAACACCUACUCAUCCCCCUUAAUUUACUAAGAAGAGGACGAUGCUACCCUGAGAUGGUGAUGCAAGUUUGAAGCACAAGUAGAUAUGAACAAUGUAACCUUGCGUGGGUAUUUCCUGAACCCAGGUCACGACACUAUAUGAGUGGAACCCAACCUUUGUUAGAGGCGCUGAUGGGCUUUGAGGGGACAUCUCCUCUUGUUUUCUAUUAUCUCAAGUUGUUCGUUCCGUUUACCCUCACAGACAUACUUAGUUAUUAGGGGCAAUUAUAUUGUCCUAACAAAAUAUUAGGACACUAGAUGCAGCUAUAUUUUUGCCGUGUAUAUGUUAUUGGAGUAAAGCUUGUGCAAACUGCAUUUUUUUUUUCAGUUAGCUGUAUGACAUGUUUGUUUUUCAGUCAAACCUUUAUGUGCACGAUCUUAAGGUUGUUAGGCCUUCACUUAGGAUUGCUUUGGGCAGAGACUUACUAUGUCCUCGUCGUGCCCAGUCAUUGCAUAAACUUUGGUAGAUCGCAUUCAUUUGCGUGGACGUGGGAUGGUGCAUGCGUACAGAUCAGAUCGUGGCAAAGAAAUCGGGGUGUUUUAGUUGUAGUCCUUGCAUAUAUAAUACCACCUCCGUCCCAAAAUAUAUCCAGAUUCAUUCCUAAAAAUACUUAUAUUUUAGGAUGGAGGGAGUAAGAGGAAGGAAAAAACCAGAAAAGUUGCGGCAGUAUUUGAGCGGCACAAACUGUGUCUCGAGUUCUCUGAGCAUCACUAGUUUUCUCUGCUUACUCUGCUCUCUUCUGAAUCUUGCUGAAUUGGCAAUAGUGUUCCAGAGUGCUAUUGCAAGCGCUCUAGUGAGCCACUGUUCUGAGUUACCAGUCAACACGUGUGUUAGAUGUCGUAGAGACCCGGUUUUAAUUCAUUAUCUAAGAUAAAGAUAAAGACAUGUGUGUUACCACGCGUCUCUAUUCUCUGCCUUUGAGGACAAAGAUAAAGAUUGUCAUUGGUUUCAUCUGGUCCAUCUGCCGUUCAACCAACAACUCUUGUUCCACUGCCUUAUUGAGCAACUGGUAGCCAAUUAAUUGAAAGAAUCAGUUGUUUCCACUCCAGAAGAAACCAACAAUCCAAUCUUCAAGGUAAAAUAGCAAACGGAAAAUGGACCACGCACCUUAUGCUUUUUGACCCCAACAGCAAAGAAUAAAGAUUCACAUCUAAUCUCUAUUUAUUCAUGAGGAACAAGAAGCUAGCAGUUGGAAAACAGCAUGAGAUAAAAUGCACAAGUAGACAAUAAAUAGCAGGGAAUAUAAUAGAAAUAACUCAAAAUUAGGCAUCAUCGGAAAAGGAUUGUUACUUCUUGUCGAAUAAAAUAAAAUUAGACAAAGUUUUCUCUUAAUUUGUUUUCUUGACCCAAUAGAGAAACCUUGUAGUUUCGAUCUGUUUACAAAAAUAUAUGUAUCACACCUUUCCCAAUCGUGCAUAUAAACAAAACUAGCUAUAGUAAAAAAAGUUAUAUUUGAUAAGUUACAUACAACCUUAAAAUACAUAGUAAAAAAAAUAGCACGUAGAUAAUGAAGGGUAGCCACCAAACCAUAGUAUGGGAGGAACUACUUGUAAAGAAGCAGCCAAACCCUCAUAGAGUUUUUUUUUUUUUUAGAAUUAACCCACAUAGACUGAACUGACAUUAAGGGCAGUCAAUGAUCUUAAGGUGUCCAUAUCCAUAUAUACACGUGGACACCACAGUGCUCGGGAAUCAUCCUCUUUUUAGCGCACAUAUAUGCAGAUACUCACAAUAACACAGCGGCGGAGCCAGCUCCUAGGCUGAUUGGGUGGCUGCCCGGACUCCGCCUCUGAUUUCUCCACUACAGAUAAAUGUCAACAUGUCUAAAAACAAAAAAUUGGCCGACCACCGAAAAACGUUGUUAGUCGCUCGGGUUCAACGGCACCACUGGCUCCACCGCUGCAACGACAGGUAGAACCAGAGAGCAGUCGGUUUAAGUGAGCUCUUGUAGGGUUAGGAGGUACUGGGAACCAAGCUUGUGCUUGAUGUCUGCGUGAGACGUGGCCUCUGUUCCCUUCCUUCAUUGUUCAGAUCAAACAUUUUGCUACGGCUAGGCGUACCACUUUACCAUGUCAAAUUUCUCAGGACCCGGUGGGAAUUAUCCUGAGCGCGCUGACUGAAGAUACAUGUUUUCUGCUUGCUUCCAUUCAAACAAGCUGGACUUUUGAUUUCUGGAGGAACAACGCCUGUUUGUAACUGACACCGUGUUUAGUUGUAAACUUUUCUUAUCAAACUUUCAACUUUUUCAUCACAUCAAAACCUUCCUACACACAUAAAUUUUCAACUUUUCCGUCACAUCGUUCCAAUUUCAACCAAACAUCCAAUUUUAGCGUGAACUAAACACACCCUGAGAGAGAGAACUUGAUCAUCAUUCAUGGCGGAGCGAAGAGGCUUUGAUACGUACCCUGGUCAUCAUUAUCCUGAUUGCCCAACCUAGAACUUGAAAUCAGAAGCUGAACACAGGUAGCUAAAUGCUUUGUGAUCGCUGUGCCACACACGACUGAGCUUGUACUGGUGUGCGCUAGCAUUUCAGCUGCUCGCAAUAUUCUGAGAUAGGUGACCUGUUUUGAAGGAGUUGUGAACAAUAUAUAGAGUAUAAAGAGGAUCCUCAAAUUGAUGUAGUUUUUUUUUUUUUUUUUUUUUUGUGACUGUGGUCAAUGGACAAGGUAUUCUCUCCCCACAACUAGGGGUGAAAUCGGGUCGGGUUGGGUCGGAUCUCACACUUCUCAUAUCCUAACCCACAUUGUAUAAUCGGAAUCGGGUCAGACACGGAUAGCGUCGAAUACGGAUAUAAGUUCGGAUAAUAUCGGGCAAAAAUAUGGACCGAAUACGUACCCAAAUGGAUACGUACACUCUCGGUUAUAAAUACUUAUUCGGAUAUCAAGUCGAAGAAACAAUCAUAAAUACCAUAUAGACAAUAACCAUUCAACAAAUCUAUAUCCAUAAUGCGAUUAUAUUAGGUCAUUAGGGCUUAGGAAACAAGACACCGUAGUACAGUACGUGACAGGCUCACAGCCACAAGCUAAAAGUAGUACAGUACGUCAGUCACAGCCACAUGCCAAAAUAUCACCAAUUCUUCAUAACGGAGACUUAUAGUCAUUACAGUCACAGGCUCACAGCCACAUAGUACUCCAGUACAUAAUACCAUAAUACUCAGAAACAUGUCUUGCCAGAUGCCAACCAGGAAACAUCACCAUUUCACAAGAGUCUUGAGCCAACUAGGAAACAUAAACCAUUUCACGUAAACCAUAUUUAAGGACAAGACACUCAAAUCAUCAGUAGGAGACGACGACCGGCGCACACGGCUGUCACGGCAGGCCUGCACACGGCAGGACGGCACGACGGAGAUGGCGACCGACGCAGGCCGUGCAGCAGCGGUGGUGACGAGCACCGUGGGAGCCGGCGCCGCCGGCGCGGGUGGCGCCGCUGGCAGCCGUCGCAAGGGCGCGGCCGCGGCAGGAGCCAGGAGGAGACGCCGUCGCCAAGAGCCCGUGACGGCAGGAGCCAGGAGCCGCCGCCGCCCAGGAAUAGGAACAGACGAACAAUCACUCCACUCGGUCUCCUCAUCUCUCUCCUAUUUCCUCGGGUUAGCAAUACUAUUGGGCCGGUGAGUUUUGGGCCUGGUUGUUGGCUUUUUGGCUAGCUUGCCUCAAAUCUGGUUGGCUGGUUGUACAGACUACGUAAUACGGGUACUAUCCGUAUAUAUAUUCGGGUAGUAUCCGUAUUUUUUACUGGAUAAUCCGUAUCCGUCGGAUACUGCGCUCCCGAAUCCGAUCCCAUAUCCACCAAAAAUAACCCGUAUUCGAACCCUAUAUCCAUAUAAAAUUUCGGGUACCCGAAUUUCUGACCCGAAUUUGUCCCAAAUUAAUACGGUCGGGCAGUCGGGCGGGAAAUACCCGUCCCGUUUUCACCCCUACCCACAACGUACACUCAACGGCUUCAUCACUUUACCGAGCACAUUUCCGGUGAGGAAUAGACAAAAGCGCAUGGGAAUAUUAUGUACCAUACCGUGCGUCCCACAACACGCGGGAACACUAUUUUAUACCGUGUACGAAUGCACCCGUUAUAUUUCUAUGUUACCGUGUGUGCAACUGCAGCGCACGGUAUGCUCCUAUGUUACCGGGUGUCAGAACAAACACCCGGUAUCAUUUGGGACAUUACUGAGUGUGAUCACAUACGCACGGUAACAUUUGUUAGCACACGGGAGCUUUACCAUAUCUGGUAAUGCAAUACCUUGAUUUUUUUACUGAACAUAUAAUUAAACAAAAGCUAAAAUUUAUUGCAUAAAAAAUUUCUUGGUAUGGUUUGUACGAAAAUAAUAAUAAGAGAAAAAUAUCUUCAUGAUUGUCCAGCCCAGCCCAAUAUGGUAAAAUCAGGGUGGGCCAGCUGGGUUGUCUGGUCCCUACCCAAGCUGGCCAUUACCAGAUAUAUAUAAUUUCAAGAUAUCUCCUGAACCAUUUAUAUUUGAUUAUUUAAGCUCUCCCUUAUAGCAAGCUCUCCCUGGUCACAUUUGAGUAAUAUAUAUCAAACUAUUUUAACCAAUGUUUUCUCCAUACGGAUUAUGGCCACUUUCAGGUAGCCCAUGUUGUUAAUUAAUAUGUUGCAUAUGAUGGUGAUCGAUUAUAUCCAUGUCAGGUCCCUUGCUUGACAAUGGUAUGAGAAAAUUGCAUAUCCACCAUAACAAAAUAACAGAUUUGUCGGAGGGAUGACUAAGGGUUUGUUCGGCACCCCUUUUUCCCAACCCCUCUCCCUCGUUUUUCACACGCACGCUUUUCAAACCGCUAAACGGUGUUUUUUUUAAAAAAAAUUUGUAUACAAAAGUUGCUUAAAAAACAAAUUAAUCCAUUAAUGGAUCGUUCCGUUUUCCGUAUUUACUAUUCCGGUUGGGAACACCUAACGGUGAAGACAGCCUAAGAAGCCCAGGAUUAAAAUGGUCCAAGAUGGUAUUCCAAGAAACACGUCCUAGUUAAGACUAGUAUUUUUUUGUCGCUCGUGAUAUUUCAGCAAAUUUUAUUCAUUUGCGAUGGUAGAUAUACAAUUAUCUCACAAUGGUACGUAGCUAGCUCGUGCAUGCUGAUUGUUCGCGAUUAUUAAAAUUUUCUAUCUGUUUGUCAGAAAAGUGCCUUUACAGUGCUUAGGAGGUACUGAACGUACCUUUCCUUGCAUAUAAUAAAUAUAUAUCCUCCACAUCAUGAAUCUGAUAUCGUACUGACGAUUUCUAGGUGAAUGUCUCACAAUCACAUAUAUUAAGCUUGAACCGCAGCAGCGUUUUAUCUUAGACACAUAUAUACCACAGCCCUCAUUCCGAAUCAUACAAAAUAAAACUAACUAUACUGCAAGUAAUGAAGAUACGUACGAUCGAUUACAAUAUGUAUAGUGCAAAACGGUAUUGAUGAAGGGUUUUUCUACCAAACCAUCAACCAUCAAAUGGGAGGAACUACUCCUAAAGGUGCACUAAAAUGCAGUAUAUAUUGGACCUUUAAAGAUGUCUAUGAAUUCCAUAUACGUGGACACCAUAGUGUUUCGAAACCAUGCAUGUUCAUCCAUUUUUUCAGAACGUACGUACGCAUACAAAUAUCUCGCAACAACGCGAUGAACCAGAGAUCAGUCGGUUUGAGUGAGGUUGUGGGGUUAGGAGGUUCUGGGAACCAAGUUUAUUCAUAUCCUCAGUCCAAAACCUGACCUCUUUUUCUCUUGAUCUCAUGCUGGCCAAGGUUCCUAAACCAUAUUCAAGAUUGGAAACUGGCAAUGCUAUACAGUAGUAGUAAGGGUUCUGCAACCAGUAACCCCUGGAGCUUGGGUACAACGUGGUAAUCAUCCAGACACCAGUUAUGAACCAAGCCAAAGAGGCAUAGAGCUAGGUCUUCCAACCUCUGCCAAAAUGCUCCAGAACGUCUAUUGCACCUUCUGCUAAAAGAUGAAGGCAAGCUGGGGCCGUAGCUUGACGAAAAUUCUCCAAUGUAUCUUUGCGCCAUCAUGAAGCUUUAGGCCACAAUCUUGGCUUGCUGUCCAUGCAAAUCUAGGUGUUUGGCAUUGCAUUUCUUUGAGCUUUUUCCUUCUGUCUUGUUUAGAAUGUGCAUGGAGCUGAGCUAAGGGUGCUUGGUUUAAAUUAUAUUAAUAUACCACUUUGAAAACUGAUAGAUGUCUGGAUCAAAUAUUUGAUAAGGUGGAAAACUGAUCAAGAUUAGAUUAGGCGUAAAGGUGGAUUAGAAUGAUCUCGAUCUGUACGUAAGUCUGAUAUGGCGCUCCAAAAAAAGGGCAUAAUUAAUGGUAUACUUCUCCUACUGUCAUGUUACGAAGAAGUGUGACUUCAGAUUCUUUUCCACACUCAAUACAUAUUUCAUCCAGUUAUUUCUUCUUCAAUACAAUGAAGAUACGACCCUAAAGGUGCAAUCAAACUCUCAUGUACUGAAAUGCACAUUAAAAGCAGUCUUGGACCAUAAGAAGUCCAUUUCCAUAUAAAUGGACGCCAUAGUGUUUCAAAGCCAUGCCUGCUCAUGCUUUUUUUCAGAACGCAUACAAAUAUAUCUCGCAACAACUAGAUCAGCAAGAGAUCAGUCCAUUUGAGUGAGCUUGUAGGGAUAGGAGGUACUGGGAACCAAGCUUAUGCAUAUCCUCAGUCCUAAACCUGACUUCUGUUUCUCUUGAUCUCAUGCUGGCCCAGGUUCCAUCCAUGUUUGACGGAGCACACCAUGGUCAAAACUCAAGAUUGAGAAAGGGUAGUAGUGAGGGUUCUGGUAUCAGUAACCCCUGGAGCUUGUGUACAAGGUUGUAGGCAUUAUGGACGAGCAGCUACUGUCCAGACACCAGUUAUCAACCAGGCCAUAGAGCUAGGCCAUCCAACCUGCCAAUUCUGAUCCGCCACAUCUAGUGCAACUUCUGCCAAAAGAUGAAAGCAAGCUGGGGCCGUAGCUUAAUGAAAAGCAUCUGCUGCAUCUUUGUGCCAUCAUUAGGCUUUAGGCCAUAAUCUUGGCUAGCUGUCCAUGCAAAUCUAGGUGUUUGGGGUUGCAUUUCUUCGAGCUCUUUCUUUCUAUCUUGUUUGGAAUGCAUGGAGAGGGUGCUUGGAUUAAAUUGUACCACUUUGAAAACUGAUAGAUGUCUAGAACAAAUAUUUCAUAAGGUGGAAAACUGAUCGAGAUUAGAUUUGGUAUAAAGGUGGAUUAGAAUGAUCUCUGUAUGUACGUUUGAUAGGGUGCUGGAAAAAAAGGGCAUAAUGGAUUGCUUGUCCUACUGUCACGUUACAGAGAAGUGUGACUUCAGAAUUUCAUACUUACUAUUCCACUCUAUACAUAUUUCAUCCAGUUAUUUCUUCUUCAAUAUGAUGUAAGGUUGAACUUUCCUGUAAAAAAUUAUAAGUAAUCAAUUGCCUAUAAUGUAAAAAGAGGCUGGAGAUUUCCACUCGCCACUUAAUGCUACAGGUUUAGUUUCGAAAAUACGAUAGAGAUUUAUACAUUUACAGGACACAAUUCUGAUGUAAUGCUUGCUACAGGGACGGGGCAGGUACAACCUUAACAAGGCAUUACUCAUAGCACCUUUUGUGAUGAGCUCAUCACUCCUUUGGAUACACAUGAGGGAGAGGUAGCAAGCACUUGCAGAGAGGCUAGGAGAUGGAUGCUCAAUUCAUAUCAAGUUCAAGUUCACCUCAGAAUCCAGAAGGAGUCCGUACUAAAAUCGUCGCUCAGAUCUCAAUUGGAUUUCAUUUUCGACGUUCUACAUAUGCUUGAAAUUAAAAGCUAACAAGAUGACCUUUCCAACACAUCUAGUGUAAUGCCAAAAUUCUUUCUAAGUCUAGGAAUCAUCGAAACAAGUGGGCAUCCAGAAUCAGCCUGGGUGCUACAUCACCGUCUUUUGACGCAUUGGACUAUGUAUCGUGUUGGAGAAUAUUAGGGAUGCGUCCAGGGGGGUCGCCGACCCUAGUAACCAUAUAAUCGUUAGCCGUCAUCGAGUUAGGGUUGGGUUUUAUUUAGAUUAAUCUGCAAUUGCAGUUUCGCUGCUUAGUUCAGUUUUGUGGAGCCCCAACCUGUGAGGUCAAUCGUGUUUCGGCCUAGUUGAUAACCAAAAGAGAAGUGAUGAUUGCGAGGGGUUCGAUUGUUUUUGGAUCAUCAACGUCAAGUCUUCAUAAUCGACCUAUGCAGUAACUACCAAAAGAUCAGGAUCUAGUUCCUCGUCAUUUUGUGCAAACAUGGAUGAGAAAGAAAUGAUAUGGAAUUGCACGAAGGAACGACUUGGGCAUAAGGUCAAGUUCAACUGUUGAGCCUAGUUUGACCUCCUUAACUGAUCUAUAAAUUUGUCAUACAACAUAAUGACUAUGAUCAUUAAUACUUUCCCUGAUUUUCUGUUCUGUUGAAUCUUUUGCUAAGAGUUGAUGUUUAGUGGAUAGUCAAUGCUUUUCUCUCUUCCCUACUUAGCGAAGCUAUGGGCCAGUUCAUUUUUGUUGUUGUACAUACCUAAUAUAUAUAGGGAUAAUUAAAAAGUCUAGAUGAUUGAUAUUAAACAUUAUGCUGGCAUUUGUGGAUAUCAUUCAGCCCCUUGUACAUGUGAAAUUUGGAGUUCUUUAUUCAAUUUGGACUAUAGAGAUGGUUGCUUUCAAAACAUUGAACUUGACUUAACCGCUGAUACGCAACGCAACAAACUGAAUGACUGCUAGCGAGCUAACAUUAUAGAGCAGUGAAUAUAUAUAUGCCCCAACCUCGACCAAACCAAUAAGGCUUUGAUGGGACACCCUGAGCUACGGAGGGUGUGAAUUGGAUCCUCAUGGACAUGUCUAGGGCCCGAAGGGAGGAAACAAAGUAGGAUAAGUGAGAAACCUCCGCCUUCGUUGUUGUGGUUCUUGGAGGGAGGAACCUACAAGGGCCAACCAUUGAAGCCCCUUAGUCGGUUGAAGGGCAAUAUGAACCAUUUAAAGAGGAGGGUGGACAAGGCCAGUCUAAAUGGCCGCACUUCAUACCAACUAGAUUUAGUGUCACCACCUACAGAUUCAUGCCCCUGAAUCCAGGUGGCCUAAUGCAUCCAUGUGGCUCUCCGGGGCGAAAUGGGAGUGUCCCAUCCUAGUAGAGGUAGGCCCCUAAUCAGCUGGCCUUCCAACCAUGGCUAUUCCCCUUAAUUAAUAGGCUAAGAAGAAGGCGCUGAUCCUAGUCAGCGCACUAUAUAUAUAAAUGGAACCCUACCUCUGUUAGAGGCGUGCACACAUCUCCUCUUGUUUUUUAGUAUCUCAAGUUGUAAGUUCUAUCUACUCCCACACAACCAUAGUAAAUUAGAAGCUGCUAAGUUUUGGCCAUGUACAUGUGUGUUGGAUGUAGAGGUCUGGUUUUAAUGAACUACCUAAAACCCGCUAAAGAUUACACAGGACUAAAGAGCAUAAAAAGCAUGAUCAUUCUGAAAUAUCUUGUAGACCAGUACACAAUAGGAUUAGGAUGAAUUGGGAAAAGUUUGAUGAGAAAGACAGAUUGCCAUUGGUUUCUUCUGAUCCAUCCGCCGUUCAACCGACAACUCUUGUUUUAUAUGACGAACUGUAGCCAGUUAAUUGAUAAUUGGUUCUGUACACUUCUGACGAAAUCAACAAUCCAAUCUCCAUGGUAUAAUAUAAAAAAAAUGGAAAAUGGAGCACACACCUUUAGCUUUUUUUACCCCAAGAGCAAAAAAUAUGGAUCCACAUCUAAUCUCUAUUUAUUCACAAGGAACAAGAAGCAAGUUGUAGGAAAACAGCAGGAGACAAAAGACACAAGUAGACAAGAAAUAGCAGGCAAUAUAACAGAAGUAAUUCAAAAUUACACAUCAUCUCGAAUAAAACAAAAUUAGUCAAACUUUUAUCUUAUUUUGUUUUGUUGGCCCAACAGAGAAACCUCGUAGUUUUGAUCGGUUUACAAAAAUAUAUGUAUCACACCUUUUUGCUGCCUGUAAUGAAUAUAUACAUCUUCCACAUCAUGAAUCUGAUUUCUUAUUGACGAUUUACAUGUGAAUGUUGCAAACUCCUUAUCAAGCUUGAACAUGAUUAGUUUAGACUAAAUCAAAGUUGGUGAUUUAGUUUAGCAUAAAUCGAAUUUACAAAGUUAGGCACACUUGAUUGCAUCAUGCUCAUAUAUAUAUCACAACCCACAUUCCCACUCAUGCAUAUAAACAAAACUAGCUAUAGUACAAUGAAGAUAUGGAUGAUAUAUUACAUCCUUAAUAUACACGGUGCAAAAAGAUAGCGUGCGGAUGAUGAAGAGUUGCCACCAAACCAUCACAUGGGAGUAACUAGUCCUAAAGGAGCAAGCAAAUUCUCAUUUACUGGAGUGCACAUUAAGGGUAUUCAAUGAUCUUAUGGUAUCCAUGUUCAUAUAUAAUGGUGGACACCAUAGUGUUUGGGAACCAUCGCUCUUUUCAGUACACGUAUAUACAGAUACUCACAGCAACACAGUGGUGGAGCAAAUGGGGGCUUGUUGGGUGGCCGUACAGACUCCGACGAUGGUGUCUGCCCUGUAGAUAGCUUCAAAACAAAUUGGUCAACCACUAGAAAUGUUGUUAGUAACCUAGCCUCAAUGGCUCCAUUGGCUCCACCACAGCAACAAUACUAGAACAGGAGAACAGUUGGUUUAAGUGAUAUCUAGUCCCUCCGUCCCAUUUUAAGUAUAGUUGUGGGUUUUAGUGUCCAAUGUUUGACCAUCCAUCUUUUUUGAUUUUUUUUAUAAUUAAUAUUUUUAUUGUUAUUAGAUGAUAAAAUAUGAAUAGUACUUUAUGCGUGACUUAUUUUUCUAAACUUUUUCAUAAAUUUUUUAAAUAAGAUGGAUGGUCAAAUAUUUGACACACUUAAAAUGGUACGGGGGAGUAGUUGGGUUAGGAUGUACCGGGAACUAAGCUUAUACAUAACCUCAACGUGAGACAUGACAUCUUUUCUCUUUCUUGAAAGUUCACAUCAACCUUAUUGUCAGGCACAUUAUGACACUUGUGCGAGGCAAACCCCACCUAGGCAACGCAUCAGGUUCACCCAACAAGAACAUUAUUACUGACGUAAUACUCCAAGGUGCAAAACUACCUCAUUGUCAGAGACAACAUGGCAGUUUUGGAUUUGCGUAAACAUUAACGUAGAAUGUUAAGGGAAUUCUAUAGCUAUUAUAUCCUAGCUAGCUAGUUUAGAUUCUUUUGUGGGAUUGGGUCUGGGUGGGCGGUGCCAAGGUAAAACAUGUUGAUUAUUUUGUAUAAAUGUCCGCCUAAAUCGUACUAGAGUAUAAAAUUGAAUUGGCAAAGAUUUUGCUAUGACGAUUAAGACUACCAGUUUAUCAUGACAAAUUUCUCAAGUCUGGUGGGAAUUAUCUGAGUGUGUUGACUAAAUAUACGCCGCAAUCUGUUGGAUCGUUUUUCUAUGUGUGGAAAUUGUGGAUCAAGGUGUGGUUCUAGCUAGCCCUCAUUUCAUUUGAUUGACGACUAGAUCAAGAGUGCAUAGGAGUGCAAGCAGUAGAGGAAUAUGUGACAUGAAAACAAAACUAACUACUUAUUGGAUUAUAUUACAAGUUGUUUCAUAUCAUAGUACUAGUGACUUAAAAUAAGUAUUAGAAUGCCUGUUGUAAUUAAUUAAAUGCUCUGAAACUUUAGUGGAACUUCGGUGUAUACAUUGGGAAGAACCGUAGGUGUUUCUUUUGAAGAAGUUUGUGCACAUUAGAGUCUAUUGUAUUUCCCGUAUUGAACUUUUAAUUAAAAAGAUAAGCUUGCAAAUAAGCCUUGCCUUCACUAGUCACUGAAUUGCAUCAUAAUGCCCUGUUUUGAUCUGCUAGCUAUCAUUUAUACCGAGUAUCCUACUUCCAAUACCACAAUUAAAUGUCUAAAAUCAAAAUAAAAGCUACCAUUUACUAGCAAGUUAAUUGUGGCAUUCUUCUAAAGUUGAGUCAAUUUACUACAGCAAUCUAGAAUUUUUAUGUGAGGCAAAUAGGAACUGCCAAAAAUGAGAAUUCUCUUGUCGGGUCCUUUGCACUACCACGAAAAAAAUGCAAAUUAUUAAACCUGGGGGGUUAACACCAACCUGAUAAUAAAUUAGCCUGAUGGUUUCAUUCAAAUCUGUGACGGUGCACGAACCUAACGAUAGCCUUAUUUCCUUGGUAGUGGUUGCCACCAAAAAAAUUGUCAUUGGCGGUUAACCGCCAAGAUAGUUCGUUUUCCUUGUUGCUCUAUUCGUGAGUGCUUUUGCGUGGUGGCUCACUGACACUUAGUCUUUCCUUGGCCGUUUUCCACGCUCACGAAAUUUUGGUUUUCUUGUAGUGAUUCAGUUUCCACUGUGAUGAUCUAUGUUCAUAUGCAAAAACCAAUGCGCGUUAGGGUUAGGAUGCAUCAGGAAUGAAGAUUCUGUCCUAGUAUUUGUUCGUCUAGCAAACUAGUCCUUCCAUGUUAUGUCAAAAGAUGAUGUUAGCCCUAGCACAACCCAUUUGCAAACAAUACAUACAGAAGCAGCCAGUGGAAUACAAAGUUUGAGGGUUGAAGCUACUGCCUAUAGGGUCGAGGAUAGGGCUGGGAUUCAGCAGAUACAAGCAUUGUUGAAUUCAGUCACUGCAAUACGAAUGAUGGAAACACUACUACUACCGUCAACAUAUUUAGUGGUUGCAUUAUAUCUUAUUAUACUUUCAAUAUAAAUAGCAGGAUGCAUUUCAAUUUCCAAAGAAAAGAGCAUGAAGUGUACAGCUCUUUUCCCCUACAGAUUUCCUCUGAAUGAUAUGAUAUGCAAUCAAUCUAUCCUCGGAGUGAAUAAUGUUCCAGUUAAAUGCUGUUCGUCACAACUUAAUAUUAUUGUACUUAAUUUGAAAAUACAUACAAAUAUAUUGAUAGUACACAACACUGUCUGAAGCUUGCAAUUAAUUAAUAAACCUUUCAUCAAUGACUCUAAUAAGAUGAGUAUCAUACUACCAUUAAUAGAUCAGCAGGAAAUCAGUGAAAUCAGAUAUACAGGAAAUUAAUUGAACGAUCCAGAAGGUUAUAUCUACAUUAGUGAAAAGAACAUCCCAAGAUGCCACCAGGAUGAGUCACAUCAUCAAACAAAAAAUUUAUUUAUUGCAGUCCCCAAAAUUUUUAUCCUCUUGUAUCAUGGGCUAAGAAUCGAUGUUUAGUUGAGAUUUAACUCUUUUCUUUCCUCCCUGUCCCUCGUCCACAAUCAGUAGAGUUAGCGGAUAAUUUAUUUAUUGCUUUUGUAUAUACCCAGAUAUGAAAGCAUAAAAAGUUUGAAUGAUUGAUGUUAAAUGUUAUGUCGAUCGUCUUUUGUGCAUUUCCCCCGCCCAUUGUAAAACGUCAAAUUUCGAGCUAUCCUUUUAAUUUGGUAACUUGUACAGACGGUGUUUCAACAACCAUUGUACACGAUUCUGACCAGUUGAAAUGCAAUGCAGUAUAAUUGAUUGACUGAUAGCAACAAGUAUCAUAGAGCAGUUAAUAUAUGCAUAGGAAAGUAAAAUUUUGUUCUGUCCGAUCCAAAAAGGGUGCGACAAAAGGGUUUCCGUCUUCCGUAAAAAAGUUGAAUAAUAGUGAAAUAAAAUAUUUCUGUCCGAUUAAAAAAAAUCUCGUCGUCCAUCCAAAAAAAAAGCGUGAACAUUAUUUCUGUCCGAUUCAAAAAAAAAAGUUGCGAAAAAAUGUUUUCCGUUUCUCUUUCUCUAUCUCUAUCUCUAUCUCUUCUGUACUCUCUACUACUUAAAAAAGAAGAGGUGCUUCCAUCGUCCGUAAAAAAAACCGGGUGAAAAAAAACCAAGCAGAAAAAACUAGGUUUGUCCGAUAAAAAACUAGACGAAAAAAAGAAGUUCGAUCCAGAAAAAAAAGGGCGAAAAAAAAACCUGGGGAAAAAAACCAGGUUUGUCUGAUAAAAAACCGGGGAAAAAAAAAGUGCAAACCAAAUCGAAUCCGAUUCCAUCGACACGGUAAAAGAAAAAUCGGGAAAAAAAUGUAUCUGUCCGAUUCCAAAAAAAAUGAAACAAACUCCCAUCCGUUUCUGUUUGGGCUGAUUAGGACUUUGUUUCUGUUUGGGCCGAAUAGGACUUGGUUUGAAUUAUACCAAGUCCUAUUCAGUAAGCAUCACCAGGAGAACAAGUGCAUAUCUAUCUACUACUUCUACUACUACUUAAAAAAUAAGAGAUGUUUUCUUCGUCCGUCACAAAUAAAAAAUAGCGAAAAAAAUAAAAAAAGAAAUCCGAUUCCCCUUAUAAAAAGGAAAAACAAAAAAAAAAUCAGAGAAAAAGUAGCGAAAAGACAAAAAAAACCGUAGUCCGAUUCCCCUAAUAAAAAGGGAAAAAAAGUUGUUUCCUUCGUCCGUCACAAAUAAAAAAAUAGCGAAAAAAACUAAAAAAAAAGAAGUCUGAUUCCCCUUAAAAAGGAAAAACAAAAAAAAUCAUAGAAAAAAUAGCGAAAAAAAAGCAUAGUCCGAUUCACCUAAAAAUGGUGAAAAACAAAACAAAAAAGUCAGAUUCGAAAAACAGAAAAAGUGGCGAAAAAUUUUUAUCAUCAAACAUCCAGUCUCCAAAAUUUUUAUCCUCUUGUAUCAUGGGCCAAGAAUCGAUGUUUAGUUGAGAUUCGACUCUUUUCUUUCCUCCCUGUCCCUCGUCCACAAUCAGUAGAGUUACCGGAUAAUUUAUUUAUUGCUUUUGUAUAUACCCAGAUAAGAAAGCAUAAAAAGUUUGAAUGAUUGAUGUUAAAUGUUAUGUCGAUCGUCUUUUGUGCAUUUCCCCCGCCCAUUGUAAAACGUCAAAUUUCGAGCUAUCCUUUUAAUUUGGUAACCAUUGUACACGAUUCUGACCAGUUGAAAUGCAAUGCAGUAUAAUUGAUUGACUGAUAGCAACAAGUAUCAUAGAGCAGUUAAUAUAUGCCGAGGAAAGUAGAAUCGGCUAAAGACUGUUGGGACCAAAGAGCAUAAAAGGCUGUGAGUGUCUACAACAGAGAUACAUGGGUACGAUGACACUUUCAUGACCAUGCUGUAAUCUCCUGUAGACCGACCGGUCCACGAAAGGAUUAGGAUGCAUCAGGAAUGAACAUUCCACUAUCUGCACUUUCCAUUCGGACUCACGGCUUCGUUAAUUUGCUUCAGACAUCUCUUCCGGUUUGAGUUUAUCCCAGAUGGUGAGGUGAACAACCAUGUUACUGUGUCCCACGCAGUGCAAAAUAAAGAUGGUAAUUUGGACCCCUUUUAGUUUAAUUCGAAAAUUCGUGUACCUGUUUCCCUCCGCUUGUGUUUCAGUUCAAAAUUGUCCAUCUAUAUUCAUUGUCAAACAGUUCAUAAAUGUGUGGUGAGACAUAAGCAACCAGUUGCAGUGUGAACAUCCUACGAGUAGGACCAGGGUCAGAAGACUCAAAGGGGAAGGCCAUAAACUGUAUCAUAGAAGCAGAGACCCAGGCACAGAGGGGUGAUGAAGUCUGAAUAUAUUACAACCAUUUUAGUCUGAAUGAAAGUCUGACCAAAAUAAUACAUUAUGAGACAACAAAAGUUAUGAAAGCAAAAGAUAUAGCCUUAGAUGUCACCCCUUUUGCUUAUUAAUAUAGGCGUGAGAUAAGUAUAUGUAUAAUUCCAUUGGCUGUUUAUAUCCUUCGUGGAUAUAGAGAUCGGAUUAAUGAAAAUCCAUUAUCUAAAAAAAGUAUAUGUAUUUUCACGAAGGACUGCUCGUGUAUAUAUAAGGCCAUGCUCAACUGUUAUAUAUAAGCCUGGUUUGUGUUCCCAUAUAUAGUUCAUGCUAACAAAUUUGUGUUCCCAUAUAGUUCAUGCUAACAAAUAACUGAUCUAUUCUAUUUUUUUUCUUAUCCUCUCUCAUACUAAGAGUUGAUGUUUGAUGGAAAGUCCACUCUUCUCUCUUCAUUAUCUCUAUCAUCCAUAUCAGCUUAGACUUAUGGGCCAGCUUAUUUAUUGAUAUUGUACGUACCCUAAAAUAAAGUGUCAAAGAAUAUAGACGGUUGGUAUAAAAAAUUUACGUCGGAUGUUGUGUACACUUGCACCCCCCCCCAGGAAACAUGACCACUAGUACACAAAAGAUUUUUCCGUGUGGUCAAAAUGCAUUUUUCCGUGCGGAGGUCCCACCCGUCUGCUCCCAGGUGUGUGCGAAAAUCCAUAUUUUCGCGUGCGGGCGACCCAACUGCAUGGGAUAAUCCAUCUUCUCGUGCGGUUGGGUUAAGUGGACUGCACGGGAUAAUCGAUUAUCCUGUGCGGUCAAAUUAUAAUGCCUGCACGCAAAACAAAACGAAAAAAAAUAAAAAACAUCAAAAACCCUAACCAUAUCCCUAGAAUGGCCUGCCGCGCCGCUCGUGGUCGCCAUUGUCCUCAUGUCGUCGCCGUGAUCGCGCCGCCACCGCUCCCGAGUCCGCCACCGCUACUGCCCGCCGCCGUCGCCGUUCCCGGGCACCUUUUCCUCCUCAUCGUCGGCACAGCGCGGAUCCAGCCACUUGCCCACCGUGCCACCCCCCGAGUUGCUUGUAGCCGCCGCGCCGUCUCUGCCAACAGUUGUCGUGCCGCCCGCUCCCGGCUGCCGCCUUGUCGGCAGCGGCGGCGGCAGCCGGACGCCUCCCACGCCCCGUGUGCUCGGUGGGGAGGGGAGGAGCUAGAGGAGAGCAGAGGAAAGGCACAUAGAGGAAAGAGAGAAAGAGGAGUGAUUGAGAGAGAAUAAAAAGGAAAAGGAAGAGAGAAGAUGAAAUAUUUGAAGUGGGUGAGAGGGAAAAGAGGGAGAUAAAUUUUCGCGUGCGGUCCACUUAAGAGGCCCGCACGCGAACAUAUGCUUAUUUUUGCGUGCAGACCGUUAAGAGACCUGCCUGCGAAAAUCGAUUUUUGUGUGUGGAUCUUUUAAAGGUCCGCAUGCGAAAAUAGAAGUUUAAUUUUUGCAGAUGCAUGCGAAAACAGUCCGUCUAGGAAAAUGGAAGCUCCUUGUACAGGAAAAUGUUUUGUUUACUAGUGGAAAUUUUGAGUUUUGUUUUAAAUUUGGUGAGUUGUUUUACGGACGGUAGCAGUACCAUUGUACGUCAUAUUUACUGACUGCUAGCAACUACAAUCAUGGAGCAGCUAAUAUAUACACAUACACUUGGAAUUAGAAGCAUCUCAAGAGUGUAGGACGAUCAUAAAAAGCUGUGAGCAUCGUCUGCAUGGAUACAAGUACAAGGAUAUACCAUGACAAUUUCAUCAUCGAGUUGAAAUCUCUUGUAGACGAUAUAGGAUUAGGAUGCAUGGGGAAUGAGCCUUCGACUAUCCACCCUGCCCAUCCGUACUAACAGCUUCAGUAAUUUCCUUUAUUGGCUCUAAGUCCCUGUUUUAGCUUUUAUUUGAGAGUGAAGUCAACAACCAUGUUGUUUUUUCCCACGCAGUGUGCAAAGUUGGAAUGGUGAUUUUGUAUCGAUUUGUUUUCUGGUUGGAGCAAUGGAAAUAAAACUAGUGACACCAAAAUUAUUAGUACAAAUUUUGUACCUUAUAGUACUAGAGGUACCAAGAGAUACUAAGUUUUACACUAGAAAAAGAAAAUAUGGUAUUUCCUAAAUGACUGCAAAAUCAGUUAAAUUAGAUACAACAUGAGGCCGAUGGAAAGAGGGAUAAAGUUAAUUAUAUAUGGGCAAGCCAAUUAAUUAACUUGGGCUCUUAAGGUUUUGAUGAGGAGCCAAUGUUAAGAAUGUUGCAAAUGCUUGUAAUCUUGUAAGCAUUGUCAUGUCUAAUUGUUGCAUCAGUUUGGUAGUAGCUUUGGACUCCCAUCAUGCACAUAGUGGCUGCAAAAUAGCAGAACAUGUGGUUUCCGUCAUCGGUUUUCUCUCAUUUAUUUCACUAGGGAAGAUUGAAGCGGAAUCGGAUCGUGGGAGGACACAGUCAGUAGUUGUUUGUUCCUAUAAAAUCGUGCAUGUAACAACCUCCUAUACAGAGAUGAAUAAAAGGAAGAAAUUAAAUCUCUGGAAAGCUGGAAACAAUCCGUAACACCAACUGUCUCUUUGGUUCUGUUCUUUGGUGUCUUUUCUCUGAUGUUUUUUUUUUUUUGAAAGGUUCAGACUUAGCUAGAUAGCGUGUGAGCGCGAGAUCCUGAGAAUUUCAAUAUAAUUUGAGUCCUAAUUUUAAUCGGGUGGCCUCUUAUUAGCAGUAUUGUGUUACCAAAAGAGAUUAGAACAAGAGGCAGAUUAUUCGCUUAUUAUGCUUAUACUUAUCAUCGAAAAUUUGAUUUUUAACUUUAAAUUUGAAGUUGAUUUUGAGGAUUUUUUUCAUCGAAGUUUAUUUUCCAGCUUUUAGAUUGCUAAGAGAACACGUAUAUAAAAAUUUUAUUUACAAAUUAUUUUCAGUUUGCAAAUAUAUCAUUUGGCUUAUUUCGCGAAUAAGCGAAACAAUGAGUCCUUAGUGUAUAUAUUAAUUAUAUUUCAUUGUUUCCAGAUGUAGGUUGAAUUACGAAUCAAACCAUUUAAUCUUCCAAACAAAAGAAUACUCUGAUUAUUUCGCAACCUCACUAUAUGCAGCAAGAGAGGCAGAUAGACAAGUGGCUAAUGCUUUGGGGUAACCCGGGUAAUAGCGGACUCCAUCGCUGCCGUUGGGGAUGAACUAGUUGUAGACCGCCGGUAAGCGCACGCCAAGGCCUCCAUGUCCCCUCCCACGGCCAGGAAACACCAAUGUUUGCAGCUGGAAAUCUAGCCCAGCCAGUGGCAAAAUCCAGCUGGAGCUGUUUGGUUGGAUUUGUGGUUAUCUAGCAAGUAGUUGAACAUUUUCGAAUCCCAACUCUGUAGCUUUUGAUGCCAUAUGUAGUUCUACUUACAUAGAUAUAUAAGGUAACAAAUUUGUAAACAAACAAAAAAUAUGUUGAUAUUUAUUUGCUUGGCUUGUAUAUGCGUCCAAUUCAACAAACAAGAAACUUUGCUGACAAGAAAUGAUCAGGCAGUAAAUUCGGAAUAAAUUGGCAAAUUUUGCUACAGGACAUCCCGACUUCGUGGUUUUAGCUGUAGGACACCGCACAAAGUCACUUUUGGGGAAAGACACUAUCAAAAUAUGGUUAUUUGCCAGGGGACACCGCAGCCAAUAAAAUAUUAAUUUCUGGUUCAAUAGGAGAGAUAAACAAUGUAAAAGGUCAAAAAUGCCCUCGGGCCCGCUUGUCAUAUUCUUCCCCCACCCCAAACCUCCCUCCUUGCCUCCUCUACCUCCACCGGCGAUGACGUCCUCACCCCACCCACGGCCACGAGCAACGAGCUCGGCGCUGGGAUGGGCGGCCAACUCGGCGCAGGGGGAGGCGACGCACACCGACAGCGCCCACGGCGGCGGCCUCGCCAGAGCUCCGCCACGAAUCGAACUCGCUGGGUUGAGAUGAAGAAGCGGAAGAGGUGCGGCGGUGGCACCUCCGCCGCCUUCGACCGGAGCGUCUUCCCCAUCCUGCUCGCCGCCAUCGCAGCCGGACGGCGCUAACCCGCGACCCCAAGCAGCCUCCGCCACCGCCCGUCGCCAUCCCGCCGUCCCAAGCUGCGUCCGCCCCCGGUUGUCCAACGCCCUCCUCGGCGCCGUCCGCCGCUGGCGCAUCACGCGACGCCCUCGUCGGCGCCGCCUGUCCCCGUGCGCCGCCGCCCACGCCCAUCCCCACGCGCCGCCGUCUUCCGCGUGUACCCGCAUGCCGCCGCCCAUCGCCCACGCGCCGCCGCCCACGCCCGUCCCCACCCGUCGCUGCACCGCCGCGCCCAUCGCCCACGCGCCGCCGCCCAUGCCCGUCCCCACGCGCCGUUGCAACGCCUCAGUAGCGGCCUCGCUAUUAAAGGAGGAAGAGAGAGGAAGAGAAAGAGAGAGGAGGGCAAUUUGGUCAUGCCAUGUAAAAAAGUAGGCCCCUUGUCGCUUAGUCAGCACAAAAAUAUUAAUUUAAUGAAUGGAGUGUCCCCUGGCAAAUAACCAUAUUUUGAGAGUGUCUUUCCCCAAAAGUGACUUUGUGCGGUGUCCUACAGCUAAAACCACAAAGUCGCGAUGUCCUGUAGCAAAAUUUGCCUUUAUAGUAAUGCGAUUGCAACACUUGAUUGACUCUUAAAAAAGAGAGAAAUGGAAACUCUUUUUCCGUGGAGUACUUCACCCGAUCCUUUUUUAGGACACUAAUGCCUCACUAACAUGUGGACCUAGCGAUGCAAGCAGGGCUAGCAAGUGGGCUUUUUUAGCCCCCUUAUUUCACUUCUAGUUCAUUUUUUCUUCUAAAUUUUGUACUACCAUAUGAGAAAUUAACUAGCAAGUGGGUUUUUAUGCAGGUACGUAGCGGUACUACCUACUUGCAUCCCUAUGUGGGCCCCAUAUGUGCGUUAUGCACUUGCUUGAGCAUAUAAAUUUCUGAAACAGAAUUUUCAUAUGGCUUUGACUACUUUCAGUUAGUGUGUGUUGGUAAUAUCUCAUAACGAUAGUAGUCCAUGUCAGCUCCCUGGACAAUUGUUGUCUUAGACUCUUACCAUCAAAAACUGAAGUUGAUUACUGUUUUGGCGUACAUUGAAUUUACAAGUUAGGGGUCGCCACCAAACCGUCAUCACAUCUUAUGAUAUACUCCCAACGGAGCAACUAAAGUCUUACAUAGUGAAGCUCACAUUAAAGACAUACAAGGAACUUAAAGGUGUCCAUGUCCAUAUAUAUGGACAUCACAGUGUAAACAUGUAGCCAUCCUAUGUUCAGAACACAUUCAGUUGUCUCACAUACAACAACUAGAACCAACUGGAGAGCAAGUUGUUUUUGUGAGCUCAUAGGCUUAGGAGACACCGGGAACCGAGCUUACGCAUAUCUUAGGCCUCUCACAGUGCUCCUAGCUGGAGCGUUCCUUAGUAGUGCCACGGAGGAAAAGUGUCGACGUGGAGUGGACGACCGCGUCCUAGCUAGGUUUCUCGCCUCCUAGUUGAGCGACGCGAAACUUCGUUCUGGCGAGGGCUCGAGCGGACGGGGAAAAGCGAGGCACGCGCGCUGUGGGCAACGUUUCUUCGCUGCCCUGUGCCCUCGCGCGCCUGUGGAGGGGUAAAUCCCCAAAUCACCCUCCAAAAUCCCCACGACAUCAGACAUAUCAGACAUGCUAGCAAUUUUAGAUCAAAAAAACAUCCAUCUCCGAAAGAACAAUCAAGAACAGAAACAGAUUGAAUCACAAUUAUUCUUCAUUAAAAUCUGAGAAAGAGAACACAAAAUCCUUUGGUAGAGGAAAGGAAGAAAACCACCACAGAUGUAGACCAAACAAACAAAAUUUCUCGAGUAAUUUGGUAGAGAAAAGAAAGGGGAAAUCGGCGAGGAGGAGAAGCCGUCCGCUCCCGCCGCCGGCCGCCGUCGGCUUCGAGCCAUUCACUCCCGCCGACCCCGGCCAGAUCCAACGUGAAGCCGCGGAAGCCGCCGACGACGACAAGAAGAAGCAGGCGCAGGUCAAGCCCCCGCCGCACCUGCACCCGCACCUCCUCCGUGCCGCCGCCGGCGGCCCGGCCCACCCGCUCCUCCUCCUCGCGGCGGCGGCGGCUGCUCGAGGUGGAGGCGUCCCUCGGUGAGGUCGCCGCGGUGGAGCCGCCUGAGCAGCAGCAGCCGGAGAAGGAGGCGCGGCGAGGGAGGCGACGAGGACGACGGGAGGCGAGGAGGACGCCAGAGCUGCAGCCUUUCCCCUCCUCCUCCGCCGCCCCCGCCUCUCCCACCGUCGGGAAAGGCGUGGCGGUGGACCGGGAGGAGGCGCAGCGGCGGACCGGCGCGGUGGCGGACCGGCGCGGCGGCGGACCGGGAGGGGAGCGGCGUGGGAGGCGAGGAGGCGAGGAGCGGUGUGGGAGGCGAGGAGACGCCGGGAGGGGAGCGGCGUGAGAGGCGAGGAGACGGGAGCAGGGGUUUUCCUUCACUCACCCGUGUCUUUAAAACUGGGUCACGAGCGUUGUGGGGUUUGUUCCCUUACAGUACCUCCAUCCAAUUAGGUCACGUAAAAUAGGAUACUUGCACUGUAGGAAUGAGUGUCUUUAGAGCCUUUUUUCGAACUAAGCUACGGGGACCGGUGCUUGCACUGUGAAUGGCCUUAAGUGGGUGCCAGGUGCUAUUGCUUCUUUCUCUACCGAUGAGUGCUGAUCCACGACGGUUGUGUGUCACACCUUUUCUUUUUUUUUUUUUUGAACUAGGGCUUGAAAGCCCCCAUUUCUAUUAUCAGAAAUGCAACAGUAGAAGUCUGCUAACUGCUAAGACAAAAGAGGAAGAAAAAAAGAAAUUACAGCACGCAGGCUGUGAAGUUUUUUACAGACCAUAGCACUGUGAUUCAUAAACAAAAUGAGAGGAGCUCCCACACCCUCAACCCAGAUCUGGUGAUACCUUCCUAAGAGACUGCUAACUAUAUAUGAGAGCUUAUACUAUACCAAGCAGGAAACAAAAGAUCACAGGGAUGAUUCUCCAGCAGCAUCACGCAUCAGUUGGUUGUGUGUCACACUGGCAUUGCCAUCGGAUAUACUCCCUCCAUCCCUAAAUGUUUGACGCCGUUGACUUUUUUAAACAUGUUUGACUGUUCGUCUUAUUCAAUAAACUUAAGUAAUUAUCAAUUAUUUUCUUAUCAUUUGAUUUAUUGUUAAAUAUACUUUUGUGUAUACAUAUAGUUUUACAUAUUUCACAAAAGUUUUUGAAUAAGACGAACGGUCAAACAUGUUUAAAAAAGUCAACGGCGUCAAACAUUUAGGGAAGGAGGGACACCUUGUCAACAAGAUAUACAGGCACAACGGCCUUAGCCGCACAUGGAAACUCCUCCUUAUCAUUUUGGCAUUAGGCCAUUCUUGGCUGAGUUCGUUUGGAGGAGAUGGUAACCAAUCUCCUACGCACGGAAAACAGAGCAAUCCAUUAGCAUGUAAUUAAUUAAUUAUUAGCUAAUUUCUUUUUCAAAAAUGGAUCAAUAUGGUUCUUUUAACAAACUUUCUUAUAGAAACAUUUUAUAAAGCGUGCGCAUGAAAGACGAGCGAGAGGAGUUGGGAACAUGUGGUGCUGAACACAGCCUUAGGCUAUCCAAUUAAAGGUUUUAGGCUAUCCAAUUAAAGGUUUGUAGAAAAAGGGUUAGUAGUUGGUAAUAUAAAAAUAACCUUGCUAGUAUAGGGUAGCAAGAAACCCACCUUUGGUCGCAUAUACAAUUAAAUGUCACUCUUAUGUUGCUCGGAGUUUAUUUAAGAUUUCAUUUUCUUUUAGCUUGUUUGGAAUGCAUGGAGCGUGCAAUGAAAACCAAUAUAUGUAUGGAUCGAACAAGUACUAACCUGAUCAAGUUUGGAUUUGGUCGCCGGCAUGGGCUUCCUCAGCUUCCUCCGGCACAGUGACGGCCUGCGCCAGCAGCGAGCAACGGCGAUGUCCGGGGUGGGGGUAGGUUGUGAGGGGGAGCAUUUUAGUUAUUACGGACCUCGGGUGCAGUUAUUAGGAGACUUAAACAGACUGUACCUGUUUCAACAACCAUUAUUGUACAUGAACCCUAAUCAACUAGUUGAAAUUCAAUGCAGCAUACUUGUACAUCGCGAGUAACUAGCAUCAUGGAGCAGUUAAUUAGUUACACUGGAAAUUAAUUAGAAUCAGCUAAUUAAACUUCUUAAAACUAUAUAUAGGACUAAAGAGCAUGAAAUUAAAGUAGUGGUAUAGGUACAAGAACACGUUCAUGAUCCUCCCGAAAUCUUUUUGUAGACCGACGUCCUGUCUACAGUACGUAGGAUUAGGAUGCGUCGGGAAUGAACCUCCCACCUUCUGCAUUUUCCAUUCAGACUCACUACUUUGCUUCGAAACUGUCUGUAUCUGUUUCAAUUUAUCACAGUGAGUGGACUGAACGAUCAGGCUGAGUACGACGACCAUGCAGUGUGCAAAGCAAGUCUAGUGAACUUGUAUUUUGAUUUGUUUGAUUGCUGGAGCUAUGUAAAUGAAACUAUACCAGAUACACGUACAUCAACAUGAUGGAGCCAGGGAUGUAGUUAUGGGCAAACCGGCCAAUUAAUUAUAGUUUGGGUUCUGAAGGUUUUGAUUAUGACUCAAUGUUGAGAAUCAGUAUAAUUUGAGUUACCAUUUUAAUCUGGUGGUCUAUUAUUAUUUGUAGUUUUAGGAUCAAAACAAAACAAUCAAGCCUACCGGAGGGGUAAGGGUAGGAAUACCAAAAACCAAAACUUUUAGGGGAAUUAAAAGUUACUCUGAAAUUCGAUGAAGUAUGUGACGAAGUCCGAUGUGAUCGCCAGAUGUACACUUGUUAGACUGCUGGUCUGACCGGGGCGAUAUCGUUGGUCCAACUGUCCUCUGAGCAACUAUUGUCUGAAGCCACCGCCAGUCUGACCGUCGCUACCUCGCCAAUCUGACCGCUGAGAUCAGGAGAAACAUCGAUUGAAGAACUCAUAAAAAUAAAUCAUCUUUAUUACUUCUAAUUAUGUUUACAAAACACAACAAUUACACUUGUCUCUCAACUUUUGACGAAACUCGAAAUCUAGGCUAAACCUAAACUUUUCUCUCAACUAAUAAUCUCACAAAAUCUAUACCUAGAGGCAUCAACCACUCUUUUAUUUAUACCCUGAUGUGGUUGUACAAAAACCACAAAUCCACUUUGUAGAAAAAGUCAUAAUUUAGUAGGAAACCUACCCAUACAAGUAAUCCACCUGAUCAAACUCCAAUCGUCCUAAAUUUAUACUACUUCUAAAUUCGACUUCGCAUCCCAAACACACAAAACUCAUUUUUUAUAUUGCAUGAAAUCUUCGCUACUAUGUGCACUAUCAUUUAUCCUAAGCGUCCCGCGUGAUCUAGUGAUCAUCUGGACAUCAACUUCUUCCAAGUUGACUCCUGACCCGUCACUGGCAAUACUCUCUUGACACAUCAAGGCACACUAACACAUAAAUAAAUAAGAAACCAAAUCCGAGCACAAAUUAUUCCACAACUUGACUCAACAUUAGUAUACAACAAUAUUAAAUAUAUAGUAAUAGUCUAGAGUCAUAAACAUAAAGUAAUCACGAGUAUACAAACAAACCAAUCCGAAACUAACUCCAAUAAAGUGCUAGGCAGUUAGACCGUCGGGCCGGUCGGCCUAAUUGCCUCAACACCACUGGUUUGACAAGCCCACCUUGCGCGGUCUGACCGGCUCCACACAAUGGAAAACAUGUUCAUCGUACUACCACUAUUCAACGUUGUUCCCACACUACUACAGAAACGAUUUUCCUAUGCGAGCCCCUCGUUAGAUUCCAGACAUUCGAUAACUGACCGCGUCUGAAAAAAUCAUCCUACCAUUUUUGCGUGCGGACCCUUAAGAGAACCACACGCACAAAUCAAUUUUUGCGCAUGGGCCUCUUAAGGGUCCGCACGCAAAAACAAGUGUAUUUUCACGUACGGGCAUCUUAAGAGCAUAGCACGCGAAAAUACCCUCCCUCCUCAGGCAAUUUUUCUCUCUCAACCACUUCAAAAAUUUAUAUCUUAUCCUCUCCACCUACCGAUCCUUAUCCUCAUUAUUCCCUUUCUUCUCUCUCUCGUCUAUCGUCUCUCACGGGCAGCGUGUGGGCUUGGUGGCUGACAGGUGGCAGCCAGGAGCGGCGGCGACCCUCGCCCGCCCGGAUCUGGAGGACGCGCCCCUCUCCCGCCGGCUGGAUCCAGCGGUUGGCGGUGGCGACGUGGCCGGGAGCGGCGGUGAGCUUGGGAGAGGUGACGGGCUUGUGAGCCAGCUGCGGCGGCCGGUCGCGGCAGAAGGCGGCGACGCCGCCACCGACGACGACGAUGGUGGCGCACGUCGACAACGACGGCGACGGCGAGGAGGGUGGCGGUGGGCGGUAGCUAGGGUUAGGGUUUGGAUUUUUUUUUUGGGUUUUUUUUCCAUGUGGGCGACAUAACCCAACCGCACGCGAAAAUCAUUUUCGCGUGGCACAAAAAAAUUGGAUUUUUGCAGACACUUAGGUGCAGACAGGGGUGAGAUCCGCACGCAACAACCCUUUUCGACCGCACGAAAAAAAUCGUUUUCUUAGUAGUACCAGUCUAACCUUUACGCAAAACCCUGCCCAAUAUAGAGGCAACCACUUAGCCAAUAAAUUACCAAAUAGACAAACCAUUACAAAAUAAUAAUAAUAAUAAUAAUAUUAUUAUUAUUAUUAUUAUUAUUAUUAUUAUUAUUAUUUUUAUUAUUUUUAUUUUAUAGUAGUUUAUUAGGAAAGGAGACUAGUAAAAGGCCAUAUUAUCUUAUUAUUGCUUGUUUCCUUGUAGGGUGUAUUUGUAAUUUUGUUUGUUUCCAGGAAUAGGCCGUAAAAUGAUUCAUGCUAACUUCAAAACAAAAGGAAACACUCUGAUUAUUCAGCCACACCACACAACGCUACCUACCUAGCUAGAUUGGUAGCUUAUACUAUAGUACCCAAUACUUGGAAGCUUGGAGUGGUGAAUUUGACAAAUUGACCCUUUUACGGCUGCCGUCCAGGAUGAACUCGUUGCAGACUUUCAGUAGUACUACUCUUGCAUCAGUACUAAUCAGGGGCCCUCCAAUCUAUCAUCAAUACUAAUUAUCCAUGCUUAACUAGCAUCAGAUUAUAGGACAAAAUAAAACAGAAAAAAAAAGAUUACAGGGCACAACCUUAUCCCCUGAUGAUUAACUUCAGUUCAGUUUGAUGCUUUGUUUCUUUCAUCAUCAUGAGUCACCCCGCCGCCAGCUUGUCGGCUUCAGCUUGCCUCCUGUUCCUAAUACUUAUUCCUGAAGUUGUUCACAACAUGAAACAUGUAACAAAUAGUAGUAGAUCGAAUCAAUCAACAGUCUAAGAUCACAUCAAUUUCAUGGUGCGUUCUAUGACAUUUCGUGGUGUUCUAACACAUAUCUUGUGCUGUACUAUUGUGUUCACGUGCAUGUGCCAGUUGGAUAAACCAGUUAGUAGGACACAGCUCCUCUGACGUAAAGACAGAGAGACGUGGGUCGCAGACAGGUGGGGCCCACCUUUAUGGGCCUACACGUCAGUGACCACGUCCAUCUAACUUUCACUGGUGGAGAAUCCGGGACUAAAGAUCGCUAUCUUUAGUCCUGGGUGAAAAAACCGGGAGUAAAAAUCCAUUUUUAGUCCUGGUUGGUGUUACCAACCGGGACUAAAGAUACUCUAUCUUUAGUCCCGGUUGGUAACACUAACCGGGACUAAAGAGGCUAGCUAGGCUGCUACUUUAUUCUAUUCUUUUCUUCAUUGUUUUUAAUAUUUUGAUUCACUCUAUCCCGUCCCAAAAUCCCAAAUCAAUCGUCAUCCCCGAAUAGUCUCCAAAUUCUCAAAUCAAUCUCAAAAUACAUAACAAAAUCUUAAAAAAAUUACAUCACAGCUUCUACAAAAUUCAUCACAAAUACAUCACAUAUUCACAUCACACACAAAUCAAAUACAUCACAUAUUCACAUCACACACAAAUCGUCUUAGAUCCAAAUCACAGAUUUAAAAAAAAAAGAAAGAAAAAAGGAAGAAGAUGAACGGCCCGCUGCUGCCGCCUCGCCGCCCGCCGCCAGCGUGCCGUCGCGCCCGGCCCUCCGAGCGCCGCGCCGCCUCACCGGCCGGCAGCCGCCGCGCGCCGCGCGCCGCCCGCCUCGUCCCUGGCCGCCGCCGCGAGGCCACCAGCCGCCAGCUCGCCGCCUCGCCCGGCCUCCGCGCGCCCCGCCGCCGCGCAGGCCGGCCGGUGUCACGCCCCGAACUAGUCCCGACCGGAACUAGCCCGUGACGCUCCAAUUUAACCUGUUAAUCGAUACCAGUCCCAGGAAGCAGUGCUGGUAUCACAGGGAGACAGAAUAUCACAGCAACAGAGGUCUCUUUAUUAUAGAGUAGAAGUACAGUCAUGUUGGGCUGCGGACAGAUCCCGAGCUUACAACUGCAUGACAAAAGGAAAGCGGAAGCCAGGACUUGGACCAAACAAUCACAGGCGCGACUUGGGAACUAGGCCGAAACCCUAAAACUCAUCGUAGCCGGCUUGCUCCUGGAAGAACUCCUCAUCAGCAGGAUCCGCUUCAUCUUCUUCAGCAACUGGGGGGGUUAUUUAUAUAGAGCAAGGGUGAGUACGGGAGUACUCAGCAAGCCAGGGGAAAUAAGUGUUUAAUGCAGGCUUCAAGGAAAGGCUGUUGUUUUUGCAAUUGAUUUUAUUUGAACUCUUUUUCUAAAAUAACUAGGUGAGUGCUUCUCAAACGACACGAAUGAGACAGUGCGUCUCGUCCGGUCGGAGUAUGUGCAAUGUAUCAGUCUUCAGAUCUUGAAACAAGGUUGGCACCCGGCCAACAGCUUUUCAAACGGCCACCCGGGCCAACAACUUUUCAAACGGCCACCCGGGCCUAGCUGAUCCCGUCAGCUGCUGAUUUUCCAAACAUCGAACCCAUUUUCACAACAGCAAUUUCACAAGCAGUAGUCAAACAAAACUACGCUAGGAAUCACCUCACAUCCGCCCAUGACCGUGGGCACGGCUGUUCGAACAGUUUGUUAACCUCUGCAGAGGGGGUACACUUUACCCACACGACAUUACUAACCCGGAUCACCCAGCCGUGGGGAUCAGCCACGUCGGGAGACCUCCAAGCUUUCAUGACAAGGCAUUUCGAAAGCCGAUACAGGUUUACCAUAUGCCGACGAGAGGGGUCCCAGACCAACAACAGGUUAGGUCCCAGACCAUACUGUGCCAGAAAGCCCAGGGGUCCUCCCCGACACCACCCCGGCGAAUCCACAUGUCUCUCAGCAUCAAGGCUCCCCUGAUAAGCUAGUUACUCAGCCAGGGGUGUCCCAUUCCACCCAUGUGGUCGUACUUGUCUUAUGUUUGGAUGAAAUUCCAAGGAAUCGGUCCUUAAGUGCGAGAGCGGGAAACCGUACACCCGGUACGUUCCCCGGUCCGCGGUUUUGGAAAUUCAUUUAGUUCGCAAGCACCGACCCAGGUGUCGGGUUUUCCAAGUCUUUUGUAAAACUCCAGUUUUACCCAAGUUGUUACUCAGAUUUUAAGUUUGAAGGCGACCGUCGAUACUUGCACAGAGUGCACGAAUAUCGAGGUGCAACUGGGUGGUUACAAGGGGACAUAGUAUGGCAAUUAACAAUGGAAGGAUCAAAUGCAACAAGUUAGGUAAGUCCGCCAAUCUGUCUUGCAGAUGGGACAAAAGAUUUAGUGCGAUCCUAUCAAUGCAUAAUAUUUUGCAAGCAAUAUAAUUAAAUUUCAAAUAUAGGCUCAAGAUGUUCAAAGGUGGCUUGCCUUGCUCGAGAUCUGGAGCUUGAUCCUCGAAAUCCUCGCACUGCGGGUCUUCUGGCUCCGAAACUACACGCGAAACGGGACAACUCAACAAACGGCAAAAAAAUAAAGCCCUAUUAAUGACCUCUAAGCGUGCCAUUAGAUAGAUCUCGAGAUUUGGGGAAAUUUGGAAGUUGAAUGGAGUCAAACGGAUUUACGGUUGGGAAGAUAUUGAAUUUCUAAGAUUAUUGAAUUUUUUAUCUAAAGGAAAAGGAUUUAAUUAAAUCCUUUUUGGAAAAGAAAAGGAAGAGGGAGGAGAAGUAGACUUCUCUCGGGCGGCUAGGGCGCGGCCCAAGGGAAAUGGAGUGGACCGGCCGAUCUUAACGGGCCGGCCGGCCCAAGACGGCCCAAGCGCGCGCGCGCGUGGGAGGGAGGAGAGAGAGUCCGGUGGACUGGGCUCACCACGCGCGGUCCCGGGUGGGACCCGCUUGUCAGCGGCUCGGCUCACCGUGCGGAGGGAGUUUGCGGCGUACGCGCGCGGGCGGGGCUGGGACGCGGUGCACGCGCGCGGUUCGCGGAGGAACGGAUGCGGCGGGCCCACGCGCAGCCUCACGGCUCACCGCGGACCAUGCGCACGGGGGAAAAACGGAGGGAGCGGCUGGCCGGGUCGGCUUAUCCGGUCGCGGCCGAGGUGGCGCCGACGUGGCGCCUACGUGGCAGCCACGCGGGCCGGCGGGAGGUAGACGACGACCCGGCCGCGAAUGGACGGCGGGCGACAGCGGCGAGCGGCGGAGCGAGCCACGGCGAUACCGGCGAAAGCGAGCACACCGGGUGGCAGCACAGGACGAGGGGAGACGAGCCAACGGCUCGGAUUCGCCGGAGGGAGUCCGUCGGCGGCGGAUUGCGGCGGCGGCAACCGGCGGAGAGGAAAGGGGGAAACGGCGAUGAGGUCCCGAGGGGCUAAUUCCCGGCGGCGAGAGCAUCUACGCGGCUUCGGGAACUCGACGCUUGCGUCGGAUUGGACGGAACUACGCCGAGCGAGGCCGGCGACGAGCGGGUGCUACGGAGCUCGGGCGGCGACGGCGGCGAGCAUACAGCGAGCGAUGGCAACGGUCGGGGCGGCGCCGGCUAACUACGGGGAGUCUACUCAAGCUACUACCGAAAGCUAGGGGGAGGAGAUGGAGCGAGGAGGGAGAACGGAGGGAGGCACUACCGUGCGGGACGGGCGCAGUGACGAGAGGCCGACGGCGCGGGAGUGAUCUCUCCGGCCUCGGGCCGAGGAAGAGUGUCGCGACCGGGAAAAUUGCCUUUUCCCGAACGCUAGUGUAUUAAUCCCCGUCCCAGGAAAAGCCGGGGUACACCACACAAACAUGAUAUAAAAGACACAUCUUUAUUAUAUCGAUAAUAUUUACAUUAUUACAAAGGCGCUUCAGGCCUGGCAAUCAAAAAUAAACAGCAGCGGACUAGCAGGCCUACGGCUCCAUCUUCACAGGCGCUCAACUGGGGUAUAAGCCAGGACUCCACCUAAGACAUCUUCUCCAAAGCUUCUCUUACUGAAGGGGGGGGGGAGAAAGAUAGAGCAAGAAUGAGUACAACCACAGUACUCAGCAAGCCACACCGGAGAUGCACAAUUAAUGCAAAGGAGUACAAGGGGAUAAUAAUAUAGGGGUUAAGUUUUGCAGUAAACAGCAUUUAACAGUCACUUAGUUGCCCAAAGCUAUUUUGUAAACACGAUCCUAGAGCUAUACAAUAUUAUUAAUCAAGGUCGUGAACCCACACGAACCUGCCUUAACCCAAGGCCUACGAUGAUUCAGACCGAACUGGCAACCCGACCCUGGGCCCCAGCUCGUCCCAAGCCAACCCAGGCCAACCAUUCCACAUUUUAGUUGUUGAGCAAAUUUUAAGAAUUAUAACACUGACUUGGGUACAUUGCUCGGCUUGCCCAUAACCGAGGGCGCGGCUAUUCGAAUAGAUUAUACUCUGAUCAGAGGUGUACAUCUUUACCCACAAGACACAUCUUCCUCACGUGCAACCACGUGCCACAUACCACCACGGUAUACAGACGGAAGACGUGACAUAGUUCCCAACCCAUCCUAGCCAUAAACAAGAGUACCGACCCAAUCCCACCUACGGCCGGAACCCCCGGGACAGGCAGGCAGGACUGAGCCCCAAGCAGCAGGGCACCAACCCUCUGCCACGACAUCUCGACUACCGGGCCGCAGCUCGUGUAGCCUUCAUUUGUCCUGGAGAAUGUCCAUCGACCCCCGACUUCAUCCAUCUCCAAUCCGUGUACUUUUGUUUAUGACUAGACUGAGCCACAAACUAAGCCUUACCCACUAGACAUGUGGAAGUACGGUAGUGCUUUGCAACAGAGGCCCGAGCUUAAUCCUUAUAGUGGCCGGGGUGCUACUUCCCACAACUGGCAUGCACCCAAACCCCACCGAAAACAGGUUUUAGGGGUUUUGAAAGAGGAAGAGAGGUGUAUGUCCAAUUCCACCAUAACCCAACAAUUCCAUAGUGUCCAAAUGAUAUGAGAAUUCCCAAAGUCUAAAGUUAUAAAACCACCUAAUGUUGCCUAAUUAAUCAGCGAAUCAUCUACCUAAAUUUAAACUAGGGAUACCACGAGUAGAGUGUCCACUAGUUGAGGUUUUGUUUAAUCUAGGGUGAACAAGGUAGUAAUAAUAACAAUAACAAUAAUAAUAUGGUCAUAACAAAGGUAAAUAGGCAUGGCUAAAUAAAACAGUGAUAACGCGGGAAUUUAAAUAAAGCGAUAAUGCAAUAAUUUAAAUCAACAUAAUUUUACAAACUGGGAUUCAAUAUGUUCAAAGAUGAUGUGACUUGCCUUGCUCAGAGAGAACGGCCUUCCGAACCUUCGGCGACGACCGCGAACCACGCUUCGGGAACCUCCGGAACGACGAAAGCUACGCGAAGCACACAAGCAAAGCUACAAGCCUAUAAAGAAGCAAUAACAAUACAUAAAAAGAAAGCACAGGGUUCUUUAGGUUAUAACCAACAUUAGGAGACUUGAACGGGUCGAUUCAGGGUUCGUAUGACCAAGAUAUGAUCAUCCGAGGUUUAAUGCUGUUAUAUGGAGAUUUGCGGAUUAUUAUAAUUAAGCUUUGCAACUAUAAAACGUGUGUAAGCGCUAGCCUGGAAAAGACAGGAAGGCUGCGCCGUUGACAUGCGGACCCCACAUGUCAACCUAAAGGACCGCGGUAGACCAGGUACACAGAGACGGUCCACGGGUCGACGGAAGCGGACCCCGUGUGUCAACCGAGGCGAGUGGCCGACAAACGGACUCCACUAGACACCACACGGCCUGCACACGUGGAAACCACGCGGCUACCGAGCGGGCACGCUAACACGGUCACCACACGCACAAGCGAACGACUACCAACACCGGUACACGGGUACCGGGGCCGACAACCGCACAACGAGCACGGGCGACACCGAAAGGACGAGGACGGGGCAGCGGGAGAGGGAUCCUUACCACCACGCGACGAGGCGUGGGAACGACAACGACGAACGGGCGCGGCGGAGGCGGCCGGGAACCACGGAGACGAACGGCGAGGGGACGACUUCGGCGGCGAUCCUAGGACGAAGGCGAGACGCGGCCGGCACGAGGCUUGACGACGCGGAGGCGAGGACGAAGACGAUGAUGGGGCUGCUGCACUUGACGAAGCGAGGACGACGAACGAGAACGGCUUGACGGAGGGACGAACGCCACGACGAUCGGAACCGGGAACGACGAGAGGACGACGACGACGACGACCGGAGCCGGCGAGGAGGCGACGAGGGCAGCCGGCGGUGGCUGCACGGAGACGAGGACGACGUGGAACACGCCGCUGCGAUGCCGACGACGGAGGCGGCGCCGCGAGACGACGAGCCGGGCAACCGACGGGACGUCGACGACGAGAACGAUCGGAGACGACGAUGAUGGACCGCGGAGGGGUUUGGAUGGAGGGGAAACGAUGCCGAGGACGACCUUGCCGCUGCGAUGCCGGAGGUGGUAGUGGUGCAGCAAGCCGACGAGCCGGGGAGGAGGAAGGGGCGGCCGAAAGGACGCCGGCGACGAAGAGGAUGGAGAGGCCGGCGCGGCGACGGCGUUCCGGCGAAACCGAGGAGCAGCCGGAGGGGAGGACGACGCUGCGAUGUCAACGGAGGAGACGGCGACGUCGGUCGGCGUACCGGCGACGAACAGCAGCCGGCCGGAGACGGAGAAGUGGUGGCGACGCCACUGGACGCCGGCGAGGAGGCCACUCCAGCGAGCUUCGGGCGAGGAGGAGGUGAUGCCGGGGAUGAGGGCGGCGUCGCGGAGCCGAGGGAGGUGGUGGCGACGUCGUCCGGCGCUCAGGCAGGGAGACAGAGGCGGCUGGAGGCGGCCGGCGCGGAGGAAAGGGAUGGGCGACGACGGGAACGCAGCUCCGGGGGUCUCCGCGCGAAACGGAGGGCAGGCCGGCGAAGAGGAGGUGGCGGCGACGCUGGAGGAGGCGACGGCACGGCCGGACGACGCUCCGGCGAGGCGGGAGAGGCGGCUGGAGGCCGGCCGGCACCGGAGAGAGAGAGGGAGAAGGUGGGGAGAGGCGGUGCGGCCACGGGGGAGCUCGGGAAGAGGCUAAAACGGUAGAACGCAUAGAGGGGGUUCCAUUUUAUAGGAGAGGAGAGGGAGCCGGCCACGGGGGAGGUCGGAACGGCGACGGGAAUGGCGGCCGGCGGCAAAGGUAGGCGGCCGGACUUGGCGCGUCCGUUCCCGGCGAUUGGGGGCGCCAUUCAAGGGGGAAUUAAGGGGGAAAGAGAGAGGAGGGAAAGGGGAUUAAUUCCCCCUAAUCAAUUUGGGAAUCCCAUGCUUGAAUCGCGCGGAUUUGAGGGAGGAAUGGCGCUAGGGUUCACGGGAGAGGGAGAGAGGACGGCCGGGCGGGAGGACGACGAUGACUCGCCUGACGCGCGGGCCCCACGCGGUCAGGCGGCGGCGUCAGCGCGCGCACGCGCGCGGCACGGGCGGGAGGGCGCCGCUUGGGCAGGGGCGCGGCUAGGGUUGGGCCGAGCGGCCGGCCCAGGAGGAGAGGAGGGGGAGGCGGCCUGGGCCGGGCAGGCCGGGAGGGGAGGGGGGGGGGAAAGAGGCAGCCCGGGAGAGAGGGAGGAGGGAGCUGGGCCGAGGGGAAGGGGAGCCCAAGAGAAGGAGGGAGAGAAGGAGAGGGAGAGAAGGAGAGGGAGAGAAAGAGAGGGAGGAAAGGGAGACUUCGGCCGCGGGCCGAGGGGAGAGAGGGAGGACUUUGGGCCAAAAUUGGCCCAAAAGAAAAGGAGGAUUAUUUUUAGAUUUUCUUUUUAAUAAACUUUGUUAAUUGUUUUUGUUGCUUAAUAAUUAUUUCCGGUGCUCUGAAAAUUCAAGUAAAAUUUGAGAGCUCCAUUUAGACCAAGGAGAAUUUAACAAAAAUUCUCCGGGCCACAUUUGAAUUUUUCUUGCACGUAUUUUAGUGUUUGCCAAUUUCUUUUCGUAUUUUAAUUAAUUCUAUUAUUCCUUUUAGAAAAUGAUUUUUAUUUUGGGAUGAAUUUAUCAGGACGUGACAAAGAGGGUGAAGAGGGCGCGCCCGGAGUCCCCUUCCGCGUCCACGAACGCACCGGCUCUCCCGGCGCUUGGCGAUGGACGGCGGAGGCGAGGCAGAGCACGGGAGCGGCGGCAAUGGCGCGGAGGCGAAUGGGAGAGGAGGGGAAAGGGGAGGCUGGGGUUUAUAGGGGGCGGCAAUGUCAGUUUGGGAACCGACUUGCGCGGUCAAGGGCGCGAGCUGGCGCUCCGGCUAGCGGCCAAAACGGCGACAGGAGGAUGACGCCGGCGAGAAGGGAAAAAGGGGAGAAAAAGAAGAAAAGGAGGGAGAGAAAGGGGGCUCGCCCCUUUGCCGAUUCGGGAAAAGGAGGAGGGGGCGGGGCGACGCGGCAGAGGGAAGGGAGAGCUCGGCCUCCGCCUCUUGGCGGCUUGCGCGCGGAGUGGCGGGGCCGGGGGAUGACGACGGCGAUGACGGUGAGAUGGUUUGGAGCGGCGCGACGACACGGGCGACAGGCGCGGCAGGCGCUGACGACGGCGGCGACUGGGCGGUCGGCCACUCAGCGCGCGCGCGCGGGAAACAACGGGCGGCGUCCGCGCGGGCGCGCGCACGCGAACACGGCGCGCGGGAAGCGGCUUUGCGAGGGGAGGGGCGCUUAGCGCGGGCGACUCCCGCGCACGCGCGCGCGGCGCGCGGGCGGGACGGAGGGGAAGCGGGGAGAGAGGCGCUCGGGGCGGCUCUCGCACGCGCGAGCAGCGUGCGGGCGAGGCUGAGCGGGGGGGGGGGGAGGAGCGCGCCGGGGGGAGAGAGAGAGAGAGAGAGAGAGCGCCCGGGAGAGAGGGCCGGGGGAGAGAGAGAUGGGCCGAGCGAGAUUCGGCCCAUCGACCUCGGGGGAGGCAAAAUAGACUUUUGCGGAGGAAUUUGAUUGGAAGGAUUUGGAUUCGGAAUUGAACUCGACGAUAGAUCGGGGAUUGAGAUCUUGAGAUGGCACGGACACUAGACAACAAUCAAAGAAACAAAUUUCGCAAUUAGGGUUUUUCGGAGAUUAUUUUCCCGCUAGGCACCACGACGGAACGGGCGCUACAGACCAACCCCCCCUAACAAGAAUCUCGACCCCGAGAUUCAGCACCUAAGGGAGCAGCUCCGGAAACUCGGCGCGGAGAAGAUCUUCUCGUUCCCAUGUUGCCUCAUCUUCGGAAUGAUUGCUCCAUUGGACUUUGUAGAACUUGAUGGUCUUCCUUCGAGUCUGACGUUCUGCCUCUUCAAGAACCUUGAUCGGUCUUUCCUUGUAGGUCAGAUUCUUUUUCAGCUCGAUGUUACCCAAGGGGACUUGCUCUUCUGGAACUCGAAGACAUUUCUUUAGCUGGGAUACGUGGAACACGUUGUGCACAUCUGCGAGACCUUCAGGUAGCUCAAGCUGAUAAGCCACUUCGCCACGUCUGGCGGUUAUGAGGUAGGGGCCGAUGUAGCGGGGUGCUAACUUGCCGGACAUCCCAAACCUUCUCAUACCUCGGAGUGGUGAUACCCGCAGGUACACAUGAUCUCCCUUUUCGAACUCAAGGUCACGUCUCCGAUUGUCAGCGUAAUUCUUUUGGCGGUUCUGCGCUGUCUUCAGACGUUCUCGGAUCAGCUUAACUUGUUCUUCUGCUGACUUGAGUAUGUCAGGACCGAAUACCAGGGCUUCGCCCACCUCAUUCCAGCACAAGGGGGUGCGGCACUUUCUUCCGAACAUUGCCUCAUUCGGCGACAUCUGAAUGCUGGCCUGAUAACUGUUGUUGUAUGAGAACUCAGCAUACGGCAAACAACGAUCCCAAGUGCCUUCGAAAUCCAAGGCACACGCACGCAGCAUGUCUUCUAGGAUUUGGUUUACCCUUUCUGUCUGACCAUCGGUCUGUGGAUGGUAGGCCGUACUAAAAUUCAGAUCAGUUCCGAGGGCUUCAUGCAACUGCUUCCAGAACCUUGAGGUGAACUGAGUGCCUCGGUCUGACACAAUUUUCUUGGGACAGCCAAAUCUACAUACGAUAUGGGUCAUGUAGAGUUCUGCUAGUUUCUUUCCAUCAUAGGUGGUUUUUACUGGCACGAAAUGAGCUGAUUUCGUGAGUCGGUCCACGAUUACCCAAAUGGAGUCGUACCCGCUGGGGGUUCUUGGCAAACCGGUGAUGAAAUCCAUUCCGAUCUCUUCCCAUUUCCACUCGGGAAUCGGUAGGGGUUGCAGCAGACCAGCUGGCCUCUGAUGCUCUGCCUUGACUCUUUGGCAAAUGUCACACAAGGCUACGUAUUCUGCGACAUCUCGCUUUAUUCCAGCCCACCAGAAGUAUGCCUUGAUAUCUUGGUACAUCUUCGUACUUCCUGGAUGAAUGGAGUAAGCGGACUCAUGAGCUUCCUUUAGGAUGAGAUCUCUUAACUCCUUCUUGGCCGGUACACAGAUGCGUGGACCGCACCAAACUGUGCCUUGAUCGUCUAUGGAGAAAUUGGUGUCUUUCUUCUCCUGUAUUCUUUUUAUUAACUCUUUUAUCCCUUCGUCGUCUUUCUGUGCCUCCCGGAUUUGCGAUUCUAGGGUAGGCUGUACUGUCAAGCUGGCAGGGACUCCUGACUGUACCACGGUCAGCCUUAACUUCUCCAAUUCUCUGCACAGGUGAUCUUGGUCAGGCCGUAUUUGAGCUACAUUGCAAUAGGCCUUGCGACUUAGUGCAUCAGCGACCACGUUGGCUUUACCAGGAUGAUAGUGGAUUCCAAGAUCGUAAUCCUUGAUUAGUUCCAACCAUCUUCUCUGUCUCAUAUUUAACUCGGUCUGAGUGAAGAUAUACUUAAGACUUUUGUGAUCGGUGUAUACUUCACAUCUGUUCCCGAUUAAAUAGUGCCUCCAGAUCUUAAGAGCAUGAACCACGGCUGCCAACUCGAGAUCAUGGGUGGGAUAAUUGACUUCAUGAGGCUUGAGCUGCCUGGAUGCAUAGGCCACAACCUUUCGUUCUUGCAUUAGGACACAUCCUAAGCCUUGUCUUGAUGCGUCACAGAAGAUCUCGAAAUCUUUUCGGAUAUCUGGCAAGGUGAGAACUGGGGCAGUGGUCAACUUUUUCUUCAUUUCUUGAAAGCUGUCUUCACAGGCUGUAGACCAUUGAAAUUUCUUUUCCUUCUUUAACAGUUCGGUCAUAGGUCUGGCUAGCUUAGAGAAUCCUUCAAUGAAUCUUCGAUAAUAUCCAGCUAAGCCAAGGAAGCUGCGAAUCUCUGACACAUUCUUGGGCGGGUUCCAAGCAAGUACAGCUUCAACCUUGCUGGGAUCUACUUCGACACCGUUGGAGGAGAUCACGUGUCCAAGAAAUGCUACUCGGUCUAACCAGAAUUCGCAUUUCGUGAAUUUAGCGAAUAGUUGAUGAUCUCUGAGCUUUUCCAUUAUCAGCCUCAGGUGUUCAGCAUGUUCUUCCUCAUUUUUGGAGUAUAUCAGGAUGUCAUCGAUGAAUACCACGACAAACUGGUCCAGGUAUUCCAUAAAGAUUUUGUUCAUUAAGUUCAUGAAGAAUGCUGGAGCAUUGGUGAGUCCGAAGGACAUUACUGUGAACUCAUAUAGACCAUAACGCGUUGAGAAAGCGGUCUUUGGGAUAUCUUCAGACCUGAUUUUCAAUUGGUGGUAACCUGACCUCAAGUCAAUCUUUGAGAAAACUCUUGCUCCUUUAAGUUGAUCGAAUAAAUCGUCAAUCCGUGGCAACGGGUACUUGUUCUUUAUAGUUACUUCAUUCAGGGCUCUAUAGUUGAUUACCAUUCUCUCAGAGCCAUCCUUUUUCUUAACCAGAAGCACUGGGGCUCCCCAAGGGGAUGAGCUAGGUCGCACAUAACCUUUACUCUCCAACUCUUCGAUUUGUCUUUUGACUUCUGCUAACUCAUUAGCUGCCAUUCGGUAGGGUCUUUUUGCAAUUGGAGCUGUGCCUGGUGCCAGUUCUAUGGCGAACUCGAUCUCUCGGUCUGGUGGCAUUCUUGUUAAUUCUUCCGGAAAUACGUCGGGAUAUUCACAGACUAUGGGCACCGACUCCAAGGAGGUGACUUGUAAACAGGUUAGGAUGGACCGACUUGCGGUAGGGUUGUUAGGGGUAAAGCGGACUUGCUUUCCUCCAGGUCCUUGCAAGGUGAUGGACUUUUCGGCACAAUCUAUCUGUCCUUUGUGCUUAGCCAACCAAUCCAUCCCUAGGAUGAUGUCCAAGCUUUGCGAGUCUAGGACUAUCGGUUUGGCUAGGAAGUCAACUUCCUCAAUUCUAAGGUUAACUUCCGGGCAUAUUUGAGUUGCCCUUAUAUUCCUUCCAGAGGAAUGUACUAUCAUUGGUACACGCAAAUUUUGGGUUUUCCAACCAUUUCUUUUCACAAAAGCUUGCGAUAUGAAGGAAUGGGAAGCUCCCGAAUCAAACAGGACUAUUGCGGGUACGGAGUUGACAGAGAACAUACCCAUCACAACGUCUGGAGCAUCCUGAGCGGUUUCAGCUUGAAUGUGAUUCACACGUCCUCGACCAAAGUGGUUGGAAGCACGAGAACCUUGUCCACUUGCCUGAGAGCUAGGACGAGACUGAGCUGCCGCUGGAGUAGGAGUUCUGGCGGUGCUGCCAUUAGCAUGCCCUGAGUUGGUGUUGGUAGGAUUCUGAGGACACUGUCUAGCAUAGUGACCCAUCUGGUUGCACCGGAAACACUGAACUGCUGAUGGUCCCUGCGGUGACUUGAAAGAGGUAACACUGUUAGGCGCUGUAUUGCCACUAGGGGCACGCUGCUGUGGCGGAGGUGCCGGACGGUUUAUCUGAGGACGAGGGGCGUAGCCUGGCUGGCGGUUAGCCUGAGUGACCGACUGAUGGUAUUGCAUGGGUUGACCGUAGCGAGGGCGAGGUGCGCCUCGGGAAGAAUUUCCCUGAUGGUUAGACUUGCGUUUCUUGUAUUCUUCGGUAGCCUCUUUUCUGGCAUCCUCAAGUAGAAGUGCUUUGUUGAUCAUAUGUUGAAAAGUGGGGAAGUCAUGAGCAAGCAACUGGAGUCUCAUUCCAACUGCGAUUCCUUUCAAGAAUUUCCUAAUCUUUUUCUUAUCUGUGUCUACUUCCUCAGGGGCGUACCGAGCCAACUUGUUGAACUGACUUAGGAACUCAUUGACACUGCUGUUGCCUUGCUUAAGUCUGUUAAAUUCUUCUUUCUUCAUGUCAAUAGUGCUUUCAGGCACAUGAGCUGCACGAAAAGCCGUAGCGAACUCAUCCCAAGCAAUGUUAGUGGGUUCAGGGUGUGCAUUGCAGUAAUUCUCCCACCAAUCUGCGGCAGGUCCUCUUAGCUGGUGAGAGGCGUAGAGCGUCUUCUCAACAGGAGUACACUGCACUAAGUUGAGUUUUCUAUCAACAUCUUUCAACCAAUCAUCAGCCUCGACGGGCUCGACGGUCUGAGAGAACUCUGGCGGACGAGACCUCAGAAAGUCUGUCAGCUUGGAUCUGUUGUUGCCCAUGUGAGGGUGGCCAUUUCCAUGUGCAUUAUGCUGAAAACUGGCUAUGACUGUGGUUAGUCCUUGCAAGAUUUGUGUCUGAACUGCCAUUAAGUGUUGCAUGUUGUUUUCCACAUGAGGUGGGGAAGGGAGGCGUUCUUCUCCAGAAUUGUGACUGGCAGUGCGGUGAGAGCGGUGAGACUGCUCCAUCUCUGCAUCACGGGAAACUGUGCGAUGCGAGCGGCUGCUGCGGCGGGGUUGCUCAACCUCUGCGUUGCGGGAAACAGUACGGUGCGAACGGUUGCUGUGGUGAGACUGCUCAUUAGCUGAUUCAUGAUUUGCUUCUGCUUCAACUCUACCAUCUUCAAAACCAAAGCGGGCUGGUGCACGAGCUGCACGGCGGGGGCGGCUAGCCAUCUAAACUCCCAGAAAAGGGCGGGGUAAGAGUCAGAUAAGCACUUAGGAGGGCAAGGAGCAAAGCAAAUAGCAACUCAGAUAGCACACACUAGGCAUAAACUGGAUUUUUCAAAUCAUAAAAACACCUGAUACAACGGGUGUGGACAAGUCACAGAGCUACGCCGAGCUUGACUGUGCGCACACCACCUAGGAGAACCAGACUACCAAACAACACCCACAUCAAACACACACACGCACUACCUCGCCACGACUCCAAAAGAGUUGGCGGCGGAACAAAAGGGCCUGACACACGGACGGCUGCUGAAGACUGCCUCCUCUACUCCUCGUCGGCCUGGCUGCCUCCUGUAGUCGGCUCCUCUGUCGAAGAAACGUCGAUCGGCUGGUGCGAAGGGACCGGCGGAACCUGUCGAGGGCCGGCAGCAGCACGGGCUGCUGGCGGUGGGGGAGCUGGGUAGUGGAAACGGAACACGGUGGAAGAACCAACAACACGCUUCCGCGCAGUGCGGAUAAAGCGUGGGCCACGGCGGGAGGAAGCAACUUUGUCUUAUGUUUGGAUGAAAUUCCAAGGAAUCGGUCCUUAAGUGCGAGAGCGGGAAACCGUACACCCGGUACGUUCCCCGGUCCGCGGUUUUGGAAAUUCAUUUAGUUCGCAAGCACCGACCCAGGUGUCGGGUUUUCCAAGUCUUUUGUAAAACUCCAGUUUUACCCAAGUUGUUACUCAGAUUUUAAGUUUGAAGGCGACCGUCGAUACUUGCACAGAGUGCACGAAUAUCGAGGUGCAACUGGGUGGUUACAAGGGGACAUAGUAUGGCAAUUAACAAUGGAAGGAUCAAAUGCAACAAGUUAGGUAAGUCCGCCAAUCUGUCUUGCAGAUGGGACAAAAGAUUUAGUGCGAUCCUAUCAAUGCAUAAUAUUUUGCAAGCAAUAUAAUUAAAUUCCAAAUAUAGGCUCAAGAUGUUCAAAGGUGGCUUGCCUUGCUCGAGAUCUGGAGCUUGAUCCUCGAAAUCCUCGCACUACGGGUCUUCGGGCUCCGAAACUACACGCGAAACGGGACAACUCAACAAACGGCAAAAAAAUAAAGCCCUAUUAAUGACCUCUAAGCGUGCCAUUAGAUAGAUCUCGAGAGUUGGGGAAAUUUGGAAGUUGAACGGAGUCAAACGGAUUUACGGUUGGGAAGAUAUUGAAUUUCUAAGAUUAUUGAAUUUUUGAUCUAAAGGAAAAGGAUUUAAUUAAAUCCUUUUUGGAAAAGAAAAGGAAGAGGGAGGAGAAGUAGACUUCUCUCGGGCGGCUAGGGCGCGGCCCAAGGGAAAUGGAGCGGACCGGCCGAUCUUAACGGGCCGGCCGGCCCAAGACGGCCCAAGCGCGCGCGCGCGCUGGAGAGAGGAGAGAGAGUCCGGUGGACCGGGCUCACUACGCGCGGUCCCGGGUGGGACCCGCUUGUCAGCGGCUCGGCUCACCGUGCGGAGGGAGUUUGCGGCGUACGCACGCGGGCGGGGCUGGGACGCAGUGCACGCGCGCGGUUCGCGGAGGAACGGAUGCGGCGGGCCCACGCGCAGCCUCACGGCUCACCGCGGACCAUGCGCACGGGGGAAAAACGGAGGGAGCGGCUGGCCGGGUCGGCUUAUCCGGUCGCGGCCGAGGUGGCGCCGACGUGGCGCCUACGUGGCAGCCACGCGGGCCGGCGGGAGGUAGACGACGACCCGGCCGCGAAUGGACGGCGGGCGACAGCGGCGAGCGGCGGAGCGAGCCACGGCGAUACCGGCGAAAGCGAGCACACCGGGUGGCUGCACAGGACGAGGGGAGACGAGCCAACGGCUCGGAUUCGCCGGAGGGAGUCCGUCGGCGGCGGAUUGCGGCGGCGGCAACCGGCGGAGAGGAAAGGGGGAAACGGCGACGAGGUCCCGAGGGGCUAAUUCCCGGCGGCGAGAGCAUCUACGCGGCUUUGGGAACUCGACGCUUGCGUCGGAUUGGACGGAACUACGCCGAGCGAGGCCGGCGACGAGCGGGUGCUACGGAGCUCGGGCGGCGACGGCGGCGAGCAUACGGCGAGCGAUGGCAACGGUCGGGGCGGCGCCGGCUAACUACGGGGAGUCUACUCAAGCUACUAUCGAAAGCUAGGGGGAGGAGAUGGAGCGAGGAGGGAGAACGGAGGGAGGCACUACCGUGCGGGACGGGCGCAGUGACGAGAGGCCGACGGCGCGGGAGUGAUCUCUCCGGCCUCGGGCCGAGGAAGAGGGUGAAGAGGGCGCGCCCGGAGUCCCCUUCCGCGUCCACGAACGCACCGGCUCUCCCGGCGCUUGGCGAUGGACGGCGGAGGCGAGGCAGAGCACGGGAGCGGCGGCAAUGGUGCGGAGGCGAAUGGGAGAGGAGGGGAAAGGGGAGGCUGGGGUUUAUAGGGGGCGGCAAUGUCAGUUUGGGAAUCGACUUGCGCGGUCAAGGGCGCGAGCUGGCGCUCCGGCUAGCGGCCAAAACGGCGACAAGAGGAUGACGCCGGCGAGAAGGGAAAAAGGGGAGAAAAAGAAGAAAAGGAGGGAGAGAAAGGGGGCUCGCCCCUUUGCCGAUUCGGGAAAAGGAGGAGGGGGCGGGGCGACGCGGCAGAGGGAAGGGAGAGCUCGGCCUCCGCCUCUUGGCGGCUUGCGCGCGGAGUGGCGGGGCCGGGGGAUGACGACGGCGAUGACGGUGAGAUGGUUUGGAGCGGCGCGACGACACGGGCGACAGGCGCGGCAGGCGCUGACGACGGCGGCGACUGGGCGGUCGGCCACUCGGCGCGCGCGCGCGGGAAACAACGGGCGGCGUCCGCGCGGGCGCGCGCCCGCGAACACGGCGCGCGGGAAGCGGCUUUGCGAGCGGGGAGCUCGCGCGAGGGGAGGGGCGCUCAGCGCGGGCGACUCCCGCGCACGCGCGCGCGGCGCGCGGGCAGGACGGAGGGGAAGCGGGGAGAGAGGCGCUCGGGGCGACUCUCGCACGCGCGAGCAGCGUGCGGGCGAGGCUGAGCGGGGGGGGGGGGGGAGGAGCGCGCCAGGGGGGGGAGAGAGAGAGAGAGAGAGAGAGAGAGCGCGCCCGGGAGAGAGGGCCGGGGGAGAGAGAGAUGGGCCGAGCGAGAUUCGGCCCAUCGACCUCGGGGGAGGCAAAAUAGACUUUUGCGGAGGAAUUUGAUUGGAAGGAUUUGGAUUCGGAAUUGAACUCGACGAUAGAUCGGGGAUUGAGAUCUUGAGAUGGCACGGACACUAAACAACAAUCAAAGAAACAAAUUUCGCAAUUAGGGUUUUUCCGAGAUAAUUUUCCCGCUAGGCGCCACGACGGAACGGGCGCUACAGCCAGCCCUCCGCGCGCCGCGCCGCCGCGAGGGGCGGGCCUCUGCACCCCGCCGUUGCAGAGGGAGGUGGGGAGGAGGGAGAGGAAGAGAUAAGGGUGAUGGGGAGGAGGGAGAGGAGGAGAGAAAGGGAGGAGGGAGAGGAAGAGAUAAGGGUGAGUGGGUGACUUUGUGAGGAGAUGAGUUAAAAAAGGAGAGGAGGAGAUUGUAUUGAUCCGAUCCGCGUGCAACUAGCCUGCUUAUGUCGACUUUUUUCCCGGUUGGUAACACCAACCGGGACUAAACAUAGAUCUUUAGUCCCGGUUGGUACAUCAACCGGGAGUAAAGCUUAUAUUGAUCUUUUUUCCCGAUUGGUAACACCAACUAGGACUAUAAAUAGAUCUUUAGUCCCGGUUUUCAACACUAACCGGGACUAAAGAUCAAAAAAUUCCUCAAAGCUUUCAAACCGGGACUAAAAAUAUUUUUAGUCCCGGUUUUUAAUACAAUCGGGACUAUUGUGAAAUUUGGUAGACCGACCAAAGAUGGUUUCUACGUGAGAGGAGCCUCUUCCCAGUUAGCAAGUCACGUAUUGAACAAUGGAGACAAAUUGAUGGCCAGAGCCCCGAAGCAUAUAUUAUUACUUUUUUAAAAAAUGUGAGAAAUAAAAGGUUAGUAGUAUUUUGUGAGUUGCAAUAUGUACACCAUCCUUUUUUGAAGUAAAGAGUAAAAGGGAGCUAAAAGUGUUGCUCUUAAAUUAAGUGAGGUGGACGGAAGAGGUAUGUUAAUCCGCAAAAUAAUAAUAAAAAAAGUGGUUUUUGUUUUGCUUGGGUGCACUUUAUCUAAUGUGCUUUUAAAAUGUAUUUAUUCUUUUUUAAUAUUUUGCAAGGCUGUAGGAUGUGUAAGGACCAAUUUAUUAUUACGAUUGAGGCAAGCAGAAAAUUGACUAGCAUAUGACUGAUGUUUAAGCGUUGAAGAGUCAUAAAUUUUAAAUUAAUAUUUUGAUUUUUUUUGAGAGGAAAACUAACUGUUUCCAUUAACCCAUUGUCUCGACAGAACCGUCGAUAACCAAAUCCUCAACGCCAGGUGGAGUUCCAUCCCAGCUGAGAACAGUAUUGUCUGGGCUAUUACAUCCAAAUGCGGCUAAAGCGUCGGCCACCUUAUUACAUUCACGUGGGCAAUAACCAACACGGAAAGAAAGAAAAGCCAAAGCAAUAAACUUCUUCAUUUGCAGGACGAAGCCACCUAACGCUGCAAGAUGGAUGUUGCUCUCCUUCAGGGCUUGGACAAGCAACAGCGAGUCCGUCUCCAAGUGAAUAUGCGCUAUACCCCACUGUGCUGCCGCUUCAAGUCCCUUCACUGCCGCCAGAAUUUCAGCAUGGAGAGUGACGGAGCUCGUGGCUCCUCACCGGGAGACCGCGCAGGCCCCCCUUUGCCGGUUCGACCGGGGGCUUAGGGUGAAAUCCCAAGCUCUCGCUGUAUGUGGAAAGAUCGCGAACCCGGAAGAAACGCGAGACGCAGGAGACGUAUACAAGUUCGGGCCGCUGGGAAGCGUAAUACCCUACUCCUGUGUUUUGGUGGAUCUGUGUAUGGACAAGUUACAAAGUAUGAACCAGCCAAAAAGAUCCCCAUUCUAGGUGGGCAAGGUCCUCCUUUUAUAUCUCAAGGGGAUACCACAUGCCCCUCUCCCUUUCCAAACUGGACUGUUCUUCUCUUCAUAAAUGGACGGAGAUCGGUACGGUUGCUGUCCGAGUGCCCUUCUGACGGGACAGCCCAUACCUACCCCCGCUUCCGCCGGAAACAGGUGCAACAUGGGAUUAUGGCUGUCUGUGGAUGACGCGACCAGUGUCAGACCGGUCACAGAUUAGUCAUCCUUGUCUACCAUGCGUCAGCUUAGCAACGUGCAUGUUUGCCCUUCUUCAUGUAACAUCUUGCAUGUAAUGGUUGGGAUGAAGCCUGGUAUAAAUCUAACCAGGGCUAACGUGCCAUCUCUAAGAGAUAACACGCUAGCUCCGGCUUGAGACAAGUGCCUAGAGGCUUUCGUCUUGACGGGAUGGGGCAAGGCGUGCGUCAGACCGCCAGUCGCCACCUAACCCGUGAUCUGACCGGUCUGUGACCGGUCACAGACCGGAUAAAGGAACGCGCUGCACUGCGCUGCAUGCAGCGUGACACGCUUGACCAGACUACAAUAAAUGCGGUUAGGUGAGCACUGCCGUGUUCACCUAUCCCAUAUAUGUGGCGCAAACUUCCUCAAGGGGUCGGGGUGCCUCGGCCCUCGGGGCCGGGGCAGGAGUAACCCGACCCCCCCCUCGGGAGAAAUCAGGAGGAGGGCAGACACCUCACCCUCGGGCCCGACGUCCCCGAAGGUGCCAGGCCGCGUGGGCGAUUGUGUCUGCCUCAAGCCUCUGGUCACGAUACCCCCGGUCCCAUAUCACCGACAGUAGCCCCCGGCGUUAUGCCAGGGCGAUCGCCCUUCUCAAGGGAAGCGGUCGGGCGUAACGCCACUCCUAAAGCUUGGUGACAGGUGGGACCGGUUUCCAUGGUUGCGCAGAAACCCAACGGUCUCAAACCAUGCACAUCGGUAAUGGUAACUUGGCUGUCCAUAAUGGGCGGUCUCUUCAAGACUGCCACAUCACUUGAGCAGCGCACGAAUCUGGGUGAGCUGAUUUGCUUCGCCUGGAGAUAUGGUAACGUCGCUUCGGUCGGCGAGCGUAAUUAACGCGCGCACGAUACGAUCUAUCUCGACUGCCGCAACCGCACAUCCACUUCAUGCGCCGCAAGCGGGCGAAUGGGAUUAGUGGAAGCGUGGGCACGAGAAACGAGGGAGCGAGAUAGCGAGAAACGAGGGAGCGAGAUAGUGGGCGCGAGAAACGAGGAGCCGGGCACGGCGAUGGCAAGGGUAUAAAGACACCGAGGAAAAGAUUUGCUCCCUUCCUUUCGCCAUUAUUCCCCUUGCCUUCGCCGCUUGCGCCCUAACUCCUUCUCUGCUGCGCCCCACCUUCGCCACACGCGCUCGUUCUCAAUCAUCCCUUCCUCCGGCGCCAUGGCACGGGGCUCCGCUCUGCUCGACGGUAGCGUACUACUGCCUUCUCGCAUCGUGAGCGAGAGGCAGGCCGGGCUGCCGCGCCGCUUCAUGCCGGAAUCUGCCACCGGCCGGGAGAUAGUGAUGCUGGGCGAGGGACGCCCGGCACCAGACUACCCGGGGCGGUCCGUCUUCUUCCUCCCCUUCGCAAUGGCGGGGCUGGUUCCGCCAUUUUCUUCCUUCUUUAUGGACGUUCUGGAGUUCUACGAUCUCCAGAUGGCGCACCUCACCCCCAAUGCGGUGAUGACAUUGGCCAUCUUCGCGCACCUGUGCGAGAUGUUCAUUGGGGUGCGCCCAUCUCUUCGGCUGUUCCGGUGGUUCUUCACCGUGCAGUCGGUGUCGCCGCCGUCGGUGGUUGGUGGCUGCUACUUCUAGCCGCGGGGGCCGGUGCUGAACCGCUACAUCCCCUGCGUCCUCCGCAAGAAGUGGGACGACUGGAAGAGCGACUGGUUCUACACCCCCCUCGCCAACGAAGCGCGCCUCCGACUUCCAAGCCAGCCCCCGGCGCAGGUCUCCAGCUGGCGGGCGCCGGUAGAUCUGGGGGAUGACUAUGACGCCGUCCUUGAUCGCCUGGCGGGCCUGCGAUCCCAGGGGCUUACAGGGGCCAUGGUGUACGGCGACUACCUCCGUCGCCGGAUUGCGCCGCUCCAGCGGCGCGCCCGGAGCGCCUGGGAGUACUCCGGGUCCGAAGACUACAUGCGGACCCACCAAGGAGUCAGAUGGGAUUGGGCUCCCGAGGACUUCAAGAUCGUGGUCCAAAGGGUGCUGAAUCUCAGCUCCGUGGAGGCGUCUCUCAUUCCUCAAGGAAUCCUCCCCCUCUGCAGCGAUCCCGACCGCGCCUCUAUUUUGACCAUUAUGAUGGGGGUCGGGGCCUCAGAGGAGGAAACCCCUAAGGGCCACGACGGCGUGGGCGAGAGCCGCCGGGGGGGACAAUCUACCCCAGGAGGGGGUCGUGCUUCUGGCCCCGCGUCGGGGGCUCGGGGAGCAGCCGCCCUGCCGACGCCCAGGGGAAGAGGAAGCUGGGAGGAACACCUCCCCCAUCUCCUCCCCGAGGGGGCGGGGCGGUGCGUGCCAGCAGUCGGCGCCCGGAGGGGGCCGCGCCGUCAUCGCAACCCGAGGGGGAGCGCAAGAAGAAGCGGCUCCGUAAGAUGGGGGAGACGGAACCAUCCCGGGGAAACCUGAUUUCCCCUCCAAGGUGGUCAUUUAACCGACCCCCUCGCAGGUUCGUCCCACUCUCAUUACGACCGUCUUUCUCCUAUCCCAAAAGCAAGUUUUCUCUUACCCAUCUUGUUUGUCUUCUGGUUUUUUCUUCUGCUUCAGCGAUGUCCCGUCGCGUUCCUCCCGCCACCCCAAGUCUGGCCAGUCCGAGGCCGAAGAUCCGGCGGCCGCAGAGGAACGGAGGCGAGAAUCUGACCGGCGAGAGGCCGCAGAUCGCCUUCGGGAAGCUGAAGAGGCCGCCCGGGAGGCCGCCCGGGUUCGUCAAGCGGAGAGUGCCGCUCGGGAGGAGGCCGCCCGGGCUCGCCAAGCUGAGGCGAUGGCGUCUUCCGAGGCAGCUCACGACAAAGCUGCUGGCGCGUCGCUUGGGCCCACUCCCUCGGGCGACGCUCAGGCGACGGCCUCUGGGGCGGCUCGCGACGAGGCCGCGGGCGCAUCGCCUGGGCCCACUCCCUCGGGCGACGCUCAGGCGACGGCCUCCGGGGCGGCUCGCGACGAGGCCGCGGGCGCAUCGCCUAGGCCCACUUCUCCGGGCGACGCCCAGGACCAAACGGGUCCGGGGGACAUCCCCGAGCCCAGCGCCUCCUCCGGCGGGCCGAGCCGCGUCGCGUUCUCUCCAAGGCGGCUCUUCUCCUCGUCUUCUGUCGCCCCGCUGAGCGCCGAGCCCCUUCUGCAGGCCUUGGCCGCCGCAAACACUGCGGUGCUAGAUGGGUUCAGCGCCCAAGUGGAGGCCCUGCGAGCGGAACGAGCGGAGCUCGAGGCCGCAUGGGCGCGUGUCGAGGAGGGACGGCGCUCGGUGGACGUCAUGGUGGAGGUGGGCCGUAAGGCGCACCGCCGUCACGUCUCGGAGCUAGAAGCCCGCAAAGCGGCGCUGGCGGAGAUCGCCCGAGAGGUGGAGGAGGAGCGGGAGGCCACCCUCAUCGCCACCACUGCGAUGAUCGAGGCGCAGGACACCCUCCGCCUUCAACACGCGAGCUGGGAGGCGGAGCUAAAGAGAAAGCUCGACGCCGCCCAAGGGGUCCUUGACACCGCCGCUGCCCGAGAGCGGCGGGCGACGGAGACUGAAGCGGCGUCCCGGCGGCGCGAGGAGGUCCUUGAGGCCCGUGCCAUGGCACUGGAAGAACACGCCGGCGCCGUGGAGAGGGGCUUGGCGGACCGCGAGGCCGCCGUCGCCAUCCGGGAGGCAACGCUGGUGGUGCAUGAGGUCGCCUGCGCCGAAGAGGAGUCCGCGCUCCGCCUCCGCGAGGACGCACUUGCUGAGCGGGAGCGAGCUCUCGAGGAGGCCGAGGCCGCGGCGCAACGGCUGGCGGACAGUCUGUCCCUCCGCGAGGCAGCGCAGGAGGAGCAGGCGCGCCGCAAUCUGGAAUGUGUCCGCGCCGAGAGAGCCGCACUGGAGCAGCGGGCUGCUGACCUCGAGGCGCGGGAAAAAGAGCUGGCCGCGAGAGCGCCCAUCGGUGGGGCGGCUGCGGGCGAAAGCGACUUAGUCGCCCGCCUCGCAGCUGCCGAACACACCGUCGCCGACAUGCAGCGCGCCCUUGACUCAUCCGCCGGGGAGGCCGAGGCCCUCCGCUUGGCGGGCGAGAUAGGGCCUGGCACACUUUGGGAUGCGGUCUCCCGCCUAGAUCGCGCCGGUCGGCAAGCGGGCCUCUGGAAAGGCCAAACAAUGCCGCACUCCACCAAUCUGGAAGGCCUCGCUCCGCGCCUCACGAAGAUGGCCUGGGCUCUCCAACAACUCCCCGAGGAGCUCGAGAAGACCAUUAAGUCAUCCUCGAGGGACCUCGCCCAAGGAGCGGUCGAACUCGUAUUAGCGAGUUACCAGGCCAGGGACCCCAACUUCUCUCCGUGGAUGGCGCUGGAUGAGUUCCCUCCCGGGACCGAGGACGAUGCGCGCGCGCGGGUCCGGGAUGCCGCCGACCACAUCGUCAACAGCUUCGAGGGCUCGGCCCCUCGGCUCGCGUUCGCCCCCAACUCCGACGAGGAGGGCGACGCCAGCGGUGCAGACAACGAUGGCGACGAGGCCGGCGACCCGGGCGCAUCGGAAUGAGCCCCCAGGCCCCCGCCAAUCUCCAAUUUUUUCUUUUUCUUUCUUCUAAGGCCUUCAUGCCUCUUUUUUGUAUAGAUCAACUUAAUCUGGAAUCAAAAAUGAAAAAAUUCUUCGUGUCAAUUUUAUUUUGCUAUGCGUAUGAGAUGAGGAUGAUCUGUGCCGUGGUCCUCUUUUGUGUCUUAGCUUGAUUUAAGGGCUCGUGCCCAAGUCCCAGUCCUCUAAUGGCUCGGGUCGGGGCUAGUGCCUGGGGAGAUCCACAUGUUGAGGCUGGCCAGGCCGGGAACGUGGUGACCGAGGGUUAUAGGUGACCCGAUUGUGGGUUUUUGCCGAUUCCCCCCCGGAGUUCACCACGCCCCGGGGCACGGCUCAGUUCUGGGCCCCGUUUGGCGAUUUUAGCUGACCGAACCGAGCCCCCGAGGGCAAGGUUGAGCACGAGUGACCUUAUUUCAAGUCAAGAUUCUUCAAAAGGAAAAAACGGCACAGACACAACCUUUAGGAAAUUGAAACUGCUUUUUUUGAAACGCUGAAAUAAGAGAAAUAAUAAUGUGCAUGCGUGGUAGCCCCCGGCCAACCCUGCACACCCGAGGGGGGGGGUGCGGGGUUGGCCCGAGCCCGAAACCUGACACCCGACCCCUCCCUCAGGGCUAGAAGCGACGAAGGUGUUCGAUGUUCCACGGGUUAGGCAGCUCAGUGCCGUCGCCCGUGGCCAACCGUAUGGAGCCCGGCCGGGGGACACCGAUCACUCGAUACGGACCCUCCCACAUUGGUGAGAGCUUGCUCAAUCCAGCACGCGUUUGGACGCGGCGUAAGACGAGGUCGUCGACGCAGAGUGAUCGGGCCCGGACGUGGCGCUGAUGGUAGCGCCGCAGGCUCUGCUGGUAGCACGCGGCUCGGAGGGCCGCGCGCCUCCUUCGCUCUUCCAAGUAGUCGAGGUCAUCUCUGCGAAGCUGAUCUUGAUCGGCUUCGCAGUACAUGGUGGCCCGAGGAGACCUCAGGGUGAGCUCGGAUGGGAGAACCGCUUCUGCGCCGUAGACGAGGAAGAAAGGCGUUUCCCCGGUUGCUCGGCUUGGUGUGGUUCGGUUUGCCCAGAGCACCGCUGGCAACUCCUCGAUCCAUGAAUCGCCGUGCUUCUUGAGAAUAUUGAAGGUCUUGGUUUUAAGGCCUUUGAGGAUUUCUGCAUUGGCGCGCUCCACUUGGCCAUUGCUUCUGGGGUGGGCAGGUGAGGCGAAGCAGAGCUUGAUGCCCAUGUCUUCGCAGUAAUCGCCGAAGAGUUCACUAGUGAAUUGGGUGCCAUUAUCCGUAAUAAUACGGUUAGGCACUCCAAAACGGGCCGUGAUGCCUUUAAUGAAUUUAAGUGCAGAGUGCUUAUCGAUCUUGACGACCGGAUAAGCCUCGGGCCACUUAGUGAACUUGUCGAUCGCGACAUACAGAUACUCAAACCCGCCCGGGGCCCGCUUAAACGGUCCCAGGAUAUCGAGCCCCCAGACAGCAAAUGGCCACGAAAGUGGUAUGAUCUGCAGGGCCUGGGCCGGCUGAUGGAUCUGCUUGGCGUGAAACUGACACGCUCUGCAUCGCCGGACCAGAUCAACUGCAUCAUUGAGAGCUGUCGGCCAAUAGAAUCCUUGACGAAAGGCCUUGCCAACCAAGGUGCGCGAGGCGGAAUGGGCUCCGCACUCGCCUUCAUGGAUAUCGGCAAGAAGCUCAACGCCUUGUUCCUGAGGAAUGCAUUUCAGGAGGAUUCCGUUAGCCGCGCGCCGAUAGAGGGUCCCUUCUACCAGCACAUAGCGUUUGGAAAUGCGUUGGACGCGUUCACUCCCUUCGCGGUCCUCAGGUAGAGUCUUAUCUGUGAGGUAUGCUUGGAUCUCAGAGAUCCAUGCAAUCAAUCUAAGGGAGCUUGGAGCGCUCCCUUCGGGUCCCGAGGCCUGGACUCCGACGGGCCUCGGGGGCCGAUCAGGCGCAUCCGUCUCCCCUAAGGGGUCGGGUCGCGCCGACGGCUGGGUAAGCCUUUCUUCAAAGGCGCCCGGUGGGGUCUGGGCUCGCGAGGACGCGAGCCGUGAGAGUUCGUCAGCAACCAUGUUAUCCCGUCUGGGUACAUGCCGAAGCUUUAUCCCGUCAAAAUGGCGCUCCAUACGCCGCACUUGGCGUACGUAAGCGUCCAUCUGUGGGUCAGAGCACCGGUACUCCUUACAGACCUGGUUAACGACCAGCUGGGAGUCGCCUAACACCAAGAGGCGGCGGAUCCCCAGUCCAACUGCCACUCUGAGUCCGGCAAGGAGUCCCUCGUACUCUGCCAUAUUGUUGGUUGCUCGAAAGUCGAGACGGACCAAGUAUCUAAGGACGUCUCCUUUCGGAGAGGUCAACGUGACCCCCGCUCCGGCGCCCUGGAGAGACAGAGAACCGUCGAACUGCAUCACCCAGUGGGAGGUGUGAGGCAGCUGUGAGGGGUCCGUGCUGGCCUCGGGAAUUGAGACGGUCUCUGGAGCCGGGGUCCACUCUGCCACAAAAUCGGCGAGGGCUUGGCUCUUGAUAGCGUGGCGUGGUUCAAAGUGCAGAUCGAACUCAGAAAGCUCGAUUGCCCAUUUUACCACCCGUCCGGUACCCUCGCGAUUACGCAAGAUUUGACCGAGGGGGUAAGACGUAACCACAGUGACCCGAUGCGCCUGGAAAUAAUGGCGCAGUUUCCUCGAGGCCAUCAGAAUAGCGUAAAGCAUCUUCUGGGCCUGAGGGUAUCUGGUCUUGGCGUCCCGGAGGGCCUCACUAACAAAGUAGACAGGCCGCUGCACCUUUCGGCGGGGCCGAUCCUCUUCGCUAGGGGCCGUACCCCCGGGGCGUUCUUCGUCCAAGUGGCCCCUCGGGGCGCACUCGUCUUCUGUGCCGAUGACCUCGGGGUCGGAGGAUGACAGGAGCGGCCUUCCCACAGUGGCCUCGGGGCCGUCCUGGGGGUCGGGGGCUCCUGGCGUCGUCGGACAAGCGGGCAAAGGGCCAACUCCGGGCGUCAGGGGCCUCAGGCCUCCGUUCGGCUCGGGGGCCUCUUCUCCCUGCUCUCUCCCGGGUCGAGUCAGCACAGGGUUAGCCUCGGGGCCAAAGGGCGAUAGGUGCGGCCUUCCCUCAGUGGCCUCGGGGCCUUCCUGAGGGUCGGGGGCACCCAGCACCGUCUGACAAGCGGGCAGAGGGCCGACUCCGGUCGUCAGGGGCCUUAGGCCACCGUUCGACUCGGGGGCCUCUCCUCCCUGCUUGCUCCCGGGCCAAGUCGGCACAGGGUGGGGGUGCGCGGAAUGAGGAUUGUCCUCAUCGCGCUCCACAACCAACGCUGCACUAACUACUUGGGGGGUCGCCGCUAAGUAAAGUAGCAGGGGCUCAUUUGGCUCCGGGGCAACUAGAACCGGAGGAGAGCUGAGAUACGCCUUCAACUGGGCGAGGGCAUUUUCAGCUUCCUCCGUCCAAGUAAACGGCCCCGAGCGCUUGAGGAGCUUAAAUAAGGGUAGCGCCUUCUCUCCCAGCCUCGAUAUGAAACGACUUAGGGCGGCCAUGCAACCGGUGACGCACUGCACAUCCCUAAGUUUGCUGGGGGGGCGCAUCCGCUCUAUAGCUCGUAUCUUCUCGGGGUUGGCCUCGAUGCCUCGGGCAGAGACCAAGAACCCGAGAAGCUUGCCCGCAGGUACACCAAACACGCACUUAUCGGGGUUCAGUUUUAUGCGGGCGGCGCGGAGAUUUUCAAAAGUUUCCGCUAGAUCUGAGAGUAAAGUCUCUUGGUUGCGCGUCUUUACAACCAAGUCAUCAACAUAAGCCUCAACAUUACGUCCUAUUUGACUACCCAAAGAAAUUCGAGUAGUACGCUGAAAAGUAGGACCUGCAUUCUUUAACCCGAAGGGCAUUGAUGUAUAACAAUAGGUUCCUACGGGGGUAAUGAACGCAGUUUUUUCCUCAUCCUCCCUAGCCAUGCGAAUCUGAUGGUAACCAGAGUAUGCAUCUAGAAAACACAAAAGGUCGCACCCCGCAGUGGAGUCGACAAUCUGAUCUAUGCGAGGCAGGGGGUAAGGGUCCUUAGGACAUGCCUUGUUAAGGUCGGUGUAGUCGAUGCACAUCCGAAGCUUGCCGUUCGCCUUGGGAACGACCACCGGGUUCGCCAGCCACUCCGGAUGGAUGACCUCACGGAUGAAUCCGGCCUCCAGAAGUCUCGCCACCUCCUCGCGGAUGAAGGCUUGACGUUCCGGGGCCUACCGCCGCACUUUCUGCCGGACCGGCCUCGCGCCCGGCCGCACGGCGAGACGGUGCUCAAUCACCUCCCUGGGGACCCCGGGCAUAUCCGCCGGUCUCCAUGCGAAGACGUCAGCGUUUGCCCGCAGGAAGGAGACGAGCGCGUCUUCCUAUUUGCCAUCCAGAAGACCACCGAUCCGUGUGGUCUUGGAUGGACCGUCGCCCAGGGCAACCUCCUUGACCGGGACCUCGUCGCAUGUGACAAUCCGCCGCCUCGGGGCGGUGGGGGCGGAGGUGCCAAGCCUCUCGUCACCACCCUCGUGCUUGGACGCAGCAGCGAGGUGGUCCGCGCGCUGCUCCAUGCAAGCGAGCGCAACUUUGAGGUCGCCAUGGACAGAGAUGGGGCCGCCGGGGCCCGGCAUCUUCAUCUGAAGAUAGGCGUAGUGAACCGCCGCCAUGAACUUCACCAACGCGGGCCUCCCCAGGACCGCGUUGUAGGGCAGACUGAGGUCCGCCACAUCGAAGUUCACCCGCUCCGUGCGGAAGUUGGCUGAUCCACCAAAGGUGACCGGUAGGUCGAUGUGACCUAACGGCCAUGUGUGCCCCAGCGUCACACCGAUAAUCGGUUGGGACGGCUGGAGCACCAUCCCCGGGGCCUUGAUGGCAUCAUAGGCCGCGGGGGAAAGGAUGUUGAGGGCCGCUCCUCCAUCUAUGAGGACACGCCCCAACUUCACGUUGCAGAUGGUGGGGGAAACCACCAUCGCAAUCUGCCCUCCCCGGGCAACGCACGGUGGGUGGUCGGUCUGGUCAAAGGUGAGGACAACCUCCGACCACCGUGCCCGACGCGUCGCCUCAUGAGUAGGGGCCGCGGCCAGAAGCUCUCGCUUCAUAGCCUUGAAGCUCCGGCGAGAGAUGUGAGCACACGCUCCCCCAUCGACAGUGGCAAUGGUGGCCCCAGGUUCUUGGAAACCUAGGUCAUCAUCACCGUCAUCGAUGUCAACAGCGGGGGCCUUCUGUUUGGCCUCACUUCGCCGUUUGCCGGAAGGAACCGCCGGGGACUUACCUUCCCGGCGCUCCUGCCUCCUGUCCUCCUCCCACUUCCUCGUUCGCUCCGCCAAAUUUUUGACGGCGCGGCAGUCCGCGAGAUCAUGGAGGGAGGUGUUGUGGACGGAGCACCACCUACCGGCUGGGCGCUCCCUGCUGGGAGUACCAGCCUCUUUCUUUUUGUCGCUUGCAGGCCUCCCCUUUCGGGUGGCCCGCGGAGCGCCCUCGACGGCGAGGACAUGACCCUCGUCGCCGGAAUGGACCGACCUCUUCUUCCUCCUCCUGUCAUGCCGCCCUGUCUGAGCGGCGGAUCCGGGGGCGGCCGAAGCUGCCACACCGGAACCGGAGGGGUUCCAGGUCCAAGCUUCCUCCUUACGAGCCACUCGGUCCGCGAGCUGAAAAAGCUCUGCGGUAGUCUGGGGCUCUUUGGAAACGAUCUUUUCGAGCAUGCGGUUGUGCCGCACACCCCCCCUGAACGCGUAGAUCACCGCGUGUGCAGGGAUGCAUGGUAUGGUAUUGCGGACUUGGCAGAACCGCUGAAUGUACGAGCGAAGCGACUCAUCAUCCCCUCGCUGUACGGCGUGCAAGUCCGCUUCUUCGCCUGGGCGCGGAUAUGUGCCUUGAAAGUUCAUGGUGAACUGUUGGCACAAAUCUUCCCAGGAGUGGACCGACGCGGGUGGCAGGUUCAUUAGCCAACCCCGCGCCUGUCCCUUCAGGGCCAUGGGAAAGAAAUUAGCCAUAACCCUGUCGUCACCCCCAGCGGCCUCAAUCCCGGUCGUAUAGACCUGGAGAAACUCGGUGGGGUUGACGCUCCCAUCAUACUUCUCGGUGAUGGUGGGCCGGAACCUUGGGGGCCAACGGACAUUCCGAAGACUCGCCACAAAGGCUCUACAGCCGACACCACCAGCCGGGGGCACGGAGGGCUGGUCCUCACGUCCAUGUCGAGGUGACACUCUGGACGAGGAGGCACCCUCCGUUUCACGGGGAGUACGCCGGCUAUUACGCCGGCGCUCGAUGUUGAGGCGGGCAUCCGGCUCCCCAUGCUGAUCCUCCCGAGUCGAAGGUGUCGAUGAGGGAGUGGCAGCCGAAUGACGUGCAGCCGCCGCCGCUCGCCGCGCCCUCCGCCUUGAUGACACGGAACCGGUGGUGGUGGCGCCGGAGGUCUUGGUGGUGGCGG